GAGUGAGUCUUUAUUGAGUUUCAGAACUUUCCUCUCUGAUUUUCUGAUUAUUUUCUCAAUUGGGCUUAUUUCUUACCAAUUUCCUUUGAGAUUUAUGCAUGUGUGUUUGUUAAUGCUCUGUUUCUUCGUUUUUACAGGAAAUGGAAUUGCUCUCUUCCUCUUCUUGGCAACCAUGUAUGCCCUCUCUCUCUCUCAAAUUCUUUCAUUAGGGGUCUAAGGUGAUGCCUUUUUGCCUAAAAUAUCAUUUUGUUAAAUGGCUUAUGAUAUUUUGAUUCUCUGCACAUUCUGCGUAGUUCAAAAAGCAAAAUCUCUCUCUCUCUCUCUCUCUCUCUCUCUCUCUCUCUUUUCCUUUUUGUGGCUAAAGAUCAUGUCUUUUGUGUCAUAAAUUUGUUUUUGUUACAUGGGGUUCUGUAUAUCUUUUGGAUAAUCAAAAAGCUUGAAUGUUUACUAGGUUUCUUUAAAUUUCUUUGAAUUCUACCUUGUGAUUUUGGUUUAGAAAUGUGUAGAAUUACAUUUAUGAGGAUCAUAAGGAAGAGAAGCACAUAUCAGUUCUUAGGCAUUCCAUACGUAAUGACUAUGCUUAACUGCCUACUCCCACUUGGAAUGCUGCUUUGCCUCUCUCUCUCUCUCUCUCUCCCCCCCUUCUGCUGUGUAUUGCCUAAUUAGUUAUUUACAUUUGUUUAUUUGUCUCUGUAAAGCUUUCAUGCUUGGAUUUUAAAUGUAUGAUUCAAUUAGAAACCUUUAUAAUGUUGAUGUUAUAGAACAUUCAACAGAUAUAUAUUCAACAUUAGGUAGCUCUGGCAAAAUCAUAUAGACUAAGAUUUGGUAAUAUAUGGAGGUGAGAGUGAAUCUGCCUUGCUUGCCAUGAUAUAGGCUUGCAAUGAUGGCUUUCUCUUUGUAGUACUACAUUCUACUCUUACAUGCUAACAUCAGAAAGCAGACUAAGAUAGAUCCAAACCCAAUUUUAUUAAUUAAAGUUAACGGAAAGAAAAUGAUUUAUGCAUGCCUUUGUUUAUUUGUCACUUGAUUUUGGUUUAGGUUGACCAUAGCUAAAACAUCCAAGACUUGCCUAACACCUAAUUUGACGAAGACCGUAUCCUUUUUAGCCUUUAGGUGUGUGUUUGCUAGCUAGAUGGGUGGUGGGUGAGUCUUGGAUGUUAUCUUGGAUGUCUUGAUUAUUUUGGUGGGCGAGUCUUGGAUGUUUUGGUUCUGUCUUCUUCAACUCUUAUAUCUUCCCUUUUUCUGAAUUUUCUUUAUUUCUUAUCCUUUAAACUUUGUAUUUUUUUUUAAAUAUAUAUAUUUUUUGGUGAUGCAGAUAGAUGAACAUGUUCAAGGGGAAAUCAUGAACCACAGAUCACUGCAUCUGAAUAUUGUUUGAUUCCAAGAGGUCAGUGAUCGUAAACUUUUUCAUUUUGUAUUUUAAGAAUGAAUUUGGCAAGUUGUGUUUGAAUUUUGUAUAAGUAUCUGCUGAGGGUGGGUGGAUGAAGACAGAACACACUAAAUUUGGCCUCUGGUGUGCUUAAACUGGUACGGGGGAUGGUUAGAACUUUGAGCGCGGAAUGCAGUAGGACUAAAAGGAAAUGCCCUACCCACCGGGGCAAUCCACCACUUGCAGAAUUGUUGUCAAAAUAACUCUGCUAAAAAUAUGAUCUAUACUUCCUGCACUUUGUUUUACUGUGAAGUUGAAAUAGUCUUUAGAGUGGCUUAUUUGUGAUAAUCGAUAAAUAGGUUUGUGUUUAAGACUUGAGAGUAGUGCGGUGUCUUUCUUGCUGGUUCUGCUCACACCACCUCAUCUAGCCAUUGUGAUGGAGUACACGGCUGGGUGAGAACUCUUCGAGAGAAUAUGCAGUGCUAGCAGAUUUAGUGAGGAUGAGAUAAAGUAGUUUCAAAUGCAGAGAAAAUUUCAUUGGAAAUGAUUUUAGUGUAGAGUCUCAAAUAUGGGAUCUCUGAAUGUCCCCUGAAAUGGAAUCCAUCUCGAUUUUCGUCUAGUUUCAGAUAGGGAAAGUUAGGUCUGAAGCAUUUUUACAUAAAUAGUCAGUCAUAAUAUAACUAAAACUUACAUACUUUUUCAAUUUAAUUGUUGUUUUGCAUCAGGCAAGGUUUUUCAUCCAGCAGUUGAUAUCAAGAGUUAGUUGCUGUCAUUUGAUGGUAUGUAAAUCCUAUAAAUUCGGAUUAAAAUUAAAGCAACUAUAGAACAAAAACCUCAAGAAAUCAACGCGAGUUUACCUGUAUUUGAUCAUUUGUGGGAAAAUCAACACAUCGCCGUCGGAAAACUCAGUUCCUUCGCGUCCUUCAAUUACUGUCAACAACGUCUAUCAAAAACCAAGAAAAAAGUGAGUAAUGGAGUCGGCUCAACACCAGAACUCAGUAGCUCCAGGAAAUAAGAAACGGUAAGAAAAAGCAAUCAGAAACCCCGACGAAUUGAGCUGGAAAAUGGACCUUAAAGGUGAUGUCGUUCUUGCGAGCUUUGAGAGCAGAUGCGAAGAUUUUAGGGAGUGGAUCGGACUCAUAGCCUUUGAUGCGCCAUGGCCAGGCCUCGAGGGUCUUGUAGCAGAGGAAAACGUGGCGAUAGUAUGACAGUGUAUCGUCAUCAGUGUCUUCAUCAGACUCAUAUGACACAGUAGUGUCUUCAUCAGACUCAUAUGACAUAGUCUCAUAGUUGUCCCAAUUAGUACGAUCAUCGGACAAAUCCCAUUUUACAAUAUCCACUCCAGUUUUGUUCACCUUAAUAAUUGUAUUAUCUAGUCCAUAAAAUUGUGCUUGUACAAGAACCAUGUCGCCGCCUUUCAAAUUGAGCUUCUUGUUUUGAAAGAUUUCCCAACCAAAGAUAAUAUUCAUGGGAAGCAGUUACGGUGGCCUCAAUUGGCCAGAUACGAAAAUUAGUUUGCUGGGUACGAUUAACAACAUCAAUGGUUAGAAACCCACUAGAGUCGGAGUUGUCCGAAGAAUAAACGAUGCCCAAAGCCAACCCUCCUAUAUAAUCAAUACAUGGCGGCACUUUAAAUUUGACAGUUUCAUCCUCUCUCGCGACAUAGGCUAACCGCUUCGGAAUAUCAUUUCUAGAGAGAAAAAUUCCACCAAAUGCAUUUUUCUACAACAUGGGGUGCAAAGUUAGUAAAAGCAACAAUACAAAAAGCAGAGAGAGAGAGAGAGAGAGAGAGAGAGAGAGAGAGAGAGAGAGAGAGAGAGAGAGAGAGAGAGAGUACCAUACCGUUUGGAGGUUCUCCUUAAAAGUAUCAGUGAGACUGGUACACCCUUCCAUAUAAAUUGAAUCCAUGUAGUCCAAUGAGUUCUCCAAGUUUGGAAUAUCUUUGAGUUUGCGGCAGUCUUUCAGUUGCAAGUGUUUCAUUUUCGACAUCUCUGAAAAGUCGGACACUAUUUCCAGUGCUGUGCAGUAAUUCGCUUCCAAUACACAUAAACUGUUGGGCAAAUCUGGGAUUGCCUGAAGGUUUGUGCAAUGAUUUAGACAUAAACUCCAAAGCUGAGAAAGACCACUGAGAAUGGGUAGCCUAUUAAAACCAUUCCCACCUAGAUCUAAAAUUUUUAAAGAAGAUAGACUCCCAAUUAUUUCGAGAAGGGCACCAUCUGUUAUAUUGCAGUCGCUGAGAUGUAAUUCCUCAAUCAUCUUCAGUUGUGCUAAAAAAUGGUAACCCCCACACAAACCCUUACAGUCUCUGAUGGUCAAGUACCGGAGAUGUGGGAGUUUUGAAAAGUUUGGUAAUUCAGUCAGGUUACGGCAGUGUACAAGAACGAGAAACUUCAACUUCUUAGGUAACUGUUACUCAAAAAGAGAAAACAAUAAUAAAAAUCCAAAUAAAUAAAAGAGAGAAUGCAUGACGAUGACUGAUGUUGAUAUUUACAAGGACAUUGAUAGUUAUAUUGUACCAAGUCUGAAUCCUCCCAAACUCGUACGAUCUUGCUGGACCACAGUUCCAUAUAAACUAGGUUUCGUUGAUCAAAAUCUGCUGGUAUGGCUUCAAGAGGAAAUCCAAUCCAAUACAAUAAUCUUAACUCCUUGGAAAGAUGUUUGUAGCUUCCAGUCAGCUUUACAUUUCCCAGCCAGAGAAUUCUCAGUCGCCACAUCUUGUUAAAUGCUUCCGUACUGAAGCUUUGCUCGUCAUCAGAAUGUUCUGGCAAAAAUAAUUCUAGUCCUUCAACUGCUUCUGUUCCCUGUUAGAGAUAUAAAAAAAAAACAAGAAAAGGAUAAUAUUCACACGAAGCAGAGUUGUGAAUCGGAUGAAUGAACUACUAAAAAGGUAGGGCAUACAACAUAAUUAUUUAUUUUCUCUUUCAAAUUACCCAGUGGAUGAAAGCCUUUUCUUUUCUUCUUUUUCUUCGAAUAUACUAUGUAUGUCAUACACUAUAUAUAUACAGGAUAUGCUUAUAUACUUCUCUUUUUUCAUAUGUACUUAACAUCUCUUUUAUUGCAAAAGUACUUACAGAUUCGUUCCAUAGCACACUUUUUGCAUCUUCCAUAUGCCACAAUCGACUACGUUUUCCCAGUUCCACAGGAGAUUCUGCCCGCACAAUUUCUCUUCCCAUAUCUCGAAUCAAAUCAUGCAUCCUCAAUGCUCCCCCUUUAUCAAUAUAUAAGAGACAUCGAUCACAAAGUGUGGUAAUUUCUGCUUCUACAGAAAAAUGACUACAACCAUCCAAUAUUGUCGUGACCACACUUAUAGACACUCCAAUAAAGAAAUUAGAUAUGUCAAGGAACACACCCUUCACAUGAUCGUCACGUAACCCAUCGUAGCUUAAUUUAAGUGUUUGAUGAAUUUUUCCAUCUGGAAUAUUUCUUAAUUUAUUCAAUGUACUUUUCCAUAUGCUUUUACUCUUUUUCGUAGCCAACAAACGGCCAACAACUUCAAGAGCUAGGGGCAAUCCUCCACAAUAAUCAACAACAUCUCUUGCGAGUUCAAUAUAUUCUUCAUCGGGACAAUCAUUUCCAAAGGCAUGCCAACUAAGAAGCUUAAGAGCUUCAUCAUCAGUCAUUCCUUGUGCUUUAUACCUUUUAUCCACCUUUUGUAUAUUCAGCACUUGUUCAUCUCUUGUCGUUAUAAUAAUCCUACUCCCUGGACCAAACGAGUCAUGUGCUAUUGCCAAUUUAUCUAAUUGGUCCGCAUCAUCUAUGUCAUCAACCACGACAAGUACCUUCAUGCUUCCAAGUCUUUUCUCUAUCUCCUUGGUUCCUUCAGCAACAUUGCUUACCUUAAUGUCAGGCCGUUUCAAAAUAUCUCCAAGAAGUUGUUCUUGCAGACUAACCAUAUUUUUCUUGUUACUCCUCACCUCUUCAAGGUAACAUUGACUACUGAAACUAUGACCAUAUUUGCUACAAAUGGCUUUGGCAAGUGUUGUUUUACCUAUACCGCCUGUACCCCAAAUUCCAAUUAUUUGAACAUCAGGUGAACCUCCAACGUCUAAGUAUUCAGUGCUGAAUUCUUGCACGCGAAAAGCUAUUCCAACUGAGUGCUUGGCUUUUAAGUCUACGGGUUUCAAUAUUCCCUUGAUGUCCCCAGUAAUUUUCUCGAUAAACACUCCUUCACGCCUACAAGUAGAAAUUCCAAAUUACGAGAGCCAUACUAAAUGCCUUAAUCAUCAUGCCUUUAUAUUUACAUAUUGAAACAGAUUGGAAUAAAUUGUGAUUUACUGAGCUCAAUUCAACCACGUAUUUAAUCUUCGAUUAUAACGUGAAUAACCAAUUGGACUACUACACAAUUGUAGCUUUCAGUUAUAUAAUUAAGAAUCCAUUACAAUUGGUAUUUUAAUUUGAUAAAGUGUGGAGCAUUUGUCCUUCACACACCUAUAAAAAACAAUCACUUCCUUAAUUUUGACGGAAAUUCUUAUGCAAAUGCUCUACAACAAUAACAACAACAAAGCCUUUUCCCACUAAGUGGGGUCGAUAAAUAAAUGAUGCAAAUGCUCUACCUUUUAUAAAAUUCAUAUGCCAAUUCUAAUAAAUUUUUAUGCAGUGACCAAAAUUACAGUUCUAUCAUAGUUCACGGACCAACGAUCCAAUUUUUCUUAUAACUUAUAAAAUCAGAUUCAAUGCCUUAAUUAUAAUAUCUUAAUUUUGGUUGAUUAGUGAAAUAUGGCGAUAUGAAAUUUGAAGUAAACAAAAAAGUAUACCCGUCGGCCGUGGUUUUGAGGUUCCAGCCGGCCAAAUCUGCAGAAGCCUUAAGAUCCUCUCUCCACUGCUUGACCACAUUUGGAUCUUCAUCCUUUUCAUGCUUCUGAAAUGCUUCCCCAAAACUAUCUUUCUGUUUCCUGACUUGAGAAGGGUCAACGUCGUAGAAUAUUGGACACACUAUUUUCCCCUCUUGAUUUUUUAGGCACCUCAUGAUCUUCGACAGCUCCCUCAGGCACCAUCGGGACUCGGCGUACCUCUUUGAGAAGACGAUGACGGCGAUUCUCGACCCUUCGAUUUCUUGGUCAAGUUCCCUCUGUAUGUUUUCCCCCCUUCUGAGCUGUGUGUCUAUAAAUGUGUUAAUUCCGGCAUUGCGUAAUGCAAUGAAGAGGUGGUCUGUGAAGGUAUUGCGGGUGUCUUCACCUCUAAAGCUCAGGAACACCUCGUACUUCCAGCGGUUUGAGCUCCGCGAGGAAGACGAAGAGGCGGCAGCGGCGGCUCCAUGGUCGGAGCUGCUGGCAUCCAUUGCAGCCUGUAGAAGUGCAGCUUGACUUUCAAAUAACCAAAGUCAAUCUUUCCCAAGCUUCCCGAGUGUAGGCGACCCUAUUAAAUUUUUUGCAUAGGGCAAUGAUGUCACUGCCGUGUCGAUAACGCGUGAGUGGUAUUCCUCCCACAAUUUAAUUUGUAUAAAUGUUACCAUCAAAUUUUAAAAAAAUAAAUCGUAUAACUGCUUUACGAUGCAAUUUCCUUUCUUUUGUAGUUUUAAGGGUGGUGCGCAGGUAGGUUCAACUGCGGCUGCUGGUGGACGUCACGACAGCGUUAUAAGAAUCUUCGGUGAAAACAGGUCCACAAACACCACAUCUAUUAUCUCGACACCAUGUGCACAUACAUUACAUGGGAGCCAGUCAACGCCUCUUGCACUCCGGAAGCCCAUGGUUUGUGAUUCACAAGGACAUCAUCAACAAAGCUGUCCACAUCCGACUCUUUCAAGCCCCUUUGAUUGAGAAACAAAAACAACCACAGAAUCACAAAGUUAAAAAUCCCCAAAUACUUAUCGCUAACACGCCCAUUUAGGGCUGGUUUGGUAUUGCUGUGCUUUGAAAAAAAGCUGCUGUAAGAAUAAGCGGCUGUGCUGUGAGAAUAAGCGGCUGUGAAAUAAAACCAGUAGAGUGUUUGGUAAACUUUUUUGUGAAAGUGCUUUUGGAAAAAAAAAGCAGGAUGAUAGUGUGUCUUUUUAUUAAAAGAGCACCGUAGCUCUGUGUGCUUUGAAAAAACUGGUUUUUUUUUCAAAGCAGCAAAUAGCAGCUUCAGCUUUUCCUUUGAUUUUCAGCUUAUUCUCACAGCAGCUUCCAAAAUAAGCUCUUUUUUUUUUUUCAGUUUACCAAACACAAAAAUGACCAUCAGUUUUUUUUCACAGUGGCUUUUUUUAAAAUCACCUCAAUCCCAAACGGGGCCUUAGUAAUCACAAAUACUUAUCGAAAACUAGACAACAACCUUCACUAAGUUUUUGUGCUGCACUUUCGACAUCAUUGCCACUUCCCUCGCAAACCGCUCUUCUCUCUUGGCAAUCUGCUCUGGGGUUUCUCCUCUAUGAACAUUUUUUACAGCAACUUUUUGACUCUUAUAUCUAGAACAAACAAACGCAACCACCAAACAGAUUAAGAACACAACAGAACAGAACAUCAUCGUUGUAACUCGACACGAAAAACACAUAUUCGGCAUCAUAAACACCAUAAUUGCAGAACACCAAAUCAAGUUUUGAUCUUUGAUUAGUUCUGCAAAAACCCAACUCAAAUUUGCAUUUAUAUUUAACAAGAUCUAAGGCAUCAUAUUAAAUUGCUAAACUUGAGAGACCAGAAAUUCAGAAUUUAAGACAAACAAAAGAUGUUUUGGAUCGAUCAGCCACUUGGCAUCCAAAUCGAAAUCCCCAACUGAAUAAACCCCAUUACCAGAUCCCAUAAUUUUCUCUCUCUAAAAUUCAACAAGAACAAAACAAGAACAACAUACACUGACUAAUUAACCAAAACAAAGGGUACCCUUUAUUUGUAGGACCACAUUUGAAGUAAAGAUGAAAGCUUUGGUCUGGAUAAAAAUGGAAAAAAUUAAUAAAAUCAGCAGACUUCGUAUGAUUGGAGAGGGAGAAAGAUGAAGACUUUCUAUAAUAAAAGGACUUGCUUGGUACUGUAGGUUUCAGAAAACAGACCCAUCCCCGGAAUCACGGUUGAGGAUCCUACAAAGAAUUUAGCACAAGAUUGUUUGCCCUCCCACUUCCGGUGCCCUCUCAUGUCCUUCUGUUUUGUGUGGUCACGAUUAAGCCAUAUCAAUAUUUUAUAUUGUUUUUUUUAUAGAGAUAAUAAGAUAAAAAUAAAUAGUAAUAUAAAAUAUUGAUGUAGCUUAACCGUGACCAUACAAACAGAAGGGUACAUGAGGGCACUAGAAGUGAGAGGGCAGACAAUCCUUGUCCAAAAAUAAAAUCCCAGAGGCACCCACCAACAACCCUACAAUAUAAAAAGGAGGUGGAUUUUCUGCUCUCUCAUUUCCAUACUCUUCCCAUUCCCUUCUGUUUGUGUUAUCACGGUUAGGCCACGUUAACAUUUUAUAUUCAUAUUAUUUUUUAUUUUAUUAUUUUUAUAAAAAAAAUAAUAUAAAAUGUUGAUGUGACUUAAUCGUGACCACACAUCACAGAGGAGAUGAGGAAAGUAUGAAAAUAUGAGGCAAGACAAUCCGCCUCCAUAUAAAAAUGGUCACUGAUGAGAGCUCUAUCAGUGGGAGUGGAUUAGAUUUAUUAUUGGGAAUUGGGGAGAGAGAGGAAUCAGUAGAAGAGCAAGCAGAUAGAGUUGAGCAAGGCAGAGGAGGAUGAAACUGAGAGGAGGUGGAGAUUUGGGAACUUGGUGGCGGCGAUGGUGGCGGUGGGCGGGUGGGAAGUGAGUUCAGUUGAGAUUAAUUUAUUGGCCUUCUCCGCGAGUGGAAUGUUAUUGUCUUGUCUUCUAGAUCCAAAGAUAAACUAGUCUCUGUCAGAGAAUAGUGUGUUUCCUUUGUUUUUCUUCCUUUCUACCUCAUUUUCCCUUAUUUAUACUAGCAAGAAUAAAAAUUUAUAAUAAGAGAAAAUGUAAAUUGAUUUCUAAAUUUUUUUUCUUUAUGAUAUUCAAAUGAUUUUGCCUUGCUGAAUGAGACUGUUCAUAUCUUUGACUACUAGUUCUGAAUAAAUAUUUCUUUAACUAAAAGUUUACAAGGCAACUGAAAUGAUUACUUAGUUAUAAGACUUUGGAAAAAAAAUUACAAGUAUUUUGUGUGCAAUUUACUAUAUUAUGCAUAACUUUUAAUAUAUUAAUUUAUUUAAGUUAAUUUGGUCUUUUAACUUUUAUUUGGUUGAUUAAAAGAGUUUUGUUGAUAGGUAGUUUAGAUUAUAAUAAAAUAAAAUAAUUACUAAAUAAAUAGUUUUUUUAAUAAUAUGAUAUUAUGUACAUUAAGUGGUGGAGGGAGUGAGUUAAGCUUCACAAUGAGAUAGUCAUAAUAAUUUGUUCAAAUUUAUCUUAAUGAUAAUCGAACUUAAGACUUCUUAUGUAUGAGAGAUUUUUCAAUUUACUAGAAACACAUUGUAAAAAUACAAUUGGUUGGAAACUUAAAAAAUACAAUUUCAAACUAUUUUAUUAUGACACUUGGUGUAUCAAGUCAUGUUUAGUGUUCACACCACACUGAAAAUUUUCUCCUCACUUACAAGUCAAAAGGAAUACUAUUAAAUCGUAAUAUAAGUGACUACUAAAUAACUAAUUUAUAUAUUUGAUUUUUAAAAGUUUAGGGGAAAGGAAAGCUAAUCCAUCAAGGCCAAGGCAUAUAACAAGUAUCCUCGAGAACUUACACAAGGGGUCUUAGUCCUUUUUUUGUUUUUACAGAUCUUGCACAAAAAAUGGUUGCUUACAAUGGAACUCAAACAUAGACCUUGCAACUCAACCAAUCCUCAGUGGAAAAUACACAUGUAUUUGAGCAAUCUUUUAAUUAAUUUAAACUAAAUUAUCGAGUCAAAACUCCAUGCAAUAAACAUAUUGUUUUAAUUAAAUUAUUCAUAUACAAUAAUAAAAUGUCUAUUUAUAUCAUAGAUUCUAAGAUUUGAUAAAGAGAAUAUUUCCAAGAUGUGCAUAGACAUAAAACACAUACACACUACUCUAACUAAAUUAAUCAAGAACAAUUCUGCAAGAAAAUGGAAGAUAUGUGACUUUUAUUUAUUUCCUAGAUUCUAAGAAGGAUAAGAAAAUGUUGUCGGAGAAAAAGAAAGGUAAACGGGCGAUAAGAAGACGAAUACAACACAAUGAUACAAUUGGGGCUUCGAGAAAGUGCCCUUUUGGUAUCCACUAAGGCCAAAAACCCAUCACAAUAAUUGAAUUACCAAUGUCUUAUUAGAAAGUAAAACACAUUAUUUUGGCGAUUUUGAAACUUGAAUGACAAAUAUGACAUAGACAAUAAGGAUGUGUGACUCAGAUACCAGGUUGGAGGAAAAUGGACUGAAGUACAAAGGUUAAGGCAAGGAGAUAUGUGAGAGGUAUUACAUGAGUUAAUUAUCAAAUUAUUAUGACAUAUUUUAUCGCGUUUUUUAUGAGAGAUUUUUUAGUGUGCUGAAAACACAGCUCGAUACAUCAAGUGUCAUCACAUAACUGAUUGGAUACUUGAAAAAAAUAAAAUUCAACUUGUAUGAUGACACUUGAUUUAUCGGGUUGUAUUCCGGCACACUAAAAAGUUGUCAUCUCCUAGUUCAGAUAUACUGCUCUUUAUUUUAAACACAUCUUUGUACUCAUUAAAAGACAAAAAGACAAGCAAAUAUUUUGGUCCCAGUAUGCAAGAACCAUACAAUAUACUUAGAAAUAUCAAGCAUCCCGUUGGAAAUCAACUGUAAGGCAAAUAUUAUCAACGAAACAAAAGAAGGAAUUGCACAAUUCAUUUGGUGAUUAGGCGAACUAACAACAAAAAAAAUAUAAAAAAUAACGAGUCAAUAAUUUAAACACUGAACUAAAUGAUCCUUACGAAGAUGUGGGUUGUUGAAGAGUUAGAUCAUCACUUUCCUUAACUACACCAAACAACAUACUCCAAAUGGCUUUUGCAAUCAUUGUUUUACCUAUACCGCCCAUACUUCAAAUUCCAAUUAUUUGAACAUCAGGUGAACCUCCAACAUCCAAGUAUUUAGUACUGAAUUCUUGCACGCAAAAAGUUGUUCCAACUGAGUGCUUGGUUUCUUUUAAGUCUGUAGUUUUCAGUAGUCUCCUAAUGUCUCCAACAAUUUUCUCGAUAAACAAUCAUUGAUGUCUCGCGGUUAAAAUUCAAAAUUAUACAAAAGUAAGAUUCAUCAUGCAACUGCAAGAUUUAUAUCAACUAAAGGCUUUUGAUUCAAAAUGGUCCCUGAGAUUUGCAUCAUCCAUAAGUUUGGUCCCUGAGAUUUAAAAUUAAUAGAAGUAGUCCCUGCGAUUGUCCACCAUCCAUGAUUUUAGUCCUUCCGCUAAAGUUUUUGGCCAGAAGUUGGGCAAUUUUCAAAGCUUCGUAACUCAAUCGUUUUUUAACCAAAUUCGACCCAUAAUAUAUCAAAAUGAAGAUAGGAAAGUGUAGAAUAAGAUUAUAUCUAUUUGGAAGCCCAAUCAAUGGAAAACUGGAAAACUUGCCGGAAACUCGCCGAAAACUGGGUAAAUUUUAAACAUUCAUAACUUCUUCAAUACUCAACGAAAUCAAGUGAUUCAAAAACAAAAACCAUACUUCUCAACAAGAAGAAGAGAAUGGUACCUUUUUAAAUGGCUAACUCGCCUUGGUUUGGCCGGAAAACGGCUCGAAAGUGGCUGUUGAAAAACGAGUUAGCAACUUUCGAGCCGUUUUCCGGCCAAACCAAGGCUUUUUAGCCGUUAAAAAAGGUACCAUUCUCUUCUUCUCGUCGAGAAGUAUGAUUUUUGUUUUUGAAUCACUUAAUUUUAUUGAAGACGUUAUGAACGUUUAAAGUUUAUCCAGUUUCCGGCGAGUUUUCCAGUUUUUCCUCGGACCAGUCAAUUUUGAGGCUAUUUUCCGACCAUCGUCGGCAACCAUUGGGCUUCCAAAUAGAUAUAAUCUUAUUCUAUACUUUCCUAUUUUCAUUUUGAUAUAUUACGGGUCGAAUUUGGUUAAGAAACGAUUGAGUUACGAAGCUUUGAAAAUUGCCCAAACUUCCGGCCAAAAGCUUCAACGGAAGGACCAAAAUCAUGGAUGGUGGACAAUCUUAGGGACAACUUCUAUUGAUUUUAAACCUCAGGGACCAAACUUAUGGAUGAUGCAAAUCUUAGGGACCAUUUUGAAUAAAAAACCUCAACUAAAUGCCUCAUUCAUCAUGAUUAGAUAUUUUGGUAGCGAAAACGUUUUGAAUAAGUUAGAUUUGAUCGAGAUGACUAGUUAAGUUCAAUUUAGCCGUGUUUCUGAAAUGCAUUGUAACCGUAUUAGUUAAGCUCAGUUAGAUUGCUCAUGAACUAUAAGAAGGCGUUUGUUUGCCCUCACUAAACCGUAUUAUAGCUUUUAGUCAUACAAUUAGAAAUCCAUUAGAAUUAGUAUAUGGGUUUGACAUACGGAGGAUUCGUCCUUCACGCAUUACCAAAAGCUCCAAAGUUUUUUCCUAUAAACGUAUAAAAUCAAAGUCUGAUCAUAAUCUCCUUAUUUUUGGUGAAUUAGUGAGUCUUAGAAGCUAAUACAAGACAUUGGAAUUAAAUUUAGAGGAAAAAUUAAAAUACCUGUCCGCUGUGGUUUUAAGAUUCCGGCCACACAAAUCUGCAGAAGCCUUAAGAUCCUUCUCCACUGCUCGACCUCAUCUGGAUCUUCAUCCCUUUCAUGCUAACAAAGUUAAAAGAAUAAGGUAAAGUGAGACACCUAAUAAAAGUUUAGGUGGUAAAGUGAACAAAUGAGCAUAUAGAGUGAAGUAAAAUUUUGUCUACAUAAGUGUCAUAGAAAUGCCUUUAAUAUUUUUUACAUAUAGAAAAUAAAUAGGGUUAAUUACAUCGAUGUUCCCUGAAUUUGUCAUUUAUCUUCAUUUUCAUUCUUAAACAUUUUAUUUGUUUUAUAUGAUCUUCAAGCUCGCUAUUGCAUGACUUUUUUUUUUAUAUCCUUUUCGUCAACUUCAUCUAUUUUUCUAUUAAGUAGAGAUGAUAAAUUUAAAAUUCAUCCCACAACCUAAAAAAUGGGAAAAAGGAGGUGGAUGUACAAAAUUCUUGCUAUGCCCUCUAUAUUUAACAGAAAAAUAAAAAUAAAUUGGUCAAAAAUAGAUUUUGUUAGAUUAGUCACUAACGGGGUUCAAACUCACACCGUCAUGCAAGAUCUUAACUCAUUUCCACCACUAUAGUAAAGGGCCACUUGCAACCAAAAAAUAAAUUGAAUUAAUGGAUAUAAUUGAAUCACCACAUGAGAGAGUUUGAGAACCACAAUAAGAAAAAAAAAAAAGAAAAACUAUUCUAGAACGAAAGUAAAAUUCUUGACAACAAUGUUGUAUAUUUGAAAAAUAGUUCAAGCAGAUUAAGAUGUUAGCACAGAGUCAUUUAUCUCGUUUAUUGAACAAACAACGAGGACAUCAAUGCCGUUUUUUCUCUUUUGAAAUUCCUAAACAACAAAAUUGAGAUUUCUUUCACAAAAAUUACCAUAAAUUUUGACAAAAUUGACGGUCGAAUUAUAAAUCCAGCAGGCAAAUCGAAAACAAUCACAGGAGCUUAGAACACACCACAUCAACAUUUAGCAAGCAGUCUCAUAGGAAAUCCCAAUCAAGAUAAAACUAUUCAACAAUUUAUUACAUUUCGUUCAUAUAAGAGCAUGGUUAGGAGGAUUAUUUAAUUGACGUUAUAACAUCUUUCUACAAAGAAAAAAAUGAAAAAGAAAAUAGGGCCUCGGCACCCGUGGCAAAACCCAACAUGGAUUAGAGUACGUUUCAGCCUGACCUUCUGUAAAAGCUAUAGGCCACAGCCACUGUUGCCACUGCUCCAACCACGGCAGCAGCUGCGAGAACAUCGCUUUGCUCCCAGUUCCCAAUCAAGCUUGACAGCUUCCGUAAGGCAUCCUUUGUGGCACACGACUCUGUGGUUUCUUUCGACUUCAUUUCCUCACUUCCACCGUUCUCCUCCAAACUUACUUCUUUGCAGCAUGUAAAUCCAUCACUAUUAGCACCCUGGCAACAGCUUGAAAAGUUCUCAUUAUUCUCAAUAUGAUUGCCCUUUUCUUGGUGAAUCUGAUUGCUAUUUUCAUGUGGCUUCUCCUUGAUUUUCUUAUUUUCUUCUCCAUUUGGAAGUUCCCGGUCAUUAAUUUGUUCAGCUUCAUCAGAAAAUGCUCCCAUUUGGCCUCUGUAAGGAAUGAAAUUGAAUUUCGUGUUCAGCUAUUUAAAGAUUCAACUCUUAAGUUUCUUCAAUGCAGUUACAUCCAAUUUAGAAACAUAUACAGAGUAAUACUGUUGUAUCCAAUUCUUUUGUGCUUUCUCCACAGAAGUUCCUCGAUGUUAUUGUAACUCUAUAUCAAUAAAUCUAUCAUACAAGACUAGACAUAACCAUCAAUUGAAAAAUAUGACAACACAAGCUUCCGUCCAGUGAAAUUUUCAUCCAAAGACAAUAGGCAAAACCGAAAAUCUACAAACCUCCAAAGUCGUUCUAUAAUCUCUCCCUUCCCAAUAUGCUCAUCAAGCAAUUCCGGCACAUCAUCAGGAGUGACGUAGCCAUACCUGCAAUUAAUAAUACAUAAUAUUCAAAUUUCAUCGAUCCCAAUACGACAAAAUUUUAGAUUGUUAUGAUCCGAAUAUUACCAAUGGCCUGUUAUGCUUCCAUCUGAACCUGGGCUGUAGAUAAUCAAGUUUCCAUUGUGGCCUCCAGUGUGAAAGCAAGCAGCAACAAAUAUCUGAUUCGUCAAUCCUCGUAGCUCAGCCUCCUCUUUGAACUUAUUAAUGAGAACACAUGCACUAUCACGAUUCCAUUCCUCUCGACUACCAUGUGCACAUACAAAUACAUAGGAGCCAGUCAACGACUCUUGCACUCCGGAAGCCCAUGGUUUGUGAUUCACAAGGACAUCAUCAACAAAGCUGCCCACAUCCGACUCUUUCAAGCCCCUUUGACAACAAACAAAAACAACCUCAUAAUCACAAAAAGGGAUUUACAGGCAAGGAAUUAGUCGUAAACUGAGCCAUUAAAUUCAAAGGAAAACUAAUGAAAAGAGCUUGAAAACUUUGAGUUUUAACGAUAAGGACAAAAUAAAGGGUAAAGUGAAUAGUACCAGGAUUGACUUUUUAGUGCAAAAAUGUGGUUUUUCGUUAAAGUGAAAAGUACCAAGAGCUUUUCGUUAAGGUUCCCUAAAUUCAAUUUCUACAACUAAUUUCAGAAGCUAACACACAUCUAAUCAUCUAUUUAGGUCAGUGGAUUCAUGUUGGUUAUGGAAUGGGCCCUCCAUUAUGAAUUAAUUACGGUUUGCCAUUGUGUGUGUUAGUGUGGGCCGUGCUUAACAGCUGGGUUGGGCUGCUGCAUUUGGGCCCAGGGUGCAGCUCUCACGGGUUUUGGGCUGGGUUUCACCGAAAUAUCAAAUGACUCUUUUGCCCCCUUCAGUCCUAAUCCGACGGCCACCAUUUGCGGCGUUUGUGGUCUGCAAUUCGGUGGGGGGGGGAGGUGGGGUUAGCUUGCUUUCAAUCUCGUCAAGGAGUUCGUGCAGAGAGGCAGGGGAUGACAUCAAGUUUAGGGUGUGCACAGUGAGAGAGAAGAGGGUAGGAGCUAGAGAGAGGGGGGUGGGUUCUGUCCGCGGACGUAGGUUGCAGAGAGACAGAGAUGGGGAAAAGUAUGGGGGUGGGGUUGAGGGGAACGUGUACACAGAGAGAGUGAGGAAGGGACAUAGGAGCUAGAGGUAUGGGAAAGGAGUCGAGGAGUUGAGGAGUCGAGGGGUUGAGGGGUUGAGGGGUUGAUUUGUCAGGGGCUGCUGCAUCCUUCCUAUUCAAAAGGUAACAAAUAAUUUUCAAUUCAUUCUUUACCCUUGAAUGUGGAUUUACUGUUCGGGGUUGAGGAGGACAUCAUAUAUCUUCCCUUUUUCUGAAUUUUAGUUCUGUCUUCUUCGACUCUUAUAUCUUCCCUUUUUCUGAAUUUUCUUUAUUUCUCAUCCUUUAAACUUUGUAUUUUUUUUAAAUAUUUAUUUUUUUGGUGAUGCAGAUAGAUGAACAUGUUCAAAGGGGAAUCAUGAACCACAGAUCACUGCAUCCGAAUAUAGUUUGAUUCAAAGAGGUCAGUGAUCAUAAACUAUUUUCAUUUUGUAUUUUAAGAAUGAAUUUGGCAAGUUUUGUUUGAAUUUUGUAUAAGUAUCUGCUGAGGGUGGGUGGAUGAAGACAGAACAAACUAAAUUUGGCCUCUGGUGUGCUUAAACUGGUACGGGGGAGGGUUAGAACUUUGAGCCCAUGAUGCAGUAGGACUAGAGAAAUGCGGCAAUCCACCACUUGCAGAAUUAUUGUCAAAAUAACUCUGCUAAAAAUAUGAGCUAUGCUUCCUGCACUUUGUUUUUACUGUGAAGUGGAAAUAGUCUUUAGCGUGGCUUAUUUGUGAUAAUUGAUAAAGAGGUUAGUGUUUAAGACUUGAGAGUAGUGCGGUGUCUUUCUCGCUGGUUCUGAUGAUGGAGUACACGGCUGGGUGAGAACUCUUCGAGGGAAUAUGAGGAUGAGAUAAAGUAGUUUCAAAUACAGGGAAAAUUUCAUUGGAAAUGAUUUUAGUUUAGUUUCAGCUAGGGAAAGUUAGGUCUGAAGCAUUUUUACAUAAACAGUCGGUCAUAAUAUAACUAAAACUUACAUACUUUUUCGAUUUAAUUGUUGUUUUGCAUCAGGCAAAGUUUUUCUUCCAGCAGUUGAUAUCAGGAGUUAGUUGCUGUCAUUUGAUGGUAUGUAAUGUGGCACUUUUCUGCUAAUGCGUUGUAUACUGUUAUUUAUUUCUCUUUUGAUAUUGGAAGUGUUGGUUGUAGUAAGGAAAUAAUUCGUUUCAAUAGUAUACGACUUCGGUUUAAUAGUAUAUGACUCAGUUUUUGAAUAGCACUCAGGUGGUAUUACGACUUAGUUUUCUAAAUGCCAAUAACAGCUCUAGAUUUUGUCUCAAGUCAAGUAUUCUUACUAAUGUAGCAUUUUGUUGGCACAUCAGUAUGUUUUGAUUGUUUCUCUGCUUGAAUAGAGAAUUGUUAACGUCCGGGUGGGAACGUGGGUCAGCUCAUGUUUUAGUCUCUCCGUCGUAAGCAAUUUUACAUGGUACUCUUCAAUGUAGCUAUAGGUAAGACAACACUCUCAGUAUUCCAUAAUCAAACCACCAUUUGAACUUUUUUUCAUCCACCAAGUUAAGCUUUUAUGUGCCAUCUUGAAUAGUUAUAAGUUAUUGCUUCAGAUUACUCCAGUGCGACAUUGUUGUUCUCUUCCUUACCUCUCAAGCUUGCUUAAUAUACCAAUUCUUAUUACUGUUGUAUUGUUAAGAAAUACUCAAUUGCGGAUUCAGUUCAUCGUUUUGAAUCGGAUAAAAAUUAACCACUCAGUGGUUAAUUAUCUAAAUGGGCGGUAGGUCUCGGGUUCGAGACUUGUGAGCAGUCUCUCCAUAAAUGGGGGUAAGGCUAGCCGACAUUCACCUCUCCCAGACCCUGCGUAAAGCGGGAGCCUUGUGCACUGGGUACGACCUUUUUAGUGGUUAAUUAUCUAAAUCCUAUAAAUUCGGAUAAAAAUUAAAGCAACUACAGAACAAAAACCUCAAGAAAUCAACGCAAAUUUACCUGUAUUUGAUCAUUUUUGGGCAAAUCAACACAUCGCCGUCGCAAAACUCAGUUCCUUCGCAUCCUUCAAUUACUGUCAACGUCGUCUAUCAAAUACCAAGAAAAAAUGUGAGUAAUGGAGUCAACUCAGCUCAACACCAGAACUCAGUAGCUCCAGGAAAUAAGAAUGGUAAGAAAAAGCAAUCAGAAACGUCGACGAAUUGAGCUGGAAAAUGGACCUUAAUGGUGAAGUCGUUCUCGCGAGCUUUGAGAGCGGAUGCGAAGAACUUAGGGAGUGGAUCGGACUCAGGGCCUUCGAUGCGCCACGGCCAGGCCUCCAGGGUCUUGUAGCAAAGGAAAACGUGGUGAUAGCUCAACAGUGUAUCGUCGUCAGUGUCUUCAUCAGACUCAUAUGACUUGGUCUUAUAGUUGUCCCAAAUAGUAAGAGCAUCAGACAAAUCCCAUUUUACAAUAUCCACUCCUGUUUUGUUCAGCUUAAUUAUAUUAUCUCCUCCAUAAAAUCUUGCUUUUACAAGAACUAUGUCGCCACCUUUCAAAUUGAGCUUCUUGUUUGAAAGAUUUCCCAACCAAAGAUAAUAUUCAUGGGAAGCAGUUAUGGCGGCCUUAAUUGUCCAGAUGCUAAAAUGAGUUCGUUGGGUACGAUUAACAACAUCAAUGCAUAGAUCCCCAGUAGAGUUGGAGUUGUCUGAAGAAUAAAUGAUGCCCAAAGCCAACCCUCCUAUAUAAUCAAUACUUGGCGGCACUUCAAAUUUGACAGUUUUAUCCUCUCCCGCGACAUAGGCUAACCAGUUAGGAAUAUCAUUUCCAGAGAGAAAAAUUCCACCAAAUGCAUUUUUCUACAACAUGGGGUGCAAAGUCAGUAUAAGCAACAAUACAAAAAGCAGAGAGAGAGAGAGAGAGUACCAUACCGUUCGGAGGUUCUCCUUAAAAGUAUCAGUGAGACUGGUACACCCUUCCAUUUUAAUGUAAAUUAUCGAACCCAUGUAGUCCAACGAGUUCUUAAAUUUUGGAAUAUCUUGAGUUUGCGGCAGUCUUUCAGUAACAAUAUCCUCAUUUUCGACAUCUCUGAAAUGUCGGACAUUAUUUCCAGUGCAGUGCAGUAAUUCGCUUGCAGUAAAAGCAAACUGUUCGGCAAAUCUGGGAUUUCCUGAAGGUUUGUGCAAUGAUCGAGAAUUAAUACCAGAAGCUGAGAAAGGCCACUGAGAAUGGGUAGCCUAUUAAAACCAUUCCCACCUAGACCUAAAAAUGUUAAAGAAGAUAGACUCCCAAUUAUUUCGAGAACGGCACCAUCUGUUAUAUUGCAGUCACUGAGAUCUAAUACGUCAAUCAUCUUCAGUUGUGCUAAAAAAUGGUAACCCCCACACAAACCCUUACAGCCACUGAGCUCCAAUUUAUUGAGAUGUGGGAGUUUUGAAAAGUCUGGUAAUUCAGUCAGGUGAUGACAGUCGUUAAGAAGGAGAUACUUCAACUUCUUAGGCAACUGUUACUCAAAAAGAGAAAACAAUAAUAAAAAUUCAAAUAAAUAAAAGAGAGAAUGCAUGAUGAUGACUGAUGUUGAUAUUUACAAGGACAUUGAUAAUUAUAUCGUACCAGGUCCGAAUCCUCCCAAACUCGUACGAUCUUGCUGUUGCUCAGGUUUAAAUAAACUAGGUUUCGUUGAUCAAAAUCUGCUGGUAUGGCUUCAAGAGGAAAUCCAAUCCAAUCCAACGCUCUUAACUCCUUGGAAAGAUGUUUGUAGCUUCCAGUCAGCUUUACAUUAGCCAGGUCGAGAAAUUUCAGACGCCACAUCUUCUUAAACGCUUUCGUACUGAAGCUUUGCUCGUCAUCAGAAUGUUCUGGCAAAAAUAAGUGUAGUCCUUCAACUGCUUCUGUUCCCUGUUAGAGAUCCAAAAUAAAAAAGGAUAAUAUUCACACGAAGCAUAGCUGUGAAUUGGAUGAAUGAACUACUAGAAAGGUAGGGCAUACAACAUAAUUAUGUAUUCUCUCUUUCAAUUUACAAUGGAUGAAAGCCUUUUUUCUUAAAAUACACUAUGUACAACAUACAUUAUAUAUAUGCGGAUAUGCGUAUAUACUUCUCUUUAUUUACAUGUACUUAACAUAACAUCUUUUCAUUGCAAAAGUACUUACAGAUUCGUUCCUUAGCACGCUUUUUGCAUCUUCACUAUGCCACAAAUGACUACGUUUUCCCAAUUUCACAGGAGAUUCUGCCCGCACAAUUUCUCUUCCCAUAUCUCGAAUCAAAUCAUGCAUCCUCAAUCUUUUCCUUUCAUCAAUAUAUAGGAGACAUCGAUCGCAGAGUGUGGUAAUUUCUGCUUCUACAGAAAAACGACUACAACCAUCCAAUACUGGAGUGGCCACACUUAUAUGCACUCCAAUAAAGAAAUUAGAUAUGUCUAGGAACACACCCUUCUCAUGAUCAUCACGUAGUCCAUCGUAGCUUAAUUUAAGCGUUUCAUGAAUUUUUCCGUCUGGAAUAUUUCUCAAUUUAUCCAAUGUACUUUCCCAUAUGGUUUUACUCUUUUUCUUAGCCAACAAACGACCAACAACUUUCAGAGCUAGGGGCAAUCCUCCACAAUAAUCAACAAUAUCUCUUGCCAAUUCAAUAUAUUCUUUAUCGGGAUAAUCAUUUCCAAAGGCAUGCCAACUAAGGAGCUCAAAAGCUUCUUUCUCUGUCAUUGCUUGUGCCUUAUAUUUUUUAUCCACCUUUUGUAUAUUCAGCACAUGUUCAUCUCUUGUUGUUAUAAUAAUUCUACUCCCUGGACCAAACGAUUCAUGUUCUAUUGCCAAUUCAUCUAAUUGGUCUGCAUCAUCUAUGUCAUCAACCACGACAAGUACCUUCAUGCUUCCAAGUCUUUUCUUGAUCUCUUUGGUCCCUUCGGCAACACUGCUUACCUUAAUGUCAGGCUGUUUUAAAAUAUCUCGAAGAAGUUGUUCUUGCAAACUAACCAUCGCUUUCUUUUUACUCCUCACAUCUUCAAGGUAACAUUGACGACUAAAACUAUGCUGAUAAUUGCUACAAACGGCUCUGGCAAGCAUUGUUUUACCUAUACCGCCCAUACCACAAAUUCCAAUUAUUCGAACAUCAGGUGAACCUCCAACGUCUAAGUAUUUAGUACAAAAUUCUUGCAAGCGAAAAGCCAUUCCAACUAAGUGCUUGGCUUCUUUAAAGUCUGUGGUUUUCAGUAGUCCUUUGACGUCCCCAACAAUUUUCUCGAUAAACACCCCUUCACACCUACGAGUAGAAAUUCCAAAUUACGAGAGCCAUACUAAAUGCCUUAUUCAUAAUGACUAGAUAUUUACAUAUUGAAACAUAUUUGAAUAAACUGGAUUAAUUGAGCUCAAUUCAACCACGUAUCCAAUCUUUGAUUAUAAUGUGAAUACAUUAGAUCAUUGGUGAUUUGACUAUUAUGCAAUUGUAGCUUUCAGUAAUAUAAUUAAGAAUCCAUUACAAUUGGUAUUUUAAAUUGAUAAAGUGUGGAGCAUUUGUCCUUCACACACCCAUAAAAAACAAAGCACGUACCCUGCGCUUCACUUCCUUAAUUUCCACGGAAAUUAUUAUGCAAAUGCUCUACCUUUUAUAAAAUUCAUAUACCAAUUGUAAUAAAUUUUUAUGUAGGGACCAAAAUUACAGUUCUAUUAUAGUUCAGAGAUCAACGAUCCAAUUUUUCUUAUGACAUAUAAAAUCAGAUUCAAUGCCUUAAUUAUAAUAUCUUAAUUUUGGUUGAUUAGUGAAAUAUGGUGAUAUGAAAUUUGAAGUAAACAAAAAAGUAUACCCGUCGGCCGUGGUUUUGAGGUUCCAGCCGGCCAAAUCUGCAGAAGCCUUAAGAUCCUCUCUCCACUGCUUGACCUCAUUUGGAUCUUCAUCCUUUUCAUGCUUCUGAAAUGCUUCCCCAAAACUAUCUUUCUGUUUCCUGACUUGAGAAGGGUCAACGUCGUAGAAUAUUGGACACACUAUCUUCCCCUCUUGAUCUUUUAGGCACCUCAUGAUCUUCGACAGCUCCCUCAGGCACCACCGGGACUCCGCGUACCUCUUCGAGAAGACGAUGACAGCGAUCCUCGACCCUUCGAUUUCUUGGUCAAGUUCACUCUGUAUGUCUUCCCCCCUUCUGAGCUGUUUGUCUAUAAACGUGUUAAUUCCGGCAUUGCGUAACGCAAUGAAGAGGUGGUCUGUGAAGGUGUUGCGGGUAUCUUCGCCUCUAAAGCUCAGGAACACCUCGUACUUCCAGCGGUUUGAGCUCUGCGAGGAAGACGAAGAGGCGGCAGAGCCAGCUCCUUGGGCGGAGCUGCUGGUAUCCAUUGCAGACCGUAGAAGUGCAGCUUGGCUUUCAAAUAACCAAAGUCAAGUCUUUACCCAGUGUCGGUGGCCGUUUUAGAUAUUUUGCAUGGGCCAAUAAUGUCACUGCUGUGUCGAUAACGCGCUCCCACAGUUUAAUUUGUAUAAAUGCUUUACGAUGCAAUUUCCUUUCUUUUGUAGUCUUUUGAGAAUCUGCCGCCCAACUUUGACCGGUUGACGAUCUUAUUGUAUUAUAAGAUGUGCAUUUUGAUUAUCAUCAUUUAAUGUGAUGUAUGUUCAUCAAAUUAUUUAUUAUUAUUAGAUGAGUUUAAAUUUUAAGAUUUGUACUUAUGCACUACCCACCCGAAUCUCGAAAUUCAAACACAUUUAACGAUGAUAAAUAGAAUGAUAAACAUAUAUCAUACUAAAUAAUGGUGAGCAAAAAUGCUCCCGUAUUUUAAGGGUGGUGCGCAGCACGUUCCAACUGUUGGAGUCAGUAGUAUCAACGGGAAGAGACCUCAUCUCCAACAACCCAUCUUAACAAAAAAUGCAGAAAAUUAAACUCCAACAGGCUAACUAAAUGACUCUUUAUUUUGUGAACGGUAACUAACUAAAUUUAACCAGGAGACAUUCGUAGCUUACGUCAAAAGGAUCAAUGUUGUAAUAUAAGUAAUUUACUUGCUCAAAAUAAGGAUCAAUUUAGCUACGAAAGCAGGGAGAUGAUCGAGCUCACGAUAGCAGAUUUUUUUAUCCUAUCGUCUUGCAAGGGAAACAAGCUACCAAUUGCUUGCAUCAUCUGAAGCCAUCCAACUAAUGGUUGAAUUUCUCAGUCAAGACUAUGCUCAAGGCAUCAGUGUGCAGGCCAGACUCGACAGCAUAGCCACACUACACAACCUCUCGCGCUGCCAUCAGAUUAUUCCGUCUCUGGUCUCUUCGGGCGUAGUGUUUUCAAUGCUAAAACUGCGGCAUGGAAGCUGUUUCUUUUUGAGACUGUUCCAAUUAUGGUUCGAGAAACAAGCAGUCAAGGAAUAAGUUGAUGGGGUGAGUACAACGGCAUUGAGACUGUUCCAAUUAUGCAGGAAGUUGAUGCAGAAGGAGAAAAAGUUGACGGGGUAAGUACAACGGCAUUGAGACUGGUAGAGGAGAAGCUUGCAAAGAUCAGCAGUGGACGAUAAUCUCGACCAAACUCUGAGCUUUGCCAAGCAGAUUAAGAUGUUGGAACAGCCGUUCAUCUUGUUUAUUGAACAAACGAGGAGGACAACAAUGCAGAAUCAACGCUUGAAUUCAAAGUCCCAACAGGCAAAUCGAAAAUAAUCACAAGAGCUUAGAAAAUACCACACCAACAUUUGGCAAGCAGUCUCACAACAAAUCCCACUAUCAAGAUAAAACCAUUCAACGGUGUGUUGGAACAACAGAUUUCAGUUGUGUAAGCAAUCAACAUAAAGGAACAGUGAAUACUUUUGUAACUAUAUAUGGAUUAGCUUCGGGAAUUCAUCAAACCCUCCGAAAAAGAACGUAUAGUGUAGCUACCAUAUUCUCCUUUCAUAUAAGAGCUUAUUUAAUUGACGUUAUAACACCUUUCUACAAAGAAAAAAAAGAAGAAAAUAGGGCCUCUACACCCAUGGCAAAACCCGACAUGGAUUAGAGUACGUUUCAGCCUGACCUUCUGUAAAAGCUAUAGGCCACAGCCACUGUUGCCACAGCUCCAACCACGGCAGCAGCUGCGAGAACAUCGCUUUGCUCCCAGUUCCCGAUCAAGCUUGACAGCUUCCCUAAGGCAUCCUUCCUGGCACACGACUCUCUGGUUUCUUUCACCUUCUUUUCCUCACUUCCAUUGUUCUGCUCUAAACUUACUUCUUUGCAGCAUGUAAAUCCAUUACUAUUAGCACCCUGGCAACAGCCUGAAAAGUUCUCAUUAUUCUGAAUCUGAUUGCCGUUUUCUUAGGGCUUCUCCUCCAUUUUCUUACUUUCUCCUCCAUUUGGAAGCUUCUGGUCAUUAAUUUUUUCAGCUUCAUCCGAAGAUGCUCCCAUUUGGCCCCUGUAAGGAAUGAAAUUGAAUUUCGAGUUCAGCCAUUUAAAGAUUCAACUCUAUGUUUCAUCAAUAGCAAUCGAGUAAGGACAUGUAUGAUCAAGCUUAAUAAACAAUUUGACAACAGUACCUACUUGACCCCGUCCCCCCUUCCCCAAAACCACCUUUGGUUUGGUUCUAUAAAAAAAAAAAAAUUGUUUGAUUUGGUUCACACGAGUUGUUUGAUUUGGUUCCUCAAUGUUAAUGUAACUCCAUAUCAAUAAUCUAUCUUCCAACACUAUAAGUAAUCAGCAAUAGGAAAAUAUGACAACAGAAGCUUCAGUUCCAGUGAACUUUUCAUCAGCAGACGGUUGGCAAAACCGAAAACACACAAUCCUCCAAAGUCGUUCUAUGAUCUCUCCCUUCCCAAUAUGCUGAUCAAGCAAUUCCGGCACAUCCUUAGGAGUGACGUAGCCAUACCUGCAAUUAUUAAUACCAUAAUAUUCAAAUUCCUUCAUCUAUCCCAAUACAAUAAAUUUUACAUUGUUAUGAUCCGGAUAUUACCAAUGGCCUGUUAUGCUUCCAUCUGAACCUGGGCUGUAGACAAUCAAGUUUCCAGCACACUUGUGGUCUCCAAUGUGAGAGCAAGCAGUAACAAAUACCUGAUUUGUCAAUCCUCGCAGCUCAGCCUCCUCUUUGAACUUAUCAAUGAGAAUAGGUCCACAAACUCCACAUUUUUAUCUCGACUUCCAUGUAGACCUGUAAACGGGUUAGGUUUAUUGGGUUUGGGUCGGGUUGAACCCGACCCGUUAAGUUAACGGGUCACCCGAACCCGACCCGUUAAGCUAACGGGUCACCCGAACCCGACCCGUUAAGCUAACGGGUCACCCGUUUCACCCGUUAACACCCGUUAACAAUUAUUAUUAUUUUUUUUUUGCAUAAAGUUUAUUUUUUGUUAUUAAAACUUUACUAAAAUUACUAAAAUAUCCUCAACUAACGGGUGCUAACGGGUGUUAACGGGUCUAACGGGUUGACCCAAAGUGACCCGUUAUUUAACGGGUGUUAACGGGUUCACCCGUUAGCGACCCGACCCGUUAAGCAUCCACCCAAAUACAAAUAUUAACGGGUUGGGUCGGGUUAACGGGUUGGGUCCAAAAUGCCAGGCCUACUUCCAUGUGCACAUACAAAUACAUGGGAGCCAGUCAACGCCUCUUGCACUACGGAAGCCCAUGGUUUGUCGUUCACAAGGACAUCAAUUGGUUAGAAACCAAGCCAUGUUACCGGCACACAGCCUCAGAGUAAACAAGGAAAAUUUCAAGGUAUCAACACUAAAACUAGUCCAAAACACACUAAAUUAGCUCAAUUCGAGACUUCGUAAAUUGAAAUGGGAAAAUCAUAAACUCUAUCUCUAGUUAGCAAUCAUCGAAAUCUCCUAGUCAAAUAAAGCAAAUCUGAAGAAUCAAAACACCACUCACUGGUUAAUUAUCUAAAUCCUAUAAAUUUCGGUUAAAAUUAAGCAACUACAGAACAAAAACAUCUUUACCUGUAUUUGAUCAUUUGUGGGAAAAUCAACACUUCGCCGUCGGAAAACUCAGUUCCUUCGCGUCCUUUAAUUACUGUCGGGUCUAUCAAAAACCAAGAAAAAAGUGAGUAAUGGAGUCAACUCAGCUCAACACCAGAACUCAGUAGCUCCAGUAAAUAAGAAACGGCAAGAAAAGCGAAACGCCGACGAGUUGAACUGCAAAACGGACCUUAACGGCGAUGUCGUUCUUGCGAGCUUUGAGAGCGGAGGCGAAGAACUUAGGGAGCAGAACGGACUCAGAGCCUUCGACGCACGACGGCCAGGCCUCGGGGGUCUUGUAGCAGAGUAAGACGUGGCGGUCGUACGCGUUGACAGUGCCAGCAAGUUUUUCCUUGCACAUCUCCAAUCUCUUGAAACCGAACCUCUCGUCUUCGGUGGCUGGAACGGCGACGUCGAGGUCAUCGGAGACCAUUGCUAGGGCUCGGAGAGGAGGGAGGGGUUUACCAGGGGUUGAAGUUGAAAACGAUGAGAGGGAAAAGAUGAGAGAGAAAGAGCGUUGUUGUUUGGUUGUUGUGUUGAUAUAACGAGGAGGCUGAGAAGGGAACCGCGGUGUCGGUGUGGGUGUAGGUGCGUGCGCAACACAUACGGCGCACGAUGGGGUUUCUGAAGAUCGGAGUCGGGACGCGUGGGAUUGGGCACGUGGGGUUUGAUUUGUAGUUCAUGUAUAUACCUCUUUUUUGAGAAUAAAGAUUUUUUUUGGAUCCUCUUUGUAGGGAUUUUAUAGUUUGUGUAUCGUAUUCAUUCAUUGUAAAUCAGACGGUUAGAAAUUACUUUAAAUCUAUAAAUUUAAAAUUAAACACAAAUAAUAUUUAAAGAAAAUUGACUGCAUAAUUAAUACGAUAAACGAACACAAUUAAAAAAUUCUCAGAAUCCUCGUAAAAAGAAUCCGAACUCUUUUGAUGUCUCCGAUCAUAUCGGACGGAAGCUAAAAGAUAAUUCGUGCACGCAAAAAUGGAAGGUCCUACAAACGGAGGAGGACCACUCUCUAUUCCCGGGAAGUGGGGUACAAGCGCGUAUGUAUAUAUCACCCAAUGGGGCACCAAUAUGUUGUACUAGCAGGGAACUGAAUGAGGUGAAAUUGGAAAAUCCCUUAAACUUGGUGAUGUGGCGACCUGUGAUUCGGCCUUCACAUUCUGUCAAGAAACAGGCCGGUCACUUUGUUGAUUAAGUCAAGCAGUCAGCCUUAGCCCGACGUGGACAAGUUCUGGAAGUCUUGUUUCGCUCAUUUAUUUAUUUCUUGUCAAUGACGUGUAAUAUUUGAUUUCAUUUGUUUUUUUGGUGGACUAAUAUUAAAUAUACUUUUGUCAAUGAAUUAAUGAUACAAUUUAGAACGGUGAUAUUCACACAUUUUGCACAUAUUCUUCAAUUUGAUAGUUGAAAAUUGAGAAGAAUGUGUGUGAAAUGUAAAAAGAACGUGUAAAUAGCAUAUCCCUACAAUUUAAUAUAAAGGAAUGUAGAUUUCAAACAACGAUUGUUUUUUAAGGUAACGCUUUUGUUCUUGAUUUUUCAUGUUUGAGCUUGAAAUGAACCGCUUUCAUAAUCUAUUGUAUUACUUUGUGUUCAGUUGAAUAAAGUAUCUUUUUCCAACGAAAAAUAAACGGAAUGGCAUUUAAAUAAGGAGUGUAGAGAGUGUAUGCGUAAGGAAAGAGGCAUGCAAAAUUCAUUUCAGCUCAUACAUCUUUGUGUUGCUUAUGUUGGUCUUUCAAUUAAUUAUGUUGAGAGUGAGGAAAUAAAUUGUACUUAGCAGUGUCAAAUUACAACCCUAAUCGAAAAACGUCUUGUUCGCCGGACCUACUCGACUGCUCCGAACAAUGUAAGGCCGAAAGGCGGACGAUACAUAAUCGGGUUUUUUCGAAGUAGGCAUUCAUAAACAUCAAGGAAGCAUACUUGGUAGAAAAUGAAAGAUCCUCAACUUCAUUCCUCAAAUUUUCAAUGCAAUUGAAUUUCCUCAAAUCUAAGGAACUACCAGAUUGUAAUGCUUGCAAUGGAAGGGAACCAUUGUGUACAUGUAGCAUCCACAUGAAUCAGUUGGAGGCUUGUUGGAGUUUUUAACGGAAUGACCAAAAUGAUGGAUGGUAGACAAUCUCAAGGACCACUUUUGAUUAUUUACCCUUCUAUUGAAUUUGCAAAGGGGAAGAAGUUUUAAAUCCAUUACAAAAGAGAUAAUUGCAGCAUGAUUGAUAACAUGCUCAUCACGUGAUUGGGUUCCUAAAAUUCCCAGGUUGUUGCAGGCUUCCUCGUCCUUGUAGAAUAUUUUGUUCAACAAUUCCAGAGAAAAACAAUUAUUCGAUUCGUUUCAGGUAACAGAUGAGUAGCUUAAUUCAAAACUUGUUUUCGUUCUAGAAGUUUAGAUUAUACAAGUGAAUGGUCAAUAUGAUAUACUCGAUAAAAUUACAUGUCUCCUUUUAAAUUUAAAGUUCAUUAUUUUGAAGUGAUUUUUGGAAUUUAAUUUUUCAAUUUAUUUGAUUGAGAGGUGAGGAAUUGGAGAUAAUUAAUUAUGUUUGGGGGUUAACUGGUAUCCUCUAGAAUAUGUUUUUUUUUUUAAUGAGGAAUCCUCUAGAAAAUGUUUAACUUUAUUUUAAAUUUUCAUGUGGUUUUGGCUUCAAUGAGGCAAUGGCAUAUGUGUAAAUAAACAAAAGUUUAAUUCUAACCUAAGGGGGCUGACGGAAGUCAGGGGCAUGGAUGGAAAAGGAGUUUCUUACUUUGCACGUGGGGCUUUAUUGUUUGGGUUAUUCCUCCUAGCUUUUGUCAUUUUCAUUAAAAUUUAAAUCUUUUUAUUAAGUAAAAUUAUUAAAUAGUUUUUUUAUUAAGAAAUUGUUAUUAGGAUUCUAAAAAUCUCAUUUAGCAUUCUAAAUUUUUUAUAAUUAGAAAAAAAAAUACACUUAUAAGAAGUGUAAAUGAGAUUUUUGAAAUGCUAAUAACAAUUCGAUUUUAUUAAUAAAAAGUUUGAAGAAGGCCUUUUCAUUAAAAUUCCCCCAAAAAAAAAGGAGUAUGCUUCUUCCUAAAACGCUUCUUUAGGCCAUAUAAACAAACAGUGAGACGUAAAAACAUGCCCCAACCUCAAAUAUUUCUCUCACAAACAAGGAGAGAAUUUUCAGUGUGACCGGUACACAAGGUGGUACACCACGUAUCACUAAACAAAUAAUAGGAUAUGUGUGCUAAAAAGUUAAUAACUUAAAAAAUAAAAUUUCCCACUAUUCUUAUUAAAACACGUGAUGUAUCACUUAUAUUCCCGUCACAACUAAAAAUUUCCCUACAAACAGAGAGACGUAAAAACAUGCUGCCAUGGGCUUCAGAGAGGAAAAAAGAUCAGGAAAAAAAAUGACCUGAUUGGGUAAGACUUGUACACAAGUUUGUAGUAAAUGUCUACGUACCUUCCUUACAAGUCUGUCUCUUUACUGUGCUUUCCUUCAAUUCACUGUUGUUUCUUCAUCGUCAAAGCUUUCAAUAUUAAGAUCAAACCUUAAUGUUUUGCAGACCUCAUCAGAUGAGUGAUCUCUUAACUCUGUACCAUUGUGGGUGUCGUCAUCAAACUCAUAUGGUAUAGUCUAAUAGUCUGCCUCAUCAGUAUCAUCAUCUCACUCUAAUGGUACACGCUCAUAGUUCACAUUUUUUAUUUCUGAAGGUAAACAAUGUUCCCAUCCUACAAAAUUCACUCCUGUUUUCUUCACCUUACGAACCUUGUCCCCCCUUUUCAGAUUGAGCUUCCUGUUUGAAAGACUUCCCAGCCAAAGAUAAUCUUCAUGGGAAUCAGUUAUGGUGGCAUCCAUUCACCAGAUGGAAAAAUAAGUUCUCUGGGUAACCACAUCGAGGCAUAGAGACCCACUACACUGGGAUGGUCCGAAGAAUAAACGAUGCACACAGCCAACCCUCCUAUAUAAUCAAAACUUGGCGGCACUUCAAAUUUGACAUUUUCUUCCUCUCUCACGACAUAGGUUAACGAUUAAGGAAUAACAUUUCAAGAGCGACAAAUUUCACCAAAUACAUCCCCCACCUUCCAUUUCUACAACACGGCGUGCAAAGUUUGUAUAAGCAAACAAUACGAGAAGGGCAGAGCGAGAGAGAGAGAGAGAGAGAGAGAGAGAGAGAGAGAGAGAGAGAGAGAGAGUAUCAUGCAACAAAACAUAAAAACUCAUCUGGGAGAAUUAUGACUCUUGUGAAUUGGUAGUAUUAUCGAUGCAUAUGUUAUAUGAUCUUCAAACUCGCUAUAGCGUGACUUUUUUUUUUUGUAUCUUUUUCAUCAACUUCAUUUGUUUUUUUUUUUUUUCAAGUAGAGCUGAUAAACUUAAAAUUUAUCCACAACCUAAAAAAUGGAAGAAAAAAAAAGAGGUGGAUGUACAAAAUCCUUGCUAUGCCCUCUAUAUUCAACAGAACAAUAAAUUGAGUUAACGGAUAUAAUUGAAGUACCAUAUUUGAUUGUGUUUGAGAACCAUAAUAAGGAAAAAAAAAAACUACUCUAGAAUGAAGGUAAAACUCGUGACAACAAUGGUGUACAUCUAAAAAAUAGUUCAAGCAGAUUAAGAUGUUAGCGCAUAGACAAAUAUCUCGUUUAUUGAACAAACGAUGAGGAUAACAAUGCCGUUUUCUCUCUUUCGAAAUUCAUAAACAACAAAAUUGAGAUUUGUUACACAAAAAUUACCAUAAAUUUUGACAGAAUUGGCGGUUGAAAUAUAAGUCCAGCAUCCAAAUCGAAAACAAUCAUAGGAGCUUAGAAAAUACCACAUCAACCUUUAGCAAGUAGUCUCAUAAGAAAUCCCAAUCAAGAUAAAACCAUUCAACAGUUUAUUAGACUUCUCCUUUCAUAUAAGAGCAUGGUUCGGAGGAUAAUUUAAUUGACCUCAUAACAUCUUUCUACAAAGAAAAAAUGAAAAAGAAAAUAGGGCCUCGACACCUGUGGCAAAACCCGACAUGGAUUAGAGUACUUUUCUGCCUAACCUUCUAUAAAAGCAAUAGGCCACAACUACUAUUGCCACUGCUCCAAUCAAGCUUGACAGCUUCCGUAAGGCAUCCUUCCUGGCACACGACUCCCUGGUUUCUUUCGGCUUUUUUUCCUCACUUCCACCGUUCUCCUCCAAACUUACUUCUUCGCAACAUGUAAAUCCAUCACUAUUAGCACCCUGGCAACAACCUGAAAAGUUCUCAUUAUUCUCAAUUUGAUUGCCCUUUUCUUGGUGAAUCUGAUUGCCAUUUUCUUGUGGCUUCUCCUCAAUUUUCUUAUUUUCUUCUCCAUUUGGAAGCUCCCGGUCAUUGAUUUCUUCAGCUUCAUCAGAAGAUGCUCCCAUUUGGCCCCUGUAACAAAUGAAAUUGAAUUUCGUGUUCAACUAUUUAAAGAUUCAACUCUAAGUUUCGUCAAUAUCAAUUGAGUAAGAACAUGUAUGAUCAAGCUUAAUAAACAAAUCACAACCACAUUACAAAUAAAAACAUAUACAGGGUAAUGCAGUUAUAUCCAAUUCUUUUGUGCUUUCUCCACAAAAGUUCCUCCAUGUUAAUGUAACUCUAUAUCAAUUAAUCUAUCAUACAAGACUAGACAUAAUCAGCAAUUGAAAACUACGACAACACAAGCUUCCGUCCAGUGAAAAUUUCAUCCAAAGAUAGGCAAAACCAAAAACGUACAAACCUCCACAGUCGUUUUAUAAUCUUUCCCUUCCCAAUAUGCUCAUCAAGCAAUUCCGGCACAUCAUCAGGAGUGACGUCGCCAUACCUGCAAUUAAUAAUACAUUUUAUUCAAAUUCCAUUGAUCCCAAUACAACAAAAUUUUAAAUUGUUAUGAUCCGAAUAUUACCAAUGGCCUGUUAUGCUUCCAUCUGAACCUGAGCUAUAGAUAAUCAUGUUUCCAUUGUGGCCUCCAGUGUGAAAGCAAGCAGCAACAAAUACCUGAUUCGUCAAUCCUCGCAGCUCAACCUCCUCUUUGAACUUAUAAAUGAGAACACGUGCACUAUCAUGAUUCCAUUCCUCUCGACUACCUUGUGCACAUACAAAUACAUGGGAGCCAGUCAACGGCUCUUGCACUCUGGAAGCCCAUGGCUUGUCAUUCACAAGGACAUCAUCAACAAAGUUGUCCACAUCCGACUCUUUCAAACCCCUUUGAUCAAGAAACAAAAACAAUCCCAAAAUCACAAAAAGGAAUUUACAGGAAACAAUAACCUAACACUCUUUAAUUCCUUAUAAGGCAAGGAAUUAGUCUUAAAUUGAGUCAUUAAAUUAAAUUUCUAGUACUAAUUUCAGAAGAUAACACAUAUCUAAUUAUCUACUUAGUUCAUGACAUUUAGCACAAUUUCGUAAUCAAAAGAGAAGUCGAAACAGAAAUUACUUCAGUCAAAACUAGGAAAAUAAAUUGCACUGCUCAUCUUGGUUAUGGAAUGGGCCCUUGAUUAUGAAUUAAUUACGGUUUGCCAUUGUGUGCGCUAGUGUGGGCCGUGCUUAACAACUGGGUUGGGCUGCUGCAUUUGGGCACAGGGUGCAGCUCUCAAGCGUUUUGGGCUGGGUUUCACCGAAAGAUCCAAUAACUAUUUUGCCCCCUUCAGUCCUAAUCCAACGGCCACCAUUUUGGGCGUUUGUGUUCUGCAAUUCAGUGGUUGGGGGUUGGGGGUUGUGGUGGGGGGGGGGCGUCAGGAUCUCUUCAAGGAGAUCGUGCAGAGAGGCAGCGAGAUGUUUCGGUUCUGUCUUCUUCGACUCUUAUAUCGUCCCUUUUUUCUGAAUUUUCUUUAUUUCUUAUCCUUUAAACUUUGUAUUUUUUUUUUUGGUGAUGCAGAUAGAUGAACAUGUUCAAAGGGAAAUCAUGAACCACAGAUCACUGCAUCCGAAUGGACCGAAUAUCGUUUGAUUCGAAGAGGUCAGUGAUCAUAAACUAUUUUAUAAACUAUUUUCAUUUUGUUUUUUAAGAAUGAAUUCGGCAAGUUCUGUUUGAAUUUUGUAUAAGUAUCUGCUGAUGGUGGGUGGAUGAAGACAGAACAUGCUAAAUUUGGCCUUUGGUGUGCUCAAACUGGUACGGGGGAUGGUUAAAACUUUGAGCCUGGGAUGCAGUAGGACUAACAGAAAUCCACCACUUGCAGAAUUGUUGUCAAAAUAACUCUGCUAAAAAUAUGAGCUAUACUUCUUGCACUUUGUUUUUACUGUGAAGUGGAAAUAGUCUUUAGAGUGGCUUAUUUGUGAUAAUUGAUAAAGAGGUUUGUGUUUAAGACUUGAGAGUAGUGCGGUGUCUUUCUCGCUGGUUCUGCUCACACCACCUCAUCUAGCCAUUGUGAUGGAGUACACGGCUGGGUGAGAACUCUUCGAGAGAGUAUGCAGUGCUGGCAGAUUUAGUGAGGAUGAGAUAAAGUAGUUUCAAAUGCACAGAAAAUUUCAUUGGAAUUGAUUUUAGUGUAGAGUCUCAAAUAUGGGAUCUCUAAAUGUCCCCUGAAAUGGAAUCCAUCUCGAUUUUUGCUUAGUUUCAGAUAGGGAAGGUUAUGUCUGAAGCAUUUUUACAUAAACAAUCAGUCAUAAUAUAACAAAAACGAACUUACUUUUUCGAUAUAAUUGUUGUUUUGCAUCAGGCAAGGUUUUUUCCUCCAGCAAUUGAUAUCAGGAAUUAGUUGCUGGCUUUUGAUGGUAUGUAAUGUGGCACUUUUCUGCUAAUCGUAUACUGUUAUUUCUCUUUUGAUAUUGGAAGUGUUGGUUGUAGUAAGGAAAUAAUUCGUUUCAAUAGUUUACGACUUAGUUUUAAUAGUAUAUGACUCAGUUUUUGAAUAGCACUCGGGUGGUUUUUGAAUAACAGUAUUACGACUUAGUUUUCUAAAUGCCAAUAACAGCUCUAGAUUUUGUCUCAAGUGGAGUAUUCUUACUAAUGUAGCAUUUUGUUGGCGCAUCAGUAUGUUUUGAUUGUUUCUCUGCUUGAACAGAGAAUUGUUAACGUCCAGGUGGGAACGUGGGUUGGCUCAUGUUUUAAUCUCUCCGUUGUAAGCAAUUUUACAUGGUAUUCUUCAAUGUAGCUAUAGGUAAGACAACAGUCUCAGUAUUCCAUAAUCUAACCACCAUUUGAACUUUUUUCAUCCACCAAGCUAAGCUUUUAUGUGCCAUCUUGAAUGGUUAUUAUAAGUUAUUGCUUCAGAUUACUCCAGUGCGACAUUAUUGUUCUCUUCCUUACCUCUCAAGCUUGCUUAAUGUCCUUAUUCUUAUUACUGUUGUAUUGUUAAGAAAUACUCAAAUGCGGUUUCAGUUCAUCAUUAUGAAUCAGAUUAAAAUUAACCACUCACUGGUUAAUUAUCUAAAUCCUAUAAAUUCAGAUUAAAAUUAAAGCAACUACAGAACAAAAACCUCAAGAAAUCAACACGAAUUUACCUGUAUUUGAUCAUUUGUGGGAAAAUCAACACAUCGCCAUUGGAAAACUCAGUUCCUUCGCGUCCUUCAAUUACUGUCAGCAACGUCUAUCAAAAACCAAGAAAAAAGUGAGUAACGGAGUCAAUUCAGCUCAACACCAUAACUUAGUAGCUCCAGGAACUAAGACACGGUAAGAAAAAAUAAUCGGAAAUGCUGACGAAUUGAGCUGGAAAAGGGACCUUAACGGUGAUGUCGUUCUUGCGAGCUUUGAGAGCGGAUGCAAAGAACUUAGGGAGUGGAUCGGACUCAGAGCCUUUGAUGCGCCAUGGCCAAGCCUCGGGGGUCUUGUAGCAGAGGAAAACUUGGCGAUUGCUCAACUGCGUAUCGUCCUUAGUGUCUUCAUCAGACUCAUAUGACAUAGUCUCAUAGUCGUACCAAUUAGUACGACCAUCAGACAAAUCCCAUUUUACAAUAUCCACUCCUGUUUUGUUCACCUUAAUAAUUGUAUUAUCUAGUCCAGAAAAUUCUGCUUUUACAAGAACCAUGUCACCGCUUUUCAGAUUGAGCUUCUUGUUUGAAAGAUUUCCCAACCAAAGAUAAUAUUCAUGGGAAGCAGUUACGGUGGCCUUCAUUGCCCAGACGCGAAAGUUAGUUCGCUGGGUACGAUUAACAACACCAAUGGUUAGAAUCCCAGUACAGUCAGAGUUGUCCGAAGAAUAAACGAUGCCCAAAGCCAACCCUCCUAUAUAAUCAAUACUUGGCGGCACUUCGAAUUUGACAGUUUCAUCCUCUCUUGCGACAUAGGCUAACCAGUUAGGAAUAUCAUUUCCAAAGAGAAAAAUUCCACCAAAUGCAUUUUUCUACACCAUGGGGUGCAAAGUUAGUAUAAGCAACAAUACGAGAGAGAGAGAGAGAGAGAGAGAGAGAAAGAGAGAGAGAGUACCGUUUUGGAGGUUCUCCUUAAAAGUAUCAGUGAGACUGGUACACCCUUCCAUGUGAAUUGAUUCCAUGUAGUCCAAUGAGUUCUCCAAGUUUGGAAUAUCUUUGAGUUUGCGGCAGUCUUUCAGUUCCAAUUUCCUCAUUUUCGACAUCUCUGAAAAGUCGGACGUUAUUUCCAGUGCAGUGCAGUAAUUCGCUUCCAGUAGAAGCAAACUGUUCGGCAAAUCUGGGAUUGCCUCAAGGUUUGUGCAAUGAUUUAGAUGUAAUUCCUGAAGCUGAGAAAGGCCAUUGAGAUUGGGCAGCCUAUUAAAACCAUUCCCAUAUAGAACUAAAUAUUUUAAAGAAGAUAGACUCCCAAUUAUUUCGAGAAGGGCACCAUCUGUUAUAUUGCAGUCGCUGAGACCUAAUGCCUCAAUCAUCUUCAGUUGUAGUAAAAAAUGGUAACCCCUACACAAACCCUUACAGCCACUGAGGUUCAAUUCCUCGAGAUGUGGGAGUUUUGAAAAGUCUAGUAAUUCAGUCAGGUUAUGGCAGUCUUUAAGAAUGAGACACUUCAACAUCUUAGGCAACUUCUUAGGCAACUGUUACUCAAAAAGUGAAAACAAUAAUAAAAAUAUAAAUAAAUAAAAGAGAGAAUGCAUGCCGAUGACCGAUGUUGAUAUUUACAAGGACAUUGAUAAUUAUAUCGUACCAGGUCUGAAUCAUCCCAAACUCGUACAAGCUUGCUAUUUCUCAGGUCAAUAAAAACUAGGUUUCGUUGAUCAAAAUCUGCUGGUAUGGCUUCAAGGGGAAAUCCAUCCCAAACCAACAAUCUUAACUCCUUGGAAAGAUGUUUGUAGCUUCCAGUCAGCUUUACAAUUUCCAGCCGGAUAAAUUUCAGACGCCGCAUCUUCUUAAACGCUUCUGUACUGAAGCUUUCCUCGUCAUCAGAAUCUUCUGGCAACCUUAAGUUUAGUCCUUCAACUGCUUCUGUUCCCUGUUAGAGAUAUAAAAAAAAAAAAUGAUAAUAUUCACACGAAGCAGAGCCGUGAAUUGGAUGAAUGAGCUACUAGAAUGGUAGGGCAUACAACAUAAUUAAUUAUGUAUUUUCUCUUUCAAUUUACAGUGGAUGAAAGCCUUUUCUUCUUUUUCUUCAAAUAUAGGCAUACAUUAUAUAUAUGCGGAUAUGUGUAUACACUUCUCUUUCUUUACAUGUACUUAACAUAACAUCUUUUUAUUGCAAAAGUACUUACUGAUUCGUUCAUGAGCACGUUUUUUGCAUCUUCACUAUGCCACAAUCGGCUACGUUUUCCCAAUUCCACAAGAGAUUCUGCCCGCACAAUUUCUCUUCCCAUAUCUCGAAUCAAAUCAUGCAUCCUCAAGUAUCCCUCUUCAUCAAUAUAUAAGAGACAUCGUUCGUAAAGUGUGAUAAUUUCUGCUUCUACAGAAAAACUACUACAACCAUCCAAUAUUGCCGUGACAAAAAUUUUACUCCAUCCAAUAAAGAAACAAGAUAUGUCAAGGAAUACACCCUUCACAUGAUCAUCACGUAGCCCAUCGUAACUUAAUUUAAGCGUUUCAUGAAUUUUUCCAUCUGGAAUAUUUCUCAAUUUAUCCAAUGUACUUUUCCAUAUGCUUUUACUCUUUUUUGUAGCCAACAACUUCAAGAGCUAGGGGCAAUCCUCCACAAUAAUCAAUAACAUCUCUUGCGAGCUCAAUAUAUUCUUUAUCUGGACAAUCAUUUCCAAAGGCAUGCCAACUAAGAAGCUUAAGAGCUUCGUCAUCAGUCAUUCCUUGUGCUUUAUAUCUUUUAUCCACCUUUUGUAUAUUCAGCACUUGUUCAUCUCUUGUCGUUAUAAUAACUCUGCUCCCUGGACCAAACGAGUCAUGUGCUAUUGCCAAUUUAUCUAAUUGGUCCGCAUCAUCUAUGUCAUCAACCACGACAAGUACCUUCAUGCUUCCAAGUCUUUUCUCUAUCUCCUUGGUUCCUUCGGCAACACUGCUUACCUUAAUGUCAAGCCGUUUCAAAAUAUCUCGAAGAAGUUGUUCUUGGAGACUAACCAUAUUUUUCUUGUUACUCCUCACCUCUUCAAGGUAACAUUGACUGCUGAAACUGUGACUAUAUUUGCUACAAAUCUCUUUGGCAAACGUUGUUUUACCUAUACCGCCUGUACCCCAAAUUCCAAUUAUUUGAACAUCAGGUGAACCUCCAACGUCUAAGUAUUUAGUGUUGAAUUCUUUCACGCGAAGAGCUAUUCCAACUGAGUGCUUGGCAUUUUUGAAGUCUCUGGGGGUCAAUCGUCCCUUGAUGUCCCCAAUAAUUUUCUCAAUAAACACUCCUUCGCGCCUACAAGUAGAAAUUCCAAAUUACAAGAGCCAUACUAAUGCCUUAUUCAUCAUGACUAUAUAUUUACAUAUUGAAACAGGUUUGAAUAAAUUGUGAUUUACUGAGCUCAAUUCAACAACGUAUUUAAUCUUCAAUUAUAAUGUGAAUAGAUUAGAUCAUUGGUCAUUGGACUAUUACACCAUUGUAGCUUUCAGUUAUAUAAUUAAGAAUCCAUUACAAUUGGUAUUUUAAUUUGAUAAAGUGUGGAGCAUUUGUUCUUCACACACCCAUAAAAAACGAAGCAUUGUACCCUGCAUUUCACUUCCUUAGUUUUGACGGCAAUUCAUAUGCAAAUGCUCUACCAUUUAUAAAAUUCAUAUACCAAUUCUAAUAAAUUUUUAUGCAGUGACCAAAAUUACAAUUCUAUCAUAGUUCAGGGACCAAUGAUCCAAUUUUUCUUCUAACAUAUAAAAUCAUAUUCAAUGCCUUAAUUAUAAUUUCUUAAUUUUGGUUAAUUAGUGAAAUAACUCCGCCUGUGUAAGUUUAUCUUACAUUGCCGGUCCCAAGCCCGGGUAAAGGAGGAGGGGGGAGGGCGUCAGGUAGUCGACAGUCGGCACUACACAGUUACGUCGAAUCCUUAUGAAAAUGAAUCCAUAACGAAAUCGCGCUAAAGCUAGGGCGUCACCCGUAAGUGGCGCGCUGUGUGGCCCGAGCACAGUGAUAAGUGAGCAAGGGUCGCUGUAUCUCCAUAGGCACCCGGAUGCAGUGUUAAAUGAGCAAGGGGGCCAUAGAAACUUCUUUUUGAACGACUCCACUCAAAGUUGUUUAGGAGCAUAUGCUCCUAUCAACUUUACACGGGACACACAAAAGAAGUACUUUGAUUCCAUUGGACGGGGGAGGGUGAAGAAGCUAGGACAGAAGGGUAGAGUUCAAGAGAGUAGAAUGCGUUUAGGAACGUGGAAUAUAGGAACCUUAACGGGAAAAUCUAUGGAAGUAGUGGAAGUUAUGGUAAGGAGAAGGAUAAAUAUUAUGUGCCUAUAAGAAACUAAGUGGGUUGGUCUUAAGGCAAAGGAUCUAGAAAACUCAGGGUUUAAACUUUGGUACUCGGGCACAAAUAGAACGAGAAACGGUGUUGGCAUCAUCGUGGACAAGACCUUGACACAAGAUGUUGUAGAUGUCAAGAGGGUAGGAGAUAGAAUUAUGGCAAUCAAGAUUGUAAUAGGACAAGAACUCAUCAAUGUGAUUAGUGCGUACGCACCUCAAGUAGGGUUGGAUGCGAGUUCGAAGGAGAAAUUUUGGGAAGACCUUGGAGACUUGGUGCAAGGAAUUGCCCAGACAGAGAAGUUAUUUAUAGGAGGAGAUUUAAAUGGACACGUGGGCAGGGAGACAGGCAACUAUGGAGGUUUUCAUGGUGGCCAUGGUUUUGGGGAGAGAAACGAGGAUGGGAAAGCUAUCUUGGAUUUUGCAAUGGCAUAUGAUCUCUUCUUAGCCAACACCUUCUUUAAGAAAAGAGAAGAACAUGUGAUCACCUACAAGAGUGGGUUGUCAAAAACACAAAUAGAUUUUCUUCUAAUUUGGAAAGGGGAUCGUAUAACUUGUAAGGAUUGCAAAGUUAUACCGGGAGAGAGCUUGGCUAAUCAACAUCGCUUGUUGGUGAUAGAUGUACAUAUCAAAAGAGUGAGAAAAAAGAACAAGACUUGGAAGUGCCCAAGGACUAGAUGGUGAAAUCUAAAAGGAGAAAAACAAGUCAUUUUCAAAGAGAAAGUAAUCACCCAGUGUGGGUGGGAUAGAGAGGGGGAAGUUAGCCAAAGGUGGGAUUCCAUGGCUAGUUGUAUACGAAAAGUAGCAAAAGAGGUAUUAGGAGAGUCCAAGGGCUUUGCUCCACACCAAAAGGAAUCUUGGUGGUGGACUGAGGAGGUACAAACAAAGGUGAAGGCUAAGAAAGAAUGUUGUAAAGCCCUAUACAAGGACAUGACCGAUGAAAAUGGUGAAAGGUAUAGAAGAGCGAAGCAAGAGGCGAAGAAAGCUGUGAGAGAAGCUAAGUUAGCGGCUUAUGACGAUAUGUAUAAGCGACUAGCAAAAGAAUGAGAGUUGGAUAUUUAUAAACUAGCUAGAGCAAGGGAAAAGAAGACAAGGGACCUAAACCAAGUGAGGUGCAUCAAGGAUGAGGAUGGAAAGGUUCUUGCUACAGAGAACGCGGUCAAAGACAGAUGGAGAGGUUAUUUUCAUAAUCUUUUCAAUGAAGGACAUGAAAUGAGUACUUCUUUAGGGGAGUUGAGUAACUCAGAAGAGUGUAGAAACUACUCAUUUUAUCGUCGAAUCAGGAAGGAAGAAGUGGUUGUAGCUUUGAAGAAGAUGAAGCAUCGAAAAGCAGUGGGCCCAGACGAUAUACCGAUCGAAGUGUGGAAAGUCUUGGGAGAGACAGGUAUAGCAUGGCUCACUGACCUUUUCAAUAGGAUUUUGAAAAUGAAGAAGAUGCCAAAUGAGUGGCGAAAUAGCACUUUGGUGCCUAUCUACAAGAAUAAGGGCGACGUACAAAACUGCAUGAACUAUAGGGGUAUUAAGCUAAUGAGUCAUACAAUGAAGCUCUGGGAGAGAGUCAUUGAGCAUAGAUUGAGGCAAGAGACACGGGUUUCGGACAACCAAUUCGGGUUCAUGCCAGGGCGCUCAACCAUGGAGGCAAUCUAUCUCUUACGAAUAUUGAUGGAAAGAUAUAGAGAUGGGAAAAAUGAUUUACAUAUGGUCUUUAUAGAUUUGGAAAAAGCGUAUGAUAGGGUCCCAAGAGACAUUCUUUGGAGGAUUUUAGAGAAGAAAGGAGUACGAGUAGCAUAUAUCCAAGCUAUAAAGGAUAUGUAUGAAGGAGCAAAGACUGCCGUAAGAACUUAUGAAGGACAAACCGAAAGCUUCCCCAUAACUGUAGGAUUACAUCAAGGCUCAUCCUUAAGUCCUUACCUUUUUGCGUUGGUAAUGGAUGAGUUAAUAGGACAUAUUCAAGAUGAUCUUCCUUGGUGUAUGCUUUUCGCAGAUGAUAUAGUGUUGAUAGAUGAAACUCAGGAAGGGGUAAAUACGAAGCUUAACCUUUGGAGAGAAGUGUUGGAAUCUAAAGGUCUUCGCCUAAGCCGAUCAAAGACAGAAUAUAUGGAAUGCAAGUUCAGUGCAAAUGGAGGCCAAAAUGAGUUAGGGGUGAGGAUCGGAGAUCAGGAAAUGCCAAAGAGCGAUCGUUUUUUCUACUUAGGAUCUAUCUUGCAAAAGAACGGAGAAUUAGAUGGAGAUCUCAACCAUAGAAUACAAGCUGGAUGGAUGAAGUGGAAGAGUGCAUCCGGCGUGUUGUGUGACCGCCGUAUGCCACUGAAGCUCAAGGGAAAAUUUUAUAGGACGACAAUAAGGCCGGCGAUGCUGUAUAGCACAGAAUGUUGGGCGGUGAAGCAUCAACACGUACAUAAAAUGGGUGUAGCGGAGAUGAGGAUGCUUCGUUGGAUGUGUGGGCACACGAGAAAGGAUAAGAUUAUGAAUAAGGAUAUCCGAGGUAAAGUAGGAGUAGCCGAAAUUGUAGAAAAGUUGAGAGAAAAUCGGUUACGGUGGUUUGGACAUGUGCAAAGAAGGCCUACUGACGCUCCGGUUAGAAGAUGGGACUACGGGACAGAGGUUCAAGGCCGAAGGGGUAGAGGAAGACCUAGGAAAACUUUGGAAGAGACUCUAAGAAAAGACUUAGAGUAUUUGGAUUUAACAGAUGACAUGACACAGGACCGAGCACAAUGGCGUUCUAAGAUUCAUAUAGCCGACCCCACUCAGUGAAGAAGGCUUUGGUGUCUUUAACACAAUACGUUGGAAAUGAAGCAAAGCUUAUGUAUUGAUAUCUCCGAUAAGUUACAAAUAUGUACAUAUACAUGAGUCAAAAUAAACAAACAAGAGGGAGCCUUCACAAAGGUUGCUUAGGAGAAGUCUCAGCAGUCGGUAGAGCCCCAGAAAGAGAAGGCACCGGAGGGGGAUCAUUCGGAGCCUCAGUACUGGACAGAACCCUAGAAGGAAGAGGCAUCGGAGGUUGAUCAUUUGGAGCUUCAUUAUGCAGUACAGCCCCAGAAGACGAAGGCAAUAAAUGCCUUUGGAACAAACCCACAAACCGCUGAUGAUCAAGUAAAACUUGACCAUCAGAUUCCUUCAUCUGGUCAAGCUUCCUCUUCAUGUUUAUAACAUAGUUAUGUGCGAGCCGGUGCAACUGUUUAUUCUCAUGCUUGAGCCCGCUAAUCUCCUGUUUGAGACUCAUCACUUCAGCCGCCAAUGAUUCAACUUGGCGGGUUCGAGCAAAUAGGCGUUGGGCCAUAUUAGACACAGAACCUGCACACUGAACACUCAGAGCCAGAGAAUCCUUAACAACCAAUUCAACAGACCGUUUGGAAAGUAGUCUGUUAUCUUUGGGAGUGAGAAGGUUCCUGGCCACCACCGCAGCGGUCAUAUCAUUCUUCAUCACAGAAUCCCCAACGGUAAGAGGACCAGUAGGGGAUAAGAAGGAUGGGCGCCAUAUGUUGUCUGGAGAAGGUGUGGCUGCCUCUUCAACAAGGUUCAAGUCAAAACGACGGUCGGAGGGGCCAGACAUUUUCAAAGGUGUUGAAGAGAGAAAAGGUCAGACAAAUCAAGAUCUUAGAAGUGCAAGAAGGGAGCUUCUACUGGUGAAGAUUCAGGUGUGCUUUGAAACUUAAUGCCAGCCUCUAUAAAAAUCUGCACUUGACGGAGCUUCAGAAAUCAAAGAGGCAUCUGCCCAGAAAUCGAAGAGGCGUUUGCUUUCUCAAAAGUUGGGCUGCUCAGAGACCACGAGGGCCGAUUUCAGAAAUCGAAGAGGCGUUUGCUUUCUCAAAAGCUGGGCUGCUCAAAGACCACGAAGGCUGAUCUCAGAAAUCGAAGAGGCGCUUGCUUUCUCAAAAGAUGGGCUGCUCAGAGACCACAAGGGCCGAUCUCAGAAAUCGAAGAGGCACCUGUUUUUUUUUUUUUCAGCCUUGUCAGCAUCUGUCACAUGCACACUCAGCUUUGCUGAAAUUACGGGCAUUCUGGUGAAGUAGAAAGCACGUGAAUCUUAUUGUUCAAUCAUCCACUUUUCACACGCACCAUCAGCUCAUGGGUACCACAGAUAACUUUGCCAAAGAUCUCUGACAAAGUUUAGACACGUGAAGCUUGCAGCUCCCACUACAUCGCUAUGACCAAGAAGGGUAAAAUAAUAGCAAAGAAACAACACUAACAAAGUUUAGACACAGAAAUUUUGAAGGUCUAGCUAUCAUAUUAUUACCCACAAGGGUAAAGGAACAACAUCACGGCUGGAUAAUUGGAAAGUCCCUGUGUGUCAACCUCUGUGCUCCAUGGCAAGGUAGACUAGCAAACAUGCCCUACCUUUACUCACAUUCGAGAAAACACUCCAAACAAGAUUGCUUGCUCCAAAAUCGAAGAGGCACCGUCCUCCGAAUCUUGAGAGCCAGACUCCCAACAUGAUUACUUUCUCAAAAAUCGAAGAGACACCGCUCUCCGAAUCUCGAGAGCCAGACUCCCAGCAGGAUUGCUCUCUCAAAAAUCGAAGAGGCACCGUUCUCCGAAUCUCGAGAGACAGAUCCCCGACAGGAUUGCUUGUUCGAAAACUGAAGAGGCAUCACUUUCUCAACUUCGAGAGCCAGAUCUCCUUGGAUAAAGCUUGUCUGUAAUCUUCACACGCAACAUCAGCUUUCCAGAUACCACAGACCACUUUUUCAAAGUGCUCUGACACACGUGAAGCUGGCAGCUCCCACUACCGUGCUAUGACCAAGCAGGGUAAAGGAAUAGCAUUACUACUUGUUGUUAGGGAGACUCCUAUAUAUGUCGACCUCCAUCUUCAACGGACAGGCAGACCUGCAAAAAUGCUCAACCAUUCCUCAUAUCUGAGAGGGCACUCCCAACGAAGCCUCUCGAAAUACUCAGCUUUCUUUCCCCCCCCCCCCCCGAUAAUACCUUUGCAAACAAGCUACACCAGAGCAAGAAUAUCUCAUAUCAUCAGGGUUAAAAGCAAGAGUAUCCUAUAUCAUGCUAUUUCCCUGUCUUUUCCUUUGGCCUUGUUCUUACCUGCAAGACAAGGAGAACAUCUACCUAUGAGACAGAUAAGGCAAGUGAAGACGAUACCACACUUCGGUACUUAGAAGUUUCGUGAUUACGAUAUCAUUCUCCCACAAUAUUUCCUUAUGUCAUUUGUACUAAAUCAUUCAUUUGUACCCACUAAAGGAGAGCUUGAACCUAUGUACUUGUGUAAACCCUUCACAAUUAAUGCGAACUCAUCUACUCCAUAGACGUAGCCAAUCUGGGUAAACCACGUACAUCUUAUGUUUGCUUUCCUGUCUCUAUCCAUUUACAUACUUAUCCACCAUAAUGACCAGAGCAAUAAGUUAAUACUUUCUGUUGUACCAAAGUCCUCACUGAUUUUUUGCAUCAACAAGCCUUAAGUCCUUACCCUUUUGCGUCGCAAAUGAUAUAAGGUUGAUAGAUGAAACUCAUGAGGGGUAAAUGCGAAGCUUAACCUUUGGAGAGAAGUGGUGGAAUCUAAAGGUCUUCGCCUAAGCCGAUCAAAGACAGCAUAUAUGGAGUGCAAGUUCAGUGCAAAUGGAGACCAAAAUGAGUUAGGGGCGAGGAUCGGAGAUCAGGUAAUACCAAAGAGCGACCGUUUUCGCUACCUAGGAUCUAUCUUGCAAAAGAACGGAGAAUUAGAUGGAGAUCUCAAUCAUAGAAUACAAGCUGGAUGGAGAGGUGGUCUGUGAAGGUAGUGCGUGUCGUCACCUCUAAAGCUCAAAAACACCUCGUUCUUCCAGCGGUUUGAGCGGCACGGGCAAGACGAAGAGGCUGCGAUGGCGGUUCCAUGGACAGAGCUGAUGGUAUCUAUCGAUAAUUGGUACUAGCGUUGGGAGACUAGAGGGAGUGCAGCAGGCUGUGCGGCUUGGCUUUCAGAUAGCCAAAGCUCAGUCAAAUGUCAUCGCCUAAGUAUUAUAGAGAAACAAAAUGCGUGGAGCGAUAUGAAUAUACAUGUACAUGGCAUUGCAUAAGUUUACUACAAAAUAUGGUAACACCCUAAUUUUUAUGGACAUAGUACUAUCAGUAUUUGUGACUAUCUGCAUUGCAACUAUCCAAUAUUGCCAUGACAAUAGUUAUAUCCCAUCCAAUAAAGAAAUUAGAUAUGUCAAGGAACACACCCUUCACAUGAUCGGUACUUAACCCAUCGUAGCUUAAUUUAAGCGAUUCAUGAAUUUUUUUCAUGUGAAAUAUUUUAUUCAAUGUACUUUCCCAUAUGCUUCUACUUUUUUUCGUAGCCAACAAAUGGCCAACAACUUUCUGAGCUAGGGGCAAUCCUCCACAAUAAAGAACAACAUCUUCUGUGAUGUUGAGGUCGUUGCUGUCAACGAUCCCUUCAUCACCACCCGACUACAUGGUAAGUAAUUUACAUGGGUUUCCGCCUGUGACUGAAAACAGGUUCUCAGCUGAGUAGAUAGAAGUAUGCAGGGUUGCCAGGGCAUACAAUUCAUUAGUUGUGGGAUAUGUAUAUAUCUCGUCACGUCCCAUGCAGACACAUACCAACAUUUCAGGAUCGGGUGGAUUGAGUCUUAAAAUUGAAAAUUAGUUUAUAUGACAAAUUGAAAAAAAAAAGAAAAAAAAAAGUAAGCAAGCUCAUAUGACAUUUAAAAAAAAAAAUUCUUGUUCUCAAUUGUAGAACAUAGCUCUAACCACUUAUUGCACAAACACAUAAACCAUGACGAUGAUACGUUUGUUAGUUCUCAGUUUUUAUUUUGGACUUGGAAGUUGUGGGCACGGUGUUGCUGUUAGGAACGGAUUCAACUCUGAUGUACCUCUAACUAAUGCAUUGGUGACCGGUUCUGUCAAAACCGCUGCCAGCUUGUUCCGGUUGCAGAGAAAAAUGUGAUUUCUUGUUGCUCCAUGAUUGCUCUUUCACACUUAACAGGCAAGAACACUUACAUCUAUGAUAGGUGAAGAGAGAAAUUUCCUUGAAAUGAGGUGGUUUAUAGAACACUCAAGGCUCAAGCCAACCCCUAAGAUAUGUCUCUAAUUAAUGAUGUGUAAGACAUACUUACAUGUAAAUUUCUCUAAUGUCACUGAUCAAAUUGGAAAUUAUUAAUUUAUAUUUGUUAAGAUGAUAAGUUACUUAAAAAAAAUAAAAAAAGGACUCGUGACAUUGCUUCUCUAGAAAGUGCUUAAGCUAGAAGUGCUUCUAUUAUAACCACAUUGAAAUUUUUAUUAGAAACUCAAGUACAUUCUAAAAAACCACUUAAGGAUGCUUUUCGAAAAUAAAAAAAAGGCGUAUGCUUCUCCAUGAACCGCUUCUUUGAGCCAUAUGAACAAUUUAAACAAACCCCUAACUAGCGAGCAUGGCCUAGCCCAACCCCCAAUAUUACUCUUAGAAGCAACGAAAUUGAGAUGUAAAAACAUGUUUUCAUGGUCUUUAUAGAGGAAAAAGAUAGGGUAAAAUGACCUAAAUGGGUAAGAUUUAUAAACAAGUUGAUUCAUGCUUCAUAAUUGCAUCAGUUCCUUUGCAGUUUGUAGUAAAUGUCUACGUACCUUCCUUACAAGUCUCUUUACUGCGCUUUCCUUCAAUUCACUGUUGUUUUGUCAUCGUCAAAGCUUUCAAUAUUAAGAUCAAACCUUAAUAUUUUGCAGACCUCAUCAGAUGAGUGGCCUCUUUAACUCUGUACCAUCGUCAGUGUCGUCAUCAAACUCAUAUGGUAUAAUCUGAUAGUCUUCCUCAUCAGUAUCAUCAUCUCACGCUGUCACGCCCCGAUCCCCACAUACGUCCAGGAUCGACACUUGACGUCAUCAAAUAACCACAUAUCUAACAUACCCCGCCUCCAAGAUAUGUACAAAGCACAACUCGAGAAUCGAAUCGCAUAGAAGUAUUUCGUAUACUUUAUGGCUGCAUCUAACCUCUUCGUUAGACUGCCUACAUACCCUCAUUAGGGAUCAAGCCAUUCGUAGUUCGUCAUUCAUUACACCUCGACAUUUAUCACAAUACGUUCAAAUCGAAAAGCAUAGCAUUCCUCAAUCAAUUAUUAGAACUUAACAAGCAUGAAUUACUAGAUUCAUGGUUACAUAACAAAUCCACAUGACAUUCAAGGUUUCCAUUCCAUCCAUCAUAUAAAUCACUAUGUUUUCAACGUGAUAUCUCCAUCCACAACAUGUAACUUAUCCAAUAACCAACGAAGCACAAUAUUAUUCUUAAGCCACAUUGAUCACUAAAUAAUCAUAAUAAUAACAAUCAUAUUCAACAUCAUUCCACAAUUCCCGUCAAUUAAUCCCUUCAUGAAUCAAGGAUGCAUGAUCUUAGCAUUUAACUACGUUAAUCAAUCAAUGAGAUAACAUACCAUUUCACCAAUUCAAUUAGAGAACUCUAUAUAAUUCCCUACUUGGGUUAUGAGUAAUAACAUGGUAAUUCUAAUUUAUAUUCACAAGGUCUAUGGAUAAUUCCCAUUUGCUCGAAUCUAGGGUUCUAGACUAACCUUUUGGAACGUGCAAGAGUAAGGAUUUCGGACCACUCAACGGAAUUCAACCACAUCGGGUUCCAGACCACUCAACGGAACCAAAAUAUCAAUCGGUUUCUCGUAAUCUAUCCAGACCUGUUGCAUGUAAAAUCAGUGCCUACAUCAUGGAAAUGGUGCAUUGGGUAAUUCAGAACUUGGAUAAGUUGUGAAACUCAGGUGAACGACAAUAAUACAAAGUGUGAUAAUAGUGAUAAAACCAACCAUCAAUCACAGUUUAUAAACUUUGAAUAUGAAUCAUUCAUAAGAAAUUAAUACCAAACCUUCGCAAACUCUGAAGGAGUCACCCAAACAUCCAACGGUUCGUCUGAAACAAUCACAACAUCUCAUAACCAUAUUCUCAUACAACACCAUGAAAAGUAGGGUUAGAGCGACAUAGUUCGGCCGAAGCCUAUACCUUUGAAGCUAUCUCAAUCCAAACUCAAUGAAACCCAAGGUGAAUACAAUUCCGGAACUUCACUCAACGGAAUCGCGGAGUAGAAGGGAUUCUGGACCAUCUCUCAUGGAAUCCAAGUGGAUACGAUUCCGGAACAUCACUCAACGGAAUCGCGGAAGGCCAACAACCAUAAUGUACAACGGCUCAAAGAAAUGAGACAAGCACAAGCUACUAAAUUUACAAAAGCUUAACCAAGGGAAAUAAGGCACAUAUGCUAAAUUUAAAACGAAUCAACGAAGAGGGAAAAGAAACAAUAUCGAAGCAACAUAUCCCCAAUCACAACGGGUUCACAGUCCACCACUAGUCUUCACAUUUCAUCACAUCAAGCCAACCAUACAAAGCAAACCAUGUUUCUAAUAUGCACGUCAAAUCCCACAUCAUAAACUAUAACGAUGGCACUUUAUAGAAAACAUAAUCAUAAAACCGUCUCAUACCCUCUCAGGAUAAUAAUUAUGAAAAUAGAGUAAUCACCUGUAACAUAUAUUAAAGUCACUCACCCUUUUUUUUUUAUGUACAUAUACAUGAGUCAAAAUAAACACACAAGAGGGAGCCUUCACAAAGGUUGCUUAGGAGAAGUCUCAGCAGUCGGUAGAGCCCCAGAAAGAGAAGGCACCGGAGGGGGAUCAUUUGGAGCCUCAGUACUGGACAGAACCCUAGAAGGAGGAGGCAUCAGAGGUUGAUCAUUUGGAGCUUCAUUACGCGGUACAGCCCCAGAUGACGAAGGCAAUAAAUGCCUUUGGAACAAACCCACAAAUCUCUGAUGAUCAAGUAAAACCUGACCAUCAGUUUCCUUCAUCUGGUCAAGCUUCCUCUUCAUGUUUGUAGCAUAGUCAUGUGCGAGCCGGUGCAACUGUUUAUUCUCCUGUUUGAGACCUCUAAUCUCCUGUUUGAGACUCAUCACUUCAGCCGCCAAUGAUUCAACUUGGCGGGUUCGAGCAAAUAGGCGUUGGGCCAUAUUAGACACAGAACCUGCACACUGAACACUGAGAGCCAGCGAAUCCUUAACAGCUAACUCAUCAGACCGUUUGGAAAGUAGUCUGUUAUCUUUGGGAGUGAGAAGGUUCCUGGCCACCACCGCAGCGGUCAUAUCAUUCUUCAUCACGGAAUCCCCAACGGUAAGAGGACCAGUAAGGGAGACGAAGGAUGGGCGCCAUAUGUUGUCUGGAGAAGGCGGGGCUGCCUCUUCAACAAGGUUCAAGUCAAAACGACGGUCGGAGGGGCCAGACAUUUUCAAAGGUGUUGAAGAGAGAAGAGGUCGGACAAAUCAAGAUCUUAGAAGUGCAAGAAUGAAGCUUCUACUGGUGGAGAUUCAAGUGUGCUUUGGAACGUAAUGCCAGCCCCUAUAAAAAUCUGCACUCGACGGAGCUUCAGAAAUCGAAGAGGCGCCUGCUCAGAAAUCGAAGAGGCGUUUGCUUUCUCAAAAGCUGGGCUGCUUAGAGAUCACGAGGGUUGAUCUCAGAAAUCGAAGAGGCGUUUGCUUUCUCAAAAGUUGGGCUGCUCAAAGACCACGAAGGCUAAUCUCAGAAAUCGAAGAGGCGCUCGCUUUCUCAAAAGCUGGGCUCCCCAGAGACCACGAGGGCCGAUCUCAGAAAUCGAAGAGGCACCUACUUUUCCAGCCUUGUCAGCACCUGUCACACGCACACUCAGCUUUGCGGAAAUUAUGGGCAUUCUGUCGAAGACUUCUGGGGAAGUAGAAAACACAUGAAUCUUACUGUUCAAUCACCCACUUCCCACACGCAACAAUAGCUCAUGGGUACCACAGAAAACUUUGCCAAAGUUCUCUGCCAAAGUUGAGCACGUGAAGCUUGCAGGUCCCCACUACAUCGCUCUGACCAAGAAGGGUAAAAGAAUAGCAAAGAAAUAGCACUAACAAAGUUUAGACCUAUAAAUUUUGAAGGUCUAGCUACCAUAUUAUUACCCACAAGGGUAAAGGAACAGUACCACUGCUGGAUAAUUGGAAAGUCCCUGUGUGUCAACCUCUGUGCUUCGUGGCAAGGUAGACUAGCAAAACAUGCCCAACCUUUACUCACAUUCGAGAAAACACUCCCAAUAAGAUUGCUUGCUCCAAAAGCCAGACUCCCAACAUGACUACUUUCUUAAAAAUCGAAGAGAGGGUAAAGGAACAGUACCAUUGCUGGAUAAUUGGAAAGUCCCUGUGUGUCAACCUCUGUGCUUCGUGGCAAGGUAGACUAGCAAACAUGCCCAACCUUUACUCACAUUCGAGAAAACACUCCCAACAAGAUUGCUUGCUCCAAAAUCGAAGAGGCACCGCCCUCCGAAUCUCGAGAGCCAGACUCCCAACAUGAUUACUUUCUCAAAAAUCGAAGAGACACUGCUCCCCGAAUCUUCGAGAGCCAGACCCCCAGCAUGAUUGCUUUCUCAAAAAUCGACGAGGCAUCGUUCUUCGAAUCAAUCGAAAAGGCGCUCGCUUUCUCAAAAGCUGGGCUGCUCAGAGACCACGAGGCUCGAUCUCAGAAAUCGAAGAGGCACCUACUUUUCUAGCCUUGUCAGCACCUGUCACACGCACACUCAGCUUUGCAGAAAUUAUGGGCAUUCUGUCGAAGACUUCUGGUGAAGUAGAAAGCACAUGAAUCUUACUGUUCAAUCACCCACUUCCCACACGCAACAAUAGCUCAUGGGUACCACAGAUAACUUUGCCAAAGUUCUCUGCCAAAGUUGAGCACGUGAAGCUUGCAGCUCCCACUAAAUCGCUCUGACCAAGAAAGGUAAAAGAAUAGCAAAGAAACAGCACUAACAAAGUUUAGACACAUAAAUUUUGAAGGUCUAGCUACCAUAUUAUUACCCACAAGGGUAAAGGAACAGUACCACUGCUGGAUAAUUGGAAAGUCCCUGUGUGUCAACCUCUGUGCUUCGUGGCAAGGUAGACUAGCAAACAUGCCCAACCUUUACUCACAUUCGAGAAAAACACUCCCAACAAGAUUGCUUGCUCCAAAAUCGAAGAGGCACCGUCCUCCGAAUCUCGAGAGCCAGACUCCCAACAUGACUACUUUCUCAAAAUCGAAGAGAGGGUAAAGGAACAGUACCAUUGCUGGAUAAUUGGAAAGUCCCUGUGUGUCAACCUUUGUGCUUCGUGGCAAGGUAGACUAGCAAACAUGCCCAACCUUUACUCACAUUCGAGACAACACUCCCAAUAAGAUUGCUUGCUCCAAAAUCGAAGAGGCACCGCCCUUCGAAUCUCGAGAGCCAGACUCCCAACAUGAUUACUUCCUCAAAAAUCGAAGAGACACUGCUCUCCGAAUCUCGAGAGCCAGACCCCCAGCAUGAUUGCUUUCUCAAAAAUCGAAGAGGCAUCGUUCUCCGAAUCUCGAGAGCCAGAUACCACAGACCACUUUUUCAAAGUGCUCUGACAGAGUUAAAACAUGUGAAACUGGCAGCUCCCACUACCGUGAUAUGACCAAGCAGGGUAAAGGAAUAGCAUUACUACUUGUUAGGGAGACUCCUAUAUAUGUCGACCUCCAUCCCCAACGAACAGGCAGACCUGCAAAAAUGCUCAACCCUUCAUCAUAUAUGAGAGGGCACUCCCAACGAAACCUUUCGAAAUAUUCAGCUUUCUUUCCCCCCGAUAAUACCUCUGCAAACAAGCUAUACUAGAGCAAGAAUAUCUCAUAUCAUCAGGGUUAAAAGCAAGAGUAUCCCAUAUCAUGCUUUUUCCCUGUCUUUUCCUUUGGCCUUGUUUUUACCUGCAAGACAAGGAGAAAGAGAGCAAUCAGUCAGCACUUGGAAUCAAGCUUCCAGCCAGGAACUGACUGCCUGGAACCGCUUACCUGAUUACUUACCUGGCAUUGCUCUCGAGUACUCAUCUUCAACAUCUUAUGUUUCCAGGGAAGAUUCCGCAUCUGCUUGAGGAACAGAUAGGGCAAGUGCGAAGGAUACAAGGAAGCAUGUGGAGACAAGCGUAACAGCACACGUGCCGAUACAUCCAUUACUCUGUCAAAAGCAAAAGUAUCCCAUAUCAGCAGGGUGGAACGUACUCUAGAUUUGAUGGACUUGUUUUGACCCUCAAAUUCUUCAGUCGGCCUUAUACUCUGGAGGAAACCAGAAAACCCUCCAGCUCAGUUCAAGAAUAAGCCUGUGGAAAGUUACUUCUUCAAAAGCAAAAGUAUCUCAUAUCAUCUCUUCUCAUUUUUCUUCUCUUUAUCCUUCAUGCUGCUGAAAGAUGGGGAGAAGGUGAACAAUCAGUUGGAGCUUUGAUUGCUUACCUUGUCUGUCACCUCUUUCAGCAGACCCCCUAGCUCGGCGACUUGGGGGACUCCUACUACAUGGUUUGUAUCGCGCUUGACCAAGCCUGAAACUACAAGUAAGCUUCAAGUGAAAUUGAUACAUUACCUUGUGCAUCUCCACCAGUUAAAGAUACCACCCCUGGAUGGAGGAAGAGUACUUCCAGAGAAGAUGCCACAUCUACCUAUGAGACAGAUAAGGCAAGUCAAGACGACACCACACUCCGAUACUUAGAAGUUUCGUGAUUACGAGAUCAUUCUCCCACAAUAUUUCCUAAUGUCAUUUGUACUAAAUCAUUCACUUGUACUCACUAAAGGAGAGCUUGAACCUAUGUACUUGUGUAAACCCUUCACAAUUAAUGAGAACUUUUCUAUUCCGUGGACGUAGCCAAUCUGGGUGAACCACGUACAUCUUGUGUUUGCUUUCCUAUCUCUAUCCAUUUAUAUACUUAUCCACACUAAUGACCGGAGCAAUCUAGCGAAGAUCACAAAAAGCGACCGUUUUCGCUACCUAGGAUCUAUCUUGCAAGAGAACGGAGAAUUAGAUGGAGAUCUCAACCAUAGAAUACGAGCUGGAUGGAUGAAGUGUAAGAAUGCAUCCGGCGUGUUGUGUGUGACCGUCGUAGGCCACUGAAGCUCAAGGGAAAAUUUUAUAGGACGGCAAUAAGGCCAGCGAUGUUGUAUGGCACAGAAUGUUGGGCGGUGAAGCAUCAACACGUACACAAAAUGGGGUGUAGCGGAGAUGAGGAUGCUUCGUGGGAUGUGUGGGCACACGAGAAAGGAUAAGAUUGGGAAUGAGGAUAUCCGAGGUAAAGUAGGAGUAGCCGAAAUUGUAGGAAAGAUGAGAGAAAAUCGGCUCCGGUGAUUUGGACAUGUGCAAAGAAGGCCGAAUGACGCUCCGGUUCGAAGAUGUGACUACGGGACAGAGGUUCAGGGCCGAAGGGGUAGAGAAAGACCUAGGAAAUCUUUGGAAGAGACUCUAAGAAAAGACUUAGAGUACUUGGAUCUAACGGAGGAUAUGACACAAAACCGAGCGCAAUGGCGUUCUAGGAUUCAUAUAGCCGACCCCACUUAGUGGGAAAAGGCUUUGUUGUUGUUGUUGUUGAACCAUACAUAUUAUUUCUCAUCCAUGAAAUCAACAUUUUAACGUUCUAUUCCUAUGCUUGUAACCUUCAUUCUCCAUCCUUUAAUAAACCAACCCAAAGUUAAUGGUUUUUCAACUUAAAACACCACCUCUUCACUCAUGCCACUACCCCUUUUGACAUGUAUAUGCGGCAAUAUAUAUAUAUAUAUAUUAAUUAAGAGAAACUAGAUCGUUUACUAAUAACUUGAAUAUAACUACUAGUAAACAAUCUAAACUCUUAAACCCCAACUAAACACACUCAAAUAAGCACAAGAUUAACAAGGAUGUCAUUUCAACUAUAAUUCCCUUCUAGGUCUAGAUGCUUGGUAACGAAAGAAGUAUCUCAUAAAUCUAAUGUCACAUAUCGGAAAAUUCGACUUUUUCCAAAAAUUCUCAAAUUUUACAAGAAUGAAGGUCUCAACAAGUAGAGUAAAUUUUAUAUUUGUGGCCAAGUCCAAUUUGACCGGGAAGGCUCUCAAAUUGGCUCGUAUCCAUCGAAAACCCUAAGGUGGGUGUUCUUCAAUUCGGCUUCCUUGGUGUUCCAAUGCCCCUACAACUAAUUGGGUCUUGUUCUUGGGUCCAAGAGAAGUUGAUCAAGGGUGAUGUGAAUGGUGAUACUCUCCAGAAUGACAAUUCGUCGUCGAGAACCCCCGGGUUCUCCUAUGGAGUUCUACAUGAAAUAGACCUUAAAAACCCUUGAUAUUUGGUGGAGGUGGAAGGAGGAAUGUAGUUGAGCAGGUUGCAGGUGAAGGAGAUAAGAAAAUCAGUUGAGAAAUGGUAGAAAUUUGCAUGAAGUUGGCCGGAUCAAAACCAUUUUUUUUUUUGUGGUGCACGGGUUCACCAAAUGGGGGGGACUCCUUUCCCUCCUUUUCUUUCUUCACUCGCCACUCCCGUGGCUUUAUCUUUUUUUUUUUUUUUUAAGCAACACAACUUCAAACUUCCGUAAUUAUACCGUUAUAAUCCGGACUCGCAAAUGGUUUUCGCCUAUGCUUUCGUGACUUCAAGACCUAUUCGAAAACGUUACUUGUGACCUCGAAAGGUCAACGAGUAAAUAAUAAUUCCAAACUUCACUCUUCGUAACUAGAUUAAUUGAAAUCUAAUUUCAAAUAAAUUAAUAUAAAUUCUCAAAAAGUAAUAUAAAUCUCAAUAAUACAAUUACGUAGAUUAUAACAGUGAAAUCCAGAAACGGGAUUUCACACACCCUUAUGGUACGCGCUCAUAGUUCACUUUUUUUAUUUCUGAAGGUAAACAAUGUUCCCAUCCUACAGAAUUUACUCCUGUUUUCUUCACCUUAAAUUGAUGAUCAUCCUCUGUUCCAAAAAAUUCUGCAUGCACACGAACCUUGUCGCCACUUUUCAGAUUGAGCUUCCUGUUUGAAAGACUUCCCAGCCAAAGAUAAUCUUCAUGGGAGCCAGUUAUGGUGGCAUCCAUUCACCAGAUGGAAAAAUAAGUUCGCUGGGAAGGAUUAACCACAUCAAUCCAUAAAGACCCACUACACUGCGAUGGUCCAAAGAAUAAACGAUGCACACAGCCAACCCUCCUAUAUAAUCAAUACUUGGCGGCACAUCAAAUUUGACAUUUUCAUCCUCUGUCACGACAUAGGUUAACCAUUAAGGAAUAACAUUUCAAGAGCGACCGAUUCCUCCAAAUACAUCCCCCACGUUCCAUUUCUACAACGCGGCGUGCAAAGUUUGUAUAAGCAACAAUACGAGAAGGGCACAGAGAGAGAGAGAGAGAUCGAGGCUAUCAUGCAACAAAAUAUAAAACUCAUCUAGGACAAUUAUGACUAUUGUGAAUUGGUAAUAUUAUCGAUGGAUAUGUUAUAUGAUCUUCAAACUCGCUAUAGCAUGAUUUUUUUUUUUUGUAUCCUUUUCGUCAACUUCAUCUGUUUUUCUAUUAAGUAGAGAUGAUAAACUUAAAAUUCAUCCCACAACCUAAAAAAUGGAAAAAAGAAAAAAGAAAAAAAGGAGGUGGAUGUACAAAAUCCUUGCUAUGCCCUCUAUAUUUAACAAAAAAAUAAAUUGAGUUAACGGAUAUAAUUGAAGUACCACAUGAGAUUGAGUUUGAGAACCACAAUAAGAAAAUAAGAAAAACUAUUCUAGAAUGAAGGUAAAAUUCGUGACAACAAUGCCGUAUAUCUAAAAAAUAGUUCAUGCAUAUUUAGAUGUUAACACAUAGUCAUUUAUCUCGUUUAUUGAACAAACAACGAGGACAACAAUGUUGUUUUCUCUCUUUUGAAAUUCAUAAACAAAAUUGAGAUUUCUUGGUGACUCCUCUGUCCCUCAGGACCAACAAGGGGUAAUACAGGAAUAUUCACCUGUUGUCCAUUGACUAUGCCUUUUGGCCUGAUCUUAGGCCCCGACUCACUCUCCGUGGACAAACCUUGCGAAGGAACCUUUAGGUUUUCGGGGCAUCGGAUUUUCACCAAUGUUUGCGUUACUCAUGCCGACAUUCUCGCUUCCGCUCCGUCCACGUCUAAUUGCCAUUUUGUUUGGGCUUCUCCUUUCUGUUCUUACCGUCUCUUCCAUUUGGAAGCUUCUGGUCAUUAAUUUUUUUAGCUUCAUUAGAAGAUGCUCCCAUUUGGCCCCUGUAAGGAAUGAAAUUGAAUUUCGUGUUCAGCUAUUUAAAGAUUCAACUCUAAGUUUUGUCAAUAGCAAUUAAGUAAGAACAGGUAUGAUCAAGCUUAUAAACAAAUCACAACAACAUUACAAAUCAGAAACAUGUACAAGGUAAUGCAGUUAUAUCCAAUUCUUUUGUGCUUUCUCCACAAAAGUUCCUCCACAUUAACGUAACUCUAUAUCAAUUAAUCUAUCAUACAAGACUAGAAAUAAUCGGCAAUUGAAAAAUAAGACAACACGAGCUUCCGUCCAGUAAAAUUUUCAUCCAAAGACAGUAGGCAAAACCAAAAACGUACAAACCUUCAAUGCCGUUGUAUAAUCUCUCCCUUCCCAAUAUGCUCAUCAAGCAAUUCCGGCACAUUACCAGGAGUGGCGAAGGGAUACCUGCAAUUAAUAAUACAUAAUAUUCAUACUCCUUCAUCGAUCCCAAUACGAUAAAUUUUAAAUUGUUAUGAUCCAGAUAUUACCAAUGAUCUGUUAUGCUUCCAUCUGAACCUAGGUUGUAGAUAUCCAAGUUUCCAGCAUACUUGUGGCCUCCAAUGUGAAAGCAAGCAGUAACGAAUACCUGAUCCGUCAAUCCUCGCAGCUCAGCCUCCUGUUUGAACUUAUCAAUGAGAGUACGUGCAUGAUAACGAUCCCAUUUAUCUUGACUCAUACGUGCGCAUAUAAAUACAUAGGGGCCAGUCAGCGGCUCUUGCACUCCAGAAGCCCAUGGUUUGUGAUUCAUAAGGACAUCAUCAACAAAGCUGUCCACAUCCGACUCUUUCAAGCCCCUUUGAUCAACAAACAAAAACAACCUCAAAAUCACAAGAAAGGAUUUACAGGCAAGCAAUUAGUCGUAAACGGAGCCAUUAAAUUCAAUUUCUACAACUAAUUUCAGAAGCUAACACAUAUCUAAUUAUCCAUUUAGGUCAGUAAAUUCAUGUUGGUUAUGGAAUGGGCCCUCGAUUAUGAAUUAAUUACGGUUUGCCAUUGUGUGUGCUAGUGUGGCCCAUGCUUAACAGCUGGGUUGGGCUGCUGCAUUUAGGUGUGUGUUUGCUAGCUGGCUGGCUGGUGGGUGAGUCUUAGAUACAAACCCAAUCUUAUUAAUUAAAUUUGGCCUUUGGUGUGCUCAAACUGCUAUGGGGGAUGGUUAGAAUUUUGAGCCCGGGAUGCAGUAGGACCAAGAGCAAUCCACCACUUGCAGAAUUGUUGUCAAAGUAACUCUGCUAAAAAUAUGAGCUAUACUUCCUGCACUAUGCUUUUACUGUGAAGUGGAAAUAGUCUUUAGAGAGGCUUAUUUGGGAUAAUUGAUAAAGAGGUUUGUGUUUAAGACUUGAGAGUAGUGCGGUGUCUUUCUUGCUGGUUCUGCUCACACCACCUCAUCUAGCCAUUGUGAUGGAGUACACGGCUGGGUGAGAACACUUGGAGAGAAUAUGCAGUGCUGGCAGAUUUAGUGAGGAUGAGAUAAAGUAGUUUCCAACGCAGAGAAAAUUUCAUUGGAAAUGAUUUUAGUGUAGAGUCUCAAAUAUGGGAUCUCUGAAUGUCCCCUGAAAUGGAAUCCAUCUCAAUUUUCGUUUAGUUUCAGAUAGGGAAAGUUAGGUCUGAAGCAUUUUUACAUAAAUAGUCAGUCAUAAUAUAACUAAAACUUACUUUUUCGAUUUAAUUGUUGUUUUGCAUCAAGCAAGGUUUUUCUUCCAGCAAUUAUAUCAGGAGUUAGCUACUGUCAUUUAAUGGUAUGUAAUGUGGCACUUUUUUGCUAAUGCGUUGUAUACUGUUAUUUCUUUCUCUUUUGAUAUUGGAAGUGUUGGUUGUAUUAAUGAAAUAAUUCGUUUCAAUAGUAUAUGACUUAGUUUUAAUAGUAUUAUUCAGUUUUCUAAUAGCACUCGGGUGGGAACGUGGGUCGGCUCAUGUUUUAGUCUCUCCAUCGUAAGCAAUUUUACAUGGCAUUCUUCAAUGUGGCUAUAGGUAAGACAACACUCUCAGUAUUCCAUAAUCAAACCACCAUUUGAACUUUUUUCGUCCACCAAGUUAAGCUUUUAUGUGCCAUCUUGAAUAGUUAUAAGUUAUUGAUUCAGAUUGCUCCAGUGAGACAUUGUUGUUCUAUUGCUUACCUCUCAAGCUUGCUUAAUAUACUUAUUCUUAUUACUGUUGUAUUGUUAAGAAAUACUCAACUGCGAUUUCAGUUCAUUGUUAUGAAUCAGAUUCAAAUUAACCACUCACUAGUUAAUUAUCUAAAUCCUAUAAAUUUGGAUUAAAAUUAAAGCAACUCCAGAACAAAAACCUCAAGAAAUCGAUGCGAAUUUACCUGUAUUUGAUCAUUUGUGGGAAAAUCAACACAUCGCCGUCGGAAAACUCAGUUCCUUCAUGUCCUUCAAUUACAGUCAUCGACGUCUAUCAAAAAACCAAGAAAAAAAGUAAGUAACGGAGUCAGCUCAGCUCAACACCAGAACUCAGUAGCUCCAGGAAAUAAGAAACGUCAGAAACACCAACGAAUUGGGUUGGAAAACGGACCUUAAAGGUGAUGUCGUUCUUGCGAGCUUUGAGAGCGGAAGUGAAGAACUUAGGGAGUGGAUCGGACUUAGAGCCGUUGAUGCACCACGGCCAGGCCUCGGGGGUCUUGUAGCAGAAGAAAACGUGGCGAAUGUCCAACUGUGUAUCGUCAUCAGUGUCUUCAUCAGACAAAUCCCAUUUUACCAUAUCCACUCCUGUUUUGUUCUCCUUAAUUCUAUUAUCUCCUCCAUAAAAUUCCGCUUUUAGAAGAACCAUGUCACCGCCUUUCAGAUUGAGCUUCUUGUUUGAAAGAUUUCCCAACCAAAGAUAAUAUUCAUGGGAAGCAGUUACGGUGGCCUUCAUUGGCCAGAUGCGAAACUUAGUUCGCUGGGUACAAUUAACAACAUCAAUGCAUAGAGACCCGGUAGAGUCGGAGUUGUCUAAAGAAUAAACGAUGCCCAAAGCCAACCCUCCUAUAUAAUCAAUACUUGGCGGCACUUGAAAUUUGACAGUUUUAUCCUCUCCCGUGACAUAGGCUAACCAGUUAGGAAUAUCAUUUCCGGAGAGAAAAAUUCCACCAAAUGCAUUUCUCUACAACAUGGGGUGCAAAGUCAGUAUAAGCAACAAUACAGAGAGAGAGAGAGAGAGAGAGAGAGAGAGAGAGAGAGAUACCCUUCGGAGGUUCUCCUUAAAAGUAUCAGUGAGACUGGUACACCCUUCCAUAAGAAUUGAAUACAUGUGGUCCAAUGAGUUCUCCAAGUUUGGAAUAUCUUUGAGUUUGCGGCAGUUCGGCAAAUCUGACAUUGUUUUACCUAUAUUGCCCAUACCCCUAAUUCCAAUUAUUUGAACAUCAGGUGAACGUCCAACAUCUAAGUAUUCAGUACUGACGUCUAAGUAUUCAGUACUGAAGUUCUGCACACGAGAAGUCAUUCCAUCUGAGUGCUUGGCUUCUUUUAAGUCUGCAGUUUUCAAUAGUUCCUUGAUGUUCCCAACAAUUUUCUCGAUAAACACUCCUUCACGCCUACGAGUAGGAAUUCCAAAUUACGUGAGCCAUACUAAAUGCCUUAUUCAUAAUGACUAGAUAUUUACAUAUUGAAACAGAUUUGAAUAAACUGGAUUAAUUGAGCUCAAUUCAACCACGUAUCUAAUCUUCGAUUAUAAUGUAAAUACAUCAGAUCAUUGGUCAUCGGACUAUUACACAAUUGUAGCCUUCAGAUUUAUAAUUAAGAAUCCAUAACAAUUGGUAUUUUAAUUUGAUAAAGUGGAGCAUUUGUCCUUCACACACCCAUAAAAAACAAAGCACGACCCUACAUUUCACUUCCUUAAUUUCAAUGAAAAUUCUUAUGAAAAUGCUCUACCUUUUAUAAAAUUCAUAUACCAAUUAUAAUAAAUUUUUAUGUAGGGACCAAAAUUACAGUUCUAUCAUUGUUCAGGAUCAACGAUCCAAUUUUUCUUCUAACAUAUAAACUCAGAUCCAAUGCCUUAAUUAUAAAAUCUUAAUUUUGGUUGAUUAGUGAAAUAUGGUGAUACGAAAUUUGAAGUAAACAAAAAAGUAUACCCGUCGGCCGUGGUUUUGAGGUUCCAGCCAACCAAAUCUGCAGAAGCCUUAAGAUCCUCUCUCCACUGCUUGACCUCGUUUGGAUCUUCAUCCCAUUCAUGCUUCUGAAAUGCUUUCCCAAAACUAUCAUUCUGUUUCCUGACUUGAGAAGGGUCAACGUCGUAGAAUAUUGGACAUACUAUUUUCCCCUCUUGAUCUUUUAGGCACCUCAUGAUCUUCGACAGCUCCCUCAGGCACCAUCGGGACUCCGCGUACCUCUUCGAGAAGAUGAUGACGGCGAUUCUCGACCCUUCGAUUUCUUGGUCAAGUUCACUCUGUAUGUUUCCCCCCCUUGUGAGCUGGUAGUCUAUGGAAGUGUUGAUUCCGGCAUUGCGUAACGCAAUGAAGAGGUGGUCUGUGAAGGUAGUGCGCGUGUCGUCGCCUCUAAAGCUCAGGAACACCUCGUACUUCCACCGGUUUGAGCUCUGCGAGGAAGACGAAGAGGCUGCAACGCCGGCUCCAUGGGCGGAGCUGCUGGUAUCCAUUGUAGCCUGUAGAAGUGCAGCUUGGCUUUCAAAUAACCAAAGUCAAGUCUUUCCCAAGAUUCCCCGGUGUAGGCAGCCCUUUUAAAUUUUUUUGCAUGGGUCAAUGAUGUCACUGCCGUGUCGAUAACGUGUGAGUGCUAUUCCUCCGACAAUUUAAUUUGUAUAAAUGUCACCAUCAAAUUUUAAUAAAAAUUGUAUAACUGCUACGAUGCAAUUUCCUUUCUUCUGUAGUUUUUUUGAGAAAUCUGCUGCCCAAUUUUGACCAGUUGACGUGCGCAGGUCAAUCCAACUGUCCCUGCUGGUGGACGGAAGAAUCUUUGUUAGAGUAGGAAUUCCAAAUUACGCUUUAUUCAUAAUGACUAGAUAUUUACAUAUUGAAACAGAUUUGAAUAAAUUGGAUUAAUUGAGCUCAAUUCAACCAUGUAUCUAAUCUUCGAUUAUAAUGUGAAUACAUCAGAUCAUUGGUCAUCGGACUAUUACACAAUUGUAGCCUUCAGAUUUAUAAUUAAGAAUCCAUAACAAUUGGUAUUUUAAUUUGAUAAAGUGGAGCAUUUGUCCUUCACACACCCAUAAAAAACAAAACACGUACCCUACGUUUCACUUCCUUAAUUUCGAUGAAAAUUCUUAUGAUGUGACUGCCGUGUUGAUGAAAAUUCUUAUGAUGUGACUGUCGUGUCGAUAACGCGCGAGUGCUAUUCCUCCCACAAUUUAAUUUGUAUAAAUGUCACCAUCAAAUUUUAAUAAAAAAUUGUAUAUAACUGCUACGAUGCAAUUUCCUUUCUUUUGUGAGAAAUCUGCUGCCCAAUUUUGGCCAGUUGACGUGCGCAGGUCAAUCCAACUGUCCCUGCUGGUGUACGGAAGAAUCUUUGUCGGAGUAGGAAUUCCAAAUUACGUGAGCCAUACUAAAUGCUUUAUUCAUAAUGACUAGAUAUUUACAUAUUGAAACAGAUUUGAAUAAAUUGGAUUAAUUGAGCUCAAUUCAACCAUGUAUCUAAUCUUCGAUUAUAAUGUGAAUACAUCAGAUCAUUGGUCAUCGGACUAUUACACAAUUGUAGCCUUCAGAUUUAUAAUUAAGAAUCCAUAACAAUUGGUAUUUUAAUUUGAUAAAGUGGAGCAUUUGUCCUUCACACACCCAUAAAAAACAAAGCACGUACCCUACGUUUCACUUCCUUAAUUUCGAUGAAAAUUCUUAUGAUGUGACUGCCGUGUCGAUGAAAAUUCUUAUGAUGUGACUACCGUGUCGAUAAAGCGCGAGUGCUAUUCCUCCCACAAUUUAAUUUGUAUAAAUGUCACCAUCAAAUUUUAAUAAAAAUUGUAUAACUGCUACGAUGCAAUUUCCUUUCUUUUGUGAGAAAUCUGCUGCCCAAUUUUGGCCAGUUGACGUGCGCAGGUCAAUCCAACUGUCCCUGCUGGUGGACGGAAGAAUCUUUGUCGGAGUAGGAAUUCCAAAUUACGUGAGCCAUACUAAAUGCUUUAUUCAUAAUGACUAGAUAUUUACAUAUUGAAACAGAUUUGAAUAAAUUGGAUUAAUUGAGCUCAAUUCAACCACGUAUCUAAUAUUCGAUUAUAAUGUGAAUACAUCAGAUCAUUGGUCAUCGGACUAUUACACAAUUGUAGCCUUCAGAUUUAUAAUUAAGAAUCCAUAACAAUUGGUAUUUUAAUUUGAUAAAGUGGAGCAUUUGUCCUUCACACACCCAUAAAAAACAAAGCACGUAUCCUACGUUUCACUUCCUUAAUUUCGAUGAAAAUUCUUAUGAUGUGACUGCCGUGUCGAUAACGCGCGAGUGCUAUUCCUCCCACAAUUUAAUUUGUAUAAAUGUCACCAUCAAAUUUUAAUAAAAAUUGUAUAACUGCUACGAUGCAAUUUCCUUUCUUUUGUGAGAAAUCUGCUGCCCAAUUUUGGCCAGUUGACGUGCGCAGGUCAAUCCAACUGUCCCUGCUGGUGGACGGAAGAAUCUUCGUUGGAGUAUCAAUGGGAAGAGACCUCAUCUCCAACAACCUAUCUUAACAAAAGAUGCAGAAAAUUAAACGCCAAGAGGCUACUUUCUUUAUUUUGUGAACAGUAACGAACUAGAAGGAUCAGUGUCGUAAAAUAAGUAAUUUACUUGCCCAAAAUAAGAAUCAAUUUAGCUACGAAACCAAGGAGAUGAUUGAGCUCAAGAUAGCAGCUUUUAUCCUAUCGUCUUGCAAGGAAAACAAGCUACGAAUUGCUUGCAUCAUCCGAAGCUAUCCAACCAAUGGUUGAAUUUCUCAGUCAAGACUAUGCUGAAGGCAUCAGUGUGCAGGCCAGACUCGAUAGCAUAGCCACACUAAACCUCUCGCGCUGCCAUCAGAUUAUUUUGUCUCAGGUCUCUUCGGGCGUAGUGUUCUCAGUAAUAAUCCAAGGCUUGGAAAAAUCAAGCCAACCGGUUGAGAAGGCAAUUGUGCUACUUGACGACAUUGUUUCUUCAUCGAAGACUGCGCUCAAGGAAACUGCAGGUACGUGCAGCACAAUCUGGGUGCUGGUUGAGACAAUCGAAGGGGGAUCGAUGAAAUGCAAGGAGCACGCAGCGAGUAUACUCCUGCUUAUAUGCAAGAGGUGCAGAGAGAACUACAGAGGACUGAUACUGAGAGGAGGAGCAAUGCCCGGACUGCUUCAGCUGAGUGGAUGGGACGCGCACGGCUAACACUGCGGCAUGGAAGUUGCUGUUUCUUUUGACUGUUCCAAUUAUGGUUCGAGAAACAAGCAAUCAAGGAAUAAGUUGACGGUGUGAGUACAACGGCAUUGAGACCGUUCCAAUUAUGCAGGAAAUUGAUGCAGAAGGAGAAAAAGUUGACAGGGUGAGUACAACGGCAUUGAGGCUGGUGGAGGACAUGCUUGCAGAGAUCAGCAGUGGACGAUGAUCUCGACCAAAUUCUGAGCUUUACCAAGAAGAUUAAAAUGUUGGAACAGCCGUUUAUCUCGUUUAUUGAACAAACGAUGAGGACAACAAUGCCGUCUAGCCUCUUUCAAAAUUUAGACUUCUUUCUCAUAAAAAUUGACAGAAUCUACGGUUGAAUUAAAGUCCAACAGGCAAAUUGAAAACAAUCACAAGAGCUUAGAAAAUACCACACCAACAUUUGGCCAGCAGUCUCACAACAAAUCCCACUGUCAAGAUAAAACCAUUCAACAGUGUAUUGGAACAACAAAUUUCAGUUGUGUAAGCAAUCAACAUAAAGGAACACUGAAUACUUUUGUAACUAUAUAUGGAUUAGCUUCGGGAAUUCAUCAAACCCUCCAAAAAAGAACGUAUAGUGUAGCUACCAUAUUCUCCUUUCAUAUAAGAGCUUAUUUAAUUAAUGUUAUAACACCUUUCUACCAAGAAAAAAAAGAAGAAAAUACGGCCUCUACACCCGUGGCAAAACCCGACAUGGAUUAGAGUACGUUUCAGCCUAACCUUCUGUAAAAGCUAUAGGCCACAGCCACUGUUACCACUGCUCCAACCACGGCAGCAGCUGCGAGAACAUCGCUUUGCUCCCAGUUCCCGAUCAAGCUUGACAGCUUCCCUAGGGAAUCCUUCCUGGCACAAGACUCUCUGGUUUCUUUCACCUUCUUUUCCUCACUUCCAUCGUUCUGCUCUAAACUUACUUCUUUGCAGCAUGUAAAUCCUUUACUAUUUGCACCCUGGCAACAGCCUGAAAGGUUCUCAUUAUUCUGAAUCUGAUUGCCGUUUUCUUGGGGCUUCUCCUCGAUUUUCUUUCUCCUCCAUUUGGAAGCUUCUGGUCAUUAAUUUUUUCAGCUUCAUCCGAAGAUGCUCCCAUUUUGCCCCUGUAAGGAAUGAAAUUGAAUUUCAAGUUCAGCCAUAUAAAGAUUCAACUCUAUGUUUCAUCAAUAGCAAUCGAGUAAGGACAUGUAUGAUCAAGCUUAAUAAACAAUUUGACAACAGUGCCUACUUGACCCCGGCCCCCCUUCCCCAAAACCACCUUUGGUUUGGUUUAUCUAUAAAAACAAAAAAAGUAGUUUGAUUUGGUUCACACGAGUUGUUUGAUUUGGUCCCUCAAUGUUAAUGUAACUCCAUAUCAAUAAUCUAUCAUACAACACUAUAAGUAAUCAGCAAUAGGAAAAUAUGACAACAGAAGCUUCAGUUCCAGUGAACUUUUCAUCAGCAGACAGUAGGCAAACCUGAAAACACACAAACCUCCAAAGUCGUUCUAUGAUCUAUCCCUUCCCAAUAUGCUGAUCAAGCAAUUCCGGCACAUCCUCAGUAGUGACGUAGCCAUACCUGCAAUUAUUAAUACCAUAAUAUUCAAAUUCCUUCAUCUAUCCCAAUACAAUAAAUUUUAAAUUGUUAUGAUCCGGAUAUUACCAAUGGCCUGUUAUGCUUCCAUCUGAACGUGGGCUGUAGACAAUCAAGUUUCCAGCAUACUUGUGGUCUCCAAUGUGAGAGCAAGCAGUAACAAAUACCUGAUUUGUUAAUCGUCGCAGCUCAGCCUCCUCUUUGAACUUAUCAAUGAGGACAGGUCGACAAACUCCACAUCUUUUAUCUCGACUACCAUGUGCACAUACAAAUACAUGGGAGCCAGUCAACGCCUCUUGCACUCCGGAAGCCCAUGGUUUGUCAUUCACAAGGACAUCAUCAACAAAGCUUUCCACAUCCGACUCUUUCAGGCCCCUUUGAUCAAGAAACAACAAACACCUCAGAAUCACAAAAGGAAUUUACAGGAAACAAUAACCUAACACUCUUUAAUUCCUUGUAAGGCAAGGGAUUAGUCGUAAACUGAGCCAUUAAAUUCAAUUUCUAGAACUAAUUUCAGAAGCUAACACAUAUCUAAUUAUCUAUUUAGUUCAGUAAACUCAGCACAAUCUCGUAAUCAAAAUAGAAGUUGAAACAGAAAUAAAACACUAAAUGCGGUCACAACUUGCAUUCAAUCAAUUUCCAUGAAAAUCACGAGAAAUUUUUCUUUGUGCCGGGAACAUGGCCCGAUACACAAAGUGUAAUAAUACAAUUGGUUGGAAACCACGCCGUGUUACCGGCACCCAACCUCUGAGUAAACAAGGAAAAUUUCAAGGUAUCAACACCAAAACUAGUCCAAAACACACUAAAUUAGCUCAAUUCGAGACUUCGUAAAUUGAAAUCGGAAAAUCAUAAACUCUAUCUCUAGUUAGCAAUCAUUGAAAUCUCCAAGUCAAAUAAAGCAAAUCUGAAGAAUCAAACACCACUCACUGGUUAAUUAUCUAAAUCCUAUAAAUUUCGGUUAAAAUUAAGCAACUACAGAGCAAAAAUCUCAAGAAAUGAACGUGAAUUCACCUGUAUUUGAUCAUUUGUGGGAAAAUCAACACAUCACCGUCGGAAAACUCAGUUCCUUCGCGUCCUUCAAUUACUGUCAGCAAAGUCUAUCAAAAACCAAGAAACAAAGUGAGUAACGGAGUCAACUCAGCUCAACACCAGAACUCAGUAGCUCCAGGAAAUAAGAAACGGUAAGAAAAAGCGAUCAGCAACGCCGACGAAUUGAGCUGAAAAACGGACCUUAACGGCGAAGUCGUUCUUGCGAGCUUUGAGAGCGGAGGCGAAGAACUUAGGUAGCAGAGGAAGACGUGGCGGUCGUAGGCGUUGACGGUACCGGCAAGUUUUUCCUUGAACAUCUCCUAUCUCUUGAAACCGAAUUUCUCGUCUUCGGCGGCGGUGACGGCGGCAGAGAGGUCGUCGGAGGCCAUUGCCAGGGCUCGGAGAGGAGGAAUGAGGGGUUUAGCGGGGGUUGAAGUUGAAAACGAUGAGAGCGAAAAGAUGAGAGAGAAAGAACAUUGUUGUUUGGAGUUGGUGUGGGUGUAGGUGCGCAAUGCGCAUACGGCGCACGAUAGGGUUUCUGAGGCGAUCUGCAGCCAUAGGACUCGUUGUAGUUCUCUAGCCCUCCAAAAUUCUUCAAGAUAUUAAUAUUUUAAUAAACAAUACAGGAUCAUAUUUGUCUCCGUCUCCAACCGAGGGUCAGAGGGCUAGAGGGCUCGUUUUAGCCUUUUCACAAAAAAUCAUCUCCAACCGAGGGCCAAAGAGCAAUAGGGCCAAACAUAAUUUAUUAUUUAAAAACUACAACUUAAAUAGACAUAAAAAGGUUUUAUGUUUUUAAAUAUUUUUAAAAAUGUUGUUUAAGUUUCAUGUUGUAUAAUUUUUAUGUUGGUUAAUGUUAUUUAAUGUUGUUUCAUAUUGUUUAAUGUUGUUUCAUGUUACUUAAUUUAAUUUAAUGUUGUAUAAUGGCUUAGGAAGUUAUAGGAAAAAAAAUAGAAUUUAAAAAAAAUAUGAAACAAAUUUUGUGAAAUAGAAGUUAUAGGAAAAAUGGAAUUUAAAAAAAUAUGAAACAAAUUUUGUGAAAUAGAAGUUAUAGGAAAAAAAUGGAAUUUUAAAAAAAAAUAUGAAACAAAUUUUGUGAAAUAGAAGUUAUAAGAAAAAAAUGGAAUUUAAAAAAAAUAUGAAACAAAUUUUGUGAAAUAGAAGUUAUAAGAAAAAAAUGGAAUUUAAAAAAAAUAUGAAACAAAUUUUGUGAAAUAGAAGUUAUAGGAAAAAAAUAUGAAAUAUAUUUUGUGAAAUAGAAGUUAUAGGAAAAAAUAGAAGUUAUAUGAAUGUAAAAAAAUAAUAAUAAUAAAAUUGUAAAAAAAAAAAAUCAAAUGCAACGGCUACUAGCCGUUGCAUUUGAAUUUUUUCUUAAGAAAUCAUGUCGGUUAUAACCGACAGAAAUACAUGCUAUUAUUUAAUAUAAUGUAUUACUAUCGGUUAUACAUGCUAUUAUUUAGUAUAAAUGUAUUAAUGUCGGGCUGGCUAGCUGCAUGCAGCCCUCCAGCCCUCUCCGAUUUCAUGGGACCCUUCCAGAUUCCAGAGCUCUCUGGCCUAGCCCUCUGUUGGAGACGAUUUUCGGGCUAUUUUCGACUCUCUGACCCUCUGGAUCCUUCGGUUGGAGAUGGCCUGAAGGUCAGAGUGGGGACGUGUGGGGUUUGAUUUGUAGUUCAUGUAUUUACCCCUUUUGAUAUCUCUGAUCAUAUUGGACGGAAGCUAAAAGAUAAUUCAUGCACGCAAAAAUGGAAGGCCCUACAAACGGAGGAGGACAAUGUCUGCACGGAAAAUCAUCCUCUCUGAAUUUCUUUCUCCUAAUCUAACAAGUUCGGGAUCUGAAUCGUUAAAAUUUGAUCCAACAAUUAAGGUUAUUAUAACUUUUAAAGUGGACUUCUGUUUGUAGUCGUUGAAUCAAAUUUUAACGGUCUGGAUCCCCGAACUUGAUGGAUUAGAAAGAAGAGAUCCUUUCCUAUCUGCACCCAGGAAGUGGGUACAAGCGCGUGGGAUUUAAUUUUGUGAUUCAUUGCUGCCUGAGGAUUUUUUGGCGGUAGGUUGGAGGGAACCGACUGAGAGCAAAAUUGUAAAAUCCCCUAAACUCGGUGACGUGGCAACCUGUAAUUCUGAAAGGGUUCCGGAUCCUUUCGUUCUAAUAUAUCAAGUUCGGUGAUCAAGACCAUUGAAAUUUAAUCAAACAACUACAAAGAGGGACUCGCUUUAAAAGUUAUAAUGACUUUAACCGUUAGAUUAAAUUUCAAUGAUUAGAUUAAGAAAAAAAAAGAUCCGAAGAUAGAUCUAUUUUCAUGUAAUUCGGCCUUUACAUUCUGUCAAGAAACAGGCCGGUCACUUCGUUGAUUAAGUCAAGCCGUAAGCCUUGGUCCAACGUGGACAACUUCUAGAUGUCUUGUUUCUUUCAUUAAUUUAUUUCUUGAGAAUGACUUUUAAUAUUUGAUUUAAUUUUUUUGGUUAAUUAUUGAAUUUAAUUUGUCAAUGGCUCAAUUUUGGGGUGGGAUCAAAAAACCGAAAACCAAACUGAACCGAAACCGAAAAAAUCGAACCGAACGAAAAAACCGAACCGAAUUGAAAAAACCAAACCGAACCGAACUCUUUUGGUUCGGUUCGGUUUUGGUGGUCUAGAAAUCGAACCAAACCGAACAGAACCGAAAUAAUUAAAUUAAUAUUUUUUUAAUUUUAUUUCUUUAAUUAUUUGAUUUUAUUAUAUUAGAAUAUGAUACUUCAUACUGCUGCUUUGGUAGGAUUUGUUUGCUUUCCAAUUCAAAUUGUCUUCUCAGCUUCUCCAUCUACAACAAAAAUUAGAACUUAUACCAUUACAUGCAAUAUUUCUAGUUUAUAUCAUUAAGUGCAACACAUAUAUAAGAACACAUAUCUCAACUGCACUGCAGUUGAUUAGGAAAAGCAAACAGCGUAUAAAAGUCUCAUGAGUUUAUUAAACACUACGAGAUCAAAAACAAAAUUCAAACUUUCUCACCUAUGGCCAAGUAUAGUAGCUUCCGCGGCCUAACAAUUUUGAAAAGUAUAUCAAUAUAUUCAAAAAUAUUGAUGAACACCUCUUCAAAAUUUGCUGGUGGUAGAAGCUGAACACAGAAUGUAGAAAUUAUAUUAUGUCACCACAUUUAUGGAUAAAAAAAAUUUGGAUCAUAAAGAUAAAGAAAAUAUCAAAAAUUGUUACCUAGACAAUAAUCAAAAUAAAUAGUAUAUUAUAGAAUGUUUAUCUUAUUGCUAGUGAAGAAUACAUGUGUGUGUGUGUGUGUGUGUGUGUGUGUAUAUAUAUAUAUAUAUAUAUAUAUAUAUAGAGAGAGAGAGAGAGAGAGAGAGAGAGAGAGAGAGAUUGAGAGAAAGAGAGAAAUGAAUAAGGUCGUACUCCAUCAUCAUCGUCUAAAAAGAAAUCUAUUUACAGUUAAACUUUAAACCCAAAAUAUUAAAAAAAACCUUUAUGUUAUAAUUCUAUUUGAACUUUAAAUGUUUAUUUUCAUUAUCUUUUAAGUCUAGCCGGAAUGUUUAUGUUAUGAUUGUGUUGGAUAUGUUAAAAUUUAAGAUUUCAAAUUUUUUCAUUUUUUGAAAAAAAAUCGAAACCGAACCGGAAAAAACCAAACCGAUUUGAACCGAACCCACCCCUAGCUCAAUUUGCCAAUUUGUCAAUGAUACAAUUUAGGAUGGUGCUAUUCACUCAACUAUUUUUACUUCUCGAGUAUCUUCUUUAAUUUAUUUGAUUUAACAGCUAAACAUUGAGAGGGGUGUGUGAAACGUAAAAUAGUUUUUUAAUAGCACACCCCUACAAUUUAAAUACAAAGGAGUGUAGAUUUCAAACAACGAUUGAAUUUUAAGAUGACGCAUUUUGUUGAUUUUUCACAUUUAAGUUUGAAAUGAGCCGUUUUCGUAAUCUAUUAUAUUUAUUCUUGUGAUGCGUGUUUCAGUUGAAAAAACUAUCGUUUUCCAAAAAAAAAUAAUAAUAAAGAAAUGUAGGGUAAGGAUAGCAUUUAAAUAUUUAUGUUGAGAGUAAGGAAAAGAUAGAGAUGUGUAAAAUUCAUUUCCAUUCAUACAUUUUCGUGUUGUUUAUGUUGGUCUUUCAAUUAUUUAUGUUGAGAGUAAGGGAAUAAUUUGUACUAGGCAGUGUCAAAUUACAACCCUAAUUGAAAAACAUCUUGUUCGCCUGACCUAUGAAGGCCUACAGUGGAUACCUAGGCAUCCAGAGACGAGGAAGGGCAUAGUAAGCGAUGAAAUGCUUCAGAGAGUUGAAAAAUAAGCGUGGAUCCAAAUAUUCCGAAAUAUUUGACUGUUUCGAGCAAUAUGUAGGCCAAAAGACGGACGAUACAUAAACAGAUUAUUCGAAGUAGGGAUUCAUAAACAUCAAGUAUACAUUCUGUUGGAUAGUGGCCAAAUUAGUGGCCAAGUGGCCAAAAGCAUAUAAUAAAAAAUGAAGGAAUAAUGAUGUGGGAACAUCAUUAUGACGAGACAAAUGAUUAUGUUUGUUGAAAAGAAAAAUGAAGGUCAUGAUGAUGUUUGUAAAGGAAUGAUUAUUCAUUUACUUUGGAUUUUUUAUUGGGUGCUUUUGUAUGGAUGAAGGUUGCAGCCGAAUGAGGCCUUUUGGUUAUAUUAAGGCAUUCGAUUAUGCCUUUGGUUGUGUGGUGGAGCAGCAUCAGAUGAGAGCCAUACCAAGGAGAGCGUUCGGCUCUCCUAUUUGAAACAGUGUUGCUCAUUUCCAUUUGUUAGUAAUCCCUCAAUCAAAGAUGUUGCUGCUACAUGUUGUGUAGCUUUUGGGAGAGAUGGUAUUUGAUGUGUGUCCAUCUUCUCCAAUUGUUCUUUGUGAGAGUGAGAGUUAUUAGGUGUAUGUGGGAUUUGGGUUUGAGAGUUAAAACUCUAUUUGUAAUCUCCUUUUGAUAUUAGUGGAAUUUCCUCGCCAUCUCGGAACUGGACGUAGGCUUACUCCGAAUCAGUAUAAAUCCUUGUGUCAUUUGUCGAAAUUGUCUUAUCAUAUUUUGCUGUUGUAGCUUAUUGGUUUCAUAUUUGAUACUUCCGCACAACAAGUGGUAUCAGAGCUCCGGAUUUCGACUUGGGGGCUUUGUACAUGUAUGUCUAUGAAACCUUCGAAUAUGUUGGUGAAAUAUGAUUGAAAAAUUCGACGGGAGGAAUGACUUUGGCAUUUGGUCAAUUGGAGAUACAAGUUUUGCUUGCAUUGUUGCGAAAUGCGUGGCAUUGAAGAAGGAUGGUAAGGGAUCAUGCUGCAAUCCCUGAGCUCGCAGAUUGGAGAAUAGUUCCGAAAACAUCAUAUUUGCUGCAAUGUUGUUGAAGUGUUGGUGUUCGAAGGUUGCAGGUGUAGUGUACUGUUUUGGUAGAUUAUCCGUUGGUCAUCGCUGCAUCGACAGUGUUUGUGGGCUGUUGUCGACAAGUUGAGUGGGAAGGAGAAAAAGUAGAAGCUGUUGAGAAUUGAAAAGAAAAUGUUGGUUCCUUUUCUUUCGGCAUUUGUUUUGGCAGAAGGACAUCAUGAUGACAAAUGAUGUUGUUGGCUGAAAAAAAAAAAAGGUUAAGUUUUCUUCUCUUUGGCAUUUUUUCAACGGUAGAGAAUUUUUUCUUCACUCCCAUUGGUUGCCUUUGGAGCAAGUUGAUGGAAACAUUGGAGGAGUUUGUGAGGGCCAAUUUGUUGAGUUCUGCAAUUUUGGAUAGUGAGGCACCACACUAUUUUGGAUACACCACAUGCAUUGCAGAACAUUUGUGUGGAACCCUCUUGUAGAAGGCAAGUUAUAUGCUUUCUAACUUUGUUUGGUCUAUGGACAUUGGUUGGAUUUGUUUGCCACUGAUAUUUGGUUUGUUGGUCUCUAGCAUCUGGAAUAUGCUUUGUUGAAGACUCAUGUUGAGGUAUGGUUUUGGAUCUCCUACUGAUUAUUUGAAUUUGAAAUAUUUGGUUAUCCUAUUGGUGCUCAUGUGAUGAUGGUAAACUUGAGUGAAGGGCAUAAUAUUGAUAUUCAUAGGAUCUGAAUUUGGGUGAAAGGUUUUGUAUGUGGUAUGUUAAACAUUGUUGCCAAAUUUUGUAAUCAGUUUUGACUUGGAGAAUGUGCCCUGCUAUGUGAAUGAAUCUAUUGGUGCAGUUUAAGACCAUGGUGUUUGUAAGCAGGUGGAGUUCGUUAUGUGUCCAACUUUGGUAUGGUGUGCUUGAUCUUUUGUCGGUGAUAUUAAAGAAUUUCAGUUCUUCGUUUGAAUCACCUUUGUUUUGAUCAAGGCACUUAUGGUUUGCAAAUCUGGAGAAGACGGUAGAGAAAUGGUCUACUUUUGUUGGCUCUGGUACAAUUUGAAUUGAGGUGGAGAUCAUUAUAGUACCGAAAAGUUAGGGGAAUUUGAUUUAGUUCCCGUUGUCUUUAGUUUGUACUUUGGGUGCUUAUGGUGAUUGUUGAUUCGAUUCUCUGUGAUGUUUUCGAAAUUUGGCAAAGGUGGAGAUUGUUGGAUAGUUGCCAAAUUAGUGAAAAAGUUGUCAAAAGCAUAUAAUAAAAAAUGAAGGACAUAAUGAUGUCGGAACAUCAUUAUGAGGAGACAAAUGAUUAUGUUUGUUGAAAAGAAAAAGAAAGGUCAUGAUGAUGUUUGUAAAGGAAUGAUUUACUUUGGAUUUUUUAUUGGGUGCUUUUGUAUGGAUGAAGGUUGCAGCCGAAUGAGCGAGAGAAGGUAGAGCCUUUUGGUUAUAUUAAGGCAUUCGAUUAUGCCUUUGGUUGUGUGGGGAAGCGGCAUCAGAUGAGAGCCAUACCAGGGAGAGCGUUCGGCUCUCUCAUUUGAAACAGUGCUGCUCUUUCCCAUUUGUUAGUAAUCCCUCAAUCAAAGAUGUUGCUGCUACAUGUUGUGUAGCUUUUGGGAGAGAUGAUAUUUGAUGUGUGUCCAUCUUCUCCAAUUGUUCUUUUUGAGAGUGAGAGCUAUUGGGUGUACGUGGGAUUUGAGUUUGAGAGUUAAAACUCUAUUUGUAAUCUCCUUUUAAUAUUAGUGGAAUUUCCUUGCCAUCUCAAAACUGGACGUAAGCUUACGCCAAACCAGAUCCUUGUGUCAUUUGUCGAAUUUGUCUUAUCAUAUUUUGCCGUUGUAGCUUAUUGGUUUCAUAUUCGACGCUUCUGCACAACACAUUCCUCAAAAUUUUCAAUGCAAUUGGAUUUCCUCAAAUCUCAGGAACUACCAGAUUGUAAUGCUUGCAAUGGAAAGGAACCAUUGUGUACAUGUAGUAACCACACGAAUCAGUUGGAGACUUGUUUUUCAUCAGAGGAAAACAAAAGGCUAAGAAUCAAAAGAAAUCAAUCUCUAAAUAAUUACCCGAAGGCUUCAAAUCAACGCCCGGCAUCUUCCCGUUCAUGGGUUCUUUCGGUGUAUCAGGAGUCUCCAAUAUGUAGUGCUUUGGCACCUGGGGUGGAGUUGUACAGCGAAUCAGUGCCCAAUUCACGCUUUGGAAAAACGGAUGUUGUUUAACUUCUGUUGCUCCCCGCCUAUACGCAAGACGAUGCUGUGGCUCCUUGACAAGUAAACCUCUGAUCAAGUCCCUGGCUGCAAAGCUGACAGAAGGCAACUCUGGAAAUCUUAAAGGCUGGCCAACCACAUUAAACAAAGUAGCCCGGUUUCCUUGCCCCUUGAAUGGAGUUCUUCCGAACAAAAGCUCGUAGAGAAAGAUCCCAAAGGUCCACCAAUCUACAGCGCUGCCAUGGCCUUCACCUUUAAUGAUUUCAGGCACCAAGUACUCGUGUGUUCCCACAAAGGACAUUGAUCUAGCACUUGUCGGUUCUGCAACGAGUUCAGGGAGAGGGCUCACUUGAUUGUAUACAUCAUUAUCAUUGUUCUUCACCUUGAUCUUUUUAUCUUUCUUGGGUUUGCCCUUGAAAAUGCGUGGACCAAAACAUGUGGGCGUAAUGCAAUCCGGCUGCAUUACACAAGUUGGCUGGAUGCACGCAGGCUGAACACAAUAUGCUGAUUUCUUUGUCUCCAAACUUAAGUUUGAAGAUCUUACCAGGGUGGGGGAAACGGCACAUCUUAAAGAAAGGUCGAAAUCUGAAAGCAUUAUAUGUCCAUCUUCCCUCACCAAAACAUUCUCUGGUUUGAGGUCUCUGUAAAUGAUCCCGAGCAUAUGCAAAUAUUCCAAGGCAAGAAGAACUUCAACCACAUAAAACCUGCAAAAACAAACGGGAGAUAAACACACGAGAAUUAUUAUCUUCAGCAUGUCCCCAGCACUGGCAAAUAAACGUGUGCAAAACACUUGAUGUCCUUCUAGUUUAUAGGUUUACUCCUGCCUUUUCUCUGCAGGCUAUUGAAAUAUGAUUCCUAUUGUAACCUAAACUGAAAUGUGUAUGUGCACUAAUCAAAAAGUAAACUGAAAGGAGAAGUAUGAAGGAAUAUCUAACCUAGCAGCAUGCUCCGAAAAAUGCUUCCCAGGUUGUUUUUGUCUGAGUGCAUGCAGAUCACCCCAGGGACAAAACUCCAUCACCAAACAAGAUACCUUCUCCGUCUCAAAGUGUGUAUACAAUGUUGGCAGGAAAGGAUGAUCCAGAGAUUGCAGUAUUUCCCUCUCUGUCUGAGCCCUAAGAAGUUUUUUCCUACUUGCCAGUAAUGCUUUAUCCAUAACCUUCAUGGCGAAAUAAGUUUUAGUGCCAAUCAGUUCAGCCAAAUAAACGCUGCCUAUAUCUCCACAUCCCAGUGUCCUCAACAACUUGAAAUGCUCCUUACCCAGUGUUCCAUCAUGAUGAGAUCGCGCAGCUUGCACCGCUUCCCAACUAAUAUCAUUUGCCUUGUGGGGCUUGUACAUGGCAUUGCUCAAACUACUGGAGCUGCUCUCAUCGCUAACAUCGCUGCCAGUGCUGCCUCUAUAGAUGCUGGUCGUCCUGCUCUCAAUAAGAUCACAGGAAUUAGUAACUUCACUGCUUUCAACAGACUUCUCCACACUGUUGAUACAUUCACUGACUUCUGUAUUGGUGAAACUCUGCUUGGCUUCACAAUAUAGAGAGGCAGAAUAUAAACUGUUCUGAGGGCUUGCACAGUGAGAAAUGAGGUGGCUAUUUGUCUGCCCGGCUACUCCUUUAUAAGGAACCAAACCGUGAUUUCUAGAUUCCAUAUAUCUACUCGAAUCACAAUCAUUAACCGGAUGCUUGACGCUUGAUUUUGCUUCCAGCACGGAAACCUUGUUCAGAUAAGAAGUUUUGGCUGAUUUGUUAAGAACAUCAUUUGGGCCUCCAUGCUCAAGUGUUCCUGUUAAGUUUGAUAUUUCUAUAUAUUCAUACUGCUGCAAUGGCAGCAUUGCUUUAUACAUUGGAUACGUACACGCAUGCAUUAAACUAAAUAUAAAUGAAGGUGGAGUCCUCGCUGCCCAUAGUGCAGAAACUGCCCAUAAAGCACAAACACAGAUGCACAGCCCACGUGGGCAGUUUAGCUGUCAAGGCAUGUGUUGAAACCAUGUGCAAUAUUCUUCUGACAGGUUUGCUCUUUAACAUUCCCCCUCAAGUUGGAAUGGAUGUUGAUUAUUCCUAACUUGUGGAGCAAAGUCGUAAAUUGAUGUAAGCUCAGUGGCUUUGUGAAGAUGUCAGCUGGUUGCUUCAUGGUUGAAAUAUGAGACGUCCUGAUCAUACCACUUUGAAUCCUUUCUCGUACAAGGUGGCAGUCAAUUUCUAUGUGUUUGGUUCUUUCGUGAAAGACCGGAUUCGAAGCGAUGUGAAGUGCUGCUUGAUUAUCGCAAUACAACUUGACUGGAUGUUUAUGUUUGAUGCCCAAGUCUUGUAAAACAUAUUUCAGCCAAGUGACUUCACAACAAGAUGCUGCCAUUGAGCGAUACUCCGCCUCCGCACUAGAACGUGACACAGUGUUUUGUUUCUUGCUUUUCCAGGAGAUUAAGGAUUCUCCAAGGAAUACACAAUAUCCGGUGGUAGAACGUCGUGUGUCACGACAUCUGGCCCAAUCUGCAUCACAAAAGGCAUUCAGUUGGAUUGGACUUCUUGCAGAGAGAGAAAAAUACCUUGCCCUGGUGUAUGCUUAAUGUAUCGUAAGACUCGGUGGGCUGCCUCCAAGUGUGGAGUUCGAGGCUUCUCCAUAAAUUGACUAAGAAUGUGGACAGCAUAGACCAAAUCAGGGCGCGUGAUUGUCAGGUAGAUUAGUCUCCCAAUAAGCCGUCGAUAAGAAGAAGGAUCAGUGAUGCAUUGUCCUUCGUCCUUUCUGAGUGAUAAGUUUUUGCUCCAUAGGAGAGGUGGCUACUUUUGCACCAAGGUAACCUGCAUCCUCAAGUAUUUCAAGGGCAUAUUUUCGCUGUGAGAGAGCGAUCCCCUUACUAGAGCGAGCAAUUUCGAUGCCCAAAAAAAUAUUUUAGUUGGCCAAGGUCUUUCAACUUGAAUUGCUUCGUAAGGAAAGACUUGAUAUCCUCAAUUGCUUGUAUGUUAUUUCCUGCCAGGAUAAUAUCGUCAACAUAUACAAGGAGAGCAGUGAAUUUACCAUCAUGGUUUCGGACGAACAAUGAAUAGUCUGCCUUGGAUUGUUGAUGAUAACCAGCUUUGCUAAGAGCACAAGAGAGUUUGAUAAACCAUUGACGAGAGGCUUGCUUAAGCCCAUACAAAGAUUUAUGAAGUUUACAAACUCGUGUUUCCCCCUUUCGUCCGAAACCAGGGGGCAAGGACAUGUAGACAUCUUCUUCAAGGUCACCAUGAAGGAAGGCAUUGUGAACAUCAAGUUGGUGAAGGUGCCAUUGUUGGACUGAGGCAACGGCAAGAAGUAGGCGGACUGUAGUCAGUUUUGCAACCGGAGCAAAAGUCUCACGAUAGUCUAAGCCUUCAAUUUGGCUAUAACCUUUGGCAACCAAGCGUGCUUUAUACCGCUCAACUGAUCCAUCGGAACGAAAUUUGAUUUUGUAGACCCACUUACAUCCAACCGGCUGCUUUCCAGGGGGGCAAUGGUUGAAGAGACCAUGUCCUAUUUGCAGCAAGGGCUGCCAGUUCUUCUUCCAUGGCUAAACGCCAUUGGGGGUCGCGUACGGCCUGUGAGAAUGAACUGGGUUCUAUGGCAGCUGAAAUGGAAGUGGUGAAAGCACGAUGGCGAGCAGAUAAGCGAUCAUAUGUGAGUACAUCAGACAAAGGAUAAGAAGUACCUACCACUGUGGUCAAUGCUGAGUGAGAUGAAGGGACGGACCGAGAAGGAAGGUUAAUGCCAACGUGAUAUUGUUGAAGAUAACCAGGUGCAUGAGUGAGGCGUUUAAGACGAGGUGGUGAAGGGGAUUGGUCGACUGAAGAGGAUGGAUCGACUGAAGUGGAUUGGUCUACUGAAUCUUGUUCUAGUGGAAGGGACGGAUGAAUGAUGGUGUCAUCACAGUCAAUAUCUUGAGUAUAUGGAAACACAACAGGUGAGACGGCAACGGAAGAAGAAAAAGGGAACACAUUUUCAUGAAAAAUAACAUCACGGGAAAUAAAAAUUUUACCCGUUUGAAGGUCGUAAACUCGAUAUCCUUUGGUGCCGUAUGGAUAGCCAAGAAAAAUACAACGUGUGGCUCUUGCAUCAAAUUUGGUUGGUCUAUGGUGGUGUGUGGAAGAGAAACAUAAACAACCAAACACUCGCAAAUGUGCAUAUGUUGGCUGUUUGUGAUGAAGGAUUUCAUAGGGUGAUUUUCCGUGAAGAAGAGGAGUGGGAGUCCUAUUAAUGAGAUAAGUGGCAGUUAGGAUUGCAUUACCCCAAAAUUUCUUGGGAAGAUGAGAUUGAAAAAGCAAGGCUCUAGCAACGUUAAGUAAGUGGCGGUGUUUACGCUCUGCUACCCCGUUUUGUUGGGGAGUAGAGACACAACUUGUUUGAUGUAGAAUGCCUUUAGAUGAAAAAAAAUGGGUCAUAAAAAAUUCUAGACCAUUAUCACUACGAAGAACCUUAACUCGUGUGGAAAAUUGUGUUUCAACAAGGUGGAUGAAUGUGAUGAGAUAUGAUCGUGCAUCUGAUUUGUGAUUCAUUAAAUAAACCCAUGUGCAUCGUGUGAAAUCAUCUACAAUGGUCAAGAAAUAUUGUGCCCCUGUGAUAGUGGGAACAUGGUAACCUCCCCAAAUGUCAACAUGAAUUAAUUCAAAAGGAGCUUUUGUUUUAAUAGAACUCAAAGGAAAAGGAGCACGUGUUUGUUUGGCUAAGGGGCAGAUCAAACAAUCAUCAAUGCUACAAAAAUUCAAAUUUUUAAUGCAAGGGGAGAUAGCCCGUAAGGUUUUGUUGGAAAGAUGGCCAAGGCGUUGAUGCCAAAGCUGAGAAGCAGAGAAAGAGUAACAACUGACACUGAAUUGCACCUGGUUUUCGUCACAUUAUCAAGGUAGUAGAGGCCUCCUUGUUCAGUUCUCGUCCCAAUCAUCUUCCCCGAUCGUUGGCCCUGAAGUAGACACUUUUUAUCAGUGAAGAUGACAAAGCAAGAUGAGGUAUUAGUGAUUUUGCUGACAGAAAUUAAAUUCAGUUUAAAUGAUGGAACACAAAGCACGUUGUAAAGGACGAGAUCGUUCGAGAGACGAACUGUGCCAAUAUGUGUGAUAUCGGCAAGUGCAUGAUUGGGUAGGUGCACUUGUCGAUUGUAUACCGGAACGCUUGUGGUCAUCAAACUUGGUGAGCAAACCAUGUGGUCUGUGGCGCCAGUAUCGAAAAUCCAGUUCCUUCCCUUAUUGAGAGGAGAAGCACAAAGAACUCUACCUGAUAAAUCAUUCAUAGUAGAGGUGGUACCGACAUGGUUAGAUGUGGAUUUAGACUGGCUCUUAUCAAGUAGUGCAAGCAGGUUGUGGUAUUGCUCGGGAGUGAGGCUGUAGGAUGAAGGAGAUGUUGCUGGAGGCGUUGGUUUGAUGUCAACGUGAUUAGCCUUGGAGUUGAACCCCUGCGAGUUGGAACCCCUGCGAUCUUGAUAAUCUCCCUUAUCGCUGUUGUCCUUUGCCUUUUUCAAUUUGCGGCAUUGGUCUAUGGUGUGACCUCUCCAAUUACAGUAGUCGCACUUGAGGUGUGCACACGACAGGUUUCUGAAGUAUGUCCGGUUGCAUCACAACGGCCACAUUUUAAAUGGGAAUUUCUAGGAGAAAAAUUCCUACCAGAGUUUCGCAUGUUGUCCCGCACGGCGAAAGCUGCGGCAUCAGUGAUUGAAGACCUUCCAGGAGCAUGUAUUGAGACUGCUCUCUGUUUCUCAUCUUGAAUAAUGAGUGAGAAAGCUUUGUUGACAGCAGGGAGAGGAUCCAUAAGUAAGAGUUGCCCACGAACUGCAGCGUAGGAUUCAUUGAGACCCAUGAGAAACUUCAUGGUUUUCUGACUUUGCUGAAACUGCAUCAAUUCUUUCGCAGCUCCACAAUGCACAGGUUGGGAGAGCGCACAAGGCAUCACGUUCAUCCCAAAAACUUUUCAGUUUGGUAUAAUAUGCACCAAUGUUCAAAUUUCCUUGAACACUUCCAUGUAUCUCUUGUUCGAUAUGGAAGAGAUGGACACUGUUUGUGUGAGAGAGAAGCGUUCCUUCAACUCAUUCCAAAUAUCAGCUGCAACAUUGUUGUAGAUGACACUUGCACCAAUAUCUUUUGAGACAGAGUUGAGCAGCCAAGAUUUCACGAGGUUGUUGCAACGAGUCCACUGUUGGUAUUCAAUUGUGGACGUCAACUUAGGCCUUUGAAUGGUUCCAUUGAUGAAUCCUUCCUUGUUCUUGGCAUUGAGGGCCAUGGUCAUGGCUCGGCUCCAAGUGGAGUAAUUUUCGUCAUUCAAUGGUUGGUUGUGUGACGAGAAUCGCUCCAGGCUGAUCGGAGUGAUGAAGAUAAAGAGGAUCGCUGGGAUCUUCGUAUUUGGUGUGUUUGCUGGAAGAGUCAGUUGCCAUGUUCACAGACAGUGUGCAGUGGCUGUGCUUUGCGGCUGUGCUUAAUGGCUGUGACAGGUAGAGCAGCGACGAUGGCUGUGUAGCGGUUUUGCGACGGCAAGGCAGCGAGUGUGCAGCUUGCAGUGCACUGGUUGCUGCAGUAGCAGAUGUCGCUGUUCACAGUAUAGCAGCGAAAGAGUGAAGGCAGAGCAGAGCAAAGGAUUACCUGCGCUCUGAUACCAUGUUAAGUUUGAUAUUUCUAUAUAUUCAUACUGCUGCAAUGGCAGCAUUGCUUUAUACAUUGGAUACGUACACGCAUGCAUUAAACUAAAUAUAAAUGAAGGUGGAGUCCUCGCUGCCCAUAGUGCAGAAACUGCCCAUAAAGCACAAACACAGAUGCACAGCCCACGUGGGCAGUUUAGCUGUCAAGGCAUGUGUUGAAACCAUGUGCAAUAUUCUUCUGACAGGUUUGCUCUUUAACAGUUCCUUUAUUCGAAUUGUGGUAGUGUUUCCCCAUAUGAAGAAACUCUUCCUGCUGCAUGUUAUGAUUAGUUGCCUUGUUGGGGUUCUUUUGAUUAUUUACAGAACCAUUUGAGUAGCUGUCUGUCUUCACCGAAUAAGUAUGCGCAGUCACGCAGGAUGGCGACGAAACCCCUUCGCUUCUUGAUUGUUUUGGAGAUGAGGGCUGAGAAGGACGAGGAGUCCCAGUUGUGGAAGGAGGGUUCUUGCCUACCUCAGGCGGUGCAGAAUAGCGAAAUUUCGGCAAAGAAUUAACCCCAUCAACCAGUGACCCCAUGGCUUUCACACAGGCACUGUCACUGCAAAAUUCAACUGAGCACUAUGAUAAUAUGAUAUGUAACAAUCUUACCACUAAAGGCAUUAAGUACAGAAUCAUCAACUUGAAUUGUCUUCCAAAAUUCAAAUUAACAAGGCAGAGCCGUCAAUUCGAAACACAGAAUCAACAAAAAAUCUGCAACAAUAUACAGUCAAAGAAAAUCCCAGAUGAACCGAAAUUCAAGAUACAAGCUUUAAUUCACAAUCUAAUUAAUGGCAGCGCGAAAGGGGAAAAAUAUAUCAAAAAAGGAUCAUUUGACAAAAUUUUCAACAAAAAUUUAUCUUUUUAUAAAACCCAGAAACCCAAAUUCUCCAGUGAUUGAACCCAAGUUCUAAUUUUGAUUCUUUUCAAAACCAAACACGACUUUCAUUUUCUUUUCGUUUCCCACAGUUUCUCGGCAACCAAACAACAGAACAACGCAAAAGAACCUCAAAGCAAAGAACCCAAUUAGCCAAAGAGAGCUUAGAAAAAUUACCUGAUCAGAGAAGAGAGAAAGCAGACGACAGCAAGCAACCUCGCAUGGCUGGUGGGCACAAUGAGAGAGAGAGAGAGAGAGGAGAGAGAGAGAGAGAGACCCAAAGAGCGAGAGCUCACAGAGAAAGUGAAACAACUUAGAGGGGGUCUCUGUUUCUGUUUUUCAUCUUUUGGAUUUCACUGAAGAGCUUCAGAUCCGAUCGAACAAGAAAUCCAGAGGAGGAUCAAGCAACAAGACAACAAACAAAGAAAAAAAUAUGAAUAAAUUUAUGAACUUUUAACUUCUGGGGAGAACAGAAAGUUGGAGUUUCUCUGGUUUUUCUCGUCGCGGUGUGGACUUGAGAGAAAAACGAAGCCAAAAUUCGCAAGCAAAGCGUAAAGCUUAAAAAGCCGUCUUUGUCUUUGGAUGUUUUUUUUUCCAAUGUAUUUUGUUCUCUGAGAAGAAAAUAUGGUGGAAAGAACGUCUCUUCGCUUUGUUCUUGUUGUGAAAAAAAAAAACUUUUUAACAUUUUAGUUGUAUCAUGGCUCAUGGCGCACGAGAGAUAUUUCAUUAUGUCGAAAACACGGUCUGAUGCGAUUAUAGUGUAUCAAACCGUGUUAUCUUAAAGUAUGUAGGAAACAUGAUUUGAUGCGCUAAGUGUCUUAAUAUAAUUUGUUGAAAAAAAUUCAUAUGAUAUAUAAUGUAUCAAAUCGUGUGCCCCUAAAAAUGUAUUACGAUAGUUGUUUUCAAUUUGUUCAUUGAGGUAUUUUGGCAAUUACAAUAAAAACAACCAGCGCAAGAAAUCUUUAGGGACCCGUAGCGUCAGUAAUUGAAAAAAAAAAUGCCUCUCUCUUGAGAAAUUUUGAAUGUACCCCUAACCAAUAGCCCGCUUUAAGAAUUCAAUCUUUAAAUGAAUGAAUUGGUAUUGUGAAUGUUAAGAAUUAUUAGCUGGUGAUCAGACUAGUGAUACAUUUUUUUUUUCUCAAUGUUUGAAUUCCCAGUACAAUAUAUUUUGUAGCACUCAAUCGAACCUACAUGGCAAGGAUGUAGAUUUUUCAAAUGUAUAUUUUUAAGAUAUGAGGAAUUUAAAUGAAGAAACCAAACCCAAAUCUUGUAGCACACCCUUAUUCUACAACUACAUACUCAAAUGCAAUGUCAUACGUAAUUGUACAAAUAUCAAACUCACUUUUUUUUAUUAAUUUUCAAUAGUUAUCAUACUUCGUCUUUCAAGUGUAACUUAUUUUUCGAGCUCCCAAUAACAACUCCAUUUACAUUUUAUAUGAGCAAUGUAAUUAUCGAUAUCACAUGACUCCUACAUUAUUUUCAAGGCAAUUAUGUCCAAUGACGAAUGUACAUUGAGACCAAAGUGGUUUUAGGAUCACCAAAAGUUCAGAAAAUACACAUGUGAAUGUCUUUCGAGAAAUGAUUGGUAUUGAUCCUUCUUGUGCCCAUUUGAUGUAAUGCAUGCCAGCAUAUCUUGAGAUGAUGCGUCGAUAUCACUCAUCAGACUGUUUCAGUGUAUGUCAUUAUCUAUUGACAUGUUUCUAUCUAAAAAAUUAACAUUAAAACCCUCAAUGAUCCUAAUCUUGAAUUCGCAUCUGAUUAUGUUAUCUGUUUUAUCCCAUAAGUAAGAGCAGAGGUCCUCAACAUUGUCAAAUUUUCAAGCAUUCUUUCCCCUCAAAUAUUAUUUUAUUUUCUCCCUAAAUUCCAAUAAUACAAUGCUAAUAAUAAUUUUUUAAUGGAAUCUAAUCCAAAGAGUGGAAAAUAUCCAACAUCUAGAAUGUAACUAGACAAUGUUUUGAUUGACCACAACACCAAAAUUCAGGGAGCAGAUAUAGGACUUAAUUUUCAUUUUUUUAAACAUUAUUUAGGUCCAAGAUAAUUAAAUUAAAUUAUAAUUAGUCGUAAUCACAUGGGGAUUAAGCAACCGCACAAAUCUCGUUAAUUCCUUUCGCGGGAACCAGGAGGGAGGCCUCACAUGCGCGCACGUGAACACCAGGACAAAGCACGUGGGCGGCUGUCAUGCCCGUCGCAUGAAUCUACGGUAGGCCCGCGGUGAAACUAAAAGAUAUGUUUAAUCUGGAAGGACAGGGCGCCCGUAUCAAAUGUUACGGAGCUUUGGGUAUGUGGGUCUACAAUCACAUAAAUUUUUCAACGUUGUCGAAAACACAGUCUGUUAUAUAAGGUAUCAUUGUAAAAGCAGUUAAUUUUUUUUUUUUUUCAAACUAUUUAUGUUAUUGGUGUACUAGUCUGUUUUCCGACAGACUGAAAAAUAUCUCCACAAUCACACUGGUGGUAUUUUGUAUUGUGGAUUGUAAGUGCAAAAAGAGUCUAAUAGCAACUUAUAUAAAAUGAAUAUCUCAAUUGUAAAAAUCAAUUCUACUACUCAAUGUUUCGUGAAAACCAAACUUACAUUUAACAUUGUGUAUUAGUUUAUCGGAACGCCCUAAUUGCGAUAAACACAAAUUUUAUAUGUCAUUUUUGUGAGUUAAAGCUCAAUCCUUUGUGUUAGCAUAGAUAAUAUCGAUGUUAAAAAAUAAGAAAGUCAUUCUCGUGAUGGUGACCAGAUACACGUAACAUGCUUUCCUAACAAUGUGGGUCCCAGCAAAGACCCAUUUCCUUAAAUUUUAAUUCCCAUCAGACAUCGGACGGUUCUAUAUUGCUUCUGGACAUUGAUGGAUGCUCUGCACCGUAAACUCUAUGCGGUGCAAAACACUUGGUUCUUGACACGUGUAAUUAUUAGAAGGGAAUUUAGACAGUAUCAUGACUAGUGGGGACCACCAUUACCAAUCACAUAACAUGGACAUACCUUGGGCAAAUCAUUUUCCAUUUUCUCCAUUAGACAGUGAGCAAUCUUUCAAUGUACCUGAAACAAAGUGACAUAAUAGUAAGUAACACGGAGGAUGUCAGGACCAGUUCCAGACUCAAAAACCUUAAGGCCCAGUUUGGUGGGAAAUGGAAUAGGUUGUGAUCAAUUAAAAUAAAUUUUGAGUUCAACAUGUUAUUUAUUAUGUUAAAUGUGAGAUAGACAAGACUGAACUGGGUUAUAAGUUCAGAAUAGAGUAGAUUAUCUAACUUAUCCUUAUAAAUAGGUUACAAGUCUUGUCUUAUAAGCCCCUACGAAUCUAAUCAUACCUCUGUUGUCUAAUCUCAUCCAUCACCCCAAACGGGCCCCUUCGUGACAUCACAACAUAUUGACUCAUGUGCAAAAUUCAUUGACCACACAUGUUCCAUAUACGAACAAGUAACUUUUUUCAGCUAGGCACUAACACUGUCAUUAUUCAACCAAGCACUUACACUGUCAUGUGGUUUUACGAAUCCAUUCAUAUUAUAACAUAUGUAACCAUAAAAAAUUUCAACAUGACCGUUGCUUUAUACUGUAGUUCUGUACUACACAUGAAUUAGUAACAUCACCAUGUAGAUGUCCUACCAAAAAAAACGAAAAAUCUCCAUACAACUACAAACGAGAAGCAUUAAACUAGACAUUCAUUUCCUUCUCUGAGCAUGGGCAAACUAGCAAGGAAUGUGAUGAGGAAACUAACAUUAGACAAGAUGUCAAGAUUGUUCUAACCAAUUUUCCAGGUACAAAUUUAAGACGUAUCUCGCCGUUGACAAAACGUCAAGCCUCUUCUCGCUCGGUUCAUACUUCCCUUUCCGGAGCCGGUACCGACGAGUUACGGCCGAGAUUGUGUAAGUUUGGCCUUCUAUUGUCACACCGUCCCCACAAUGUAGGUUCUGCAGCAUGGAAGGUGCAAUAAGAACACACACAAGGAAAAUCAAAAGAGAAGAAAAUAGCAAGUUUAGUAGCAAAUUCGACGUAUCAUACAUCCGUAGGGCCUGCUGCUCCUCCAUGAAUGAACAAAUAGAGUAAUAUAGACGAUAGAGUAAUACUGAACGCAUGACAGACAGAAACAAUCAGUUCGGAUGCACGUAUAGUUUGAGGGAAGGUUUCGGUGCAGUUUCCUGGUUUUCUGAAGUCGUGUAUAGGGUUGUCCUCUCCCCGCAUAAAUGUGAUGGAGACUGAACUGUGAGAGACGUUCAAAUCUCAUAGAUGGUGAUCAUUUGCCUAGCCAAAUAAAAAGGAUCAACUUCGAUCCCGUACAUGAAUCAUCUUCCAUGCCUGUACAUCUGAGAAUAAUAUAAAACGGCGUUUAGACACUUAAGAAACGAAAAUGGCACAACGCAAAGACUUUGAUCACCUUGUGAUUUCAUUCACCAUCGCUCGGUCAUUGUGUUCUUUAGGUGUGUGCAGUGAACACUGAAACUUGUUUCUUCUAAACCAUCGAAAAACUUGUGCUCUUAACUUCACGCUUAAUUAAGUUAGCCGCGAAUGUGAAUUACAUUGCUUAUCUUCAUUUCGACACAGUUUUGUCCAAGUAAUCUGUUGGAGCAUGUUUGGUAUUCUACUUGAAUCCAACUUUUUAAACUAAAAAAUAAUUUUCAAGUUUUAGACCUUAAAAACUUGUUUGAUAUGACUAUUUUCAAAAACUGAACUCAAGACUAACUAAAAAAUAUAGUCUAUUAUCUAAAAACACAAAAUGUGAGUUUUUAGAAUUUUUAAAUUUAAAUUCACUCCUUUCUUUUCUCUCGCUCCUCCCCUCUCACUCCAAAGCUAUCUCUCUCUUUUCUUCUUUCUCUCUCCCCCUUCUCUUUUUUUUUUUUUUACCAUUUUCGUCUCUCAUCCAAUCCGCUCUCUUCAUUCUCUCGAUUCUUUAUCUCACUCACUUUUCUCUCUAUCUCCUCCGAUCCUCUCACUUCUUUCUUUUUCCUCCAAUAAUCUCUUACUUUCUUUCCUCUUCUCUCAUCUUUCUCUCUUGACCCACUCUUUUUGGAUCUCUUUGUCCAGUUUAAGUUGUAAGAUUUAAAAAUUUUAAAUUGCAUUUCAAACAAGUUUUUUAGUCUUAAAGAAAAUUGUUUUCAAGAAAAAUUCUUAAGAAAUGUUUUGAGAAAUUAUAAAAAAUUUCAAAUAGGAUACCAAACAAGCCAUUAGUUUCUUACAGUUUCUGAAAGAUCCAAGUCGACUGAGUACACGGUCUAUGCUACGUUUUUACCCAAGCGAAACACUACUUCAGAAAUGUUUUCACACCAGAAGAAGCUGCCUGAUGCAUACAUGACAAGCUAUCGAUACACAUUUAAGCAAGGACGUCUCACAUCCUCGGUAUGGUUUGCAUUUCUCAACGGCGUAGUGAUGCUUACUAGACAAAAGAUAAAAGAAAAGGAAAAGUGGGACGCAUUGGGGUUCAAUCUCCUCCAAAAACUAUGAAGGGCUUCCUCUUUGUGACACUUCCCAAAGUCAUCGCCAACACCAAUAUAUCAGAACAAGUGCAUAUGGCCCCCUAGAGCAAAAUGGAGUUCAGUGACCAACUCUUUCAAGUUUCAAUACAUCGAUCACGCAGCUUCUACCAAAUUCACACUCAAAAAACUUCCUUAUACGGUCAAUUUGUACAUCUGUGACAUCCAAAUCGACGUCAUUCGUGCUCAAUCAUUGCAGUAAUCGAGCUUAAACAGCUCAUAAUACAGUUAUAUAAGAAGCAAGAGCAAAUGCAGCAGCAGCAGCACCUGCAUAAUCCCCACUCAACAGACAUUCACGGAUUCAGAAUUGAUCCCCAAAAUUAUUGGUGGGAUUCGAAGCUCUUUUGCCACAAGUCCCCAAUCUGUCUAGCAAAGGGAAACAUUUGUGCCUCUCAUUUUAAUAACUUCUUUUUAUAGGGAGCUGAUCCGUUACUUUUUUACACAACUUUUGACAUACAUUUUUUUGCGGCGCAUUCUAUAAGUAUAUUUUAACGAUCCGAACCAUCACUCAUAUAUUAUACUUGCAAAAAUUUAGACUAACCCGAACCCAUUAAGACAUUUGUUUGUACCAAAAGAAACCUAAGCCCUUAUUUCAAGGGUCAUAUGGCUUCAUUUGGAAGACAGUGAAAUGCUUUCUGAACAAAAACUAGCAAAUCAUGGAAAAAAUUGUAAGAACAUCUCCAAUGGGUUGUGUUGAUGCACAAAAUCAGCGAAGACUUUGGUACAACAGAAAGUGUCAGGUUUUAUGACCUUCGCUUGGUUGCUUCGGUCACUAGUGAGGAUAAGUACGUAAAUGAAUAGAGACAGAGAAGCAAACACAGGAUGUACGUGGUUCACCCAGAUUGGCUACGUCCACGGAGUAGAGGAGUUCUUAUUAGUAGUGAAGGGCUUACACAAGUACAAAGGAUCAAGCUCUCAAUUUAGUGAGUUCUUGUGAAUGAUUUAACACAAAUGGCAUUAGGCAAUAUUGUGGGGGAAUGACCCCUAUUUAUAGAAAAACUUGUAGCUUUGUCACAUUGACAUGUGUCAUGUUAUGAUUGGUUCUUGAUGUCGACACGUGCUGCGCUCUGAUUGGCUUCUAAUCUUGACACGUGUCGAGUAGUGAUUGGCCUCCUGGUCGGAGGGGAACUCUUCUGGGUCCUUGACAGUAUAGCGUUGGCCGGUGCUCGGUAGUUUCGGGAUUGGUCAAGUAUGGUACAAACAGUGCUCCCCUAAGUUCCCGAGUGAGGGAAACUCCUCGGUUGGGGACUUGCAAGAUCCAAUCCCUUGAGUAAUCACGAAACUUCUAAGUACCGAAGUGUGGUCUGAUCUUCAUCUGCCCUUCUCUGGAAGUACCUUUCCUCCAUCCGGGAAUGGUGUAUUUAGCUGAUGUUGACGCACAAGGUAAUGUAUCAAUUUCAUUUGAAGCUUAGUUGUAGUUUCGGGCUUAGUCAAGUGUGAUACAAACCCUAUAGUAGGAGUCCCCCAAGUCGCGCCGAGCUAGGAGAUCUGCCGAAAGAGGUGACAGACAAGGUAAGCAGUCAAACUUCCAAGUAAGCAACCCAGGAUCAGAGGUUUGACUUCGGCUUCCGGUUGAUUGUUCUCCUUCUCCUUGUCUCUCAUUCAACUGCCAGGAUAAGGAGAAGCAAAUGGAUAAGAGAUGAUAUGAGAUACUUUUGCUUUUGAAGAAGUAACUUUCCACAGGCUUAUUCUUGAACUGUGCUGGAGGGUUUUCUGGUGCCCUUCAGAGUAUAAGGCCGACUCAAAAAUUUGAGGGUCAAAACAAGUCCAUCAAAUCUAGAGUACGUUCGACCUUGAUGAUAUGGGAUACUUUUGCUGUUGACGGAAUAAUGAAUGUGGUAUGGAAAGGUGUCGUGCUGUAGUGAUCUGUUUCAGCUCACCGUUGAACCUUCUGCUUCAAUCUUUUGCAUGGCAGAAGUGGUGUGCAACCUUUGCAUUUAAAUGGUCCUUCAGAACAUUCCUUCAUAGUGACUCAUCCACGCUUGGCAGCUUCAGUGUAAAGAGCCAAUAUCUGAUCAACUGUCAUGAGGUAUUUGCCGGUGGAAUUCGUGACCUUGACAACAGUUGAGGAUGAGUACUCGAGAGCAAUGCUAAGUAAGCAACCAGGGAAAGGCUCCAGGCAGUCAGUUCCAAAUUGGAGGUUUGAUUUCAGGUUCCGACUGACUGCUCUCUUUCUCCUUGUCCUGCAGGUGUGGACAAGGACAAAGACAAAGACAGGGAGAAAGCAUGAUAUGGGAUACUCUUGCUUUCGACCCUGAUGAUAUGAGAUACUCUUGUUCUUGGUGUGGCUUAUUUGCUGAGGUAUUAUCGGGGGGAAAUAAAGCUGAGUAUAUUUCGAGAGGUUAUGUUGAGGGUGCCUUUUUCGAAUGCGAGAAAGGGUUGAGCAUUUUUGCAGGUUUGCCUGUCCGUUGAGGAGGGAGGUCAAUGUAUAUAGGGAUUUCCCAAUAACAAGUAGUAAUGUUAUUCCUUUACCCUUCUUGGUCACAGCAAUGUAGUGGGAGCUGCCAGCUUCACGUGUUUUUAAUUUUGUCAGAGCACUUUGAAAAAGUGGUAUGUGGUAUCUGGAAAGCUGAUAUUACGUGUGAAGAUUACAGACAAGCUUUAUCUAAGGAAAUCUGGCUCUCGAAGUUCUGAGAGUUGUGCCUCUUCGGUUUUCGAACAAGCAAUCCCGUCGAGGAUCUGACUCUCGAGAUUCGGAAAGCGGUGCUACUCCGGUUUUUGAGAAAGUAAUUAUGUUGGGAGUCUUUUCUCGAAUGUGAGUAAAGGUUGGACGUUCUUGCCAACCUGUCUUGCCGCAAAACACGGAGGUCGACACACAUAGGGACUUUCCAGUUGUCAAGCAGUGGUGCUGUUCCUUUACCCUUAUGGGUAAUAGUAGGGUAGCUGGAACUUCGAAAUUCUCGUGCCUAAACUUUGUCAGAGAUCUUUGACAAAGUUAUAUGUGGUACCCGAGGAGUUGAUGGUGCAUAUGGAGAGCGGUGAUUGAACAGUAAGAUUCACGUGCUUUCUACUUCACCAGAAAUCUUCGACAGAUUGCCCGUAAUUUCCGCAAAGCUGAUUGUGCAUGUGACAGGUGCUGACGAGGCUGAAAAAGCAAGUGCUUCUUCGAUUUCUGAGAUCGGCCCUCGUGGUCUCUGAGCAGCCCAGCUUUUGAGAAAGCAAACGCCUCUUCGAUUUCUGAGAUCGGCCCUCGUGGUCUCUGAGCAGCCCAGCUUUUGAGAAAGCAAACGCCUCUUCGAUUUCUGAAGCUCCGUCGAGUGCAGAUUUUUAUAGAGGCUGGCAUUAAGUUCCACAGCACACUUGAAUCUCUACCAGUAGAAGCUCAUUUCUUGCACUUCUAAGAUCUUGAUUUGUCUGACCUCUUCCUUCUUCAACACAUUUGAAAAUGUCUGGACCCUCCGACCGUCGUUUUGACUUGAACCUUGGAGAAGAGACAGCCACGCCUUCUCCAGACAACAUAUGGCGCCCAUCCUUCAUAUCCCCUACUGGUCCUCUUACCGUUGGGGAUUCUGUGAUGAAGAAUGAUAUGACCGCUGCAGUGGUGGCCAGGAACCUUCUCACUCCCAAAGAUAACAGACUACUUUCCAAACGGUCUGAUGAGUUGGCUGUUAAGGACUCUCUGGCUCUUAGUGUUCAGUGUGCAGGUUCUGUGUCUAAUAUGGCCCAACGCCUAUUUGCUAGAACCCGCCAAGUUGAAUCAUUGGCUGCUGAAGUGAUGAGUCUCAAACAGGAGAUUAGAGGGCUCAAGCAUGAGAAUAAGCAGUUGCACCGGCUCGCCCAUGACUAUGCUACAAACAUGAAGAGGAAGCUUGACCAGAUGAAGGAAUCUGAUGGUAAGGUUUUACUUGAUCAUCAGCGGUUUGUGGGUUUGUUCCAAAGGCAUUUAUUGCCUUCGUCCUCUGGGGCUGUACCUGGUAAUGAAGCUUCAAAUGAUGAACCUCCAAUGCCUCCUCCUUCUGGGGUUUUGUCAAGUACUGAGGCUCCGGAUAACCACCCUCCGGUGCUUUCUCUUUCUGGGGCUCUACCGACUGCUGAGACUUCCCCUAAGCAACCUUUGUGAAGGCUCCCUUUUGUUUGUUUAUUUUGACUCAUGUAUAUGUACAUAUUUGUGGCUUAUCGAAAAUAUUAAUAAAUAAGCUUUGCUUCAUUUCAACAUAUUGUGUUAAAUACACCAAAGCCUUCUUCAUAAAGUUCUUUGAAUUUUUGCUUUUGUUGAAACCUGUAUUGUUGAAGCUUUGUGAGUGAAGCAUGUAGUUUGAGGUAGUGUUCCCUUAAUUUCCCGAGUGAGGAAAACUUCUCGGUUGGAGACUUGAAAAAUCCAAGUCACUGAGUGGUUGUGAGACUGCCGAGUAUCAAGGUGCAGUAGCAUAUGGUGGGAGUCCCCCAAGUCUUCAGGCGAAGAGAGUUGCCGAAUGAGGUGUCUCUCGCGUGUUACUAAUUUGUCAAAGUAACGAAUCCUUGUUUCGAUGUCACACAUUCGUAUAUGCUUUAUCUAAAAAUAUUUCCAACUUUUGUGUGUUUGAUGCUGCAUGCUAUUGACUAGACAAGAUCAAGUGCAAUUAGUAGCUUUUCUCUCUUUUUCAUCUUUUCUUUGGUGGAAUUGCUUUUCGUUUCCACUAAUCAGCCUGAGUGGAUGCAAGAUAACACCUUUCUCUAUAGCUCAGAUUGCAAAGUCGUCUUCAUGAAAGUUUUUCCUUAUCUUGUGAACUACAACAUAUCCAAAUUUGAGAUCCAUCGGAGUAGUACAACUUCAGAAAUUCAAGUAUGAUGAGUAACUGUUCAUCAAUGUUCUGUUAAUCCGUCAGACUUGUUGUGAGCUUCGAAACUCCAUUUUCUCUUGUUCAGAUCAACAUACUUUCUUCAUCGAAGUUGUUCCUUAACUUGUGAACUACAACAUAUCCAAAUUUGAGGUCCCUCGGAGCAGUAUAACUCCAGAAAUCCAGGUAUGAUGAGUGACUGUUUAUCAUUUUGUCUGUCAACCCGUCAGAUUUGUUGUGAGCUUUGAAACUCUAUUUUCUCUUGCUCAGAUCAGCAUGCUUUCUUCAUUGAAGUUGUUCCUCAGCUUGUGAACUACACAACAUAUCCAAAUUUGAGAUCCCUCGGAGCAGUAUAACUCCAGAAAUCCAGGUAUGAUGAAUGACUGGUUAUUAUUUUUCUGUCAACCCGUCAGAUUUGUUGUGAGCUUCGAAACUCCAUUUUCUCUUGUUCAGAUCGGUAUGCUUUCUUCAUUGAAGUUGUUCCUCAUCGACUCUUUCAUAACAUAUCAAAAAUUCAGGAUGAACUAACGGUUAAAUAUUUCCAGAUCUUCGAAACAUCACAACAGCUUCGAAAUCUGCAAGAAGCCGACUAUCAUGUUUGGAGCUUCAACACUUUAAUUUCCGUCGCUCAAACAGAAAUGGUUCCUUCUUGAAAGUUGUUCAUAUGCUCAAGAACUAUAGGGUGUCCAAAAUUCAGCUCCAUUGGAGAAGAGCAGAGGUUGCAGAAAUUUGAUAGAUGAAAGGAGGCGGAAGAGGGAGAGAGAGAAAAAGUCUCUUGGGUUGGAUUUCUAUUUUGGGGCAGAUUCCAAUUUUUGUAGCACCUUCAUUAUUGAUGAAUUGCUUGUACUUUUGUCCAUUAUGAAACUUGGGACUUUGGCUUGUUGUUGGAUCUAUUAUAAUAUGUUUGGGAACAUAUAUAAGUGAAUAAAUAAGAAGGAAAAUUUUGGGCCCUUGUGGGUGUAAAACAAAAAAUGUUUAUGUUUACCCAAGUGUUUUUGUACAAGUUCAAGGGCAUCUUGGGUUUUGUGAACAAAAUUUGUUUAUUUGGAGCAAGGUUUUGUGUUGAAGCUUUGUAGGUGAAGCUUUGGUGUUGAAGCUUUCUAGGUGAAGCUUUGAUGGUGAAGCUUUGUAGAUGAAGCUUUGUAGAUGAAGCUUUCUAGGUGAAGCUUUGAUGGUGAAGCUUUGAUGGUGAAAGUAUGUAGAGGGAGCUUUCUAGGUGAAGCUUUUUUAGGUGAAGCUUUGUAGGUGAAGCUUUUUUAAGUGAAGCUUUUCGGGUGAAGUUUUUUUUUUUGGGUGAAGCUUUGUGGGUGAAGCUUUUUAGGUGAAGCUUUUGUGGGUGAAGCUUUGGAGGUGAAGCUUUUCGGGUGAAGCUUUUUGGGUGAAGCUUUUUAGGUGAAGCUUUGUGGGUGAAGCUUUGGAGGUGAAGCUUUUCGGGUGAAGCUUUUUGGAUGAAGCUGUUUUUUUUUUUUUUUUUUUUUUUUUUUUUUUUUUUUUUUUUUUUUGGCGCUUGACACGGUCUUCAUUUGCUUGUUUUGUAGUGACUGUGGAAGACGGAUUGCUUUCUGAUUGAGAAGGGUUCCGGCAUCGCUUGCUAUGAAUGUAAAAGAGUGAGGGCUGAGUUGGCUAAAUUACCUCUUUAUUGAAUUCAUUGCCAAAUGGCCUUCAUUACAUAGGAUGCCGAACGGCUAUAGCUCAACACUUGUACAUCGUGAGUCUAUUUGUAGUAGUACUUCAAGUGAUCAGCGUUCCAUGGAUGGCCAAGGGUCUUGCCAUCGGAGCUUCUAAGUGUGUAAGAGCCAGGGCGACUGAUGCCAAUGACUUCAUACGGUCCAUCCCAGUUUGGACUAAGUGUGCCUUCACUCGGGACUCUGUCGCAGAGUAAUCUUUUCUUUAAGACCCAGUCUCCUAUUUUGAAAGAACGAGGCUUGACCCUAGAGUCAUAAUAGUUGGAGAUGCGCUGCUUGUAGGCGACAUUCCUCAAGUGAGCUUGGUUUCUGUGUUCCUCGACUAAAUCCAAGUUGAGGGUGAGUUGUUUGUCAUUUUCACUUUGAAUGUAGUUCUGGACUCGGAAUGUUGCUUGCUCGAGCUCAACAGGGACAACCGCCUCUGUGCCAAAGGCAAGUGAGAAUGGAGUUUCUCCUGUUGAAGUCCGAUAUGAAGUGCGAUAUGACCAAAGAACUUGGGGUACAAAUUCUGGCCAACAGCCUUUAGCUUUGUCCAAGCUGGUUUUCAAAGUGCGCUUGAUUAUUUUGUUGAUGGCCUCAACUUGUCCAUUAGACUGGGGAUGAGCUGGAGAGGCAAAGCAUAAGUUGAUGUUGAACUUAGAGCAGAACAACCUGAACUUCUUGUUGUCAAACUGUCGCCCAUUGUCAGUGACUAUCGCAUUGGGAAUGCCGAAUCUACAAAGGAUGUUCUUCCACACGAAGUCUUCUAUCUUUGCCUCAGUAAUGGUUGCCAAGGGUUCUACUUCGGCCCACUUUGUGAAGUAGUCCACUGCAACGACUGCGUAACAGACUUUGCCCUUCCCUGCCGGCAUUGGGCCGAUCAAAUCAAGUCCCCACUGGGCGAAGGGCCAAGGGCUGAUCAUAGGAGUAAGAGGCUCUGGAGGGGAAUGAGGAAUAGCCGCAUAUCGUUGACAUUUGUCACAUGAGCGGGAUACUUUGAUGGCAUCCUGGUGGAGUGUUGGCCAGUAAUAUCCUUGGCGAAAAGUCUUGUGUGCUAGGGACCGAGAUCCAGCAUGAUCUCCACAGACUCCCUCAUGUAUUUCCCGAAGGACGAUUUCCGCCUCGGCAGGCGUAAGACACCUUAAGUAUGGCAGGCUAAAACCUCGCUUAUAGAGUUGAUCAUUGAUGAUCAGGUAGCGGGUAGACUUGUAUCGAAUUUGCUUAGCCUGGACUUUAUCAUUUGGGAGGGUGCCAUGAGCAAGGAAAUUAUAGAUCGGGGUGAUCCAACUAUCCCCCUGUUGUAAGUUGCAUACUUCUGCGGCCAUGGUGCUUGGUGUUGCCAACAGUUCGACAUGAAUUUUUCUUCCAAUCUUGUCUUCCACAGCCGAGGCGAGGCGAGCCAGGGCGUCUGCAUGACUGUUUGCCGCUCGAGGAACUUGGGUGAUCUGGUAGUGGAAGUGCUUGAGCAAAAGUUGUGUUUGCGCAAGAUAUGCUGCCAUGGAGCUGUCCUUAGCAUCAAAGUUGUUGGUAACCUGGUUGACCACCUAAUUGGGAGUCACUGAAAAUAUCAAUUUGUUUAACCCCGAGGUGUUUGGCCAAACGUAAUCCUGCUAGAAGGGCUUCAUACUCGGCCUCAUUAUUUGAUGCCUUGAAUUUGAAACGAAGAGCAUACUCCAUUGCUACUUUGUCGGGUGUAGUCAAGACUAGUCCCGCUCCACAGCCCUGUUGGUUGGAUGAGCCAUCAACAUACAGACUCCAUGCUGGGGUUGUUGGUUCUAUCUUCUGAGCUUCCGGGGUAAUGAAGCCACUGCUUCAGGUGUAGAAGCAAUGUCAACCGGAUAUGUGAAGUCGGCAAUGAAGUCUGCCACUGCUUGGCCCUUCUCAGCUGGCUUUGGUUGGUAGGAGAUGUCAAACUCACCCAACGCUAUUGCCCAUUUGAUCAUUCGCCCUGAAGUGUCAGGACUUUGGAGUAUCUGUCGAAGAGGAUAAUUGGUAAGCACGAUGAUGGAGUGCGCUUGGAAGUAAGGGCGGAGUUUUCGAGCAGACAUGACCAAUGCCAGAGCCAAUUUCUCAAUGUUAGAGUACCGUGUCUCCGCAUCUUGUAAGGCUUUGCUAGCGUAGUAGACAGGUCGCUCAAUAUUCCCAUCCUUUCGAAUGAGAACGGAACUUACGGCUGAAGCUGAUACCGAUAGGUAGAUAAUGAGAAUGUCUCCUACCUCGGGCUUGGAGAGUAGAGGGGCUUUACUCAUGUACUCCUUGAGGUUUUUGAAUGCCUCGGCACAUUCAUCAGUCCAUGUAAUGUACUUCCUACUUCCCUUAAGUGCUUUAAAAAAGGGAGCACAUUUGUCUGUGGCCUUAGAAAUGAACCUGGUUAAGGCUGCCACCUUGCCAGUAAGGCUCUGGAUGUCCUUUGAAGUUACCGGUUCCUUCAUGUCGAGGAUUGCUUUGAUCUUCUCGGGAUUAGCUUCAAUGCCUCGUUGGCUAAUCAUGAAACCUAAGAAUUUGCCAGAGCCUACGCCGAAGGCACAUUUGUUGGGGUUUAACCUCAUUCGAUACCUCUUCAAAAUAGUGAAAGUUUCAGAUAGGUUGGUGAUGUGUUGGUCAGCAUGUUUGCUCUUGACUAACAUAUCAUCAACGUAAACUUCCAUGCUCUUCCCAAUCUGCUCGGCGAACAUUGAGUUGACUAGUCUCUGAUAAGUCGCUCCUGCAUUCUUUAGGCCGAAAGGCAUGACUUUAUAGCAGUAUAGUCCUCUGUCGGUAGUGAAGGCUGUGUGUUCUUGAUCCGAAGGGUUCAUGAGGAUUUGGUUGUAUCCUGAGUAAGCAUCCAUGAAGCUCAGGAGUUCACACCCGGCCGUAGAGUCUAUAAGUCUGUCAAUAAGAGGAAGAGGGAAGCUAUCUUUCGGACACCCUUUGUUUAGGUCGGUGUAGUCAACACACAUUCUCCACAAGACCUUUUGAAGCAAAAGACUUUCUUUGGUCGGAUUUUUCCUUAACAAGGACCACAUUUGCUACCCAUGUCGGGUAAUUGACUUCGCGGACAAAGCCUAUGCCUUUGAGUUUUUCAACUUCUGCUUUCAUUGCCUCGUAUCGUUCAGCGUCAUAAGAUCUUCGCUUCUGUCUCACCGGCUUGAUCUUGGGGUCAAUACUCAAACGAUGACAGAUGACAUCGGGAGAGAUGCCUGGCAUGUCCUCGUAUGACCAGGCGAAGACUUCAGUGUUCUCUUUCAAAAAAGAUAUCAAUGCUAACCGAAGGGGUGGUGACAAUGUGGUGCCAAUCUUCACCAUGCGAUCUGGAUAAUCUCUUGAGAUAGGUACCUUCUCCAACUCUUCAGCAGGUUGGGCUUGCUGGGUGAAAGAGUCAUCUCGAGGAUCAUCGGGUUGAUUGUUGCUAUCAGGAAGAUCCAAGUUCGCUUCAUCUAGGCUGGUCUUUGUGACUUGGUCAUGUACAGACAGGGUUUCCUUGGGUCCGGGCAAGUGUUGUUGCUUAACUGAAGUGUUGUAACAUGAUCGUGCACUAAGCUGAUCUCCUCUGAUGUAGCCGUUGCCAUGGGGGGUUGGAAAUUUCAUCAACAGCAUAUGCGUGGAUACCAUAGCCUUGAGAUCAUUGAUGCCUGUGCGCCCAAAGAUGACAUUGUAUGCCGUUGGGCAGUCAACCACUAGGAAGUUAGUGGUAAUGGUAGCCGUGUAAGGGCCUGUACCAAUAGUAAAGGGUAAAUGUAUGCUCCCUAAGGGUUGCACGAUAUCACCGGAGAAGCUUAUCAGAGGAGAAAAUCGAGCGAUCGAGCAAGUGUUCAGCUACACUGAGUGCCCUGAAAGCUUCGGCAAACAUGAUAUUGACCGAAGCCCCUGUGUCUACGAGGAUUCGUCGAACAUCAAAGUUGGCUAUGUGAGCCUCCACGAUCAAUGGGUCGUUAUGAGGGUAGAUGAUGCCUCUUUCUUCCUCAGGGUAGAAACAUAUCGGAUCCCAGUUAGGUUUUUGAUACUUCCCUCCCCUGAUGUCUUCCACGUGAAACACUUGGUGACCAGGCCUCAGACUUCGUUCACUGUUUUUCAUGGCCCUAUUGGAAGAUUCAGAUAUGGGUGUGCCGCCGCUUAUGGAAUAUAUGACAUUCACCUGGCGUUGGUUACGGUUAUCCCUUUGAGGGUGAAGAAGGAAUUGAUCAAUUUUUCCUUCUCGUGCCAAAGCUUCAAUACGAUCACGGAGGAUGAUACAUUUCUCGCUAUCAUGGCCGUUAUGCUCAUGGUAGCAACAAAACAUGCCCGCGUUAUUCGGGGGCGUGUAAUCUGGGUGCCUCGGCUUUGGCUUUGGUAUCAGGUGAGCUAUGCUGGGGUAAAUGGCCGCGCAUGUGGCAUUCAAGGGCGUGUAUGUCUCAUACCUUGGGGUAGGGGGUAUCUUGACGCGGGUUUGACCCACUGCAUUGACUGCCUGGGGGCGAGCGUUAUUGUGGCGAUACCCUUGGUUAUCGGGAUAGUGUCCCUUACUCUUUUUUACUGAAAGGAGAGUGGUGAGGAUGGAAAUCCUUCCUCUUGCCUUGAAAUUGAUAUGUCUGUUGAUUCGGUGAAGCAUUAUGCAAGGCAUGGGGAGGUGCCACUGCUGUUUGGAAAGUCGAGGUCUUCUCAUUUAGGUGAGUCUGGCUUCCACCUCCCACUUGUUGAUAAAGGAUGGUUGUAGGGGGUUUCUCCUGAUAUGUCUUUGCCUCGGCGGAGGCAUGGUUAUAAGCCUGCGCCAUCACCUCAGAGUAAGUCUUCCAAGUAUUGGCAUUGAUCAUGUAUUUAAAGAAACAAUCACGUAGGCCUGCCGUGAAGGCUUUGAGGGCAGUCUUGUCGUCUGCCUCGGCACACCGGGAGUAUUCAUGGCUGAAGCGGCCAGCAUACAUACGUAAUGACUCGUCUGGCUUCUGGCGGAUAGUGUACAGGUCAUCUGCAGAGUGCAAGCGAUCGGUUUGGAAAAUGUGUUGGGAAACAAAUAGUUUCCUCAAUUCCUCAAAUGAGUCUACCGUCUCAGGUGUAAGACGACAAUACCAAUUUAGAGCUCCACUAGAGAGGGUGGAGGGGAAGAGAAGACAUCGCUCUUCGUCGGUGUGCAUCCGGUAUGCCAUGGUGGACUCAAAGAGGUUAAGGUGCUCAAUCGGGUCCUCUUUUCCAGUAUAAAGUUGCAAGCCAAGCUUUUGCUUUGUCUUUGCUUGAAGGGGGGUGUUGAGGAUCCUCCUUGUAAGAGGGCCAGGCCUGGGUUGGUUCCAGUCAGGUAUUUCAGCCUGACGUUCAGCCUUCAACUUGUUUACUUCCUCAAGAAGUUGUAGGACAAGGGGGUCCUGAGCGGAGUUAUGUGUCACUGGAGCUUUCUUUCGUAAAUCUCCAUCUCCUAUUGGAAUUAGGAAGGUUUGAUCAAGGGCAUGUGAUUUUUCCCUGGACUCGCUGUACUGGCUUCCAAGGUAUGUCUGUCGGAACACCUCUGAGUCCCCUGUACCCUCAUGUCUCUCUAGGACUUGUUGCCCCUUCCCCAAAUUGGUGGCCGGCUUGGGCAGUGGCAGGGGACCGAGUCUCUCAGAAAUCCUUGGGUCAUUAAUCUUUGAGCUUAUAUGGAUGGAAUUCUCUCGACGUUGCUUCAGGAAAUCCCGACAAUCGCGAAAGACGGCUUUCGAUCCUUCUGCCCCUUCAGCAAAGAGGUGUCUCCUUCCACUUCUCAUGGUUCGGGUCGAAGCAACUGGGUUAAGAGAAGCCUCAUGUUGAUUAUCAAGUCGAGGGGUAAUCUGUUCCCUAUCAGGGAUAUCUAUGUCGAAUGCAUGUGACCCUCCAUGUUGGAGGGCACCCAGUUGAUGGUUGACUUCCACGGGGGCAACAAGCUCGCGUGUCUGAGCUUGCCUAGCUUCGUGGAGUGUCUCGAAGAGCUUCUCAUAUUGCUCCUGGAGGACCUCAUUCCUCAUUGCUAUCUUGUUGUUCUGAGCUUCCAACUCAUCGACUUUAGCUUGAAGAAGAACUCGUUUUCCUUCCUUCUUUCGUUGUUUUCGCACUAUGUGCAAGGGGGGUGUCAUUCUGUGUGCUGUGGCUUCAUUCGCUUCCCAUGCUGGAGAGGGAUGCCUGAUCAAAAGAAAGUGUACGAAUGAUAGAAACCAGCUUGACACAGCUGAAGAGAGUAGGAAUCAGUGUCGUUUCCCACAGACGGCGCCAAAUGUUGAUGCACAAAAUCAGCGAAGACUUUGGUACAACAGAAAGUGUCAGGUUUUAUGACCUUCGCUUGGUUGCUUCGGUCACUAGUGAGGAUAAGUACGUAAAUGAAUAGAGACAGAGAAGCAAACACAGGAUGUACGUGGUUCACCCAGAUUGGCUACGUCCACGGAGUAGAGGAGUUCUUAUUAGUAGUGAAGGGCUUACACAAGUACAAAGGAUCAAGCUCUCAAUUUAGUGAGUUCUUGUGAAUGAUUUAACACAAAUGGCAUUAGGCAAUAUUGUGGGGGAAUGACCCCUAUUUAUAGAAAAACUUGUAGCUUUGUCACAUUGACAUGUGUCAUGUUAUGAUUGGUUCUUGAUGUCGACAAGUGCUGCGCUCUGAUUGGCUUCUAAUCUUGACACGUGUCGAGUAGUGAUUGGCCUCCUGGUCGGAGGGGAACUCUUCUGGGUCCUUGACAGUAUAGCGUUGGCCGGUGCUCGGUAGUUUCGGGAUUGGUCAAGUAUGGUACAAACAGGUUGGAUCCUAAAAAUCCCGCGGACUCAGAAAGUAAUAACAAAAAUGGCUAAUCUAAUAACGGAUUCCGUAAAAAAAAAAACAAAAAACGUUAAAAAAGAACUAAAGGCAGUCUCUAUGCCAUCUUACGAAAUAAAAUUCAGUGCGAGAAUGCAAAGAUCUGCACAAAUGUGCAGCCUGUUAAUGUCAAUUGCCAGGUCCCUUUAAUCUCAUAGUCCUGGUACAAAUAAAGGGCUUCAAUGAAAUAAAAAGAAUUCAACAGAAGAUUAUACGGAACGUCCUUGACACAAGGUUACCGGCCUCCAUUGCCGCCGGGGCAAAGUAUAGAAAGAGAGAAAUGAGACCAAGUGAGAAACUGGAAGCAGACGCCUGUAGACUUGAAGCCAAUAGCUACAGAGGUAGGUUCAUUUAGCUGCAGACUUCUUUUUUCAUCCUAAAGUACAACAGACCUUCUACCUCCCAUAUGGAUGAUAUCGGCCACUACCUGCACCGCCAUAUCCCCCUCCUCUACUACCGUAAAAGGAAACUCCACUACCACCUCCAUAGCCACCUCCGUAGCCACCUCCAAAACCUGCAUCAUAGCCACUCCCAUAACCACCACCACCAGCUGCCCCACCAGCACCUCCAUAUCCCCCAUAACUCUCACCAGCUCCACCAUAACCACCUCCCAUAUCAUAACCCCUGCUAUAGGCUCCUCCAUAACGGCUUGAAUAUCCUAUGGAAGAUUCUCCCCUAUAAGCCCCUAUACCGCCGCCACCACCGCCACCAUAUACUCCAUAUCCGCCAAAUUCACUGCCACCAUAUCCUCCAUAAGCACUGCCUCUACCACCAUAGGCAGCAGCUGACCUAUAACCACCAGCACCACCAUAACUGCCACCUCCAAAUCCACCAUAGCUUUCUCCAUACCCACCACCAUAUGCAGGUCUAGAAUCAUUAUAACGUUUUGAUGGUGGUGCAGGUUGGUUUGGCUUCUUUGGUUCUGCCUUUUUUAUCUCCACCUACAAGAAAUAACAGAUGAAUCUAAACUAUCAAGCUUCUUGAAUGCUCAUAGAUGCAUUUAGUACAUUACAUGGCCAAACCGUCUGAGUACAUGUAAACUAAUUUCGUGUACAUAUGUGAAUUCUACCUCAGUUUUGUUUGGUCAAGCGUAUUGUAUCAUGGUCUCCUUAUUCGUCACUUCGAAAGUGAAUAAAGCAAUAUGAACUUUAAGUAAUCUACAGGGACUACUAAACCAAGCAACAAUUUAGUGCAACCCAUUACAAAACCAUUCUUCCACAUUGAUCAGCGAAAGCAGAAAAUUAAAAAGAGGAUGCAUACAGCCACAUCAAUGCAUAGAGACCCACUACACGAUGCAUACAGCCAACCCACCUAUAUAAUCAAAACUUGGCGGCACUUCAAAUUUGAAAUUUUCUUCCUCUCUCACGACAUAGGUUAGCUAUUAAGGAAUAACAUUUCAAGAGCGACAAAUUCCACCAAAAACAUCCCCCACGUUCCAUUUCUACUGUGAAUUGGUAAUAUUAUCGAUGCAUAUGUUAUAUGAUCCUCAAACUCGCUGUAGCAUGACUAUUUAUUUAUUUAUUUAUUUAAUAUCCUUUACCUCAACUUCAUCUGUUUUUCUGUUGAGUAAAGAUAAAGGUCGUACCCAGUGCACAAGGCUCCCGCUUUACGCAGGGUCUGGGAGAGGUGAAUGUCGGCUAGCCUUACCCCCAUUUAUGGAGAGGCUGCUCCAAAGUCUCGAACCCGAGACCUACCGCUCAUGGGCGAAGGCACUUGCCAUCGCACCAAGUGCGACCUCUUUCUGUUGAGUAAAGAUGAUAAAUUUAAAAUUCAUCCCACAACCUAAGAAAUGGAAAAAAGAGAGGAGGUGAAUGUACAAAAUCCUUGCUAUGCCCUCUAUAUUUAAUAGAAAAAUAAAUUGAGUUAACGGAUAUAAUUGAAGUACCACAUGAGAUUGUGUUUGAGAACCACAAUAAGGAAAAAAAGAAAAACUAUCCUAGAAUGAAGGUAAAAUUCGUGUUCGUGACAACAAUGUCGUAUAUCUGAAAAAUAAUUCAAGUAGAUUAAGAUGUUAGUACACAAUCGUUUAUCUUGUUUAUUGAACAAACAACAAGGACAACAAUGUCGUUUUCUCUCUUUCGAAAUUCAUAAGCAACAAAAUUGAGAUUUUUAUUAAACAAUCACAUGAGCUUAGAAAAUACCACAUCAACAUUUUGCAAGCAGUCUCAUAAGAAAUCCCAAUCAAGAUAAAACCAUUCAACAGUUUAUUAGAUUUCUCCUUUCAUAUAAGAGCAUGGUUCGGAGGAUUAUUUAAUUGACGUUAUAACAUCUUUAUUCAAAGAAAAAAUGAAAAAGAAAAUAGGGCAUCCCUAAGGUAUAGGCCACAGCCACUGUUGCCACUGUUGCCACUGCUCCAACCACGGCAGCAGCUUAACAGCUCCCCUAUCAAGCUUAACAGCUUCCCUAAGGCAUCCUUCCUGGCAUCGUUCUCACUAUUCUCAAUCUGAUUGCCCUUUUCUUGUGGCUUAUCCUCGAUUUCAUCAACUUCAUCAGAAGAUGCUCCGAUUUGGCCCCUGUAAGGAAUGAAAUUGAAUUCCGUGUUCAGCUAUUUAAAUAUUCAACUCUUAAGUUUUGUCAAUAGCAAUUGAGUAAGAAUAGGUAUGAUCAAGCUUAAUAAACAAAUCACAACCACAUUACAAAUCAAAAACAUAUACAGGGUAAUGCAGUUAUAUCCAAUUCUUUUGUGCUUUCUCCACAAAAGUUCUUCCAUGUUAAUGUAACUCUAUAUCAAUUAAUCUAUCAUACAAGACUAUACAUAAUCAGCAAUUGAAAACUAUGACAACACAAGCUUCCGUCCAGUGAAAAUUUUAUCCAAAGAUAGGCAAAACCAAAAACGUACAAACCUCCACAGACGUUCUAUAAUCUUUCCCUUCCCAAUAUGCUCAUCAAGCAAUUCCGGCACAUCAUCAGGAGUGACGUCGCCAUACCUGCAAUUAAUAAUACAUAGUAUUCAAAUUCCAUCGAUCCCAAUACAACAAAAUUUUAAAUUGUUAUGAUCUGAAUAUUACCAAUGGCCCGUUAUGCUUCCAUUUGAACCUGGGCUAUAGAUAAUCAAAUUUCCAUCGUGGCCUCCAGUGUGAAAGCAAGCAUCAGUAAAUACCUGAUUCGUCAAUCCUCGUAGCUCAGCCUCCUCUUUAAACUUAUAAAUGAGAACACGUGCACUAUCACCAAUCCAUUCCUCUCGACUACCUUGUGCACAUACAAAUACAUGGGAGCCAGUCAACGACUCUUGCACUCCGGAAGCCCAUGGCUUGUCAUUCACAAGGACAUCAUCAACAAAGCUGUCCACAUUCGACUCUUUCAAGCCCCUUUGAUCAACAAACAAAAAUAUCAGAAUCACAAAAAAGGAUUUACAUGCAAGAAAAUUAGUCGUAAACUGAGCCAUUAAAUUCAAUUUCUAUAACUAAUUUCAGAAACUAACACAUAUCUAAUUAUCUAUUUGGUUCAGUAAAUUCAGCAUAAUCCCGUAACCAAAUGAGAAGUCGAAACAAAAAUUACUUUAGUCUGAGGUAGGAAAAUAAAUUGCGCUCAUGUUGGUUAUGGAAUGGGCCCUCGAUUAUGAAUUAACUACGGUUUGCCAUUGUGUGUGUUUGUGUGGGCGGUGCUUAACAGCUGGGUUGGGCUGCUGCAUUUGGGCCCAUGGUGCAGCUCUCACGCGUUUUGGGCUGGGUUUCACCGAAAGAUCAAAUGACUCUUUUGCCCUUUUCAGUCCUAAUCCAACGGCCACCAUUUGGGGCGUUUGUGUUCUGCAAUUCGGUUGCUUUCGAUCUCGUCAAGGAGAUCGAGCAGAGAGGCGGAGGGUGACAUCAAGUUUUGGGUUUGCACAUUGAGAGACAAGAGGGUUUAUGGGAAGGGUAGGAGCUAGAGAAAGGGGGGGUUCUGUUCGCUGACGUUGGUUGCGGAGAGAGAGAGAGAUGGGCAAAAGUAUGGGGGUAGGGUUGAGGGGAACGGGUACAGAGAGAAAGAGUGAGGAAGGGACAUAUGAGCUAGAGGUAUGGGUUGAUUUGUCAGGGUCGACCUGUAAACGGUCGGGUUAUUGGAUUUGGGUCGGGUUCAAUUUGACCCGUUAAGUUAACGGAUCAUCCGUUUCAUCGGUUAACACCCGUUAACAAUUAUUAUUAUUAUUUUUUUCAUAAAGUUUAUUUUUUAUUGUUAAGACUUUACUGAAAUUACUUAAACAUUCUCAACUAACGGGUGCUAAUGAGUCUAACGGGUUGACCCAAAGUGACCCGUUAUUUAACGGGUUGUUAACCAAUUCACCAGUUAACCCCGACCCAUUAAUUUUCCACCAAAAUACUAAUAUUAACUGAUCGGGUUAACAUGCCAGGUGCAAAAUGCCAGGUCUAGUCAGGGGCUGCUGCAUCCUUCCUAUUCACAAGGUAACAAAUAAUUUUCCAUUCAUUCUUUACUGUUGGUUGUGAAUUUACUGUUCGGGAAAGGAGGCUACAAAUGAUUUAUGCAUACCUUUGUAGCCUUUAGGUGUGUGUUUGCUAGCUAGCUGGGUCGUGGGUGAGUCUUGAUUGUUUUGGUUCUGUCAUCUUCGACUCUUAUGUCUUCCCUUUUUCUGAAUUUUCUUUAUUUCUCAUCCUUUAAACUUUGUAUUUUUUUUUUAUGUGUGAUGCAGAUAGAUGAACAUGUUCAAAGGGGAAUCAUGAACCACAGAUCACUGCAUCCGAAUAUCGUUUUGUUCCAAGAGGUCAGUGAUCAUAAACUAUUUUCAUUUUGUAUUUUAAGAAUGAAUUUGGCAAGUUCUGUUUGAAUUUUGUAUAAGUAUCUGCUGAGGGUGGGUGGAUGAAGACAGAACAUGCUAAAUUUGGCCUUUGGUGUGCUUAAACUGGUACGGGGGAUGGUUAGAACUUUGAGACCGGGAUGCAGUAGGACUAAGAGAAAUGCCCUACCCACCGGGGCAAUUGUUGUCAAAAUAACUCUGCUAAAAAUAUGAGCUUUCCGGCACUUUGUUUUUAGAGUGGCUUAUUUGGGAUAAUUGAUAAAGAGAUUUGUGUUUAAGACUUGAGAGUAGUGCGGUGUCUUUCUUGCUGGUUCUGCUCACACCACCUCAUCUAGAGAGUAGUGAGGUUUGUGAUGGAGUACACGGCUGGGUGAGAACUCUUCGAGAGAAUAUGCAGUGCUGGCAGAUUUAGUGAGGAUGAGAUAAAGUGGUUUCAAAUGCAGAGAACAUUUCAUUGGAAAUGAUUUUAGUGUAGAGUCUCAAAUAUGGGAUCUGUGAAUGUCCCCUGAAAUGGAAUCCAUCUCGAUUUUCGUUUAGUUUCAGAUAAGGAAAGUUAGGUCUGAAGCAUUUUGGAAUAUGAAUGGAAAUUAUGGAAUCCAUGUAGUCCAACGAGUUCUUGAAGUUUGGAAUAUCUUUGAGUUUGUGGCAGUCGUCCAGUCUCAAGAGUGUCAUUUUCGACAUCUCUGAAAAGUCGGGCAUUAUUUCCAGUGCAGUGCAGUGCAGUGCUUUGCUAUCAGUUCAAGCAAACUGUUUGGCAAAUCUAGGAUUGCCUGAAGGUUUGUGCAAUGAUUUAGCUUUAAAACCUGAAGCUGAGAAAGGCCACUGAGAAUGGGCAGCCUACUAAAACCAUUCCCACCUAGAUCUAAAAAUGUUAAAGAAGAUAGACUCCCAAUUAUUUCGAGAACGGCACCAUCUGUUAUAUUGCAGUCGUUGAGAUUUAAUCUCUUAAUCAUCUUCAGUUGUGCUAAAAAAUGGUAACUCCCACACAAACCCUUAGAGCCACUGAGGUCCAAUUCCUCGAGAUGUGGGAGUUUUGAAAAGUCUGGUAAUUCAGUCAGGUUAUGGCAGUCUCUAAGAAUGAGAUACUUCAACUUCUUAGGCAACUGUUACUCAAAAAGAGAAAACAAUAAUAAAAAUCCAAAUAAAUAAAAGAGAGAAUGCAUGACGAUGACUGAUGUUGAUAUUUACAAGGCAUUGAUAAUUAUAUCGUACCAAGUCAGAAUCCUCCCAAACUCGUAUGAUCUUGCUGUUCCACAGUUCCAUAUAAACUAGGUUUCGUUGAUCAAAAUCUGCUGGUAUGGCUUCAAGAGGAAAUCCGUUCGAACACAAAAAUCUUAACUCCUUGGAAAGAUGUUUGUAGCUUCCCGUCAGCUUUACAUUUUCCAGCAUGAGAAAUUUCAGACGCCACAUCUUCUUAAACACUUCCGUACUGAAGCUUCGCUCGUCAUCAGGAUGUUCUAGCAAAGCUAAUUGUAGUCCUUCAACUGCUUCUGUUCCCUGUUAGAGAUAUAAAAAAAAAAAAAACAAGAAAAGGAUAAUAUUUACACGAAGCAGAGCUGUGAAUUGGAUGAAUGAACUACUAGAAGGGUAGGAUACACAACAUAAUUAUGUAUUUUCUCUUUCAAUUUACAGUGGAUGAAAGCCUUUUCUUUCUUCUUUUUCUUCAAAUAUACUAUGUAUGGCAUACAUUAUAUAUAUGCGGAUAUACGUAUAUACUUCUCUUUCUUCACAUGUACUUAACAUAACAUCUUUUUAUUGCAAAAGUACUUACAGAUUCGUUUCUUAACACGUUUUUUGCAUCUUCACUAUGCCACAAUUGACUACGUUUUCCCAAUUCCGUAGGAGAUUUUGCCCGCACAAUUUCUCUUCCCAUAUCUCGAACCAAAUCAUGCAUCCUCAAAAUUUUGUCUUCAUCAAUAUAUAAGAGACCUCGAUUGCAGAGUGUGGUAAUUUCUGCUUCUACAGAAAAAUGACUACAACUAUCCAAUACUGGCAUGACUAUAUUUAUAUACCAUCCAAUAAAGACACAAGAUAUGUCAAGGAACACACCCUUCACAUGAUCAUCAAUUAGCCCAUCGUAUCUUAAUUUAAGCGUUUCAUUAAUUUCUCCUCCAUUUGGAAGCUUCUGGUCAUUAAUUUGUUCAGCUUCAUCAGAAGAUGCUCCCAUUUGGCCCCUACAAGGAAUGAAAUUGAAUUUCGUGUUCACCUAUUUAAAGAUUCAACUCUAAGUUUCGUCAAUAGCAAUUGAGUAAGAACAUGUAUGAUCAAGCUUAUAAACAAAUCACAACAUUACAAAUCAGAAACAUGUAUGGGGUAAUGUAGUUAUAUCCAAUUAUUUUGUGCUUUCUCCACAAAAGCUCCUCCAUGUUAAUGUAACUCUAUAUCAAUUAAUCUAUCAUACAAGACCAGACAUAAUCAGCAAUUAAAAAAUAUGACAACACAAGCUUUCGUCCAGUGAAAUUUUCAUCCAAAGACAGUAGGCAAAACCAAAAACAAACAAACCUCCAAUGUCGUUUUAUAAUAUCUCCCUUCCCAAUAUGCUAAUCAAACAAUUUCGGCACGUCAUCAAGAUUGACCAAGGGAUAACUGCAAUUAAUAAUACAUAAUAUUCAAUCUCCUUCAUCGAUCCCAAUACGAUAAAUUUUAAAUUGUUAUCAUCCGGAUAUUACCAUUGGAAUGAAUCUUUGCGGUAGAUAGUGGGAUUUCGAGCACAAAUGUGGCCUCCAAUGUGAAGGCAAGCAGUAACAAAUACCUCAUUCGUCAAUCCUCGCAACUCAGCCUCCUCUUUAAACUUAUCAAUGAGAACACGUGCAGGAUCACGAUUCCAUUCAUUUCGUGUCAUAUGUGCGAAUAUAAAUAGAUGGCGGCCAAUCAACGGCUCUUGCACUCCGGAAGCCCAUGGUUUGUGAUUCACAAGGACAUCAUCAACAAAGCUGUCCACAUCCGACUCUUUCAAGCCCCUUUGAUCAACAAACAAAAACAACCUCAGAAUCACAAUAAGGGAUUUAAAGGCAAUGAAUUAGUCGUAAACUGAGCCAUUCAAUUCAAUUUCUAGAACUAAUUUCAGAAGCUAAAACAUAUCUAAUUAUCUAUUUAGUUCAGUACAUUCAGCACAAUCUCGUAAUAAAAAAGAAUUUAAAACAGAAAUUACUUCAGUCUAAACUAGGAAAGUAAUUGCACUGCUCAUGUUGGUUAUGGAAUGGGGCCCUCGACAAUGGCGGAGCCACACAGAGGCCAGUGAUGGCCCAGGCCUACCCUGAUAAUUCAUUUAUGUAUGUACUCUCUGCAAGAUUUUACAAAAAUGAGCAUGCGGCUCAUUGGCUACUGGGAUUUUGCAAUUCCAAAAAGCCGCCUUCCAAGCGGUCUAGCAAUUUUUUUAGAUUUUUUUUUAAACUGAAAGGAAAAAAGGGUUCUUAUAAUUUGCCUUAUUUUUUACCAUAUUAAAACUAAGUCUUAUUUUUUAAUAUAUAAAAAAACAUACUCUCUUUUUUGGCUAGUUGAUAUAAAAAAAAGGUCUAUACACUAUAGAGCAAAAUCUAAUUUUAAGUCGUGAUUUUAAAUUUUUGUACAACUCUAAUGUGUUAAUUUUUUUUAUCAAGGCUUGUAAACAAGUUUUGUUUUUAUGAUAUAUUCAUUUCAAUACUAGGUUUUUCAUACAAAAUUUAAAGCUCCACCAUUCUUGUUUUAUUAAAAAUUUUCAUGCCAAUACAAAAAACAAAACCUUUAAUUUUUCUCCCAUUAAUUAUAUUUCAAAGGCUAAUCUUUCUAUGGCUUAAAGGCCCCUCCUAAUCUGGUUUUCUGGCUCCGCUACUGGCCCUCGAUUAUGAAUUAAUUACGGUUUGCCAUUGUGUGUUGGUGUGGGCCGUGCUUAAUAGUUGGGUUGGGGUGCUGUAGGCCCAGGGUGUAGCUCUCACGCGUUUUGGGCUGGGUUUCACCGAAAGAUCAAAUGACUCUUUUGCCCCCUUCAGUCCUAAUCCAACGGCCACCAUUUGGGGCGUUUGUGUUCUGCAAUUCGGUUGGGCGGGGGAGGGGGGAGAGAGGGGGGGUUAGGUUGCUUUCGAUCUAGUAAAGGAGAUCGUGCAGAGAGGCAGAGGGUGACAUCGAGUUUAGGGUUUGCACAGUGAGAGACAAGAGGGUUGAUGGGAAAGGUUGGGGGUGGACAGAGGGUUGAUGGGAAGGGUUGGGGGUGGACAGAGGGUUGAUGGGAAGGGUAGGAGCUAGAGAGGGGGGGGGGGUGGGGGUGAGGGUGGGUCCUCUCUCCACUGCUUGACGUCAUUUGGAUCUUCAUCCCUUUCAUGCUUCCCCAAAACUACCUUUCUGUUUCCUGACUUGAGAAGGGUCAACGUCGUAGAAUAUUGGACACACUAUUUUCCCCUCUUGUUCUUUUAGGCACCUCAUGAUUUUCGACAGCUCCCUCAGGCACCACCGGGACUCCGCGUACCCCUUCGAGAAGACGAGGAGGGCGAUUCUCGAUCCUUCGAUUUCUUGGUCAAGUUCACUCUGUAUGGUUUUCCCCCUUGUGAGCUGGUUAUCUAUAAAAGUGUUAAUUCCGGCAUUGCGUAAUGCAAUGAAGAGGUGGUUUGUAAAGGCGUUGCGGGUGUCUUCGCCUCUAAAGCUCAGGAACACCUCGUACUUCCAGCGGUUUGAGCCAGCUUCACUGGCGGAGCUGCUGGUAUCCAUUGCAGCCUGUAGAAGUGCAGCUUGGCGUUCAAAUAACCAACGUCAAGUCUUUCCCAAGAUUCCCAAGUGUUGGUGGCCCUUUUAAAUAUUUUGCAUGGGCCAAUGAUGUCGAUAACACGUGAGUGCUAUUCCCCCAAAGUUUAAUUUGUAUAAAUGUUACCAUCAAAUUUAAAUAUUUUACCAUGCAAUUUCCUCUUUUGUAGUUUUUUGAGAAAUCUGCCGCCCCCCCCCCCCCCACUUUGACCAGUUGACGAGAUUAUUGUAUUUUAAGGGUGGUGCGCAGGUCGGUCCAACUGUUGGAGUCACGCUAAAAUACGCAUUGGAAUUUGGAAGUUAGAAAGUAAAAAAAAUUAUAAUAUUCAGACGUGAAAUUUUAAAAGUGUUCACGAGAGAGAACAAAAAUGAAAAACAUUUACUCGAUUGGGUUAAGGCAUGGUCCAAUAGAACUUAUAGGCUUAAACACCGCAAGUAACCAAAUUGGACAUGGGUCUUAUGACCCAUCAGAGCACAUUAAAUUGUGAAAAUUGCACCUGCGCGUUAUUCACACGUUAGUGUAGUAACUUCAGAAAGAAUAAUACUUGAGUACUUAUUGAAAUUACCGACCCAAUGAAAUAAUUAAUAAAAAAGAACCAAUCCCAGUGACUACCCAAAUUACACGGCGUUAAAUCGUUAACCUUUUGGUUUCUAAAUUUACACGUGCCGCUCACUGAAAUGAUCAGAGUUUUGACUUUCAUUUCUUGAAAGCCAGCUGCACCAAUUGGUAAUCGAUGGAUACCAGCAGCUCCGCCCAUGGAACCGCCAUCGCAGCCUCUUCGUAUUCCCCGUGCCGCUCAAACCGCUGGAAGUCCAAGGUGUUCCUGAGCUUUAGAGGCAACGACACACGCACUAACUACACAGACAAUCUCUCCAUGCGUUACGCUAUGCCGGAAGCAACACGUUUAUAGACUACCAGCUCAGAAGGGGGGAUAAUAUACAGAGGGAACUUGACCGAAAAAUCGAAGGGUCCAGAAUCGCCAUCGUCGUCUUCUCCAAGGGGUACGCGGAGUCCCAGUGGUGCUUGAGGGAGCUGGCCAAGAUCAUGAGGUGCCGAGAAGAUCAAGAGGGCAAAAUAGUCUAUCCAAUGUUCUAUGUCGUUGUGAGGAAACAGAGUGGUGGUUUUGAGGAAGUUCGGAAGCAUGCAAGUGAUGAAAAUCCAAACGAACAAUCAGUGGAGAAAGGAUCUUAAGGCUUCUUUCCGGCGGACGGGUAUAAUUCCUUCUUUAACUCCUUCUUUACAAUUUUUUGAUGCUCAAAUUUACUCACUUAUAAUUCAAGGUUAGAAAUCCGGUCGUAUAUAGCUUAGUUAAUCACAUGGAUCAAUCUAAUUUACUCAAAUCUUCUUUGCUCAGAAAAUAUGAAUCUUGCAGUUGCAUGAUGAAUUUCACUUUUGUAUAAUUUUGAAAUUUAAUUGCCAGGCGUGAAGGGUUGUUUAUUGAGGAAAUUGCUAGGGACAUCAGAGGACUACUGAUAACAACAGACUUAAAACAAGCCAAGUGCCCAGUUGGAAUGGAUUUUCUUGUGCAAUAGUUGAGUACUGAAUGCUUAGAUGUUGGAGAUUUGCUUGAUGUUCAAAUAAAUGGAAUUUGGGGUUUGUGCAGUAUAGGUGAAACAAUACUUGCGAGAGCUAUCUGUAGCAAAUAUCAUCGUUGCUUUGGUGGUCAAUGUUUCCUUCAAAAGGUGAGGAGUAAAAAAGAAAAGUAUGGUUGCUCUGCAAGAACAACUUCUUCGAGGUGUUUUGAAACGGCUGGACAUUAAUGUGAGCGGUGUUGCCGAAGGAACCAAAGAGAGAGAGAAAAGAUUUGGAAGCAUGAAGGUGCUUGUCGUCGUUGAUGGCAUAGAUGAUGCUGACCAGUUAGAUGAAUUGGCGAUAAAACAGGAAUCGACUAUGUUUGUUAAGAUUCCAGCCACCCAAAUCUGCAGAAGCCUUAAGAUCCUUUCUCCACUGCUCGACCUCAUUUGGAUCUUCAUCCCUUUCAUGCUUCCAAAAUGCAUUUCCAAAAAUACCACUAUUUCCUCACUUGAGAAGGGUCGACGUCGUACAAUAUUGGAUAGACUACUUUCCCCUCUUGAUCUUCUUGGCACCUCAUGAUCUUGGCUAGCCUCUUUGAGAAGACAGACAACAGUAUUCCUCGACCCUUUGAUUUCUUGGUCAAGUUCACUCUGUGUGUUUUCCCCUCUUCUGAGCUGGUAGUCAAUGAGCUUGUGGAUUCCAGCAUUGUAUAAUGCAAUGGAGAGGUGGUCUGCGAAGGUAGUGUGUGUGUCGUCGCCUCUAAAGCUCAGGAACACCUCGUACUUCCAGUGGUUUGAGUGGCACAGGGAAGACGAAGAGGCUGCGACAUCGGUUACAUGGGCGGAGCUGAUGGUAUCCAUCGAUAAUUUGUACUAGUGUUGGGAGAAUAGAGGAGUGCAGCAGGCUAUGCGGCUUGGCUUUCAGAUAGCCAAAGUCAAGUCAAACUUCAUCUUCUAAGUAUUAUAGAGAAACAAAAUGCGUGGAUUUAUAUGAAUAUGCACGCGUAUGGCAUUGCAUAUAUUUAUUACAACAUAUGGUAACACUUAAUUUUUUAUGUGUGAAGUAAAAUAUAUGAAUUUCUUACAUUGCCUUGUUUGUUUGUUUAUACAUAUUGUGAAAUUUUUAUGGACUUAGUACUAUCAGUAUUUGUCAUUAUCUGCUAGACAACACAUGAUUAUGCGUGUCAAUCAACGCUUAGGUUAGACUGCAUAAUAUGAAUUUGACCAUAUCAUGAACUCAUAAAGGAGUGAGAAUGAGGAUCAACUAGCCCGCUUAGUUUAUUUGAUUCAUUAUAUUCAUGGAUUGGAUCACGAUCGAAUGUUAAGAUGAUACCCAUGCUUUUUCUGAUUCUACACAAGUUAGUAAUUCAAACGACUUCAAAAAGGAGUAUUUUAGUAAAUACGGGAAAAUCAAGAAUCAACAUGACGUAUACGUGGCUCCCCAUAUCGAAGAAAAAAGGGACAUUGCACGUACUUAUAAGUUAUUAAACUCACAAGCAACUGAACAAUCAGAGCCAGAUGUCAAUAACGAGUAAUGGGAUUGUAAUGCUUUCAAUAUUCAAAUCAAUUAACAAGCUCAUAAGAGGAGUUUAGGUUUAGGGUCCCUCAUCAGAUGAGUGAUGGCUGGUUUAGCUCUGUCUGCAACGUCAAUAGUGUCAUCAUCAGUGCAUGUCUUCAUCAGGCAGUAUUCAUGGUAUAGUUUGAUAUCGUCACCAGACUAAUAUGGCUGGUUUAGCUCUGUCUGCGACGUCAUUAGUUUCGAUUUCGCGGUCAAGUUCUGUCUUUAUAUUCACACCACCCCCCCCCCCAACUCCCUUUCUGAGCUGGUAGUCUAUAAACAUGUUGAUUCCGGCAUUGCGAAAUGCAAUAUCGAGGUGGUCUAGUGCGUGCGUCGUCACCUCUAAAGCUUAGGAACACUUCGUACUUCCAGCAGUUUGGGCACCACAAGGAAGACGAAGAGGCCGCUGCGGCAGCUAGGCGGAGUUGCUGGUAUCCAUGCAUGCAGCCUGAAGAAGUGCAGAUUGGCCUUCAAAUAAUCAAAGUCUUUUACCAAGAUUUCCCAGUGCGGGCGGCAUUUUAAAAUUUUUAACCCCAAUAAUUUACGAAUUUAAAUCGUUUAGUUACAGGCAGGGGCGGAUCCACAGUGGGGUCGUCGGGGUCGCACGACCCCUUGGAAAGCAUGGAAACAACCUUGAAGCUCCCAUACGCGACCUCUUGGAGCUGGGGUCGUCGGGGUCGGAGUCACACGCCAAGUGUUCGACAAAAAUCCUGAACGAAGCUCGGCACUGCAGGAAGAGGAAGAAGAAGAAGCAAGCUAUUACUAUGCCAUACGGAUAUGCUUGAGUUUGCAUCCAUUGAUGAAUUCUGCAAUACCACAUUUGAUCCGUCUUUUGUUUCCCUAAGCCGGAUGUUGGAUGCUAUGGCGCUUCUCAUUCCUCACCUUAAAUGCAAUUGUGUGCAGGUGAUGAAGAGACCUGGUUGUAAUUAUAAGACCGCUCGAGUUUGAGGAGGUGAAUCCUCAAGGAAAAGUAGAGGAUCACAAACAGAGUGGAAAGAAACAGAAACAGAAAAAGAGGAAUAAGAGUAACAAGAGUAAAAGCGGUAGUGACAGAAUUGUGACAAAGGUGAAGACUAAGCUCAAGAGUUGAUUAAUACAAAACUGUUUUCGGGUUUUUUUUUUCUUUCCAGUUCCAUUCUUUCCAUGGCGUAAGCGUCAUCAAUUUUCUACGUUUUGGAAGAUGAAAGAGUUAGAAGAGAAGACAGAUCGAGCGGGGAUGCUUAAUCUAUGCGUGCUGGUAGAAAUUCAAUUGCCAUAAUUUUUGUAUCUUUUAAUUCUUUUCUCUUCUCCUGUGUUGCAUGCAGUAGUUUGGUAGAAACUGUAUAUCAGCUAUGUAUUAAAGCCAUUUAACUUAUCCGACACUGCACCAAACGCCCGACUAAUGGAGUUAGUACUAUCCGACGACUAUUUAUCUUAUCCGACUGAAAUAGUCAGUACAGUCCGAAGUACCAAACGAGGUUAAAAAAAAAUUUCGCGCUGCGCGCGCUAUGACCCCACAAACAUUAUUUCCUGGAUCCGCCACUGGUUACAGGUAUGAAGUUCUGUAAUUAAUCUUUUAAAAUUCGUAGACCUUUCGAGGUCAUAAUAAUAAUGAUUUCAAAUAGAGCUCGGUCUCACAAACGGAUAGGCGAAAACCGUUCGUGAAACGGAAUUAUAAUGAGAGAGAUGUAAACGAUUAAAGUCAAGAACAUUUAAGCAAUUUUGAUCUUCAAAUCCCGAAGCCUCCAGCUUUGCUGGAGCAGGAAGGGUGGUGAUGAAGCCACGUGUGUGGCUGUGAUGGAAAGAAGAGAAGAGAAAGGCGAGAAAGGUGAAGGGGGACUGCCCAAUCAGAAAGAAGAGCAGGAGAGACAUGAGAGAAGUGUGAGGCACUCAACCCGGACCCCCGUUCCUUGACCCGUUCACACCGCGACCCGAACCGCAUCCCGGCUUUUAAAUACAGCGCUUUCUUUUCAAAAAAAAAAAAACCUCAUUGCACGAUAUACUUGACAACGCAUGAUAUACAGUAACUGGUAAUUCAAAUAAACUCCAACUUCCUUAGUAGUAACCAAAUUCGAUCUGGGUCUUACGAUGACCAAUCUCAAACAUCAAUUGUAAUGCUUUCAAUAUUCAAAUCAAUUAACAAACUCAUAAGAUGAGUUUAGGUUUAGGGUACCUCAUCGUUAGAUGAGUGAUGGCUGGCUUAACUCUGUCUGCAACGUCAACAAUCUCUUUCAUCAGUUUAUGUCUGAUAGUCCUCGUCAUCAGUAUCGUCGCCAUACUCAUACGGUACACGCUCAUAGUCCACGCCCUUAAACUCUAUAUAUGAAAGAUCAUAUUCUAGAAUUCCAUCAGACAAAUGACAUUCUGUGAUACCCACUCCAGUUUUCUUCACCUUAAUUUGAUGAUCAUCCUCUGCUCCUUUAAUUAAAGUCUGCUGUUACAAAAACCACGUUGCCGCCUUCGGAUUCAGCUUCUUGUUUGAAAGAUGUCCCAGCCAAAGAUGACAUUCAUGGGAGGCAGUUACGGUGGCCACAAUUGGCGAAAUGACAAAAUGAGUUCGCUGGGAAUGAUUAACAACAUGAAUGCAUAGAGACCCAGUACAGCCGGAGUGGUCCCCGGAAUAAACUAUGCACACAGCCAACCCUCUUAUAUUAACAGCAGUCCUUUGCCGCACUUCAAAUUUGAUAGUUUCAUCCUCAUUCACGACAUAGGUGAACCAGUAAGGAAUAUCCAUUCCAGAGAGAAAAAGCCCGCCUAAUGCUCUCGUAAUCCAGCCCUUGGACGAGUACAACACCAUUGAGGCUGGUGGAGGAGAUGCUUGCAGAGAUCAGCAGUGGACGAUGAUCUCGACCAAACUCUUGAGCUUUGGCAACAGCCUGAAAAGUUCUCAUUAUUCUCAAUCCAAUUGCCGUUUCCUUGGGGCAUCUCCUCGAUUUUCUUACUUUCUCCUCCAUUUGGAAGCUUCGGGUCAUUAAUUUUUUCAGCUUCAUCACAAGAUGCUCCGAUUUGGACCCUGUAAGGAAUGAAAUUGAAUUUCCUGUUCAGCUAUUUAAAGUUUCGUCAAUAGCAAUUGAGUAAGAACAAGUAUGUUCAAGCUUAAUAAACAAAUCACAACAACAUUACAAAUCAGAAACAUAUACAGGGUAAUGCAGUUAUAUCCAAGUCUUUUGUGCUUUCUCCACAAAAGUUCCUCCAUGUUAAUGUAACUCUAUAUCAAUAAAUCUAUCAUACAAGACUAUAAAUAAUCAGCAAUUGAAAAAUAUGACAACACAAGCUUCCAUCCGGUGAAUAUUUCAUCCAAAACAGUAAGCCAAACCAAAAAUGUACAAACCUCCAAAGUCGUUCUAUAAUCUCUCCCUUCCCAAUAUGCUGAUCAAAUUCUGGCACAUCAUCAGGAGUGACGUAGCCAUACCUUCAAUUAAUAAUACAUAAUAUUCAAACUCCUUCAUCAAUCGCAAUACGAAAAAAUUUUAAAUUGUUAUGAUCCGGAUAUUACCAAUAGCUUGUUGUACUUCCAUCUGAACCUGGGAUGUAGAUAAUCAAGUUUCCCAUUGUGGCCUCCAGUGUGAUAGCAAGCAGUAACAAAUACCUGAUUCGUCCAUCCUCGCAGCUCAGCCUCCUCUUCGAACUUAUCAAUGAGAACACGCGCACUAUCACGAUUCCAUUCUUCUCGACUACAAUGUGCACAUACAAAUACAUGGGAGCCAGUCAACGGAUCUUGCACUCGGGAAGCCCAUGGUUUGUGAUUCACAAGGACAUCAUCAACAAAGUUGUCCACAUCCGACUCUUUCAAGCCCCUUUGAUCAACAAACAAAAACAACCUCAGAAUCACACAAAAAGGGAUUUACAAGCAAGGAAUUAGUCAUAAACUGAGCCAUUAAAUUCAAUUUCUAGAACUAAUUUCAGAAGCUAACACGUAUCUAAUUAUCUAUUUAGUUCAGUAAAUUCAUGUUGGUUAUGGAAUGGGCGCUCGAUUAUGAAUUAAUUACGGUUUGCCAGUGGUGUGUGUGUUAGUGUGGGCCGUGCUUAACAGCAGGGUUGGGCUGCUGCAUUUGGGCCUCCGCUGACGUUGGUUGCAGAGAGAGAGAGAUGGGGAAAAGUAUGGGGGUGGGUUAUGUCCACUGCUGUGUAUUGCCUAAUUAGUUAUUUACAUUUGCUUAUUUAUCUCUGUAAAGCUUUCAUGCUUGGAUUUUAAAUGUAUGGUUCAAUUAGAAACCUUUAUAAUGUUGAUGUUAUAGAACAUUCCAACAGAUAUACAAGACUAUUGUGAAACAAUUCGUAUAAACCUCAAAUUACAAUGCUUAAAAACUAAAAAGUACCGAGUUAUGAAUAAGACUAUUGUGGUAUUUUGUUACCUUAAAAGCAGCUGCAUACGCUGCUUGUAAAAUUCGACAUGCCUUCGAAAGGUAGCUUGUUAUGGAUGAGUUCCCACAAUACAAUUACAAAACUGUAAGCAUCCACCUUAUGAUUGUAAUGCUUCUUUUCUCCGUGUCGUAAUGUAACUCUGCUGUAAAGCUGCCACCAAAUACAAAGGUGGAAAAUUAAUUUGCUGAUAUCAAACACACUCACAAGAACAUAUGAGAAAACAAAUUUUCAACCUUUGAAUGACCAAUUUAAAGUACCGUAUCUCAGGAGACAUCCACCGGUAUGUCCCAGUUUCAGCGGUCAUCAUCUCUGUCAAUGACUCUUCUCUUGCUAAGCCAAAGUCCGCAAGUUUGACUGUUUUUUGGUCGGCAGUCAAGAUCAAAUUCUCUGGGAAAAGGACAGGACAAAAGUUGUAGAUUGUUGGCGCCAGUUCGGCGUACUUAUACUCUCACGAAUAUAAUUACCGAGACCGAACCCAACACCGACGAUUUUUGAACUUCGAAGAAACUAGCAACCUUGUCUUCAAGCUUUAGAACCCAAAGGCUGAGAUGUGUUCCUUCCUCUGCCGCAAUUGCAAGAUCAAGAAGUCAGUAGCCCACCCGACACCACAUUAACGUAUUUUACUCCCCGGCCGAACUUAGUUGAUGAGUUGGCAUGCCCCGCACAUAAACGAAGGACGUAGUUAACUUAUAAAUUACUCGGCCUGCGCGCCACGUAGGCUUGGUAGUUUUUAGGGUCAACAUUUUGGCACGCCUGGUGGGACACAGUGCUAAAGAUACGAAGUUCAUGACCAUUGAAGCACGAUCAGUAAAAACAAAAACAAUCAUGGGUAAGUUAAUGACUAAUCUUCUACCUACAGUCCAAAGCCUAGGACAAGAUGGCUUGUCACAGGGACAUAAUCCUUCUGCUGCUGUAACACUUAAAGCCACAAGUACAACAUGCCGAAAAAAAGGAAUCAAUCUCUGCGGUCAGACUCGUGAUGCAGAAAUCCCCACCAAAAUGACAAAAUGCAUUUUUGUUGAAGGACUAGUGGAGGAUUGUGACGAUGAUGAUGAUGAGGUAUUUGAUCUAUCAUCUAAAUCUUUUCUUCGGUGACGAUUUGAAGAAUAAUCUCGGCAGUUUGAGAAAAUGUUCAGCUGAGAGGUAAAUGCAUACUUGAAGAGAUGCAUGAUAAUAGCGUUGUGCUCAAUAGAUUGUUCGAAGUUCUGGUUAAUAAAAUCCACGAAGUUGGACCCGCCGAUCGACUCAGGCAACCUCAUCUUCUAAAGAAUAAUCAUUUGCCAGCGAUAUAGAGCGAGACAUGAUCUGGUCGACUCAAAAUGAUUGACUUAGAAAAAAAAUGGCGAAUAAAGCAGCAAACUGGUCAGAAUUGACCAAGGAGCAGAAGUGGUGCCUGUUGACAUGGUCGAAGUCCAGAGAAUGAUUGAUUCAGCCUUAAAAAAAUGGCCAAAGUUUCCAAAAUUCAUUCACCCAUAUCCAGCCUUUGUAGAAAGGUUCGAAUAUCCUAAGGGAUUCAAGAUUCCAGACUUUAUCCUUUUCGCUGGAGAAUCAUCCUUGUCCUCGUUAGAACACGUGGCUCGAUUUACUGCUCAAUGUGGAGAUGUUAACAGUGAUUUCAUAAACUACGACUGUUCAAUUUCUCGUUAACUGGCACAACGUUCGCAUGGUACAUCAACCUCCUACCCAACUCUAUCCAAAGUUAGGAGGAAUUAGUCGAGAAAUUUCAUGAGCAAUUCUAUCGGCCAGGGAUGGAAAUGUCAGUUUCUUCUUUGGCCAAAAUGGCUAAAUCAUUUGAUGAGUCACUAAUGUAAUAUCUUACGAGGUUUAAAUCAGCCAGAAACUGGUGCUGAGUACCCUUCCUGAAGUCGAGUUUGUUAGGCUUGCCCUAAACUGCCUGGAUGUGGAGUAUAAAAAGAAAUUCUUAGGGGCAAACUUUCAAGAUAUGUACGAACUGGCUUAACAUGUUGAGCAAUAUGAUUAUUUGCUCCGAGAAGAGAAAAUCUCAAAAUCACCAGCCCCAGGGACAAUCUACAAAAACCCAACAAUAAGUUAUUUAUCGGCCGAAGGCGAAGAGUCCCAAUAUGCCAGUAGAUGCGGUUGAGAUAGUAAUUGACAAACCAUAAGUAUGCAAAACGUUAGCUCACACUAAUUCUAAAGAUGUCAAAACCCGCUUUGCCUCUGUGGAAUCCACUUUCAAAACGCCAAAGGUCUACACUUUAGACAUCACCAAGGCCGACGCCAUCUUCCAUUGGUUGUUACUUGCAAAAAUCAUCAAGCUUCAGCCAGGACAUAAUAUCCCCAAGGCCGAAGAUUUGAAAGGAAAGAUGUAUUGCAAAUACCAUAAUUCAAACAAGCAUACAACAAAUAAUUGUGUCGUAUUUCGCGACGCCAUCCAUAGCUGGAUUGACAAUGGCAAACUCAAGUUUCCUGAGAAACCUCCAAUGAUCGUUGAUGCCGAUCUUUUCCCCUUGGAGACAGUAAGCAUGGUAGAUGCUCAUCUACCCAAGGACAAGAGAAAAGGAAAAAUCGAAUUUAUCUCGAUGCAGUACGUCCCUAAGAAGAAUUCUCAGCUGCGAUUGAAAGUUGAUCUAUCUUCCGACGAGCCACCCAAAUACUUUUCGAACCCAACUUAUGCCGAGUCAAUGUCGGACUCCAGCACAAAGGAAACUGAUGGGCCGAUGGUUUUAUGUAGUAGAUGCAAAUUAAACGUCAUCAUAACUAAGCUGAAAAAAUAACCACUUCGGGAUGAAGCAUCGUAACUAGCGCCUGCAGUUGUGGAAACAUGUCAAAAGGUGCUUGGUGCAAACUAACGCCAGAAAGUUUUCAAUAAGCUUAGCCCUCAAACACAGAAUAAUAAGCCGUCUUGGGCCAAACGGCGACUUGAUUUCGACGGGCUAUUUUACAAUGAAGAUUAUUAUGCGUGCAAUUCUAGCUGCUCAAGUUCACCCACGAACCGGCAAACCUUCAAGCCACCUAAGCCACACAAACAACGUUGGUAUAGCUACAAAUCCCCUAGUGGUGCAUAUACCGCGUUGUCCAAAUCGUAGAAAUGCCAUCGCCAGAGAAUAUAUUGUAUGGCUCACCAACGAGCAACCCAGGCCACCCCAACUACUCAAUGGCAGCCGAAAGAAAUGGUAGGUAACGAAGAUGACCGACAAGCUCCAGCAAUCAUGACCGAGCUACUUCAAGGAAAAAAAGUAAUCGAUUGCAAUUUUGAAACCACAAUUGAAGAAUCUGAGAAGCAGAUCAAACUUUUUCUUCGGCCUAGGGAGAUGAAAGCUCACCUCAAGCACUUCUAGAAGGAAACCGAAAGCAAACUUCCUCUGCUAUCCCCACAAGAGCCAUUAAUUAAAGUCAAACAAAAUUGCCAUCUGCCGUUUUUCGGUGAAGCUUUGAAAUACGUGCGGGGGUUCCACAAGAAGCAUUAACUAAUGACUUUUACGACCUACCAAAGCAUGCCAAGAGUUUCUUGAUUUGGCGUUAACCUGCCCCAAUGCCGAACAGAUCAUCCAAAAGACCAUGGAUUUGGGAAUGAAGGCUAGGUUCCAACAUAUACGCGAGGUCCAAGUUCUUAGCUUUGAGGUGGAUCCAUAUACUGAUAUUGUCAAUCUUUCUUUCUCUCUCGAGGAUCUCCAAUAUUUGCAGUACCAUUUUGAAGUUUUCUUAGCUGUUUCCCUAUUCGGCCUUACGGCCGAUGAGGAGCACAUGGCGCGUUUAGAUGCUUACUUAGACACAAAAGACGCCCGCAUCGCAUAUCAGGAGCAGACUCACAAAGCUUUACAAGCGCAAGACCAAGUCCCAACGCAGAGCGAGCCAGUGGUCGAAAAGCUUUACAAACAUGCCACAUAAAUGUGUUUUCGCUGCAACCAAAGAUAGCCAAGUGAGUAGUGCCCAUGAGCAAGACACCUCGCCCAAAAAUCCAGAAGACGAUGAUCACAACCUGAUGGGCCCUUUAGUCUUCGACAACAUAGAAAUUAGCAUAGUCUAUGCCUUGUAGAAUUUUGGCCAACCACAUCCCAACCAAAUUUCCUGGACGGUGACAUAAUUGCCGAAGAGGCCACGUAAGUCGAUUUUGUGGCUACCGAAGAAAGUGAGCAAAUAAGCAAAGAAGAUAAACUUAAAGUAGCUAUCGCCGAACUGUUUCCCCGUUCUUUAUUCUUUAAUCUUCAUCAUUUGAAGCCGUUGUAUGUCACGGCACAUAUUGAAGGAUACCCGAUUUCCAAAAAUUUUGUCGACUGUGGAGCAACGGUCAACAUCAUGCCUGUCUCUAUCAUGAAAGCAUUACAUCGCUCUAGAGAUGAACUCAUUCCAUCAAGGGUAACUAUGAGCAGCUUUGUCGGUGACAAAUCUCAGACUAAGGGAGUGCUUCCUUUAGAGGUGAAUAUCGUAAGACAAAAUCACAUGAUGACAUUUUUUACAGCCGAUUCAAAGACCGAGUAUAAUGAUUUGCUUGGUUGUGAUUGGAUCCACCAAAAUGGUUGUAUCCUCUCAUCAUUAUAUCAAGUCCUCAUCUUUUGGGACGGUAAAUCGACUGUAGUUCAUCCGGCCGACAAUCAGCCCGUUCGAAGAUAAUAUGAUUCAAGCUCGCUAUUACAAUGAUCAUGUCGGCUAUAUCACCUUGCAAGGUUUCAACAAAGAAAGAUGGCCGACUCGGAUCUCAGUUCAGAAAGCCAUCGAGGUUGGCGUUAAGACUGUUCAGCAAGAUUCUGUAAGACUCAGGUUGGCUAACCUAAUUGACGAUCUUGAUGCCUAAUACCAAACAAGAUAGACAUCGGGCUGUGGUUUCAUCUAUCAUGGAACGCCUAUUAUCCCAUUGGUAUACUAUUUCCUAGCAAUCAAAUUCUGGCGUGAACUUAGUAGAGUUCCUCGCCGAAUGAGAUAAUGGUCCAGUCCUAUCACUUGAUAAAGUCCAAGCUACCCCAGCUGAGCUCGAGGACAGUGGACUUGAAGUCAAAGAUCCAUUAGACGAAAUAAAUGUUGGAACGGCCGAGGACCCUCGACCUUUAUUUAUUAGUUCUUUAUUGCCCCAACCUAUGAAAGCUGAGCUUUGUAAACUGCUCGAAGAAUUUAAAGCUUGUUUCACUUGGAGUUAUCAUGAGGUGCCUGGCCUGGAUUGAACACUCAUCGAGCACGAACGCAUCAAGGUUGGUUGUAAAUCUUUCCGCUAACCUCUCCUCCCUCCUCGAUGAUUCUCGACCGGAGUUCAGCUCGGCAUAAAAGAUGAACACGUUCGACUUUUCAAAGUUGGUUUUAUUCGGAUAGCUCAAUACGUCAAAUGGUUGGUGAAUAUUGUCCCAGUUUUAAAGAAAAGCAGUGCUCUACAUAUUUGCACUGAUUUUCAUAAUUUGAACUUGGCAACCCCUAAAGAUGAAUAUACAAUGCCAAUUUCAGACUUGUUAAUUGACGUUGUAACAAACCACGAGAUGUUAUCUUUCAUGGAUGGCCAUGAUGGUUACAAACAGAUUUUCAUUGUUGAGGCCGAUGUCCACAAAAUUGCUUUUCGUUGCCCCGGGGCACUCGGGACCUACGAAUGGGUCGUCAUGCCUUUCGGACUUAAGAAUGCCAAUGCUACAUAUCAACGCUCUAUGAAUACCAUUUUUCAUGACCUGAAUGGCAUAGUCGUUGAGGUAUAUAUAUCAACGAUGUUGUGGUUAAAUUGAAGCACCGCCGAACACAUUUAGAUGAUAUUCAGCAAGCUUUCCUUCGUAUGCGUCAACAUAACCUUAAAAUGAACCCCUUUGGUGUAUCGGCAUGCAACUUGUUGGGUUUCCUUGUACAUCAUCGUGGCAUUGAGGUAGAUGAGAAUAAAGCUCGAGCAAUCAUUGAUGCUCCACCCCCGACCACCAAGAAGUAAUUACAAUCCUUACUUGGCAAAAUCAAUUUCCUCCAUCGUUUCAUUUCUAACCCGGCGGGGAAAAUGAAGGCUUUUUCGACGCUCUUGAAACUUAAGGAUUCUAACAAAUUCAAAUGGCGCAAUGAACAUCAAGACGCUUUCACACAAAUCAAGGUCUCCUUUACUACCCCACCUAUCCUUAUGCCACCUCGGCGCGGUAAACCUCUUAAGUUGUAUAUCUCGGUUGCCGAGGAAUCCAUUGGUUGUCUUUUUGCGCAAGACAACGACACUAGGCAAGAGCAGGCCAUUUUUAUCUUAGCCGAAAUCUUAACUCAGUUGAGAUAAAUUAUACAAGCUCCCUUCUGUUACUCAAGUCAUCGCCCAGACAGAUGUUAUUCUUUACAUGCUCACUCAGCCGAUAGUAAAAGGCUGAAUUGGGAAAUGGACAAUGGCGUUGUCCGAAUUUAGUUUGCAGUACGUACCCCAAAAAGCUAUCAAAGGACAAGCGCUGGCCAAUUUCUUAGCUCAACAUCUUUCUCCAUACGGUUUUGGGGGCAACGACAUCAAAAUCCGCAUGGUGGAGACAUGAUAAUUAUUGAACGAUGUAUUUUAAUGGCUAUAGUACCUCGACCUCGGUCGGCGUUGGAAUCGUCAUAUAGUCCCCUGAUCACUACCGAUGGUAUUUUCUCUCAAGUUGGAUUUUGAUUGUACAAACAAUUAAGCCAAAUAUGAAGCCCUCGUCAUCGGCCUCAAUGUCCUUCACUACUUAAAGGCAGCCCGCGUGCUCGUCCUUAGCGAUUCAAAACUUGUGAUCAACCAACUCAAUGGGACUUUUCGUUGCAUAAGUUGUACUCUGGCGCCUUAUCAUAUAGUUGUCAACUAUUUAGCCGAAUCAUUUGCAGGCAUUCCGUUCAAGCACAUUUCACGAGUUGGAAAUACUAACGCAGACGAGUUGGCUCAAAUAGCCUCUGAAACACAACUCCUGGGGGGCGAACUGGACUGGGUCAUACCAGUGUUGCGACGUCGACACUUGGCCUUGGUUAAUCAACAAGUUCUCCAACACGACCACGUAAUCUGUACACGAGUUAUGUCUCUACCUUUGUUAUUGGAACGAAAGGAUCCUAUAGAUAUCUGCAUGGUCGAGACAUUACCAGACGACUGGAGAAGAUUAAUCAUGAAAUAUCUUGAUAAUCCCAGUGGCAAACACGACCGCAAGACAAGGGUACACCCCACAAAUUAAAUAAUGUACCAGAAUGAACUAUAUCGAAAAAGUAAAGAUGGUCUAUUGUUAUUGUGCCUCGGCCCAAAUGAUACCGCUCAAGCUAUUGCAGAGGUACACAAAGAAAUAUGCGGGGCUCAUCAAUCCGAACGCAAAACGCGUUGGUUACUCCGUCGACAUGGUUAUUUUUGGUCGAGUAUGUUAAAAGAUUGCAUUGAACAGGUGCAAGGUUGUGUACAAUGUCAAAUCUAUGGGCCCAUACAGAGGGUCUCGGUCGAAUUACUUCACUCAGUCACUAAGCCAUAGCCGUUCAAAGGAUGGGCCAUGGAUGUAAUUGGCAAGAUUACUCCGUCUUCUGAAUCGGCAAAACAUCCAUGGAUACUUGUAGCGACCGACUACUUCACCAAGUGGGUUGAAGCAAAAUCAUACGCCGAGUUAACAUCUAAAGAUGUUUACAAUUUUGUAGAAGAAAACAUUGUGACAAGAUUUGGUGUACCAGAAGCAAUUAUAAAGGACAACCCCAUGAUUUUUACGGCCGAUAGGUUUAAAGAAUACACAACACAUUUGAAAAUUUGGCUCGAGCAAUUCACGCCGUAUUACCCAUAGGCAAACGGACAGGCCGAAGCAAGUAAUAAAGUUCUCGGUAUCCUUAAGAAAAUGAUAAAAGAAAAGCCUGGUAUAUGGCAUUUGAAGUUAAACGAGGUAUUAUGGGUAUAUCGAACUUCAUUCCAAUCAACAACAACGACGACCCCAUAUGCGUUAACUUAUGGACACAAUGUGAUGCUACUAGUCGAACUAAGCAUAAACUUGUUAUGAGCUAUUGAAUAAAGCAGUUUGUUCAGUGCCAAGUAUAGUCAGGCCAUGAGGCAAAAGUUGGAGGAUUUGGAGGAAGCUCAGCUCGAUGCUUAUAACUUGCUAGUGGUGUAGAAAAAGAUUGCCAAAUGAGCUUAUAAUUGGCAAGUUAGGCAAAAGACGUUUGGUGAAGGUGAGUUAGUGUGGCAAACCGUGUUACCAGUAGGGAUUAAGGAUCCCAGAUUCAGGAAAUGGUGGCCGAAUUGGGAAAGACCAUUCGUCAUCUACAAAGUACUCAGCAAGUGGGCAUACCACCUCAAGGAUCGAACUAGUUUAAUUCAUAAAUUACCGAUCAAUGGGAAAUUCUUAAAGAAAUAUUAUCCGGUCACUUGGGAGAUGCAAGAAUAAAGGAUUUCUUUCAUUAAUUUUCAAAGUGGAUACACACAAAAUUACAAAGAAAUCGAUCGGCCCACAAGUCGGCACCUACAAAAUUCCUAGGGAGUCGAAGGAAGAAAAGCUUCAAGAAUGGCUUUUAGUUCUAGCCACUUCACUUCGCCUAUUGUAACCUCUGCUUGUCGGGUUUUUUUGUCAGCCUUUAGUUGCUGUAUCCACUUGGCCUAAGCCAUGUACUCUGCCAGUUGAGGUUUGUUCGACUCAAAAUCCUUUUCGAGCUUAGAAGCAACGGCCGACAGCUGACAAUGAAGUUCAUCGAUUUGAUGGUUAAGGUUGGCCAACCUUUCAUUCUUUGCCUUUAUUGCCUCGAGCCCUGGUCAGAUAGCUUCAUGAGCGACCAUUGUAGCCUUGAGGUCAUCCUCUAUCCAAAAAGCCUUCUCGAAAAUAGUGAAAUAUUGUCGAGUUCCUUCUAGGACAUUUGACAGAUGAAGAACACUUUCGUUGCUCAAUAGGUCGUCGGCUGCAAGGUUGUUAAAGCACUCUCCCACAGAAUAUAUGCCUUUGCUUUGGAGGAUUUGUGAGGCCAAGAGAGAUUGAAGUUCCUGCAACUUGGCAAGGGCGCUAGAUUCGACCAGGGUUACAGAAGGCCCAACCAUCCCUUAAGUGCUGGAGAGAAAGGUGUCAAGCUCAACUUUUCAUGAAGGCUGCAUAGAGAAAAGUUGUUAAAGAAAAGAGAAUUCCAAAGGAUGGCAGAGAAAUAAGUUGUUUUAGACCUGCCGAGAAGAAACUUCGGCCAUGUCCGCUGGUUCGUUGGUCAAACCCAGAGAGCUUAAUAGCCAAGCCCAGUGUUUAAGGCAACUUUUCAAUUCAUGCGGCCGAUGAAGGUUAUCUACGUUUGAUGGCCACUGGGGUGGCCAAGAAAUAUAAAUAACGCCCUUCGACGCAUAGAAUUUUUGGUGAAAUGAGCGAUUGGACCUGACAUUUAAUGCUUUUCUUGGUUUAGAGUUCUAAGGCAGGAAAUUAAUAAAUGAUAAGUCUUACAAAGUUCAAUGUGACCUCUUGAGGAGGAAUACCGAGGUUCUGGUCCUAGGGAUGAACCCACGUCUCUACCGUUGUUUUUGGCUCAACAAGAGGUGUUGAUUCAUGUCCCGGACCUACUUCAGUCGCAUGGGGGUUGACCUAGCUAGCCGCCUCGACUGCCAGUUGGAAAUUACCCAGAGCUAGGGGACUUGUAGUUGGUGGUUCAACCCGUCGAGGGCACUUCACCAGCAAAUGUACUUCGCUCUCGUUCUCCUAAUUAUAGAAGAUGAUCGUUUAUUAAUCGGAAGAUCCAAUUUAAAAUGAAAGGAGAACAAUAUUAAAGGAAAUUGUCAUACCUCUCCCUCCAAGAUGAUCAUUGGAUUCUUCUUUGGAUUUGGGAAAGGGUUUCUUUCGAUCAUUGUUGCCGCCUUAUCCGGAGUAGCAGUUGUUGGGCUGACAUCAGCAGGGGCAAUAGCCGGUUCUGGAGUUGCAAGUUCCUCGACCAAUAAGGCGACGACCGGUUCGACUUCAAUAGUAGCUUGUGUGGUGGGUCAAACCAUGGUCGCAUGGCCCACGGUUAGGAUCGAAGGGUUUUGCGGUACCGUUGUCGAGGUCCGGAUGACAGGAGAAGAGAGAGGGAUACUAGGAGUGGUUGCUCCUGUGUUUUGACUUGAGAUAACAUGAAUCUCCCGUUCUUCCCUCUUUGCCUUUUUCUUGAUAUGUUUUUGGGGUUGGGCAACGUUACCAGUUAUCUCGGCCUUUGGGCGAUGCCAUUUUCUAUGUAUGGUCGAUGCAGCAGUUGCAACCUUCUUUGGAGGAAGGGCGAGUUUUUUCUUGGCUGCAACCAUUGUAACCACAUCAGCCCAUUUUAUUGCAUGAGCACCUGGAAAAGCUGAGCUUGAGUCAUAAUGAAGUUCGAAUAACCUAACGGAGAAAUAAAAGAUACAUACCUUGAGCCGUUUCUUUGGAUUUUGGAGGAAGAUUCUUCUUAGGUCGAUCGCCAAAAAUUUUCUUUCAAGUUUCCUCGAACGAUACACCGAAGAAAUCCUUAAUAUAAGCAUCCCACCAAUUGGCAAAUGUGCUAGUACUAUAGGUUUCUAGAGUGUUCGGCUGAAGAGUAAUUUGGUGCAUCGCUCUUAAAACUCCCGCUCAGCUUCUUCGCACUCUCUCUUAGAGGAGCCGGAGAGGCAUUCUCUGCUCCAGAGUGAGCGAAAAGUGAGAAGUGGCACAUGACAGCCCUGAAGAUAGCCCAAUUGAUGAGCCAGGAAGUAAGGAUGGUAGACUUCACAGCCAACUUUACAACUGUUGCAACCGAAGGGUAGGUCGCGAGCUAGGGUAAACGACUCUCAGGAUUGUCGAAGGUCAGCUUCUUAUGCUUCAUCCCACGCCGAUGUGGGGAGAUUAAUGGAAGAUGGAUAUUCCUGGCGACAGCAGACCAUAAAUUCGUCGUCUGAUAGAUCUUCAAGGCCUAAGAAAUACUCAAAGAUGUAUUCGAUCUAGUGAGCAGGAAAUGGGCACGAAGCUAGUUGAUGACCCAUCACUUCGAAAAAGUUGAAGCAUGGGAUUUUUGGCCUCAGUAUGGGUAAGUAGACCUGCAGCCAGAGUUGAAAGACCCAGAGUAGGCCAUUCUAGUAUGGAUCAAUUUUCCUAACAGAAGCCUUGGCCAAGCACCGGUUGAGGUUGGCAAUGAUGGUCGGGAUAAGGGCCAGGACAUGGCUGUUGGCUAGAGCUUCGGCCACUGGCAUAUUCUUAGCCAAAUACUUGUUUGACUUAGUACAAAAGAUGAAUUUAUUGUACCAGUAGAACAAAAAGGCCUUGUGUUCUCCUUUAUUGAGAGCUUCCCAUUUUAAGCCAGCAAAGUGGCUGAUCAAGGUGUUAUAGUUGAAGAAAUUUUUGUGCAGUUUGUGCACAUCUUCUUUCGACGGCUCCUGAACGUUCUUUGUCAAAACUUCGACGACGCGUUUGUCGAAGACUAUUUUCAGAUCCAAGUCGAAAUUAUACAGAGAAAGAGCAGUAUCAAUUGGGAAACCAGAGGGAGAAGUGCCAAGUAUGGCUGUGAUACGCAGCACGGUUGGAUCGAUGGGGCUAAGGGGAAAAACAAUAGUGUUGGUGGCCAAACACUAGAAGCUCAGGAUAUUCAUCAAGAGCUAUCGGUCCAUAAUGAUCUCAAAGGUUGAAAGCUUCAUAGCGUUGAAAAUGCCGAUAGUUUUCCACUCAUUACCAAAGUGUGGCUCCAUUCGGGUAACCCAAGCAGCCCAAGUCACGGAGGUCGAGGGCCAGGCUCCCUGAGGUUUGGUUAAGUCCCACUUCGACCAAUCAUACCCUUGGAAUAAGGGUUUUUGGCAAUGGGCCUUCAGUAUUUCGGUGAUGGUUUCGGGGACUUUAUCCUUGAAAAGUGGUCUGAGAAUCUGGUGAGAAGCAUUUGAGUCACCUUCGAAUUGAAAGGUUUUGAUAGCAUUCCGAUCGAUGAAGUCUUGGCAUUUGUUGCACUCCUUGGUGAGCUUGGUAAUGAAGGUAUUGGAAGCCAUUGAAGUAGGUUUGAAGGUUUUUCUGGGUUUCAAAGUUUGGUUUCUUUUUCUGGUAAAGUUUGAAAGCAUGAAAAUCCAAAUGAAGUUGGGCAGAGUAUUUAUAGGCAAUUAAGGGAGAAGAUCAACUGCUUAGUUUUAGAAGAUGAGGGGUAAAUCUGACUGAAGGAUUUCAUAAUCAUAACGGAUCUUUGAAAUCCAGGGGAAGAAGCCGAAAAACACUCAAAUUUAGGGUACACGAUUGAGUGUGACUACGAAGGUUAUGACGAAGAGACAUUUUGACGUCUGCACGCCUUGAACGUGGGGGUAUACAUCAUUGAAGAUGGACAGUCACGAUAAGAGUUGCCACGUAUCAAGUUUUGCAGCGUUUUGAGAAAACUGACAGGGGUGGGAGAUCGUACUUAAUAAAUGUGUCUGAGUGGUUGGAGUGUUCGAGGCUUGCAAUGAUCUUUGGUUUGCUAGAAGGUAUAUGCUAGGUUUUUCUUUGGCAAUAGAUUACUUCUUCAAGGUCGAGGCUCAGCCAAGAAUUGUAAGCCGAAGACCUCAUAAGCGAGGGGGCAAUGUUUGGGCCAAAAAUAAUAUUUUGGGCCGAGCUUUGGUCCAAUAACAUUUAUCUAGAAUUUUGUCAUGGGCCGUUCAGUCAAGGUUGGCCAAAUCCUAGUACGAAGAGGAUUGGUUUAGAUAAGGUUGAGGUAGUCGAACCUUAGUGCAACAAAGAGUCUUAAAGCUAAGGAUGCUUAGGAUUAGGGGAUGAAUUUGGUUCGUUAAGGAGCUUGGUUCAAAGUCUUAUAGGGGUUAGGUUGGUCGAAACCUAAUUAGAUUGGGUUGAGGAGUUCUAAUCCAAGUAAGCUUCUAGUUCGGCCAUAAGGGGAUUCCCUACUAUAAAUAAAGAGGGGAGUGCAACAUUCAAGGCCUCUCCAAAAUCAACACACAAAUUGCCUUGCGCAAAGCUUCUCAACAACCUUGAGAUUUUCUCCUUUUCCCCUUUCUUUUCACCAACACAUCUUAAGUUUGGAUAGACAGCACUGUGAAGGCAACCGGCAACAUCUUCAGUUUGGAUAGACAACACUGGAGCCGUAGAAUUAGCCGAUCGAGAAGCACCUUUAGUUUGGAUAGACAGCACUGCUUCGAGACUAACUGGUUAUUUAUCCAAGUCUCGGUCAACAAGGAUUUUCGAGUCCUUGUUGGUAAAGGUCAUCUCAUCAGCCUUCUCGGUGAAGUGAGGUGUUACGAGGUUACUAGGCUCGGCACAUUGAAAGCUGAGUUUUGUUUAUGAUUGGAUAUUCGCAAGCAUAUUUUAGAGUUCAUCAUUCUGACGGCCGAACCACAAUUACAGUCAAGACAUUUAUCUAUUUCGAGUAUUUGUGUCCAUACAGUUUGGUGCCAGUUUGACAUACUUAUACUCUCACGAACAUAAUUACCGAGACCAAACCCGGUGCCGACGAUUUAUGAACUUCGAAGAAACUAGCAACCUUGUCUUCAGGCUCUAGAACCUGAAGGCCGAGAUGUGUUCCUUCCUCGGCCGCAAUUGCAAGAUCAAGAAGUCAACAGCCCGCCCGACGUCACAUCAACAUAUUUUACUCCCCGGCCGAACUCAGUUGACGAGUUGGCACGCCCCGCACACAACCGAAUGAUGUAGUUAGCUUAUAAAUUACUCGGCAUGCACGCCACGUAGGGUUGGUAGUUUUUUAGGUCAAUAGUUAUUGAGAUAAUAUUUCCAUUGGUAGUGACGAGACUCUCUCUUGGAGGAUGAAUCAUGGAUGAAAGAGAGACUCGUCAUGCGUCAUGUGGUCACGAUCUCUAGAAGCAAUUUAGACUUUUCUCGAAUUUCCUGAAUUAUCACGAUCAACAAAGAAAGAUACUUGAUAAUAAUAAAAAAUAAAUAAAAAUAAAAAAAGACAAUAUUAUCUUCUCUCCCAUGGUUGUAGUAGGCUUAGGUUUAAGAUUCUCAGUGUCGAUUGCCAAGAACAAGUUGCACGAUAAGAAUUAGGAUUAUUGUGCUACUUUAAAAACACAAAGAGGCACCGGGUAAAUUUUGGUUAUGUGUAGGAUUAAUGAUUGUCCGAAACACAAGACAAUCAACAAAGUGUAGGGCGCCAACAUCCAAGUAAGCUAAAAUACAUGAAUAGUAUUUUGGGUUUAGGUUGUUUUUUCUAGGAAAGAGAUAGGCCGAAACCCUUUUUUUUUCUUUUUCUAGAAAACCUCGAUGAUACGAGGGGAAUUUUAUUAAUAACAAAAAAAGAAGUUCCACCUAGUCAGGAGAAACGUAAACCUAACCCUUCAUAAUACAAGAAGAAAAAAAAAGGAUAGAAAACACAAGAAAAGGAAGGGGGACAUAAUCCUUACCUUUCUAGAAACGAAAACAAUAAUGAUACAAGGAAAAUAGGGGGGACCUGAAACCUGACCCCUUUAUAGCCAAAUCUAAAGGUCUUAACCUGCAAAAAAAAUUGAGUAAAGAAAAUAAAAUAAGAAAGUGAGACAAACUUAUAUGUCUGAAAAUAAAGCAGUACGAGCCACCAGCAGAGAGGAACCAUGCCAUACCAAAGUUGGAGAAGACAAACCUAUAUUAGCAAAAUUCUCUACAAUAACAUUCCCUUCGCGAUAUAUGUGAGAGGCGUAGAAAGUCAUCUUCCGAAUCCGAUCUAAACAAAUAGACCAUUGCGUACAAAGAGGCCAAAGAGUGUAAAAAAUAGUCGAUUGGAAGGCAAAAAGUCACUUUCCAACCAAAGACAAUGUCAUCCCCGUUGAUAUGCAAACUCUACACCAAUAAUAAUUGUUGAUAAUUCUGCAUGGUAAGAGUUACAAUGACUAAUUUGAUACCAAGAUAAAAGCGGAAAACUUUUUUUCUUUUUUGACGGUACGAGGAAAAUUUUAUUAAUAACGAAAAAAGAAGUUACACUUAGUCAUUUUCCGAAGUUAAAGUUGGAGAAGAUAAGCCCAUGUUAGCAAAAUUGUCAGCAACAAAAUUUCCUUCAUGAUAUAUGUGAGAUGCGUAGUAAGUCAUUUUCCGAAGGGAGUUUUAACGAAACACUCCAUGUACUUCACUUUUAACGAAAAUCCACAUUCUUACCUUUCCCUAGUACUAUUCACUACACCUUUAUUUGUCCUUUUUCAUUAAAACUAAAGUUUUUUAGGAAACCUAAUGAAAAUAGCCUGAAAACUUUGAGUUUUAACGAAAAUGACAAAAAAAUGUUGUAAGUGAAUAGUACCAGGAGUGUCUUUUUAGAGUAAAAAUGUGGUUUUUUGUUAAAGUGAACAGUACCAGAAGUGUUGCGUUAAAACUCCCAAGUUUUUUUGGACUUUUCGUUAGUUAUCAUUUUUCCGAAUGCGGUCCAAACAAAUACACCAAUAAGGAUUAAAAUCAGACGAUUAAAAAGUGUAAAACUUAUGAGAGUUUUUGGGUUUGGAUUGUUGUAUUGUAUUUUUCUCUCAAGGAGAAAAUAAGUAUACAGUAUAAGGAUAUCUAGGUACAUGAAAUCCCCAAUUAAAAAUCUAUAAUGAAUAGGAAAGUUAACUCACGUAGAACAACAUGCUGGAUGGUGGAUCCACACCUAAGACUAUCGUGCAUGGUUGAAUUGUCCAACACUAACAGAACUAUUGAAAGUGAACGUUGGGAAAAGACUUGGGAGUAUGUGUUGAUAAGCUCAUAUUUAUAUAUAUUUUACAUAAAAUUCACUUAUCUUUUAUUAGUUAGUUCUUUAUAUUUUUGAGCUAUUUACUAUGUUUUUGUGUUUUGUGUGAUUUAUCAAGCAAAGAAAAGAAAAGUAGCACAAGUGGGAUAUUAAGUAACAAAUUCGUCAAAACUGCCUGUGCAGAUUAGCUGACUUUGGAAGCAUGUUACGAACAGCUCAGAAUGAAUGAGAGAAUGAGCCUUAUAUGCUUGGAAAGCUAAGGAUGUCUAUUUUCUGGAGCAAUUCACGGAUUGUCAUGUUUCUAGAAGACGUUAUGGGCAUUGUAACACUGAAAGGUUCAGAAAAGGGCUAAGCAGAUUUGGCUAAUAAAAUAAGAAAGUCAAGGCACUUGUUUUGUGUUUUGCUUUGUCAUAAACACUCAGCAGCAAAUGGGGUUAUGAUUGCACUCAUUUGGCUUUGGAGCAAGUGGAAAUGCACAGCUAGAAAGAGAAGGCACACCCACAUGCAAAGGAAAGGAGAAACAUGGGCAGAAAAUGGGUGGAUUGGUGGUUGAAAUGAUGAAGCAUGUGUGUGCAAAUGAAAGGGGAAACAUGGACAGCACACACCCAUGCAAUCUGCACAUGCAAAGGAAAUGGAGUGGUCAUCUCCCUAGCCUAUAAAUACAUCCACCAUCCCCCUUCCAAAAGAACACCAUCUUGAUCCACAAUUGCUACAUCUCCAUACACUUCCAUUUCCAUGCCGUGAGCAUCAUUCCAUCCAUACAUUCAUAAAUCCCACAUUUCACACACAAAUACAUUUUCCUUCCCUUGGCCGAGGCAUUCACCAAUCCCAAAUACAUUCCUAACCUUUCCAUAUAUCCAUACACAUCCUAGACACUUGAGCUGCAACAAGGUGGUGGAAACGAAGGUCCUUGGCGUUUCAAGCUUGGAACUUUGGAGCGUUUUAGGUGAACUUCGUUCUUGCUUUCAAUGUCUAUUUUGUUAUUUUCUGAUUUUGUUGCAAUUAUGAGUAGCUAAACCCCUAUUUAGUUAGGGGAAGUUUGAAGCCAUGAACAUGCUUGAGAUAUGAAUUGAUUUCCUCCAAUUGUGAUUUGAUAAGUUGUGAUUGCAAUUCAAUUAUCUAUUUUAUUCAUAAUUGAUUCUUGUAUGUUUAUUAAGGAUGCAUACUUAGUUUUCAUGCAUGAAUUAGAUGUUAAAAUAUAAAUGAGUUUCACCUAAUCGUUACAAGUUUAUAUUCAUGAGUAGUGAAUGUUGUUUAUCACAAUCGCAUUAAUUGAAUUCUUGGGAAAUGUAUCAUGCAUUCAUAGUUAUAAUUGCCUCGUCAACACUUAUGAUUUUCAUUGAACGUAAUGAUCUCUGAUUGUAUCUCUAUUAUGCAUUCAUAUAGGGGACUUUUAGAGAAUGAUUUGGGUUGUUGCAUGCAUUCAUCCAACUUAAUGAGUAAAGGAAAAUCUGAGGGUUAAUUUGUGCAUCACAGUUAAUCUGGGGUGUUGAGCAUCAUAGUUAAUUGAAAAGCAAUUGGAAAUCGAUUCAUAUACAAGUGUGUCAUGUGUGAAGAACGAACCUCUAACUAAUCCAUCAUCUCAUUUCUUAAAUUCGUUUUACAAUCUGUCUAAUUUUAUAAGUUGUUUGUUUGUUUCGAAUUCGUAAAAACCAAACCCCCCCCCCUUUUACUUUCUUGUUUCAAAGUGUUUAAUUUCUCUUUUGGUUGUGUUUUAGAGUGUUUUGAGUCAAGUCAAAACCCUAAAUUCGUCCAAAGUUGUGUUAGAGUCAAAAUCUGCCCAUUUUGUGUUUUUAGGCAGUUUUGAGUGUUUUUAAGUUGUUUGAGUCUAGUGAACUUGUUUUGAGUCUAUUCAAACGUCUUUAACUCUGUAUUUAUGUUUUUGAGUUAGUUUAGAGGUUUUAGCAAGCCCUCCUAAUCCCCGGUUUAGAACAAUCCCUACUUGCAUUUAUACUACAAUUUGACAACAAAAGAGUUUAAUUUGAGUGCUUAACUUUCAUCGCAUCAUGUGUCAAUUGACAGGACUUUCAGUGAAGGUUUCCAAGAGUUGGAGCAAUAGUGCAUACUCUUUCACACAAACUAGCCCUCUAUAUUUGGUCACGCCAACCUAAUUCGUAUGUACAUUUUAGUGUACAUAAAAUAUGAACUGGUACAUCACGUGUCAUAAUAUAAAUGGAGGAAUACUUGAAAAAAAUAACUUCUUCCCGCUUCUAUUAUAACAUAUAAUGUAUUGACUUGUGUUAUGGGUACAUGGAAAAAUCUCUCUUCUAAGGACUGUCAAAUUUUAUUGCCAAUAGAUGGCGGCAAAGAGGCACUGUUAUAAAUCGUGUUCGAUUCCCCAUUUAAAGUAGUGGUGAAAUUAGAUUGUUGAUUUGAAUUCAUGCUUUGAACGUGCAAUCAAGACUUAUACAACUAAUUAAUUUGCAAAGUAGGCCAGUAAUACUUGACCUAUGAGAAGCUAUAUAUAUGGUUUUAUCAAAUCAUGAUGUAAAACCCAAGAAAUUAAAUGAUAUCAUCAUUUUCAGAUGAACUAGUUUGGCUAAAACGCAUCCGUUUCCAGCUUUCAACUUGCUUUUUGGAAAAUAUAUAGCACUGGCCUACAACUACUUUAACUAGUGUUGGGAAAUUUCUUCAGCAUAAUUUAGUCCAGUCAAUUAUUGAUGGUCUCUCAGUGUUGGAAAAUGGAUGCGUAGAUAGCUUUCCAUUGCCAACUAUUACAGGCCUACCAAAUUGCUUGCUCCAGUUUUCAAAAAAAAAAAAAAAAACUGCUUACUCAGAAGUCCUACUGGACUUGCCAUCAGUCAAGCACUAGUUUGUGUAUCCAAUGUGAAGCCAAAAAUAAUCAAAAGCCGAUACGUGGAUUUUUAGAUGAAAUGAACAAAAUUACCCUUGAGGCAUACCGAACCAAACCGCAAAAACUUGUUGUUUUGGUUUUGGUUUCGGUUUCACUCAAAACCGCACCAAACCGAACCGCGCCCACCCCUAAUCUCCACCCAAAGGGGCCGGCCACACCUCUAUAUAAACACCCUUAUUCUCUCCAAAACUCAAUUCCAAUUCUCUUGUUAAAUUCUCUAAAUUUUUCAAACACUUUUCCCUCAAAAUUCUAACUUUAGCAUCGGAGGUUCUUCGGCAGCCCCCCCCCCCAAUCAUUGUGGGCAAGUGAGGCUCUUGGCCUUAACCUAAUGUGUUAUUUGUUUUAUAGGUGCAAUUUUGUCCAAGAACAAGGAGGAAGAAAUUUGCAUCCACAUCCAAUAUCUGUUAUUUUCCAACACUAAUGAUGGGUUUAAAUAUUCGAAGAAAUAGUACUCAAGGGAGUCCAUAAUGAUUUUUUUUUUAAGUGCAAGUAACAACUUUGGAAUUUCUUUCAACUCACUCAAUGGUUCGAGAUUACUCAUUUCUUGACUGAAAGCCUUUGUUAAAACCUCAUUAUAGACUUUGUGUUGGUCAACUGUCAAGUAUCGAUUGUCUACCAUUGUUGCAAAAUACUUCACACAAAGCAAAUCGCCAAUGUGAGCAUGCUUAUGGUUUGCAACUUGGUAUAUAUAUGUGCCUCUAUGAGUGUACCCAUUGAUCAUAGACUACAAUAUGGUGUUCUGUGCUCAAAGUGGUAAGCACAAUUAAAAAAAAUUUAUGCCUCUGUUGUAAAAAUUUGGAAAAUUUGGAUAGGAUCCUAUAGGAUCUCCCCCUUUCAAAACCAGAUGUGAAAGUUUCCUUUCAUCCAUCUUAAGUAGUUACACCUUGACCUGGCAUUUUGGACCCGACCGUUAACCCGACCCGACCCAACUCGUUAAUAUUAGUAUUUUGGUGGAUACUUAACGGGUCGGGUCACUAACGGGUGAACCCGUUAAAUAACGGGUCACUUUGGGUCAACCCGUUAGACUCGUUAGCAUCCGCUAGUUGAUGAUAUUUUAGUAAUUUCAGUAAAGUCUUAACAACAAAAAAUAAACUCUAUACAAAAUAAUAAUAAUAAUAAUAAUUGUUAACAGGUGUUAAGGGGUGAAACUGGUGACCCCUUAGUUUAACGGGUCGGGUUCGGGUGACCCGUUAACUUAAUGGGUUAGAUUGAACUCGACCCAAACCCGAUAAACCCGACCCGUUUACAAGUCUAGUUACACCAAAUAAAGAUAAAGAGAGGGGUUCCCACUUUAAAAUUCUAUAAAAACUACAACUACUUCUUACUCAAGUUCCCAAAGAAGAUCAAACAUUUCAUUGAUUCAUUCUUUGUUUUAUUAGAUUUUUUGAAUUCUUUAUUCAAUUUUAAUAGAAAAUAAACGAAAUGUGAAAUUCUUGAGUAGUCUACUUCCCUUCGAAUGAUGAAUCCCCUUACAUUAAAGUAAAGGAGUCCUUUAAAAUUCAUAAGGGUUUUACUUGUCUACGUAUCGUUCCAUUGAAUUUCUGGUAGUAGAUCUAUAAUAAAAAAAGUGUUUGUGAUUUGUUCCAGAAGAAAUGAAACAAACGAUACGGUAAAGCUAAGACAGUUAUUGUAUGAGGUCUACCCAAUGCUAGAUGCAGAGGCACAUAAUAGAUCAAUAUGAAACAUCAUGAGUUGUCCCGUAAUAAAACUAGUUGUUGCUGAUACUUUCUUAUCGGUUCCUUCUUCUCCUUCUUCCAUAACCCGAGCUCGGAACCAACCAGCAAAAAGUAUUAGCAAAGACCAAUGCACCAAUUGUAGUACAAUAUAGUUGUAAUUCAUUAGUUAUUCCAUAAGCUCACCAAAUCUGGAAAAAAAAAAAGAAAAAAAAAAAGCCCAGAAGUUAUUUGUAUUCCUCGGAAAACCCCCGCCUACAUCACCAUUCAAUAUUUCUUGACCCACUAUUGGCCAAACCACCUGGGCACUACGUCCAAUGUGAGUAGGAUCACUUAGCCAUGCUUCAUAAUUGGAAAAACGAGCACCAUAGAAAUACAUACUACUCAGCCAAAGAAAGAUGAUGGAGAGUUGACUGAAAUGGGCAUUAGAUACUUUUCGAGAGAUCUCCUCCAAAUCACUGGUAUGGCUACCAAAAUUGUGAGCAUCAGCGUGUAGGUUCCAGAUCCAAGUAGUGGUAUCAAAUCAUACAAUUGUUAGACCAACAAUUAUAUAUAUAUAUGUGUGCUACUUUGCAUGGCUUCGUGCCCAAUAAUGUGUUUGUGUCCAUUUUUUUUAUAGUGGGCACAAUACAUCGUGUCCUUUAUUGAAUGGACACUGUUCCACCAUUUUAAUGUUCUCAAAGACACAAACUCUUCAUUUGUGUACUUAAAUGUGUACCCAAUGCCCAUAUUUUUCGUAGUGUUUCAGCAACUUUCGGUAGGAACCUCACCAACCCAAAGUCACCUACAUGUGCAAUCAUAUCCUCAUUGAGAAGAAUAUUGCUAGGUUUGAGGUCGCAAUGAACUAUUGGUGUCUCACGAUGACGAUGGAGGUAAUCCUAUGCCAUAGCAACAUCAAAAACAAUAUUCAACCUCUGAGACAUUGUUAAGCUCCUUGGCCUCUCAUUUGUCCCACCAAUUGUAUGAAUUGGAUAUAGCCAUUCCUCCAAGCUCCCCGUUAGCGAUGAACUCAGAAAUUAAGGUCUUGAAGUCAUGACCGCUAUAAUCAAAACCAGAACAUGCUAAGAGUACCUUGGCAAGAUUACGGCGUCUAAUAUUUUGGAAAGCCUCGCACUCGGCAAUAAAACUUUUGUAAGCCCUACGACGAACGAGGUUGAGUACCUUGAUGGCAAUUGUAGUUUAACCUUGCUCAAGUAUUCCCUUAUAAACGGACCCAAAACUGCCCAUAUCGACCUUGGUAAGACAUCUGGGGAAAUUUAUCUAAAUCACUUGCAAUGCAAUCUUUUUUGUCCCUUCGUGAGCAAUAAAGGUACAAAAAGGUUAGUUAAAAAAUAACUCCCAAAAUUCCACAAAUGAGAGAGAGAACCAAUUUCAUGGUUAAGCUCAAUCCUUCCUUUUUUGGAUGCUGGAGAGUUUGCAUUUUGGAGGAGGAUUCUCUACCCUCAUAUUCUCAUCCCCUUCCAUGCCCUCCUCUCACACAUUACUUUUUGUCUUAUUAUCUCUAUAAAAAAAUCAAUAUAAAAUGUUGACGUGGCUUAACCGUGACUGUUCAAAUAGGAGGGCAUGGAAGGGUAGAGAGAUUAGGAGGGUAGAGAAUCCUCCUCCUUGCAUUUUAGCAAAUGGAACUCAGAUAUGACCCCAAAAAGCUUACUAUUUCCUUCAACUGAUGUCGCCAUUGCAUUCUUGAACACUCCCUUGAUCGGCAACAUGCCCUCAAAAUUGUCAUAAGAUAGAUUCAGAGAUUCCUAAAAAUUCACACGUUCUAAGAAUUCUGGAAUUGUUCCUGACAAGUUGUUGUCAAAAAGAUACAAUUCUAUAAGAACUCUUAGUGAACUCAAAGUUGAUGGAAUCGUCCCAUUGAAGAAAUUUCCAUGCAUGUCUAGGUACUCUAAUUUUAUACAACUAACAAGACUUGCCGGAAUUUCACUGAAUAAUAUGUUUCAAAGAUAUCUAUAUACUCAAGAUUUAUUAAAAUUCCAACGUUCUCUGGUAGGGAGCCGAGAAAAUGAUCUUGAUAUUAGGAAAUAUUAUACGGUAUUAUAUGUAAAUAUCUUGUAUUAUAUUUACGUAAGUAGGUUUGAGUCAAAUCUCACUAAAUAUGCAUCACUAUUCCCUAGCCUUUAAUGUAGGGUUGAAUAAUUGACUUGUGAUGUAUAUAUUGUACAACAAUGUAAUAAACGAGGCAUACAAUCUACCAUUCUCAUAGCCUUUUCAGUGUUCAGUCACUUUAACAUGGUAUCAGAGCCUAAAGUUCUGGUGCCUGAUUCCCCACGUUUUCAAUUCUCAUACUAUUUCCAAGCAUCAUGUCAGACGCACUUGCUCAAUCACCACCACACAAAAAUCAAAAUAACAGCAAUGUCGGUAUGGAUUCAUCAAGUUCAUACUAUGUUCACCUUUCAGAUAACCCCGGUCUUAUGAUCGUUUCAGAAAAAUGACUAGACCCAAUUAUCCAUCUUGGAGUAAAUCCAUGAUACAUGCUCUCACAACCAAAAACAAAAUUGGCUUCGUCAAUGGCUCCAUUCAGCCCCCUCAGCAACAAACCAACCAAAAGAGUAUGCUCUCUAGAAUCAAUGUAACAAUAUGAUUUUGUCAUGGCUCUCUGGAAUCAAUGUAACAAUAUGAUUUUGUCAUGGCUUGCUCAAUCAGUCGAAUUUGAUUUAUCUAAAGGAGUUGUUCAUGCCAAAAGUGCCCAAAAGGUGUGGGAAGAUUUCAAAGAUCAGUUUUCACAUAAGAAUGCACCAACAAUCUAUCAAAUUCAGAAGUCAAUCGCAUCUGUUUGGGCAAGAAUUUCGUUGGGAAUGGUCCUUGGCUGGAGCACACACCUCCCCGAGGAGUUGGCACUUUGGUUGGUUAUCGGGCUUUUGUUUGUUGAGAGGCUCCAAGAGGAAGACAAAGAUAGUUCUAAAAUGUGCCUUUGUGGGGCCUUAGGUGUAUGCCUUGAGGCUCACAAUCAAAACUAACUAAGUGAUGAGGCAUGCCACUGUCAUUGCUGUAUGGUAGAUGUAGAACAAGUGUAUUUAAGCCGAUUACUUGCGCCCUAAGUUAUUCUGACUUCUUGUUAUCAAAGGAUUGUCGUGGAUGGGUUAAGUCCACAUUAAGUUCUUUUCUAUGCCUUGAGACCAAGGAAUUUCAGUUCGUUAUCUUGUAUGCUUAAAGGAUAAAGGUCCAGAUCUGAUUAAAUCAUUGGUUUGGUUCCUAUUUAGCCUUUUUAAUUAUGGUAAACCACUAAGUAAACCAGAUAUGAGCACUAAUGGAUAUUUGGAUCAUCAAAAGACUAGAAAUGACUCGAAUAUAUACUAAAGGAUACAUUAUAACACCAGAUCUAUUGAUUUAAAGACAAAACAAAGAGAGUCGGGCAAGGUUUAAACAUCUUAUGGUCUCUUCUCUUUGUGGCUACAAGGGAUUGAGUACUAAAACGGGAUGAAAGGUGAACAAGUUCACAUAAGAGAAUCAAUACUACAUCAUUUGGAAAAGGUAGCAGAGCUUUUACACUAGACAAAAGAUGCCUUUUUAAGGGGAAUUUAUGGCUAAAAGGGGUGUAGAAUUUGGACAAAGCACAGCUUUCUAGGUAUUUGCUUGACUGAGAAGAAAGUUGUAUGUUUGUUUGUUUGAUUGAUUGAGUGUCCUUGUCUAUGGGCCCUCUUCCUCCUUUUAUAUUUGAAUUGGUCCAACUAUGUCGUUUCUGCUCUUGCCCGAAAGUAACUGAAGGGUAAUAAGUCAUCAACCUUUUUACAUGUUCUGCCAUCCAAAAAGUACUUUUAGGCCGAUAGUAGGUGGAUUUCCAUCGGUUGUCACUUCUCUUGUCUUAAGAUGGAUGAUCUGGGCUUGACUCUGGGCUUCGGGCAAAACCUUCUUUAUUGAACUCUUUUCGGCUUUCUUCUCUUGAAGCCCAAUGUUAAAUAUUAACCCAAACAAUGCCCCCUUCAAUCGUUGUUAAGUCUGCAGACCAAGGAGUAAAUAAUGAUUGAAGUGCCGCUUUUCAAUAACCACCGUCGCACGCCUUUACUCAGAACAUGUGUCAUUUCAACGCAACUGUUUGCUUUUCUGUGACCCUUGCACUAACGAAUUCCAAACGUCACCUUAUCCUUCGCUAUAAAACUCCCCUCAAUUUCAUUCUUUGGCUAAAUAAUUUAACCAAAUUGAAUCCUUCUAAAAUUUCAAGACUUUCUCAGAAUUCCCAAAGUCUAUUCCUUCAAAAAACCUUCUUUUGUUCUCCAACUCUUGUCCCCUGACUCCAACUUUCUUCCCAUUUCCCCCUCAAAAUUUCUAAUGGUGCCCAUAGUGGCUUAAGCUUAAUCUUCUUACGAGAUUUGGUGAGGGGAUUGUCACUAUGCUCUAUCUUCUUAACGACCUUCAUUACCCUCGAGCAAGUAUGCACAAUGACUUCUUUUUCGAAUGGGGGAUGUACUCUUUGGGACCCGCAUGGGCUUCUCGAUUGUUGGCUCCUUCAUCAUCCUCAGAAAGUCGUGCAGUACCCAAAUUCAGUUUCAGGAUUUCUAUAGUUUUGUGGAGUAGCCGAGCAAUCUUAAUUGUGUCGGCAGAUCCCUUAUGCAAAUACGAAAUGAAUCCCCCUCACAUCAAUACCUACAAGUCCAUACUUCCCCAUAGCUUUUGCCUCCUUGGUCAAUUAAUCAUCAUAGGUGUAUGCUUCGAGGCCAACGACCAUGAUAAAGUCAAAGGCUUCGGUGGGACUUGUGGAAAGGCUUCUCCCCAAUUCAAUCAUCGAGUUCACUCAUGAGAGGGGGAGUGGUCGUUGGUGACCACUUAGCAUGAUUUUUAGUUGACCAUCUUCACCAGAAUUUUGAAGAGGUCAAGAAAGCAAUCGUUGACCUCUGAAGAUGGUGGAGCAUAGUUAGCUGAUAGUAUCAGCCUAGGAUAGCUUUCAGGGAUGUAGAACUUAUUAAGCCGAUUCUGAUGUAACUUCAAUAUUCAAUGAAAUGAAAAUGAUUUCUUUAAUCGACUUUGGCUUGCAUUUCUUUCUUGAAACUUGAUUGUGAAUAAUGAAAGGAUGACAUCUCGCAACGCUUACACUUCUUCAAUGUAGCAAUCCCUAACAUCCCACAAGGUUGGGUAAUACUUCUUGAGGAAUUUAACAUUGAUUGGAUGCUUUUGUAAGCCUCCAUCCACAUCUGCUAAGUAAUAUCCACCCUUGUUCAAUAUUCUGUUAAUAAUUAAAGGACCUUCUCAAGUCAGGCUCCAUUUUCCAAAGACUCUGAUUUGAACUCUCAAAGGUAAAAUUGCUUUCCAAACCAACUCCCUUUCCUUGAAGGUUUUUAUUUUUACCUUCUUGUUGUAUGAACCCUCUUCACUUCUUGAAUUUUGUCUAAAGCUUCGAUUCGAGCUAUAUCAAGAUCUUCAAUUCCUUGACACAUAGCCUGAAUGUACUUCUCACUAUGCAGCCCAAAUUGGCUUUGGAUCCUGAUAGAACUCACGUUGAUUUCCAUUGGGAGUACAGCCUCUUGCCCGAAGGUUAAGGCAUAAUGAGUAGUUCCAGUUCCUGCUCUUUUGGAAGUUCUCUAAGCCCACAAAGUGUCUCCCAACUUCUUGAUAAUAUUUACCAGGACUUUGUUGCUAGCUUCCGCUUAACCGUUUGACUGGGGGUAGUAAGGACUAGACCGCAUCAUUUUUAUUUUAAACUUUCCUGCGAACUCCUCCACUUCUUUCGAAAUAAAAGAUGGCCCACGAUCUGUGACAAUUGUUUCGGGCACUCCAAACCUAUGUAAAAUCUUGGUUUCAAUGAACUUCUUGACCACAGCCGAGGCGAUUGUCUUUACUGCUACAGCCUUUACCCACUUGGUGAACUAAUAUGUUGCCACGAUUAUGAAUGUGUGUCAUUUUCUAAAAAAUGGGUGAAUUCGCCCGAUGAAGUACAUUGCCACAUCCUCUAAAGGGUCAUAGCUUGACCACAGGGUUUAAGAGCACAAAGGGCACAUGUUGGAGUGGCCCGUGUCUUUGGCAUUCUUCACACCCUCGGGCAUAAGCUUUGCAAUCUUUCUCCAUCUCAGGCCAAAAGUAGCCAUAUCUUCUUAGUAACCACCUCAUCUUAGUUCCAGCCUGAUGAGCCCCACAUAUUCCUUCAUGUACUUCAGCCAUGACUCUUAUAAAUUCUUCUUGGCCUAAGCAUUUUAGCAACAAUUCGUCCAGGGUCUUUCUUAGCAGAUUCUGUUCCCAUAACACAUAUUUAGUCGCUUGCUACCUAUUCUUCUUACUCAUGGGAAAAGAGGGAUUUUCCAAGUAUUGAAUAAUGAGUGAUCUCUAAUCUUCUAUCUUGGGCUCUUCGAUCAUUACUUCUACCUCUACCUCAAAUCUUCUUUCUUGAAUCUGGGCUCCUGAGGCCAGUUGUGCCAUCUCAUUGGCCAUUGUAUUUGAUUCUCUGGGGAUGUGGCUGACUGAGAUUUCAGUGCCCCAAUAACUUAACAACUGAGUGGCCGCCAGGUAAUAACCGACCAUGGUGAUGUGUCUGCAUUUGUACUCCCCAUUUAACUGAUUAAUUACUAAUUCUGAGUCGCCAAACACCUCUACUUCGGUUGCCCCCAACUCUAUUACAAUCUCUAAGCCAAUUAUCGGUGCCUCAUAUUCUACCCGGUUGUUGGUAAUCUCUUGAUAAUCCAAGAGGAAUGAAUAACAAUGGUAAGAGCCUUUGUGAUUGACGAUGACGAUCCCAGCUCCCGCAGUAUUCUGAGUGCAAGAUCCAUCAAAAUAUAGUCUCCAAGGAGUGAUCCAGAGGCUAGUUAUUUUUUUUACCUCUUGCUGGACCCAUUCUUCCUUGCCCAAACAGGCUCUGUUUGGCGGGAUCCAUACACCUGCCACUUCCAGAGUUCUUAAAAUGCUGACAACUUCAUCUUGAGACUCUUGGUGUUCUAUCAAGAAGUCUGCAAUUGUCUGCCCUUUGACCGCCCUUUGGGGCACAUAUUGAAAGCUGAAUUCUGAUAGUGCUAGAAUCCACUUUCCAAUCAUCCCGAUCAGCAUUGGCUUUAAUAACAUAUACUUGAUUACGUCAGUCUUAGCAAUGAUGUGGAUGUGGCAAGGUAACAUGUAAUGCCUUAGCUUGCAAGCAGUGAAGUAUAAAGCCAAACAUAAUUUUUCCACUUGAGUAUAUCUUUUCUACCUUAGUGAGGAUUAUACUGAGGUAAUAUAUGGCUUGUUCCUUCCCUCCUUCAUUGUUUUGGGUCAACAAGCUUCCAAUUGACCUCUCCGAGGCAGAAAUAUAAAGCUUCAACAGCUUCCCUCUCUGAGAUGGCAUGAGCACUGGUGGAGAGGCUAAGUAAGCCUUUAUACUAUUGAAAGUCUCUUGGUGUGGUGAGCCCCACUUAAACUCUUCUUUGUCUUUUAUUUUCAGCAGAGGAGUUAGCGGCUGAAUCUUGCCUGCUAAAUUAGCAAUGAAUCUCAUCAAAAAGUUAAUUUUCCCCAGCAGCCUUUGCAGUUGUACUUUAUUGAUGGGUGAAGGUGACUUCAUUAUUACCCGAGCUUUGUUCUUAUCAAUCCACUCCUCUUCGAUGAACAAGCAAUCCCAAAAAGUUGCCUGAUCUUACCCCAAAAUCACACUUCUUUGGGUUCAUUUUUAGCUUAUGGGGCCUCAUCCUUGUUAAGGCUUGUCUAAGGUCUAUCAAAUGCUGCUUUUUAGACUUGGACUUCACCACUAUGUCAUCAAUAUAUACUUCCAUGCUAUGGCCGAUCAAGUCAUGAAAAAUGGCGUUCAUUGCUCUUUGACAUGACCCGGACAUCUAAAACCUGUUUUAUGUAUAUGUUCUUUAGCCAUUUUUAUUUGAUUGUAUCCCGCAUUCCCAUCCAUGAAAGAUAGAACUUUGUGUUUGGCAACUGCAUCUAUGGAUAGGUCAGCUAUGGGCAUGGGAUAUUCGUCUUUAGGCGUGGCUCCAUUAAUGUUUCUAUAGUCAACACAACAUCUAACUGCUUUAGUUAUGGCUUUUAAUACAGGUACAAUGUUGGCCAACCACUCAACAUAUUUGGCAGGCCUAAUAAACUCGGCUUCACCAGCCUUUCGAUCUCCUCAUUGAGCUUCUCUUCAAUUUCUUUCGACAUCCUCUGUGGUGCUUACUUGACAGGUUUAAACCCCUCCUUAAUAAGCAUCAUGUGUUCUACUAGGUUGGAUCUAAACCUAGCAUCUUGGUGUAAUGCCAAGCAAAAAAAUCUUUAAAUUCAUGCAGAAGGUCAACAAUCCUUGCCCGAUCCUAGGUUUCCAACAGACCACUGAUCUGUAUAGGUCUUGAAUCUUCCUCAGUUCCCAAAUCAAUGGUCUCCAAGGGGUCUUGUACUUCCGGGCUGGUUUGUUAAGCUCUGCAAACAAAAACUCCACUAACUCUGGACUCUCGGGCAAAUCUUAUGGCUCAUCCAGAUUAUAUAUACAUUCAGCCAUUUGUAUAGCUGUUUCUAACUCCUUCCCAAAAACUUCUUCUUCUUUCACUUGGCUGCUUGAAGCAUCUCUGCUCCAAUCUUUUUCCUCCUUGGCUGAGUUCUCACUCUCUUGUUUUUUCUCUCUCCCGUACACCAACAGUCUUUUUAUUAAAGGCCUGACUGCAACUACUUGGUCCUUCCUUUUUUGUUCAGACAUUAAUGGUGUUGGGGAGUUAGGAUGAUAUAGGGCCGAUCUCAUUCUUCCUUUGUAAGAAAUAGCCCUUGUUCUAUAAGUUUUUGGGCCGUCACCUUAGUCGGGCGGCCGUUCUUAUCAGCUCCUGAACAUUAAAGAAUCCCAACAUUAGGAUGGUAGAAGUUGGCUUCUGCAACAUUGGCUAUAGGGAGGAAUGGCUGUGAUUCGGCUUCUACCAUUUCCCAGAACCCUGGUCAUGUUUCCCCUUCUUCAUGGUAAACAGCCACUUGUUGGUGUAAGGUAGAUGGCACAGAGAGACUCUGAUGAAUCCAAUCUCUGCCCAGUAAAGUCCUAUAAGUGGAAGUAUUGUCUACAAUAAAAAAGGCCAGCAUGAUUUGUUUAGAACCCAAGUCAACCUCUAAUGGUAAUAUCUCAUGAGUCCUAGUGAUAACUCCCGAGAAACUAGAAAUUGUAAGAUCUGUAGGGAUAAGAUCUUCCUCAUUCCUACACAUUCUCUUCAUCUGCUUGUAUGGCAGCACAUUGAUCGCAACCCCUCCAUUAAUCAAGACUCUCUUGAAGGGUACUCCAUCCAGGUGAGCAAUUAUGUAUAUGGGCUUAAAAUGGUUGGCCAGGGUCAAACUUGGGCAAACAAAGACCAUUUUGUCUGAGUAUAUUCGCUCAGGCUUCUUCAUUGAUUGCUCGGGUAAGCCUGUCUGACUGCGUUCUUCUUGCCCCGUUCCUUCGACACUAACAUGUGCCAUCGUAGGUUUCGUUGCCAAGUAAUCACCCUCCAUUGUGGAAGGUUGAUCAUGCUCGGCGCAAAAAAUAGCUGAUAAAACAUAUGUCAUGUAGGUCAGGGUAAAUCUCUCUCCUUGCCCCCGAUGUGGUUCAUAAACUCAUCCAACCAAGCAUGUGCUUCUUCUGGCAGCAUUAAUUUAGGUAAUGCCUCUUCUUAAGUUAUGCCAAAGUUCUGUACCUGCACUAGGCCCUCACAAAGAGUGUCAACCAGCAAUAGUGAAGGUAUCUCCUGUUCUGGCGAGAUUGUUCCAAAACAAAUUGGCUUCGGGCUCCACUUAGGUGUCAGUAUCAUCACCAUAUCCUCCUAAACUCUCUUCGGGAUUCUAUACUUUCCAGGAUAGAGGUUCUGUGGUACUUGAUCUUCUUCUCCUUCGAUUUUGCUAUUUGCCUUCUUUACCUCCUUCUUAUUCUUCCAUUGAGGUCGACUUUUCCCUUCAUAAGGUACAUUUUUGAAUUUUACAUUCUCCGAGGUUUAUGAAGUAGUGGAAACUUUCAACGAGUUCAUGUGGGCCUUAUGCUAUCUUUGGACUCUCCUGAUCAUGGAGGCUCCCAUCUUUUUGACAGGUAUCCCGUCAUUUCCGACUAUAUACUAUCUUCGCCCGCAUCGGGCAAGAUUCUUCUUUGUGACCGUGUUCACUAUCCUUCCUUUCAUUCUAACAUCUCCACUGGCAUAACUUGGCUGGGGUGGCCUCACAUCCACCCACCUUGGUGUUUUGGACUCUUUGUCCUCCACCUCUUCCGAAUCUUCAUAGUUUCUGAAUAUUUCUAAUAAGUUUUUAGGCUGAGAAUCUCCUCCCAACCUCUGGAAAACGUUUAUAGAGGUUUCCUUCUCAGCUGCCCACAUGAUGUUCAUACGGGUUUCAUGCUUCCUUAUGCCUUCUCUUGAUCAGCUUCUGAUCAAUGAUGGCUCAUGCCGUUGGUACCUCUAGUUCGCAUUCACAUUGACACCUGCUGUAUAACACUACUCCUUUGAUUAUAGCAGCCUUAGGUUUUUUAGGUAGCUUAAUAACUCUUUCAGUUGGUCUUUCGACUAGCCUUCUUUCUGCUAUCACUUCCCAAGUGGCUUUUCCUUUCCCUUUCUCUGCCCAUGUUUGAUCAUGCUUACUAGGACCGGUAGAAAGGGAUUAGUAUGAAUCGUUGUAUUGAUAGGAGCAUAUUUAUGCGACUUAGCUUAUUUUCUUGCAUUUAUGUUGUUAGUUCCUAGUUAUUUAUGUAUUUUAAGCUAUUUUCCCGUGUUUGUAGGUUUAAAAGGCUAAAGUAGCAAGAAAGUGCAUUUUGGAGCAGUUUUGGGUUUGGAAUGGAUAGCAUACUCAUGGAGCUAGGUGGAUGGAUGAAUUUGAAGACCAAAAGAGGCUAGGAUUAUGCUGAAGUUAUGAAGAAAUUAAUUCAAGAAAAGGAAGUAAAGGGUGCAAGCAAGAAAGAAGGAAUGUUAGCCAAAGUUACCUUAUUUUGUCCUAGACUUUCCUAAUCUUUCACCACUUAAUUUCCAGCUGCAAGGGGGAUCUCUAAUUAUUUUAAGACACUAAAUUAUUGAUCCUAGAAGACCUAAUCCCUGCCACAAAGGGUGCCGCACCAAAUCUGUCCAGAAAUACCUUUUCUUGCCGUGCAAGGUAAUCCUUUGUUUCCUAGGAUCCUGCCGCAACCACCUUUCCCUUUUCCCCUUUGAUUCUAAAUUUAAUUACCAUUUUUCCUUGAGGAUUGGUGUAAAAAUCCUUCUCCAAAUUUAAUUAGGUCGUGGUCCUCUCCCUAGCCUAUAAAUAUAUGUUCCUGCCGCACCAUUUGUUGGAAGUAUGCCCACAAAGCCACUCAUUUGAUGUAAUAGCUUUUGGAAUACUUAUUGUAUUAAACUUUUAUAUGUUUAAUGAAGGGCAAAGCUUAUUGUUAAUCACUAUUUAUUGUAUCAUGUGUUUAAGCAAUAAGGGAAUCCAAGGAAUGUAUUUGUUCUAAGAGAGAAGUGAUCUAAUGAGUUAGAUUAUCGAGACCUCUCUCUUAUGUUCAUUCCUAAAACGUUCCUAGCCAUAGGAUUGCCAAUUGGGCAUUGACAAUCCGCUAAGGUUAGUAUGUGUUAUGUUGACUCAAACGUGAGUGUGAACUAGUCUCAAGUCAUUUGGUGUUGGACACUGAGACAAACACAUAGGUGCUCGAAAAAGUAAUCGAGUACACUGAACGUCGAUCAAAAGAGAGUUCGAACAUACAUGUCAUGUAUGAACUCUAAAGUUGCAAUAUGCAAAGUAGUCCUUUGACCUGAGGCAUCAUAGAUGUCUAAUGGUUAGGUCCUUGAUCUUUGAUCAUGUCAAUGGCAUUCCUUCGGAUUGUCCACGGCAUUGUUGGGGUCAAGCUAUCUAGUCAUGUAGGCAUAUGAAUGCACAACAAGGGAUCUCUAACCUUCCAUGGUGGAAGGAGAAUACUCUAAGAUAUGAUUCUAAAGUCUUUGGCCAAAGCAUAUGAAUAUGACUUAGGAAGUUUGUUCCAAAUCAUAUUCAAAGGAAUCAUAUAGGAAAGUAUCACAUUGGAUAGUAGACAUGAAACAAACUAUCACUUAAACAAUGUGAUUAAGAGUAUUGUAUUAGAGAAGGACCGUAUUGCAUUGUAGUUAUAACUGGAUAGGUUCUCCAACCAAUUCUACUUAGCUUGGGUAACCAUGAUAUGCUGCUAGGUGUCACUCAUGGUUUGUGGAAGCCCUGAAGAUUAGCAAGUACUAAUCUUAAGGGACAAUUGAAAUGUGGUUUCAAUUCACAAUCGAUCGUUAAGAGUAACAUCGCCCACUACCUCGCUAAUUGGAACCUAAUGGAUCGCACACCACAUAAGGAUGUUAGUGAAGAAAUUAUAUGAAAUGGAUAAGCAAUUAAAUGGUUUAAUUGAAGAAUGGUCAAGAUUAAUUAAUUAGUUAAUUAAUUAUACGAAAGGUUCGUAUUGGGCUUAUAUGUUGGUUUUGGGUUUCGGGGCCCAAAAGUGUUUUGGUCCACAAGGCCCAUUAUGUUUAAGUUGUAUGACAACUAAAACAAAAUGGGCAAAUUAGCCCAAUAACAAGGAGAGGCCGGCCAUUAGGGUGAAUGGGCAAGCUUGCUUAAUUACAAGUUUGCCACUCACCAAAGAAAAUGUUAUAAAAGCAACUUUAUAGCAAUUUUCUCAUUUAGGGUUUUCUAAUAGAAAUUGGGUGAAACAUUUUCUCUCUUUUUCUACAUAGAGGCCGGCCACUUAGAGGAUUUUUACUAGCAUCUAAAAUCUCUCUAAGUCAUCCAUAUCAUCUUCACAAUAUACAACCUUGGUGAAGAGACUUAGAGACAUCAAGCUUUUGAUGUUUUUGGAGAACAAAUCCUUUUUCCUCUAAUCAUCAAAGGAGCACUAAAGGGAGGAAAACACAAGGAGGAUUCAAGGAGCUUGGAGGUGACUUGAAGGCCCUCCACUUGGGUGAAUCCCUUUUGUAAACAAGGAUGAGCUUCAAGGGUAAAGAAUCACUAAAUCUUUACUUCUCUUUAAUUUUGUUAAAGAGUUUAUUUUGGUUCACCAUAUACUAGGCUUUGAAAGUCAUGGGUUUUAUGAAUUGUUUUUGGAUGCAUGCCUACUUUAAAGUGUUGAUAGCUUGCAUGUGUAUUCAAAUGUUCAUACUUGUUCUUAGCUAGGACAAAAUUUUUCCUUCACCAUUCAUCAUCCACCCUUCACCAUAACUCACCUAUAUCCAUCCACCACCAUAAUUUACCACUCAUCCAUCAUCCCACACCUUGUGUUGCAGCAAAGAAGACGAAGAAGGACCCUUGGACGUGCUUGCCAUUCAAGAUUGGAUUGCUGGAGCGUUUUUAGGUGUUUUCAUUGUUUAUUUUCAAUGUUUAAGUUUAAUUAUCUUUGUUUCGUGAACAUGAGGAGCUAAACUCGUUUUAGCUAGGGGGAAUUUCGAAACCAUGAUCAUAUUUGCAAUAUGAAUUGAUUACAUCCAGUUGUGAUUUUGAUAAAUCGUGAAUGCAAUUUACUUAACUGUUUGAUUGAUAACUUAUUCUUGUAUGUUGAUUAAGGAUGCAUACUUAGUUUGCAUGCAUGAAUUUGAUGCUAGAAUAUAAGGGAGUUUCACCUAAUAGUUAUGAACUUAUAUUCAUAAGUAGUGGAGGUUGCUAGUCACAAUUGUGUUAAGUGGAUUCCUAGCAGGAGUAUCAUGCUCAUCAUAGUUACGAAUGCUUUGUCAAUGCUUAUGAUUUUUAUAAAGCUUAAUGAUCUUUGAUUGUAUCUCUAUUAUGCUGUUCAUGUAGGGAACUUUUGAAGAAUAAUUUGGGUUGCCGAUGCGUUAUCCGUCCAAAUCAAUAACUUCAGGAAAAUCUGAGGGUUAAUUAGUGUUGUUCAUGGUUAAUCUGGGGUGUUGAGAUUCAUGGUUUAUUGAAAAGCAACUGGAAAUCAAUUUGUAUGCAAGUGUGUCAUGUGUGGAGAAGGACCUUCUAGCUAGCCAAUCACUCAUACUUUUUCCCAAAUUCGUCCAAAAUCUGUCUUAAGUCUUUAGUUACUUGUUUUACUUAAAAUUCUUCCAAAACCCAAUCCCAUUUACUUUAGUGUGUCAAAUUAGUUAGAAUCUGUCUUAGUUUGUGUUUUUAAGUGUUUUGAGUCAAGUUUAACUCAAUUUUCAUCCAAAUCAUUCUAUAGUGUCUAGUUUGAGUCUAUUUGAUUGUUUUGUGCUGUUUUGAGUUGUUUAGUUUGUUUUGAGUCAUAUAAGUCUAGUUAAGAGUCUUUGAGUCUAGUUAAGUGUUUUCUAGCCUAGUUUUGUGUUUUAAAGUCAGUUUUAAAUAGAUUAGCAAUCCUUCAUAAUCCUCGGUCCAGAACGAUCCCUACUUACAUCUUGACUGCAAUUGUCAAUAAGAGGGUUCAAUUUAUGUGUUAAGUUAAUUUUCGCAUCAUGUAUCAGCAUGUGGUUCUUCUAACAACAGCUUUAUUUCUGGCCCGCAUUACCCCUACUGUUUAGUGAAAACAACAAGGGGUCAGGCAACUCUUUUUCUUAGAUUUCUUCCAGCACUAGCUGUUUAGUUCUGGAUUCUUCCUUCCUCUAUCCCUCAAGUAAAGGAAACAGAGGAAUAACUGGCUCCUCCACAAGUCUGGCUUCUCUCAUCAUCUUUCUAAUACAGUUAUUUUUUGGGGUAGGGUACUCCAGAUCUAGCCUUAUUUGCAGAUUCCCUAUUAAAGAACAUAGUAUGCUUACCUCUUCUCUUAUCUCUAAAGAGUUUUUCUCCAUGCUUCUUAUGACAACCAUCAUGGUGGUCUGUAGGUCUUCAUUUGUGACCUUCCCUCCUGACUUCUCCGAAGGAGUCGGGCUUUCUGUCAAAACAGGUCCUUGCAAGUCUUUGGGGAGAUUUGCCAUGCUAGAUCUUAGCAUAAACUGGGGUGGUUUCUACUCUAUUUUGCUCCUGACGGUUUGUUAUUUCCUUCAUUUUCUUAACAUACAAAACUUAUAGUCCUACCGAGCGUGCCAAAACUAUGUUCAGGCAAGAAUUUCGCUGGGAAAUGUCCCUGGCUCGAGCACAUAGCUCCCCAAGGAGUUGGCACUUUGGUUGGUUGUCGGGCUCCUGCUUGUUGAGAGGCUGCAAGAGGAGGACAAAGUUAGUUCUGAAAGGUGCCUUUGUAAGGCCUUAGGUGGAGGCAUUGAGGCUCACAAUCAAAACUAACUAAGUGCUGAGGCGUGCCACUAUCAUCUCUGUAUGGCAGAUGUAGAACAAGUGUAUUUAAGCUGAUUACUUGCGCCCCAAGUUAUUCUGACUUCUUGUUAUCAAAGGAUUGUCGUGGAUGGGUUAAGUCCACAUUAAGUUCUUUUCUAUGCCUUGAGACCAAGGACUUUCAGUUCUUUAUCUUGUAUGCUUAAACGGUGAAGGUCUAGAUCUAAUUAAAUCACUGGUUUAGUUCCCAUUUAGUCUUUUUAAUGAUGGUAAACCACUAAGUAAACCAAAUUUGAGCACUAAUGGAACUUUGGAUCAUCAAAAGACUAGAAAUGACUCCAAUAUAUACUGAGGGAUACAUUAUAACACCAAAUCUAUUGAUUUAAAGACAAAACAAAGAGAGUCGGGCAAGAUUUCACCUUGUCGGGCAAGGUUUAAACAUCUUGCGGUCUCUUCUCUUUGUGGCUACAAGGGAUUGAGUACUAAAACGGGAUGAAAUGUGAACAACUUCACAUAAGAGAAUCAAUACUACAACAUUUGGCAAAUGUAGCAGAGCUUUCACACUAGACAAAAGAUGUCUUUCUAAGGGGAAUCUAUGGCUAAAAAAGGUGUAGAAUUUGGACAAAGCACAAUUUUCUGGGUAUUUGCUUGACUGAGAGGCAAGUUGUAUGUUUGUUUGUUUGAUUGAUUGAGUGUCCUUGUCUCUGGGCCCUUUUCCUCCUUUUAUAGACGAAUUAGUCCAACUGUGUUGUUUCUGCCCUUGCCUGAAAGUAACUAAAAGGUAGUGAGUCAUCAGCCUUUUUACAUGUUCUGCCAUCCAAAAAGUACUUUUGGGAGGAGAGUAGGUGGAUUUCCAUCGGUUGUCACUUCUCUUGUAAGCACAUGGCCUUUGCAUUAAAGGGGAGCCUUCAUAUUGUCUUGAGAUGGAUGAUCUGGGCUUGACUCUGGGCUUCGGGCAAAACCUUCUUUAUUGAACUCUUUUGGGCUUUCUUCUUUUGGAGCCCAAAGUUAAAUAUUAACCUAAACAGCAUUUCUCUCACAAGGCUCUAUGACAGUCUCGGCUUAUUUUACAAAACUUAAAGGCCUUUGGGAUGAAUUAGAGACAUAUCGGCCUAUUCUUAUCUGUGAUUAGACAAAGGUACAUAAUGAGCAAAUAGAAGAAGAUCGGAUGAUGCAAUUUCUUAUGGGUCUCAACGAUGUCUAUAAUGGAGUUCGCAGUAAUAUCCUUAUGAUGACACCAUUGCCUAAAGUUCGUCAAGCAUAUUCACUUGUCAUUCAAGAUGAAACACAACAACAAAUGACAUCGGGACCAACUGAAAAUUUCUCAAUCGCUGCUGCAGUCCAAAGUCAAUCGAACCAUUCCUCUGACAGUUUGAAGAAUCUUCACUGCAAAUACUGUGAUAAAGAUGGGCACACAAUUGAAAAUUGUAGGACUCAAAAAUAUUAUUGCAAGUUACCAAAGAGACCACACUGAAGACAGAUGUCGAAUAAAAAAUGAAACCAAUGGCUCUAGUCAUAGGGGAAACCAAGAUAAGAAAUACAUCAACAAGUCACACUCCAGUGGGUCCCAUAGCAGCAAUUCACGUGCUGCCUUUCAUUCUACAAAUUCAGCUGUUACAUCCUCAUCUCUUGCUGCCAACACAGCACAUGGUCCUCAUCUUGCUGCCAAUACAUCAAUUGCCCAUUCUCAACCACACAUGUCUCAAUCAAAUGCUCUGCAAGGACUUUCAACAGAACAGCUUCAAUACGCCCAAGCUGUAUCCAUGAUAAAUUUAAACCAUGCUUCUGGUAAUAACAGUGUUUAUGCAAACGCUGCAGGUCUGUGCCUUUUUACUGUUUCUUCUGUUAAUUCCAUAUUUACAAAGCCCUAGAUUUUGGAUAAUGGGGCCACAAAUAACAUCACCUCAAACUCCUCACUUUUCAAUAAAACCUAACCUUCACCCAUAUCUACUGUUAAAUUACCCACUCGCUCUUCAGCCAUAAUCACUUCCUCCGGCACCAUACCAUUCAAUCUCGAUAUCAUAUUAGAUAAUGUUUUGUGUGUUCCUUCUUUUCACUUAAAUCUCAUGUCUGCUAGCCAAGUCACUAAUUCUCUAAACUGUUGUGCCAUUUUGUUUCCCACCUUUUGUGUUUUGCAGGACUUGGCUACAGGGAAGAUAAUUGGAUUGGGUAAGCAACGUGAUGGUCUUUACUACAUGUCGUUGUUGCAACGAACACCCAUCUCCUAUCAAGUUUCCCACUCCUCCAAUUUAUGGCAUAUGCGACUUGGCCAUCCUUCACCUACUCGCCUUAAAUUAGUAUUUUCCUCAUUAUUCUCGAAUAAUAUUUCUUUUGAUAAUAAUUGUAACAUUUGUCUCAUAGCCAGACAAACUAGACUUCCGUUUCCUUCAAGUUUUAUAUCAACUCAUAAUCCAUUUGGUUUACUUCAUUGUGAUAUUUGGGGACCUCAUAAAAUUCCCACACAUUCAGGGGCUUGAUUGUUUCUCACCAUUGUGGAUGAUUUUACUAGAUGCACAUGGAUAUUUUUUAUGAAAUAUAAAUCUGAAACUCAAGACCUUUUAAAAUUGUUUAUUACCUUUGCUCAUACUCAUUCAUGCCAAAAUCAAAGCCAUAAGAGUCGACAAUGGGUCUGAAUUUUUGUCCAUGAAAGAUUAUUUCCAAAACAAUGGCAUUGAAUAUCAACGCACUUGUGUCUACACCCCGCAAAAAAAUGGAGUUAGUCGAACGUAAGCAUAGGCACAUCCUCACCGUUCCACGUAGCUUACUGUCCUAAUCUCACUUACCCCUUUCUUUCUGGGGCGAAUGUGUUUCCACCGCUGUCUACCUCAUUAAUCGAUUACCAUCCCCUUUGUUAUCUAAUAAAUCUCAUUUCGAAUUAAUAUACAAGCGUUCACCAUCUUUUGAUUACUUGAAAAUUUUGGGUUGUUUGUGCUUCUCCACUGUUGUUCACCCCACACACAAAUUUGACCCUCGUGUUAGGUGUUGUAUUUUUGUUGGUUACCCAUCUGGUUAGAAAGGUUACAAACUUUAUGAUUUGGAGACUAAAACCUUCUUUGUCAGUCGUGAUGUUAAAUUUUUUUAACACACCUGUCCUAUCCACUCUAUGUCCCCUUCACCCCCCCCCUCGAAGGAUAUCUCUGCCAUACCAUCCAUUCUCAUCUCAACUGACACACUUGACCUCUCCCACACGGCACCCCAUAUCCCCUCCAUUCCACAACUCACGGACCCCACCCACAUUAAUAUUUCACCUCCCAUCACUUCAUCCACUCUAUCUCAUCCUGAAGUCAUCCCAUCUUCUCCUGGACCCCACCACUCCAUCAAUCAUCAUUCACACCCUCAUCACUUUUAUAACCCCCCCAUCAGACUCUCUCCCUCCCUACACCGAACCUACCCACCAUUUCCUCCCCAUUCAGUCAGACACCUCUUCUUCUCUCGCCACAUCAUCCUCUCCACCCAUACGCCAAUCCCAUCAUCCUAAGCAACCUCCGAUUUGGCAUAAAGACUAUCACGUAACUAACCAAGUCAGUCAUUUUCCUUCGCAGCCUCAUCCUCCCUCAAGUACUUGGUAUCCUCUUUCUAAUUUUCUUUCAUACUCACAUCUUUCUCCUACCCACUAUGCUUUUCUAGCUACCAUUACAAGUCUCACCAAUCCCACUUCCUAUGCUCAGGCUAUCCUUGAUCCCAAUUGGCGACAGGCUAUGCAUGAUGAAUUAGAGGCUUUACAACACAAUAAUACCUGAAGCAUGGUUCCCAUGCCUGCUAGUCACAAACUCAUUGGAUGCAAAUGGGUUUAUAAAAUCAAAUACAAGUCUGAUGGUACCAUUGAACGGUACAAGGCUCGUCUUGUUGCAAAUAGAUACACUUAAGUUAAGGGUGUCAACUAUCAGGAAACUUUUUCUCCUACAACCAAACUCACCAAUCUCUGCUAUCUCCUUACGGUAGUUGCUGCCCAUCAUUGGUUUGUCCAUCAAUUAGACGUUCAAAAUGCCUUUUUACAUGGUGAUUUGCAUGAGCUUGUAUUCAUGAAACCUUUUCCUGGUCUUCGCUGACAGAGGGAGAACAUUGUAUGCCAGCUCAACAAAUCUCUUCACGGACUCAAACAGGCUUCUAGAAAUUGGUUUUCCACAUUUUCAGCUACCAUUCAGACAGCUGGCUAUCAACAAUCAAAAGCUGAUUAUUCUCUUUUACCAAGGCUCAAGGUACUUCAUUCAUUGUUGUCCUCAUCUAUGUAGAUGAUAUACUUCUUACAGGAAAUGAUCUUCAAGAGAUGGAACGACUCAAAACAUUUCUUCUCACACGCUUCCGCAUCAAAGACCUUGGUGAUUUAAAAUAUUUUUUGGGGAUUGAAUUCUCUCGUUCUAAGAAAAGCAUUUUCAUGUCUCAAAGAAAAUAUGCACUAGAUAUUUUGCAGGAUUCUGAACUUACGGAGGCACGUUCAGACAAGUUUCCAAUGGACAAAAUUUGAAACUCGCUCCCACUGACAGAGCAUUGUUAGAUGAUCCCACCAAGUACAAAAGACUAGUCGGACGAUUGAUUUAUCUCACUGUCACCAGGCAUGACAUAGUCUUUUUAGUUCGCACAUUGAGUCAAUUUAUGCAUGAGCCUUGCAAACCUCAUUGGGUUGCAUCUUUACGAAUUCUCAAGUAUAUCAAAGGCACUCUUGGUCAAGGCUUGUUAUUCCCUGCCUUUGAUAGUCUUGAAUUAAAGGCCUUUUGUGAUUCUGAUUGAGGAGGUUGUCGUGCCACUAGAAGGUCAGUUAUAGGGUAUUGUGUUUUUCUUGGAAAUUCUCUCAUCUCAUAGAAGUCCAAGAAACAAGACAAUGUUUCCAGAUCGUCUGCAAAAGCCGAAUAUCGGGCUAUGGCGAACAUAUGUUUAGAAUUAACUUGGUUGCACUAUAAUUACAAGAUUUGUAAAAGCUCCUAUACCAUUAUUUUGCGACAAUCAAGUCGCCCUGUAUAUUGCAGCUAAUCCCGUUUUUCAUGAGCAGACAAAGCAUAUUGAAAUUGAUUGUCACAUUGUUCGAGAAAAACUGUAAGCUGGAAUGAUUAGUCCUUCACAUAUACCUACAUGUUUCCAGUUAGCAGAUUUAUUUACUAAGGCCUUGGGGAAAGAUCACUUUGUGACACUACGCGACAAGUUGGGACUUCAUAAUAUUCACUCUCCAACUUGAGAGGGAGUAUUAGGAAAUAUUAUACGGUAUUAUAUGUAAAUAUCUUGUAUUAUAUUUACCUAAAUAGGUUUGAGUCAAAUCCCACUAAAUAUGGGUCACUGUUCCCUAGCCUUUAAAGUAGGGUUGAAUAGUUGACUUAUGAUGUAUAUAUUGUACAACAAUGUAACAAACGAGGUAUACAAUCUGCCAUUCUCAUAGCUUUUUCAGUGUUCAGUCACUUUAACACUUGAGGUAAACUAAAUAUAUACAAUUUCAACAAACCAAUGAUUUCUUGCGAUAUGAUACCGCUAAAACUAUUCUCACCGAGAUAUAAGAGCCUUAAAUUCUGACACUCUAUUAAACUUGGCAGAAUAUUGCCUGGAAGUUGUUGCCUUCUAAGCUUAAUUCAUUUAAUUGACUUAAAUUUCCGAAAUAGGAUGUAAGAUUGCCACACACAGAGAAUGACUAGGGGGAAUGUGACCUGAUAAUUGUUGGAUAUAAGUCAACAAUCUGUGAUAUAAUUAUAUAUGCUAAUAAAUAAUAAAUGCAAAUAGAAAAAUUAACAGAGUAUGAACAAAACAAAAAUAUAAAACAAACAACUUGAAGAUCGAGGCUUGGGAACCGCAAUGUCCUUGAAACAGAAAUUUUGUCCCUACUCAGUGCUUGUAGUUCUACGGACGUCUACUUCACCAGGAUUCAACGAUCUAAGUUAGAAUUCCAACACCAGAAAACUAGACUUCUAGCGAAUUUGUUUCUGGUGUUCUCAGUAUGCUUGGUAUAUGAGGAUUGAUGAUUUUUUGUGAUUUAAAUGAUAUGCAGAUGCAUGUAUUUAUAGUGAACAUAUGUCUGUUCGCAACAGACAUGUUUUUGGGAGGCGACUGUUCAACGUAAAAGGUGUGUUGCUCCAUCUGUUUAUCAGAUACACUCUCAGACUUCAUCUGAAAAGAUGAGUCUUUCCAUAAAAAAUAAUUUAAUUAAAUUCGAAAUUAAUUAAAAAUAAUUAAUUAAAGAAUUUAAUUUUCAGAGCCCAAGAGCCCCAAGACCCAUCUUUUGAUAAUUAAUAAUAUAUUAAUUAUUAAUUAAUUAUCAAUUAAUUUAUUACACCUCAAAGCCCAACCCCAAGAGUGAGCCCAAUUUUAUUCUCCAAGGUCCAUCACUCCAAUCACUUUCUAUAAGAGACAAAGCCUUAUAAAGUGAGGAAACCUUGUGGUGGUGAGCAAUGUAGGACAAUGAAAUUCUACUCAAAAUUUCCAACAAUACAGUUGAAAUUUCAUUCAAACACCACCAAUUUACUUAUAACACCCCACAUUUGAAUGCAAAUGUAUGACUAGGCUACCUAAAACUAAGAGAGAAUAGACAUGAUAUGCAUUGAGUGAAGUGUCUUUUGGACUUGAACUUACCCUAGUGAAAACAUAUCGGGUUUACUUGGUGACGCAGUGGAUGUGGAAGAUCUUGAACUAUUCACCGCAGUAGUAAACCGAGACAAUAUGCUACACACAUAUCAUGUCUGCCACACGUCAAUUCAUACGGUUGUGUUCAUUUUGGCCCUGAACAGAUCCUGGAUUUCAUAGGAGCUUUUGAGAAUUUAGCCAUUUCAAUUCUCAUAAAUGCGGCCCCAUUUACUCCUAUAUAGGUGACAUUAAUUAAGAAUAGUCUGCCAUAUUCCUCUUGAUAACAAGAUAUUAAUGUCAUUAAAUGUAUAAAACAUAACCCCUCAAACUUCAACAGACAACACACAUUUAUCAUAAGAAUGGGUAAGUUAUGUGUUCAACUUUUGAAUCAAACUGAACCAGUUUGCCUAUUGAACCUAGAUCAUGGGAUCUCCAAUCAGCUAGGUUAGGUUCCGCCCAGUUCGAUUCAUUGAAUUGGCUUGAGACCCAUUCUCCUCGAUGUAAAUAAUAUUUGCUCUCUUGGUAGGCCUUUUGUUAAAGGAUCAGCUAUAUUUUCCUUUGACUUCACAUAAUCAAUGGAUAUUAUUCCAUUGGAGAGCAACUUCUUAAGAGUAUUACGUCGACGCCUGAUGUGUCUUGACUUCCCAUUGUAUACAUGACUUUUGGCCCUUGAUUGUGCGGCCAUACUGUCACAAUAUAUAGAUAUAGCAAUUACAGGCUUUGGCCACAUUGGAAUAUCCUCCAGAAAAUUUUUGAGCCACUCGGCUUCUUCGCCAACCAAGUCUAAAGCUAUAAACUCGGACUCCAUGGUGGAACGAGCUAUACAUUUCUGUUUAGAGGAUUUCCAAGAUAUUGUUGCACCUCCCAAGGUAAAAAUAUAUCCAUUUGUCGACUUGGAUUUUGUAGUGUCAGAAAUCUAAUUGGCAUCACUGAAGCCUUCUACAACAGGUAGAGACUUUGUGUAGUGUAAUCCGCAGUCAAGUGUAUUUUUUUCAAAUACCUUAACACUCUUACUAAAGCAUCACAAUGCUUUUGUGCCGGAUUACUUGUAUAUCUACUAAGCCUACUUACUGCAUAAGCUAAGUCGGGCCUAGUUGAAUUCAUCAAGUACAUUAGACUUCCAAUUACUUGAGAAUAUUCAAGUUGAGAUAUGGCAUUGCCUUUAUUUUUCUCCAACUUGCAUCCAGCAUCAAAAGGAGUUGUCGCAGGUUUGCAGUCAAAUUGACCAAACCUUCGUAAUAUUUUUUCUGCAUAAUGGGAUUGUGUAAGGACAUACCCUUCACUAUUUCUCUUAAUUUGAAUUCCUAAAAUGACAUCGGCUUGACCUAAGUCUUUCAUGUCAAAACUUGAAUUCAACAUUUUCUUUGUUUUGUUUAUUACAUCUUUAUCACUUCCCAUUAUGAGCAUAUCAUCCACAUACAAGCAGACAAUAACGCAAGUUUUAUCAUUACUCUUAAUGUAGACACAUUUAUCAGAUUCAUUUAUUUUGAACCCAUAUGUCAACAAAGUAUGAUCAAAUUUCUCGUGCCAUUGUUUUGGUGCUUGUUUAAGUCCAUAUAAUGACUUAACUAAUUUGCACACUUUGCUUUUGUGUCCUUUAAGCAUGAACCCUUCAGGUUGUUCCAUGUAUAUUUCUUCAUCUAGUUCUCCAUUUAAAAAUGCUAUUUUUACAUGGAUUUGAUGUAUAUCAAAGUUGUAUACAGCCGCAAUCGCUAUUAACGUCCUAAUUGACGUUAUGCGAGAAACUGGAGAAUAGGUGUCGAAAUAAUCCAACCCUUCCUUUUGGCGAUAACCUUUGGCUACUAAACGUGCCUUGAACUUAUCAAUGGUUUCAUCCACCUUAAGUUUCUUCUUGAAAAUCCAUUUAUGGCCAAUUGGUUUGCUACCGGGAGGUAAAUCAACCAAUUCCCAUGUGUUAUUUUCCAUAAUGGAUUCCAUUUCACUUUUAAUUGCUUCCUACCAUAAAGAAGUCGGAAGAAGACAUUGCUUCUUUAAAAGUUCUAGGUUCAUUCUGGGACAAGAAAGCAAUGAAAUCUGGUCCAAAGUUUUUAGAAACUUUGAUUCUUUUUCAUCUUCUUGGUUCCACAUCUUGGACACCAAAAGAAGAGGCUUCAUCAUGACUAUGAUCAUGAACCCUCUUUGUAUUAGAACCAGAUUCCUUAUCUUUGUAAGGAAAUAUAUCCUCAAAGAAUUCUACAUCCGCUGAUUCUAAUAUAGUGUUAACAUGUAUGUCAGAAAUCGAUGAUUUUACAACAAGGAACCUAUAAGCAGAACUAUUAUUUGCAUAUCCAAUGAAUACGCAAUCAAUAGUUUUAGGUCCUAGUUUCGUUCUUUUUGGUAACGGAACUUGCACCUUUGCUAAGCAACCCCACACUUCGAGGGUUUUAUAAGUGGGUUUAUGUCCUUUCCAUAGUUCAUAAGGUGACUUGUCAAUUUUCUUUAAAGGAACCUUAUUCAAUAUGGUAUUUGCAGUAAGUAAAGCUUCACCCCACAAACUAUGUGGAAGCCCUGAACUAUUUAACAUGGAAUUAAUCAUAUCUUUGAAUGUUCUAUUUUUUCUUUCGGCUACACCAUUUUGUUGUGGUGUGUAUGGAGUCGUUGCUUAUGUAUAAUUCCAUGUUAUGCACAAAAAUCUGAGAAGGCAGUAGACUCAUACUCUCCUUCUCUAUCAGAUCUAAGUGCUUUGAUUUUUCUCUCAAGUUGAUUUUCAACUUCAGCUUUAUAUGUCUUAAACAUAUUCAAAGCUUCGUCCUUGCUAUGAAUCAAAUAAACAUAGCAAUACUUACUGCAAUCAUCAAUAAAAGUGACAUAAUAAUUCUUUCCUCCACGAGUUCAUGUGGAUUUAAACUCACAAAGAUCACUAUAAAUUAAUCCAAGUAAUUCAUUUGAUCUUUCCAGAAUUGACUUUCUCGUUUGCCUAGCAAAUUUCGAUUUAGUACAUGUUUCACACUUAUGAUUAAAAUCAAUUUCGAAUUUAGGUAGUAAUUCUAAUUUAACCAUUUUUUGCAUGGAAUGAAAAUUAACAUGUCCUAAUCUAGCAUGCCAAAUAUUAGAAGACUCAACAAUAUAAGUAGAAGCAUUUAUUUUAUUAGCAUCAUCAAUGGCAAUUACAUUGAGUUUCACGAGGCCCUCAGCCACAUAACCCUUUCCAACAAACAUCCCACCCUUGGUAAGUACAAAUUUGUUGGAUUCCAUUACAAGUUUAAAGCCCUUAGCAAUCAGAAUAGAUCCAGAAACCAAGUUCCUCCUCAUUUUAGGAACAUGCAGCACAUUCAGCAAGGUGAGACUCUUUCCAGAUGUGAAUUUGAGUACCACUUUGCAUUUGCCCUCCAUCGCAGAUGCGGCAGAAUUACCCAUAUACAACUUUUCUCCAUGGGCAGCAGGAUGGUAUUAGGUGAACAGAUUUUUGUCAGCGUAGAUAUACUUAGUAGCACCAGUAUCCAUCAACCAUUCACUCACAUUUGAGACCAUGUUGACCUCGGACACAACAACAGCCAAUUCUUCAUUGGUGGUUGCCAUGUUAGCAUGGUUGUUGUUGUUUCCGUUGGCAUGAUUUCCAUCAUUGCGAUGAUAAUAAUCUUGUGCCUUGUGACCAGAUUUGCCACACACAUAGCAUGCGCCCUUAAUCUUCUUCAGAUUCUUGCCUUUGGGAGCAAGGGCAGAUUGUACUAAUUGCUUGGUUUUCGGAGCCUUAUUCUCCUUCGGCUUGGCCUUGGAGUUUCCUCCCUCAACAUAAUUUGCAUCGGCUUCAAUGGCAGCAAACCUACUGUUGGAAGUAUGCCCACAAAGCCACUCAUUUGAUGUAAUAGCUUUUUGGAAUACUUAAUGUAUUAAACUUUUAUAUGUUUAAUGAAGGGCAAAGCUUAUUGUCAAUCACUAUUUAUUGUAUCAUGAGUUUAAGCAAUAAGGGAAUCCAAGGGAUGUAUUUGAUCUAAGAGACAAGUGAUCUAAGUGAGUUAGAUUAUCGAGACCAUUCUCUUAUGUUCAUUCCUAAAACGUUCCUAGCUGUAGGAUUGCCAAUUGGGUAUUGACAAUCCGCUAAGGUUAGUAUGUGUUAUGUCAACUCAAGCUUGAGUAUGACUAGUCUCAAGUCAUUUGGUGUUGGACACUAAGACAAACACAUAGGUGCUCGAAAGAGUAAUCGAGUACACUGAAGAACGAUCAAAAGAGAGUUCGAACAUACAUGUCAUGUAAGAACUCGAAAGUUGCAAUAUGCAAAGUAGUCCUUUGACCCGAGGCAUCAUAAAUGUCUAAUGGUUAGGUCCUUGAUCUUUGAUCAUGUCAACGGCAUUCCAUUGGAGUGUCCACGGCAUUGUUGGGGUCAAGCUAUCUAGUCAUGUAGGUAUAUGAAUGCACAACAAGGGAUCUCUAACCUUCCAUGGUGGAAGGAGAAUACUCUAAGAUAUGAUUCUAAAGUCUUUGGCCAAAGCAUAUGAAUAUGACUUAGGAAGUUUGUUCCAAAUCAUAUUCAAGGGAAUCAUAUAGAAAAGUAUCACAUUGGAUAGUAGACAUGAAACAAACUAUCACUUAAACAAUGUGAUUAAGAGUAUUGUAUUAGAGAAGGACCGUAUUGCAUUGUAGUUGUAACUGGAUAGGUUCUCCAACCAAUUCUACUUAGCUUGGGUAACCAUGACAUACUUCUAGGUGUCACUCAUGGUUUGUGGAAGCCCUAAUGAUUAGCAAACACUAAUCAUUAAAGGGAGAACUGAAAUGUGGUUUCAAUUCACAAUCGAUCGUUAAGAGUAACAAUCGCCCACUACCUCGCUAAUUGGAACCUAAUGGAUCGUACACCGAGUAAGGGCGAUAGUGAAGAAAUAAAUGAAAUGGAUAAGCAAUUAAAUUGUUUAAUUGAAGAAUGGUCAAGAUUAAUUAAUUAGUUGAUUAAUUUUACGAAAGGUUCGUAUUGGGCUUUUAAGUUGGUUUUGGGUUUCGGGGCCCAAAAGUGUUUUGGUCCACAAGGCCCAUUAUGUUUAAGUUGUAUGACAACUAAAACAAAAUGGGCAAUAAGCCCAAUCACAACAUAUAGGCCGGCCAUGGUGAGGAGAUGGUGAAAGUUUGCUUAAUUGCAAGUUUGCCACUCACCAAAGAAAAGUGUUAUAAAAGCAACUUUAUAGCUAUUUUUCUAAUUAGGGUUUUUCUUGGUGAAAUGAGGUGAAACCUUUUUCUCUCUUUUUCAACAAGGAGGCCGGCCACUUAGGGGAGAUUAAUCUAGCAAUCUUUUCUUCUCUAAGUCAUCCAUUUCAUCUUCACACUUAACCCUUGGUGUGGAGACUUAGAGACACCAAACCUUUGGUGUUUUGGAGAUCCUUUCCUUUCAUCCUCAAGGACCAAAGGAGCACAAAAGGAGAAGGAAAUCACAAGCAAUAUCCAAGGAGCUUGGAGGUGACUUGAAGGCCCUCCACUUGGGUGAAUCCCUUGUGUAAACAAGGAUGAGCUUCAAGGGUAAAGAAACUCUAAAUCUUUACUUCUCUCUUUAAUGUUGUUAAAGAGUUUAUUGGUUCACCAUAUACUAGGCUUUGAAAGUCAUGGGUUUUAUGAAUUGUUUUGGAUGCAUGCCUACUUUAAAGUGUUAAUAGUUUGCAUAUGUAUUCAAAUGUUUAUACUUGUUCUUAGCUAGGACAAAAUUUUUCCUUCAAGUGGUAUCAGAGCCUAGGCCUAGUUUAUGGUGAAUCCUUUUGGGUUUUGUGAUUUUCAUAUUUUGUGAUUUAAAUGUUGUAAAUGUUACAAGCUUUGUUCUUGCUUUUGAAUAUAAAUUUUGCUAGAAAAUUUAGCAUCUCAAAUGUUGUAGAUGUAUGUCAUUUAAGCAUGAAUAUUGGAACUAAAAUUUGGUGCCAUGUAUGUUGGGAAAUUCGGCCAAAUCCAUAGGGUGAUUUUUUGGGUUCAUGUUUGUCUUGUUAAAAUGGUUUUAAAGUGACUUUUGGAACCCCUAAGUACCCUAGGAUAUUAGCCCUCUUUUGAGUGGUGAAAAAUUGAGUUUUGGUGAGUGAAAACAUUCAUGGAGCUAUUAUGAGUUUUCAUGAGUGUUCUUCAAUGUUCUUGAAGUUCUUGCCAAGAACAAAAAGUUUUGAAGUUUUGAUUCAAAAGUUUUAUGUUUUUCAUAAAGUUUUGGUUUAUUAUUUGAUGGUUGAUGGUUAUUGGUGAGAUGUGAUGAAAUGGUUUUAAUGUUUGUCAUAGACUUUAAGUUUUCUUACAAACCAUCAAUUUCACCUUUACCUCACCCACCAAAAUCAACUUGCAAAAACUUUUUAGAAAAUUUUUUCAUUUCUUCUCAAAUGGCCGGCCACCCCCUAGUGUGGGGGUACUUUUGGGGUCUUUUAUGCAAUUACAUAAAGUUUUGAUACUUUUGUGUAUUUGCACUUUGGCCUAAAAGUUUACGUUUUUACGUUAAGGCCCAAAAACUCUAAAGGACAAAUUGUUUUGCUCCUUUAAUGAUGUUUUUACAUUAUUAAAAUUUUGGGAUCUAGUUGUAUUUACAUGAAGUUGUGGACUUUUGUAUUUUUACAAAGUGACCCCAAAAGUUUAUGUAUUUGCAUUGUGGCCCAAUUGUUGUCGUCAUAGUUUCCUUUUGGCCCAAAAGGAUGAGAACAAAAUUGUUUUGUCUCUUUAAUGAGAAUUGGAUUUUCAUUUCAUUUAGUUCCAUUUAAAUCAAUUCUAUGGAUCCAAAAACCAAUUGUUUAAAGUUGUUUUCUUAGUUAAUGUGAUUGAUUAAGAAAAUGGUGAUUAUGAACCAAAGGCCUCGAUAAUUGAGCUAUGUGAUUGGCCGAUUUACAUUAUGAAUGUUUGGGUUUAGUAGUGUAGAUUUGAAUGUAAUUUGAUUAAUUCAAUUUGUUGUAAAUGGACAUAAGUCCAUCAUUUGUGUUGUAAAAGGGCGUAAGCCCUUCUUAUUAUUUCAUGUAUUCCUUUUUGUUUAUAUGUAUGCAAAUUGGAAUAGUUGGGUCCAACGCCCAAUAGGAAAUAACGGUUUAAUUGGAUUAAACGCGUAACUAAAAUCAAACAACUACCUACCUUAGACCCAAGGUCCAACACAAGGCUCGUGUUGGAUCAAAUUGAACGGUUCAUAAUCAUCCUAAAACCUAAUAUGACUAUAUAGUCCAUAUGAGGAUGCAAAGCAUUCGUUAGUAGUUCCAUAUAGUCUCACUUAUUUCUUCGAAAAUAGUGGGAGUAUUAUAAACUACUAAAUUCAUAUUAAACUUGGACCAAUGGUUGUGAUAGGCCCAAGUUCUUUUAAAAGAUUAAAAUGAUUUUGAUGUAGCCCAACACUACUCCCUCAACAAAACGAAUAUUAAGUUGAUAAGCGAGAGAUGUUUUGAAUAUCUCUUCGUAGGCCUUCCACCGUGGUGGGUUCCAAUCGUUUGUGACUCAUGCACCGGUUUCACCCUAUCAUAGGGAAGUACAAAGUAUGUGCUUACAUCCAGGAGGAGUCCAUAAACAUAUGAUGAGGUGAGUGUAGGCAACGAGGAUAGCCGACAUCGUAUCAUCGUGAGGCUAUUCUUGAACCCCUUCACAAACUAAGCAUGGUGGGAAUAACUUAACUAAGUGCAAUGGAGCCGAUAUCGUAUCAUCAUGAGGCAACAUUCUCUAGAGGCCAAACGAGAUGGGUAAUUACAAAUGUUGUAAAUAAAUAAAGCGUUAUUUUCUCAUCAUUAUUUUUGCUAACCGAUAUCGUAUCAUCGUGAGGUGGGCUUGGUAAUGGUGAGUCUCCCAUACCCCGCUAAGAGUUCAAUAAAAACUCUCGAAUUCCAUUGAGGGAUGUGGAAUUUGCCAAAAAUAGUGGGUGGUACUAUUUGAUUCAAAGACCCAAUCAAAUAGUUUUAAACAAACAAUCUAAUACGAUUUCUGUUAUGUUAUGUAGUUAACGACAUGCCUAAAAUUAUACCCACCAUUAUACUUGACAAAAGGGGCCUUAAGGGCCAACGUUUCCUUGCUUGGUAUCGCCACAUUGAGAAUGUCUCAAAGGUGAAAGACAUAUUGUAUGUGCUUAAGCAAUCCCCUCCUCAUGUACCUCCUACGAAACUAGCUUCAAAGGAGGAGUGUCAAAAUUAUGUUAGACACUAUGAGGAUGACUUACAAGCCAAAUGCUUAAUCCUCACUUCACUUAGUAAGGAGCUUAUGAAGCUACAUAAGCACAUGGACACUUCUUGUGCCAUGGUUGAAAGUUUGCAUAAGAUGCAUGACAUUGAGACUAGUAAUGUACGAUUCUCAAAUGUUUGUAGUCUAAUGAAUGCCAAAAUGGCAAAGGGGACAUUGGUCCAUAAACAUGGACGAAAGAUGGAAAUGAUCUUUCAAGAUCUUCAAAGUUUAGGAACUUCCAUCGAUGGGAAAAUGGCCCAAGAUUUUUUCCUUGCAUCUCUCUCGGAUGAUUUCACUAAGUUUAUUGUAAACUAUAAAGUGAAUAGAUUCGAUCAUUCUUUAAACGAGAUGAUUGACAUGUGCUGUAAAUUUGAAAAAGGUUUCAAAAUGGAUAGUGGGAGUGAGAAUGCAAACACAAGGAAAAGGUUGCAUAAGAAGAAGGCAAAGAAAUCCAAAGGAACAUGCUUUCAUUGUGGAAAGGAUGAACGUUGGAAGAAGAAAUACAGGGUGCGCAUUGCGAGCCUUAUGACACAAACUUUUGAAGAGACUAUUUCUGUCAUAGAGAGUUCUUUUACAGUGAGCUCCAAUUCCUGGAUAUUUGAUUCAGGCACUAGUCAACAUAUCUGUAAUACGAUGCAGGGACUAGAGGGGAGCAAAUCACUGAGCAAUGGGGAGAUGGUUGUGCGAGUUGGGAACGGCACUAAAAUCUCUGCAAAAGCAAUAGGCACCUACAUGCUUAACCUACCCUCUGGGGAAGUCCUGGAACUUAAAAAUUGUUUAUAUUUUCCUUCAUGUAUAAAGAAUUUGAUUUCCAUCUCUAAGCUUUUACGAGAUAGGCACUCAGUAUUGUUUGACAAAAUGAGUUGCACUUUAUACUUGAACGGUCGUAUUAUCUCUCAGGGUAAUAUGAUAGAGGGACUUUUUCACCUAGAGACGAAUAGUGGGAUGCACUAUUUGCAAGCGGGAAUACCUCAAAACCCAAAAGGGCUAGAGAAGAAGUUAACCAAGAAAAGAUGUGGCAUCUUAAACUUGGACAUGUGAACCUUGAUAAGAUUCAUAAGAUGUCGAAAGACGGAUAUAUCCGCCCAUUAGGUAAUGACCAGAUGGGUAUUUGUGAAUGUUGCUUGAAAGGGAAGAUGACCAAAUCUCCAUUUACUGGAAAAGGAGAGCGUGCCACUGAAAUUCUAGGGUUAAUCCACACUGACGUAUGUGGACCUAUGUCUACUACAUUGAGAGGAGGCUUCUCCUACAAUAUCACAUUCACCGACGAUCACUCUCGGUUUGGCUAUGUGUAUCUUAUGAAGUACAAGUCAGAAUCCUUUGAAAGGUUCAAAGAAUUCAAGAAUGAGGUUGAGAAGCAAACUGGGAACAGAUAAAGAUCUAAGAUCGGAUCGAGGGGGUGAAUAUCUGAGUAAUGAGUUCCUAGAUUAUCUCAAAUAGUGUGGAAUAAUAUCACAGUGGACUCCACCGGGGAACUCCACAAACUUAAUGGAGUUUCUGAAAGGAGAAAUCGAACCUUGAUGAACAUGGUUCGUUCUAUGAUGAGUUCCGCUGAUCUACCAGUAACAUUCUGGGGAUACGCUCUAUAUACAGCAGCUUACUUGCUUAAUAGAGUACCUUCCAAGUCAGUUUCACAAACGCCUAUGAGAUAUGGCAUGGAAGAAAGCCAAGUCUUAAUCACAUUAAGAUUUGGGGUUGUGAAGCAUAUGUCAAGAAGCUUGAAGCGAGAUCAGUAAGAUGCUAUUUUGUGGGAUAUCCUAGAGAAACUAUGGGAUAUGAGUUCUACCAUCCUGACGACCAGAAAGUCUUUGUCGCCAGAACUGCUAUGUUUCUAGAGGAACAAUUUGUUCUCAAAGGAACUGUAAGCAAACAGAUGGAAAUUAAUGAGAUUAAUGAUGAACCACAAACAAGCACUCGACGAGUUGACAACCCUGUUCCUGAACCCCUAGCUCCACGUAGAUCUAAACGGGUUAGUAAGCCACCUAAGAGGUAUGGCUUAGACAAUGAAUUUGCGGAAUUGCACCUUCUAGGUGACAAUGACACAAAGGAGGACCCUAGGGACUACAUUGAAGCAAUGUCCGACAUUGAUUCAAAGAUAUGGCAAGAGGCCAUGAAAUCCGAGAUGGAUUCCAUGUAUCAAAAUCAAGUCUGGACUCUUGUAGACCCUCUAGAAGGUAUUGUACAUGUUGGAAACAAAUGGGUCUUUAAGAGGAAGAUAGGCGUUGAUGGGAACGUGGAGACUUAUAAGGCUAGACUCGUAGCCAAGGGUUACAAGCAACGAGAAGGGAUUGACUAUGAAGAAACCUUCUCUCCUGUAGCCAUGAUUAAGUCCAUUCGGAUUUUGCUUGCUAUAGCUGCGUACCAUGAUUAUGAGAUAUGGCAAAUGGACGUGAAGACGGCCUUUCUGAACGGCUACCUAGAGGAAGAGCUCUAUAUGACUCAACCCGAAGGUUUCGUGUCCAAGUCUGAAAAGACUAAGGUAUGCAACCUUCAAAGGUCCAUUUAUGGACUUAAGCAAGCCUCCAGGAGCUGGAACAUUCGUUUCGAUACUGAAAUCAAAACGUUUGGUUUUACUCAAAACGAAGACGACAAUUGUGUUUAUCAAAAGGUCGUUGGGGAAGCAGUUGUAUUCCUAGUGUUAUAUGUAGAUGACAUAUUACUAUUCGGGAAUGACACUGCAAUACUUUCUUCUGUAAAAGUGUGGUUGUCCAAAACCUUCCACAUGAAAGAUUUAGGAGAUGCAUCUUAUGUACUUGGGAUAAAGCUCUAUCGUGAUAGAUCCAGAAAAUUAAUUGGAUUAUCCCAAUCUAUGUACAUUGAUAAAGUGUUAAGUAGGUUCCAGAUGGAACAGUCUACGAAAGGUUUUCUUCCUGUUAGACAUGGAAUUCACCUUUCUAAGUCCAUGGAACCUAAGACUCCUGAAGAGAUACGGCAAAUGAAUAUUAUUCCUUAUGUUUCUGCCAUAGGGACUCUCAUUUAUGCCAUGAUAUGCACAAGGUCUGAUAUCGCAUAUGCUGUGAGCAUUACUAGUCGAUAUCAAUCUAACCCAGGAUUAGAACACUGGGCAGCUGUCAAGACGGUCCUUAAGUACUUAAGAAGAACUAAAGACAUGUUCCUCGUAUAUGGAGGAGCGGCAGAGUUUCGGGUGGAAGCCUAUACAGACGCAGAUUUCCAAUCUGACGUCGAUGAUAGAAGUUCCAACUCUGGAUAUGUAUUCACUCUGAAUGGUGGGGCUGUGGGGCUGUCAGUUGCAAGAGCAAGAAACAAAGUGUAAUUGCUGAUUCCACAACAGAGGCUGAAUAUGUCGCUGCAGCUGAAGCCGGCAAAGAAGCGUUCUGGAUGAAGAAGUUCAUCACUGAACUUGGAGUGGUUACAACCAUUACAUCACCAGUAACUUUGUACUGUGAUAAUAGUGGGGCGAUAGCUCAAGCCAAGGAACCCAGGGCACAUCAAAAGAACAAGCAUUUUGACAGACGCUUUAAUAUCAUUAGAAGAUAUGAUGCCGAGGGGAAAGUCAACAUCCUCAAAGUUGCUUCAGCCGAUAACGUAGCAGAUCCACUGACAAAGCCAAUGUCUCAAAUCCAGCUUGACCGUCAUAUGGAAAAGAUGGGUAUUAGAUACAUGGGAGGAUGGCUUUGAGUGCAAGUGGGAGAUUGUUGGAAGUAUGCCCACAAAGCCACUCAUUUGAUGUAAUAGCUUUUUGGAAUACUUAAUGUAUUAAACUUUUAUAUGUUUAAUGAAGGGCAAAGCUUAUUGUCAAUCACUAUUUAUUGUAUCAUGUGUUUAAGCAAUAAGGGAAUCCAAGGGAUGUAUUUGAUCUAAGAGACAAGUGAUCUAAGUGAGUUAGAUUAUCGAGACCAUUCUCUUAUGUUCAUUCCUAAAACGUUCCUAGCCGUAGGAUUGCCAAUUGGGUAUUGACAAUCCGCUAAGGUUAGUAUGUGUUAUGUCAACUCAAGCUUGAGUAUGACUAGUCUCAAGUCAUUUGGUGUUGGACACUAAGACAAACACAUAGGUGCUCGAAAGAGUAAUCGAGUACACUGAAGAACGAUCAAAAGAGAGUUCGAACAUACAUGUCAUGUAAGAACUCGAAAGUUGCAAUAUGCAAAGUAGUCCUUUGACCCGAGGCAUCAUAGAUGUCUAAUGGUUAGGUCCUUGAUCUUUGAUCAUGUCAACGGCAUUCCAUUGGAGUGUCCACGGCAUUGUUGGGGUCAAGCUAUCUAGUCAUGUAGGCAUAUGAAUGCACAACAAGGGAUCUCUAACCUUCCAUGGUGGAAGGAGCAUACUCUAAGAUAUGAUUCUAAAGUCUUUGGCCAAAGCAUAUGAAUAUGACUUAGGAAGUUUGUUCCAAAUCAUAUUCAAGGGAAUCAUAUAGGAAAGUAUCACAUUGGAUAGUAGACAGGAAACAAACUAUCACUUAAACAAUGUGAUUAAGAGUAUUGUAUUAGAGAAUGACCGUAUUGCAUUGUAGUUGUAACUGGAUAGGUUCUCCAACCAAUUCUACUUAGCUUAGGUAACCAUGACAUACUUCUAGGUGUCACUCAUGGUUUGUGGAAGCCCUAAUGAUUAGCAAACACUAAUCAUUAAAGGGGAGAACUGAAAUGUGGUUUCAAUUCACAAUCGAUCGUUAAGAGUAACAAUCGCCCACUACCUCGCUAAUUGGAACCUAAUGGAUCGUACACCGAGUAAGGGCGAUAGUGAAGAAAUAAAUGAAAUGGAUAAGCAAUUAAAUUGUUUAAUUGAAGAAUGGUCAAGAUUAAUUAAUUAGUUGAUUAAUUUUACGAAAAGGUUCGUAUUGGGCUUUUAAGUUGGUUUUGGGUUUCGGGGCCCAAAAGUGUUUUGGUCCACAAGGCCCAUUAUGUUUAAGUUGUAUGACAACUAAAAACAAAAUGGGCAAUAAGCCCAAUCACAACAUAUAGGCCGGCCAUGGUGAGGAGAUGGGUGAAAGUUUGCUUAAUUGCAAGUUUGCCACUCACCAAAGAAAAGUGUUAUAAAAGCAACUUUAUAGCUAUUUUUCUAAUUAGGGUUUUUCUUGGUGAAAUGAGGUGAAACCUUUUCUCUCUUUUUCAACAAGGAGGCCGGCCACUUAGGGGAGAUUAAUCUAGCAAUCUUUUCUUCUCUAAGUCAUCCAUUUCAUCUUCACACUUAACCCUUGGUGUGGAGACUUAGAGACACCAAACCUUUAGUGUUUUGGAGAUCCUUUCCUUUCAUCCUCAAGGACCAAAGGAGCACCAAAGGAGAAGGAAAUCACAAGCAAUAUCCAAGGAGCUUGGAGGUGACUUGAAGGCCCUCCACUUGGGUGAAUCCCUUGUGUAAACAAGGAUGAGCUUCAAGGGUAAAGAAACUCUAAAUCUUUACUUCUCUUUAAUGUUGUUAAAGAGUUUAUUGGUUCACCAUAUACUAGGCUUUGAAAGUCAUGGGUUUUAUGAAUUGUUUUUUGGAUGCAUGCCUACUUUAAAGUGUUAAUAGUUUGCAUAUGUAUUCAAAUGUUCAUACUUGUUCUUAGCUAGGACAAAAAUUUUCCUUCACCUACCAGAACGGUCUGCCUUUAUGUGGUCUUUUUCCACUCGUAGCCUCAGAAUCAAAUCCUCCAUAUUCAUCUCACGACGCUUGUGCUUGAGAUAAAUUUUGAAGUCAUUCCAGGAAGUUGGCAACUUUUCGAUUAUCGCCCCAACUUGGAAAUGCUCAUUGACCUCGCAUCCCUAGGAGUGCAGUUCAUAGAUCAAUUUCUGGAUUUCUUCGACCUGAGAUACAACAGAUUUCGAAUCCACCAUAGUAUAUUUGAGAAACUUACCGAUAACAAAUUUCUUUGAACCGGCAUCAUCAAUCUUAUACUUUUUCUCCAGGGAUUCCCACAACUCCUUUACUAUCUUGCACAGAGAAUAAAUGUCGUAAAGAUUGUCAUCCAAACUAUUCAGAAUAUAAUUCCUGCAACAAAACUUGGAAUGAUUCCAAGCUUCAAUUGCCAUGACAGUCUCUUUCGUUAUUGGAUUCUCAUUAGACUUCGAAGCUUCUUCCUUGACAACAUGAGCGAGAUUCAUUGUUGUCAGGAAAAACAACAUCUUCUGUUGCCAUCUCUUGAAGUCCAGCCCUUUGAACUUCUCAGGUUUUUCAGAGUAUUUUGGCACAGCGUCAUUCACAUUCACAUAUUAUUGAUCCAUAAAUUUCUGUUUCAAGAUUGUUAGAUAUAAGUCAACAAUCUGUGAUAUAAUUAUAUAUGCUAAUAAAUAAUAAAUGCGAAUAGAAAAAUUAACAGAGUAUGGACAAAACAAAAAUGUAGAACAGACAACUUGAAGAUCGAGGCUUAGGAACCGCAAUGUCCUUGAAACAGAAAUUUCGUCCCUACUCAGUGCUUGUAGUUCUACGGACGUCUACUUCACCAGGAUUCAACGAUCUAAGUUAGAAUUCCAACACCAGAAAACUAGACUUCUGGCGAAUUUGUUUGUGGUGCUCUCAGUAUGCUUGGUAUAUGAAGAUUGAUGAUUUUUUGUGAUUUGAAUGAUAUGCAGAUGCAUGUAUUUAUAGUGAACAUAUGUAUGUUCACAACAGCCCCAAGGCCCAAGGCCCAUCUUUUGAUAAUUAAUAAUAUAUUAAUUAUUAAUUAAUUAUCAAUUAAUUUAUUACACCCCAAAACCCAACCCUAAGGAUGAGGCCAAUUUUAUUCUCCAAGGUUCAUCACUCCAAUCAUUUUCUAUAAGGGACAAAGCCUUAUAAAGUGAGGAAACCUUGUGGUGGUGAGCAAUGUGGGACAAUGAAAUUCUACUCAAAAUUUCCAACAAUAAUUGGUUCUCAGCAUCCCUAAAACCUCUAAGUUAGCCAAAUUUACAAUCUCUUUCGGAAUACUUCCUAAUAUUUUAUUUUGUGCAAUAUGGAAUAUUUGAAGAGAGGAAGACAGGUUUCCUAUGCAUUGAGGUAACGUGCCCCCAAACUUGUUGGUAAACAUUUCGAGAAAUUCUAAAUGGGUGGCAUUGCUUAAAUCACAGAGAAAGGUCGAGUCGUCAAUUCCCCCACUUCUGAGAUGGUUGUCAGCAAGGAUUAACCACUCAAGCAUAUGCAAAUUUGUCAAAUGAGGGACCUUUUCAUGCGAUGAUGGUGGGUCUCUUGGUCCUGCUUGUAGGGUGAGUCUCAUUGACUCUACGUGAUUGUCGUUGUGUGAAUCUUUCACGUGUGACCUACUAAUUGGAUCUCACAUGAUGAAGCGUGUUGAAAUGUCUCACGUCGACCGUAUCAAUGACAAAAGAAGAGUUUAAAUAUCAUAACUUCACUCCAACUAACACCGAGACUUUUUGUGAUAAAACCUCAUACCUGACGGAUUGUGAAUAUGGUAAUUAACAAAUUUGGGAUAAUAUCGAUGUUGUUAGAAGUGAGUCUUUGGCCCGUCUCUCUGAUAAUCAUACAAGACCAACUUUAAGGUGAUCAUGUUAUAAAUAGGCAAAAGUAGAGAAAUAACCUUUGCUAAGAACGAGGACGAAGUGGUGCAAAAUAUCACACUGACAAAAGUAUUGCAGAUAUUAGAAAAUGAGGGAUACUGAGAGUAUUAUAUUUCUUCCUUUUCUCUUCUUGAUAUUCUUCACACUUUGAACNNNNNNNNNNNNNNNNNNNNNNNNNNNNNNNNNNNNNNNNNNNNNNNNNNNNNNNNNNNNNNNNNNNNNNNNNNNNNNNNNNNNNNNNNNNNNNNNNNNNNNNNNNNNNNNNNNNNNNNNNNNNNNNNNNNNNNNNNNNNNNNNNNNNNNNNNNNNNNNNNNNNNNNNNNNNNNNNNNNNNNNNNNNNNNNNNNNNNNNNNNNNNNNNNNNNNNNNNNNNNNNNNNNNNNNNNNNNNNNNNNNNNNNNNNNNNNNNNNNNNNNNNNNNNNNNNNNNNNNNNNNNNNNNNNNNNNNNNNNNNNNNNNNNNNNNNNNNNNNNNNNNNNNNNNNNNNNNNNNNNNNNNNNNNNNNNNNNNNNNNNNNNNNNNNNNNNNNNNNNNNNNNNNNNNNNNNNNNNNNNNNNNNNNNNNNNNNNNNNNNNNNNNNNNNNNNNNNNNNNNNNNNNNNNNNNNNNNNNNNNNNNNNNNNNNNNNNNNNNNNNNNNNNNNNNNNNNNNNNNUUCAUGCUUCCCCAAACUACCUUUCUGUUUCCUGACUUGAGAAGGGUCAACGUCGUAGAAUAUUGGACACACUAUUUUCCCCUCUUGUUCUUUUAGGCACCUCAUGAUUUUCGACAGCUCCCUCAGGCACCACCGGGACUCCGCGUACCCCUUCGAGAAGACGAGGAGGGCGAUUCUCGAUCCUUCGAUUUCUUGGUCAAGUUCACUCUGUAUGGUUUUCCCCCUUGUGAGCUGGUUAUCUAUAAAAGUGUUAAUUCCGGCAUUGCGUAAUGCAAUGAAGAGGUGGUUUGUAAAGGCGUUGCGGGUGUCUUCGCCUCUAAAGCUCAGGAACACCUCGUACUUCCAGCGGUUUGAGCCAGCUUCACUGGCGGAGCUGCUGGUAUCCAUUGCAGCCUGUAGAAGUGCAGCUUGGCGUUCAAAUAACCAACGUCAAGUCUUUUCCCAAGAUUCCCAAGUGUUGGUGGCCCUUUUAAAAUUUUGCAUGGGCCAAUGAUGUCGAUAACACGUGAGUGCUAUUCCCCCAAAGUUUAAUUUGUAUAAAUGUUACCAUCAAAUUUAAAUAUUUUACCAUGCAAUUUCCUCUUUUGUAGUUUUUUGAGAAAUCUGCCGCCCCCCCCCCCCCCACUUUGACCAGUUGACGAGAUUAUUGUAUUUUAAGGGUGGUGCGCAGGUCGGUCCAACUGUUGGAGUCACGCUAAAAUACGCAUUGGAAUUUGGAAGUUAGAAAGUAAAAAAAAUUAUAAUAUUCAGACGUGAAAUUUUAAAAGUGUUCACGAGAGAACAAAAAUGAAAACAUUUACUCGAUUGGGUUAAGGCAUGGUCCAAUAGAACUUAUAGGCUUAAACACCGCAAGUAACCAAAUUGGACAUGGGUCUUAUGACCCAUCAGAGCACAUUAAAUUGUGAAAAUUGCACCUGCGCGUUAUUCACACGUUAGUGUAGUAACUUCAGAAAGAAUAAUACUUGAGUACUUAUUGAAAUUACCGACCCAAUGAAAUAAUUAAUAAAAAAGAACCAAUCCCAGUGACUACCCAAAUUACACGGCGUUAAAUCGUUAACCUUUUGGUUUCUAAAUUACACGUGCCGCUCACUGAAAUGAUCAGAGUUUUGACUUUCAUUUCUUGAAAGCCAGCUGCACCAAUUGGUAAUCGAUGGAUACCAGCAGCUCCGCCCAUGGAACCGCCAUCGCAGCCUCUUCGUAUUCCCCGUGCCGCUCAAACCGCUGGAAGUCCAAGGUGUUCCUGAGCUUUAGAGGCAACGACACACGCACUAACUACACAGACAAUCUCUCCAUGCGUUACGCUAUGCCGGAAGCAACACGUUUAUAGACUACCAGCUCAGAAGGGGGGAUAAUAUACAGAGGGAACUUGACCGAAAAAUCGAAGGGUCCAGAAUCGCCAUCGUCGUCUUCUCCAAGGGGUACGCGGGAGUCCCAGUGGUGCUUGAGGGAGCUGGCCAAGAUCAUGAGGUGCCGAGAAGAUCAAGAGGGCAAAAUAGUCUAUCCAAUGUUCUAUGUCGUUGUGAGGAAACAGAGUGGUGGUUUUGAGGAAGUUCGGAAGCAUGCAAGUGAUGAAAAUCCAAACGAACAAUCAGUGGAGAAAGGAUCUUAAGGCUUCUUUCCGGCGACGGGUAUAAUUCCUUCUUUAACUCCUUCUUUACAAUUUUUUGAUGCUCAAAUUUACUCACUUAUAAUUCAAGGUUAGAAAUCCGGUCGUAUAUAGCUUAGUUAAUCACAUGGAUCAAUCUAAUUUACUCAAAUCUUCUUUGCUCAGAAAAUAUGAAUCUUGCAGUUGCAUGAUGAAUUUCACUUUUGUAUAAUUUUGAAAUUUAAUUGCCAGGCGUGAAGGGUUGUUUAUUGAGGAAAUUGCUAGGGACAUCAGAGGACUACUGAUAACAAACAGACUUAAAACAAGCCAAGUGCCCAGUUGGAAUGGAUUUUCUUGUGCAAUAGUUGAGUACUGAAUGCUUAGAUGUUGGAGAUUUGCUUGAUGUUCAAAAUAAAUGGAAUUUGGGGUUUGUGCAGUAUAGGUGAAACAAUAUACUUGCGAGAGCUAUCUGUAGCAAAUAUCAUCGUUGCUUUGGUGGUCAAUGUUUCCUUCAAAAGGUGAGGAGUAAAAAAGAAAAGUAUGGUUGCUCUGCAAGAACAACUUCUUCGAGGUGUUUUGAAACGGCUGGAGACAUUAAUGUGAGCGGUGUUGCCGAAGGAACCAAAGAGAGAGAGAAAAGAUUUGGAAGCAUGAAGGUGCUUGUCGUCGUUGAUGGCAUAGAUGAUGCUGACCAGUUAGAUGAAUUGGCGAUAAAACAGGAAUCGACUAUGUUUGUUAAGAUUCCAGCCACCCAAAUCUGCAGAAGCCUUAAGAUCCUUUCUCCACUGCUCGACCUCAUUUGGAUCUUCAUCCCUUUCAUGCUUCCAAAAUGCAUUUCCAAAAAAUACCACUAUUUCCUCACUUGAGAAGGGUCGACGUCGUACAAUAUUGGAUAGACUACUUUCCCCUCUUGAUCUUCUUGGCACCUCAUGAUCUUGGCUAGCCUCUUUGAGAAGACAGACAAAGUAUUCCUCGACCCUUUGAUUUCUUGGUCAAGUUCACUCUGUGUGUUUUCCCCUCUUCUGAGCUGGUAGUCAAUGAGCUUGUGGAUUCCAGCAUUGUAUAAUGCAAUGGAGAGUGGUCUGCGAAGGUAGUGUGUGUGUCGUCGCUCUAAAGCUCAGGAACACCUCGUACUUCCAGUGGUUUGAGUGGGCACAGGGAAGACGAAGAGGCUGCGACAUCGGUUACAUGGGCGGAGCUGAUGGUAUCCAUCGAUAAUUUGUACUAGUGUUGGGAGAAUAGAGGAGUGCAGCAGGCUAUGCGGCUUGGCUUUCAGAUAGCCAAAGUCAAGUCAAACUUCAUCUUCUAAGUAUUAUAGAGAAACAAAAUGCGUGGAUUUAUAUGAAUAUGCACGCGUAUGGCAUUGCAUAUAUUUAUUACAAACAUAUGGUAACACUUAAUUUUUUAUGUGUGAAGUAAAAUAUAUGAAUUUCUUACAUUGCCUUGUUUGUUUGUUUAUACAUAUUGUGAAAUUUUUAUGGACUUAGUACUAUCAGUAUUUGUCAUUAUCUGCUAGACAACACAUGAUUAUGCGUGUCAAUCAACGCUUAGGUUAGACUGCAUAAUAUGAAUUUGACCAUAUCAUGAACUCAUAAAGGAGUGAGAAUGAGGAUCAACUAGCCCGCUUAGUUUAUUUGAUUCAUUAUAUUCAUGGAUUGGAUCACGAUCGAAUGUUAAGAUGAUACCCAUGCUUUUUCUGAUUCUACACAAGUUAGUAAUUCAAACGACUUCAAAAGGAGUAUUUUAGUAAAUACGGGAAAAUCAAGAAUCAACAUGACGUAUACGUGGCUCCCCAUAUCGAAGAAAAAAGGGACAUUGCACGUACUUAUAAGUUAUUAAACUCACAAGCAACUGAACAAUCAGAGCCAGAUGUCAAUAACGAGUAAUGGGAUUGUAAUGCUUUCAAUAUUCAAAUCAAUUAACAAGCUCAUAAGAGGAGUUUAGGUUUAGGGUCCCUCAUCAGAUGAGUGAUGGCUGGUUUAGCUCUGUCUGCAACGUCAAUAGUGUCAUCAUCAGUGCAUGUCUUCAUCAGGCAGUAUUCAUGGUAUAGUUUGAUAUCGUCACCAGACUAAUAUGGCUGGUUUAGCUCUGUCUGCGACGUCAUUAGUUUCGAUUUCUCGCGGUCAAGUUCUGUCUUUAUAUUCACACCACCCCCCCCCCCAACUCCCUUUCUGAGCUGGUAGUCUAUAAACAUGUUGAUUCCGGCAUUGCGAAAUGCAAUAUCGAGGUGGUCUAGUGCGUGCGUCGUCACCUCUAAAGCUUAGGAACACACUUCGUACUUCCAGCAGUUUGGGCACCACAAGGAAGACGAAGAGGCCGCUGCGGCAGCUAGGCGGAGUUGCUGGUAUCCAUGCAUGCAGCCUGAAGAAGUGCAGAUUGGCCUUCAAAUAAUCAAAGUCUUUUACCAAGAUUUCCCAGUGCGGGCGGCAUUUUAAAAUUUUUAACCCCAAUAAUUUACGAAUUUAAAUCGUUUAGUUACAGGCAGGGGCGGAUCCACAGUGGGGUCGUCGGGGUCGCACGACCCCUUGGAAAGCAUGGAAACAACCUUGAAGCUCCCAUACGCGACCUCUUGGAGCUGGGGUCGUCGGGGUCGGAGUCACACGCCAAGUGUUCGACAAAAAAUCCUGAACGAAGCUCGGCACUGCAGGAAGAGGAAGAAGAAGAAGCAAGCUAUUACUAUGCCAUACGGAUAUGCUUGAGUUUGCAUCCAUUGAUGAAUUCUGCAAAUACCACAUUUUGAUCCGUCUUUUGUUUCCCUAAGCCGGAUGUUGGAUGCUAUGGCGCUUCUCAUUCCUCACCUUAAAUGCAAUUGUGUGCAGGUGAUGAAGAGACCUGGUUGUAAUUAUAAGACCGCUCGAGUUUGAGGAGGUGAAUCCUCAAGGAAAAGUAGAGGAUCACAAACAGAGUGGAAAGAAACAGAAACAGAAAAAGAGGAAUAAGAGUAACAAGAGUAAAAGCGGUAGUGACAGAAUUGUGACAAAGGUGAAGACUAAGCUCAAGAGUUGAUUAAUACAAAACUGUUUUCGGGUUUUUUUUUUCUUUCCAGUUCCAUUCUUUCCAUGGCGUAAGCGUCAUCAAUUUUCUACGUUUUGGAAGAUGAAAGAGUUAGAAGAGAAGACAGAUCGAGCGGGGAUGCUUAAUCUAUGCGUGCUGGUAGAAAUUCAAUUGCCCCAUAAUUUUUUGUAUCUUUUAAUUCUUUUCUCUUCUCCUGUGUUGCAUGCAGUAGUUUGGUAGAAACUGUAUCAGCUAUGUAUUAAAGCCAUUUAACUUAUCCGACACUGCACCAAACGCCCGACUAAUGGAGUUAGUACUAUCCGACGACUAUUUAUCUUAUCCGACUGAAAUAGUCAGUACAGUCCGAAGUACCAAACGAGGUUAAAAAAAAAUUUUCGCGCUGCGCGCGCUAUGACCCCCACAAACAUUAUUUCCUGGAUCCGCCACUGGUUACAGGUAUGAAGUUCUGUAAUUAAUCUUUUAAAAUUCGUAGACCUUUCGAGGUCAUAAUAAUAAUGAUUUCAAAUAGAGCUCGGUCUCACAAACGGAUAGGCGAAAACCGUUCGUGAAACGGAAUUAUAAUGAGAGAGAUGUAAACGAUUAAAGUCAAGAACAUUUAAGCAAUUUUGAUCUUCAAAUCCCGAAGCCUCCAGCUUUGCUGGAGCAGGAAGGGUGUGGUGAUGAAGCCACGUGUGUGGCUGUGAUGGAAAGAAGAGAAGAGAAAGGCGAGAAAAAGGUGAAGGGGGACUGCCCAAUCAGAAAGAAGAGCAGGAGAGACAUGAGAGAAGUGUGAGGCACUCAACCCGGACCCCCGUUCCUUGACCCGUUCACACCGCGACCCGAACCGCAUCCCGGCUUUUAAAUACAGCGCUUUCUUUUCAAAAAAAAAAAAACCUCAUUGCACGAUAUACUUGACAACGCAUGAUAUACAGUAACUGGUAAUUCAAAUAAACUCCAACUUCCUUAGUAGUAACCAAAUUCGAUCUGGGUCUUACGAUGACCAAUCUCAAACAUCAAUUGUAAUGCUUUCAAUAUUCAAAUCAAUUAACAAACUCAUAAGAUGAGUUUAGGUUUAGGGUACCUCAUCGUUAGAUGAGUGAUGGCUGGCUUAACUCUGUCUGCAACGUCAACAAUCUCUUUCAUCAGUUUAUGUCUGAUAGUCCUCGUCAUCAGUAUCGUCGCCAUACUCAUACGGUACACGCUCAUAGUCCACGCCCUUAAACUCUAUAUAUGAAAGAUCAUAUUCUAGAAUUCCAUCAGACAAAUGACAUUCUGUGAUACCCACUCCAGUUUUCUUCACCUUAAUUUGAUGAUCAUCCUCUGCUCCUUUAAUUAAAGUCUGCUGUUACAAAAACCACGUUGCCGCCUUCGGAUUCAGCUUCUUGUUUGAAAGAUGUCCCAGCCAAAGAUGACAUUCAUGGGAGGCAGUUACGGUGGCCACAAUUGGCGAAAUGACAAAAUGAGUUCGCUGGGAAUGAUUAACAACAUGAAUGCAUAGAGACCCAGUACAGCCGGAGUGGUCCCCGGAAUAAACUAUGCACACAGCCAACCCUCUUAUAUUAACAGCAGUCCUUUGCCGCACUUCAAAAUUUGAUAGUUUCAUCCUCAUUCACGACAUAGGUGAACCAGUAAGGAAUAUCCAUUCCAGAGAGAAAAAGCCCGCCUAAUGCUCUCGUAAUCCAGCCCUUGGACGAGUACAACACCAUUGAGGCUGGUGGAGGAGAUGCUUGCAGAGAUCAGCAGUGGACGAUGAUCUCGACCAAACUCUUGAGCUUUGGCAACAGCCUGAAAAGUUCUCAUUAUUCUCAAUCCAAUUGCCGUUUCCUUGGGGCAUCUCCUCGAUUUUCUUACUUUCUCCUCCAUUUGGAAGCUUCGGGUCAUUAAUUUUUUCAGCUUCAUCACAAGAUGCUCCGAUUUGGACCCUGUAAGGAAUGAAAUUGAAUUUCCUGUUCAGCUAUUUAAAGUUUCGUCAAUAGCAAUUGAGUAAGAAACAAGUAUGUUCAAGCUUAAUAAACAAAUCACAACAACAUUACAAAUCAGAAACAUAUACAGGGUAAUGCAGUUAUAUCCAAGUCUUUUGUGCUUUCUCCACAAAAGUUCCUCCAUGUUAAUGUAACUCUAUAUCAAUAAAUCUAUCAUACAAGACUAUAAAUAAUCAGCAAUUGAAAAAUAUGACAACACAAGCUUCCAUCCGGUGAAUAUUUCAUCCAAAACAGUAAGCCAAACCAAAAAUGUACAAACCUCCAAAGUCGUUCUAUAAUCUCUCCCUUCCCAAUAUGCUGAUCAAAUUCUGGCACAUCAUCAGGAGUGACGUAGCCAUACCUUCAAUUAAUAAUACAUAAUAUUCAAACUCCUUCAUCAAUCGCAAUACGAAAAAAUUUUAAAUUGUUAUGAUCCGGAUAUUACCAAUAGCUUGUUGUACUUCCAUCUGAACCUGGGAUGUAGAUAAUCAAGUUUCCAUUGUGGCCUCCAGUGUGAUAGCAAGCAGUAACAAAUACCUGAUUCGUCCAUCCUCGCAGCUCAGCCUCCUCUUCGAACUUAUCAAUGAGAACACGCGCACUAUCACGAUUCCAUUCUUCUCGACUACAAUGUGCACAUACAAAUACAUGGGAGCCAGUCAACGGAUCUUGCACUCGGGAAGCCCAUGGUUUGUGAUUCACAAGGACAUCAUCAACAAAGUUGUCCACAUCCGACUCUUUCAAGCCCCUUUGAUCAACAAACAAAAACAACCUCAGAAUCACAAAAAGGGAUUUACAAGCAAGGAAUUAGUCAUAAACUGAGCCAUUAAAUUCAAUUUCUAGAACUAAUUUCAGAAGCUAACACGUAUCUAAUUAUCUAUUUAGUUCAGUAAAUUCAUGUUGGUUAUGGAAUGGGCGCUCGAUUAUGAAUUAAUUACGGUUUGCCAGUGUGUGUGUUAGUGUGGGCCGUGCUUAACAGCAGGGUUGGGCUGCUGCAUUUGGGCCUCCGCUGACGUUGGUUGCAGAGAGAGAGAGAUGGGGAAAAGUAUGGGGGUGGGUUAUGUCCACUGCUGUGUAUUGCCUAAUUAGUUAUUUACAUUUGCUUAUUUAUCUCUGUAAAGCUUUCAUGCUUGGAUUUUAAAUGUAUGGUUCAAUUAGAAACCUUUAUAAUGUUGAUGUUAUAGAACAUUCAACAGAUAUACAAGACUAUUGUGAAACAAUUCGUAUAACCUCAAAUUACAAUGCUUAAAAACUAAAAAGUACCGAGUUAUGAAUAAGACUAUUGUGGUAUUUUGUUACCUUAAAAGCAGCUGCAUACGCUGCUUGUAAAUUCGACAUGCCUUCGAAAGGUAGCUUGUUAUGGAUGAGUUCCCACAAUACAAUUACAAAACUGUAAGCAUCCACCUUAUGAUUGUAAUGCUUCUUUUCUCCGUGUCGUAAUGUAACUCUGCUGUAAAGCUGCCACCAAAUACAAAGGUGGAAAAUUAAUUUGCUGAUAUCAAACACACUCACAAGACAUAUGAGAAAACAAAUUUUCAACCUUUGAAUGACCAAUUUAAAGUACCGUAUCUCAGGAGACAUCCACCGGUAUGUCCCAGUUUCAGCGGUCAUCAUCUCUGUCAAUGACUCUUCUCUUGCUAAGCCAAAGUCCGCAAGUUUGACUGUUUUUUGGUCGGCAGUCAAGAUCAAAUUCUCUGGGAAAAGGACAGGACAAAAGUGUAAGAUUGUGGAACAAACCCUGUUUUCGGAAAUAAGCUUCGUCCUAACAAUAGUUCCAUCCCCAAGCCAAAGAAAUGACAGUUAUGUGAACUAAAGCAAUUCGUUUUGUGUUCCUGAAGUUAAUUCUGCUACGGAAGUCUUCAAUCAUGCUGAAUACUAAACUAUCAGCUACCUAAUGCUAAAUAACAAUCCUUCGGAUUUCCAUAUUUGAGACAUGCUCACAGAUAGACUUCACUUUAAUCCUUCUUGGUUCUUCUAUGUAGGCGUUCCCCCCUUGACUCUCCUAACGUCGAGCUAAGUGACUUCGUUCAAAGGUCAACCUUUCUGUUAAACAAAGAACUAAACAACGUACCAGGUUUCAGGUCACGGUGAAUGAUACCGUGGGAGUGUAAGCACUCCAUAGCACGAGCAAUGUCAAGCGCAAACCCAACUGCCACGCAUGUGUCCAAGCACCUUGGCCGCAUACUGAACAAGUAUUUGCGCAAAGUUCCACCUAGAAGAAGCUCAGUCACUAUGACCAUGACAGGUUCUUUGCAGGCACCAAUGAACUGGUAAUACAAAGUUAAAAAUCCCCCAUCAGAUAUCACAAAUACGCCUAUUUAGUAAUCACAAAUACUUAUCGAAAACUAGACAACCUUCACUAAGUUCUUGUGUUGCACUUUCGACAUCAUUGCCACUUCCCUCGCAAACCGCGCUUCUCUCUUGGCAAUCUGCUCUGGGGUUUCUCCUCUAUGAACAAUUUUUACAGCAACAUUUUGAUUCUUAUAUCUAGAACAAACAAAACACAACAAACAAACAGAUUAAGAACACAACAGAACAGAACAUCAUCGUUGUAACUCGACACGAAAAACACAUAUUCGGCAUCAUAAACACCAGAAUUGCACAACACCAAAGCAAGUUUUGAUCUUUGAUUAGUUCUGCUAAAACCCAACUCAAUCUUGCAUUUAUGUUUAACAAGAUCUAAGAGAUAAUAAUAAAUUGCUAAACUUGAGAGACCAGAAAUUCAGAAUCUAAGACAAAACAAACACAGAGGUUGUACUGAGGUUGACUUACUUUCCUUCGUACACUUUGGCAUGCGCGCCUUCCCCAAUCCUCGGACCAACAAAAAGAUGCUUUGGAUCGAUUAGCCACUUGGCAUCCAAAUCGAAAUCCGCAACUGAAUAAACCCCAUUACCAGAUCCCAUAAUUUUCCCUCCCUAAACUUCUAAAACAAGAGCAACAUACACUGACUAAUUAACCAAAACAAAGGGUACCCUUUAUUUGUAGGACUACAUUUGAAGUAAAGAUGGAAGCUUUGGUCUGGAUAAAAAUGGAAAAAAAGUAAUAAAGUAAGGAGACUUAUGUAUGAUUGAAGAGGGAGAAAGAUGAAGACUUUCUAUUUCUAUAAUAAAAGGACAUGCUUGGUACGGUAGGUUUCGGAAAACAGACCCAUCCCCAGGAUCACGGUUGAGGAUCCUACAAAUCUAGGAUGUGCCUUUUGUUUGGGGGGCAAAGAAUAAAAAUCCAGAGGCACCCAACAACAACCCUACAAUAGAAAAAUGGUCACUGAUGAGAGCUCUAUCAGUGGGAGUGGAUUAGAUUUAUUAUUGAGAAUUGGGGAGAGAGAGGAAAUGAGUAGAAGAGCAAGCAGAUAGAGUUGAGCAAGGCAGAGGAGGAUGAAACUGAGAGAAUCCAGGUGGAGAUUUGGGAACUUGGUGGCGGCGACGGUGGCGGUGGGUGGGUGGGAAGUGAGUUCAGUUGAGAUUAAUUUAUUGGCCUUCUCCGCGUCUGGAAUUUUACUGUCUUGUCUUCUGGAUCCAGAGAUAAACUAGUCUCUGUCAGACAAUAGUGUGUUUCCUUUGUUUUUCCCUUAUUUAUAGUUGCAACCGGAAAAAUUUAUAAAAAGAGAAAAUGUAAAGUGAUUUCUAAAUUUUUUUUUUUUACAAUCUUCAAAUUUUGCAUCGCUAAAUGAGACUGUCCAUAUAUCUUUAACUACUAGUUUUGAAUAAAUAUUUCUUUACUAAAAGUUUACAAGGUAACUGAUAUGAUUACUUGGUUAUAAGACUUUUGAAAAAAAAAAUUAAAAGCAUUUUGUGUGUAAUUUACUAUAUUCUACAUAACUUUUCAUUUAUUAAUUUAUUUAAUUUAAUUUGAUAUUUUCACUCUCUUUUGAUUGAUUAAGAGAAUUUCGUUGAUACGUAGUUUAGAUUAUAAUAAAAUAAAAUAAUUACUAAAUAAAUAGUUUUUUUUUUAUUAAUAUGAUAUUAUGUACAUUAAGUGGUGGAGGGAGUGAGUUAAGCUUCACAAUGAGACAGUCAUAAUAAUUUGGUUCGAAUUCACUUUGAUGAAAAUCGAACUUAAAACCUCUCAUUUAUGAGAGAUUUUUCAAUUUACUAGAAACACGUUGUAAUAAUACAAUUGGUUGGAAAUUUAAAAAAAAAAUUCAAACAAUAUUAUUAUGAUACUUGGUGUAUUGAGUCAUGUUCAAUGUUCACAACGCAAUGAAAAUUUUAUCCUCACUUAUAAGUCAAAUGAAUACUAUUAAAUCGUAAUACUAAGUGACUACUAAAUAACUGAUUUAUAUGUUUGAUUUGUAAAAGUUUAGGGGAAAGGAAAGCUAAUCUAUCGGCCAGGACAUACCACAAGUCUCAUCAAGAUUUGAGAACUUACACAAGGGGUCUUAGUCCUUUUUUGGUUUUUACAGAUCGUGCACCAAAAAUGGUUGCUUACAAUAGAACUCAAACAUAGACCUUACAACUCAACUAAUCCUCGUUGAAAAAUACACAUAUAUUUGAGCAAUCUUUAAAUUAGUUUAAACUAAAUUAUUGAAACUUCAUGCAAUAAACACAUAUUUUUAAUCAAAUUAGCUACAUACGAUAAUAGAAUGUCUGUUUAUAUCAUCUAUUCUAAGAUUUGAUAAAGAGAAUAUUUUCAAGAUGUGCAUAAACAUAAAACACAUACACACUACUCUAACUAAAUUAAUCAAGAACAAUUCUGCAAGAAAAUGGAAGAUAUGUGACUUUUAUUUAUUUCCUAGAUUCUAUGAAGGAUAAGAAAAUGUUGUCGGAGAAAAAGAAAGGUAAACGGGCGAUAAGAAGACGAAUACAACACAAUGAUACAAUUAGGGCUUCCAGAAAGUGCCCUUUUGGUAGCCACUAAGGCCAAAAACCCAUCACAAUAAUUAAAUUACCAAUGUCGUAUUAGAAAGUAAAACACAUUACUCUGGCGUUUCUGAAACUUGAAUGUGACAAAUAUGACAUAAACAAUAAGGAUGUGUGACCUAGAUAUCAGGUUGGAGGAAAAUGGACUGUAGUACAGAGGUUAAGGCAAAUAGAUAUGUGAGAGGUAUUGCACGAGUUCGAUGUCAAAUUAUUAUGACAUAUUUUAUCGCGAUUCUUAUGAGAGAUUUUUUAGUGUGCCAAAAACACAAUUCGAUACAUCAAGUGUCACACAAGUAACUGGAUACUUGAAAAAAAUUAAAUUAAACCACUUGUAUGAUGAUACUUGAUGUAGCGGGAUGUAUUCUGGCACACUGAAAAGUUGUCUGUCUCCUAGUUCAGAUCUACUGCUCUUUAUUUUAAACACAUCUUUGGAUUCAUUAAAAGACAAAAAGCUAAUAUUUUGGUCCCAGUAUGCAAGAACCAUACCAUAUACUUAGAAAUAUCAAGCAUCCCGCUGGAAAUCAACUGUAAGGCAAAUAUUAUCAACGAAACAAAAGAAGGAAUGGCACAAUUCAUUUGGUGAUUAGGCGAACUAACAACAAUAAAAAAUAUAAAAAAAAAACGAGUCAAUAAAAUUAGAAUCCCCCAUUCUUUUUUUACAUAAUUUUUAUUAAACAUUUGUUUCUUUUAAAAAUUUGAUUAAGACGCUUUAAAUAGUGUCCACCUAAUCAUUUUUAAAUUUAUUUUAUUUACAUGUCAUUAGUUUAUUUAUUUUUUAAAUAAAAAUGCUAUAUGUUGAUUUCCCACUUUAUCCUUUUAGGGCACGUUUGUUACACCUCCUUAGGAGGGAUUGGCUUGGACUACCUUAAGUAGGACUAUAAUCCUACGUUUGGUAGGUUGUGGGACUAAAAUAAAUGGGACUCGCCUCGACUACGAGUCCCUGCGAGGCAUGCUAGCCGGUCUUCACGAGUCCCCCCAAAAACCAAGGGAUUAGCUAGGAACUUCGCUUCGUUCUGCUUGAUUCACCUCAUCGACCUCGAUUUCGACGGCAUCUCUCUUCGUCCUGCUUGAUUCACCUCCCUGUGAGCCCUUUUGUGAGUUAUGGGCUUCUUCCUCCUCCCUGCGAGGGUUCUUCCACCACCAACAUCAACCACAAAAAAUCCCCCAUCUCAUAUUUCCCACCACCAACCAUCACCCACAAAAAAUCCCCAAUCCCAUAUUUCCUGCCGCCACCAUCGCCAUGGACGAGCCAUCCGAGAAGCUCCAGAACCUCAAGUCGCUGAAUUCUCUGCCAGCAGCAGGUGGAGUCGCUGGUGCAGGGCAAGGCAGAUUUGGAGUCCGAGGAAGAUUUGGGUGGACAAAAAAAAGAGAGAGGAAGAUGAAAUGGUAGAGAAAGAGGAGAGGGGAGGGAUGCAAUGGGCGGAAAAAAAAAGAGAGAGGAAGAUGUUCUAGAAAGGAGAUGAAAUGGCAGAGAAAAGGAGAGGGGAGGGCUGGAGAACAAAACAACGAGAGAAGAUAAAAGGAAAAUGAUAAUUUAAUAAUAAAAUAUUAGUAUAUAUAGAUUAAAUUAAUGAUAAAAUAUUGUAAAUAUAAUUUAAUAAUAAAAUAUAUUAGUCCUGCUUUUUAAUCCGACACUGCACCAAACGCUUCACUAAAUCAGUCCAGCUUAGUCUAGUCUAAGCCAGUCCAGUUUAGUCCCUGAAGCUAAUCCAGUCCAAGAUAGUCCGGUGCAACAAACACACCCUUAGUUGAUAAGGGGAAUUUUUUUGGCUUGUCAGGAUUUAUACCUUUUUUUUAGGGAUAUUAUUAAUGGCUAUUAACUAAAUCACCAAUAUUAUCUAUAAACUUUGAAUUUUGAAUUUUUUUUUUGGCGUCAGGGUUUAUACCCCUUUUGUUGGCUCAUUCACAUCAUAAAAUUAUUAUUGAAAUAUAAAAGUUGUUGAUAAAAAGGAUGAGUUUGGAGUCUUUGAACUGAGAUUAGUGCUAUUCGGCGGCAUGAGAUAUAUAAAUGUGAAUUUUAAAUUGAAAUCAAUUUGAAACAUAUUCAGGUCAAUUUGAAACAUACCAAUAACAACUUGAAACGUACCGAUGCUAAAUUGAAACGUACCCAUUUCACCGUGAAACGUUCAAUAACAACUUGAAACGUACCGAUGCUAAAUUGAAAUGUACCCAUUUCACCUUGAAACACGUUCAAUAACAACUUGAAACGUACCAAUGCUAAAUUGAAACGUACUCAUAUAUAAAUGUGAAUUUAAAAUUGAAAUCAAUUUGAAAUGUAUUCAGGUCAAUUUGAAACGUACCAAUAACAACUUGAAACGUACCAAUGCUAAAUUAAAAACCUUGAAACAUUCAAUAACAACUUGAAACGUACCGAUACUAAAUUGAAACGUACCCAUUCUAACUUAAAACAUACCAAUAUGUCGGUUUGAAACGUACCAAAUUAUCCUUUAAAAGAAAAUGUACCACUAAAUUCUAUUUCCCAAAUGUACCAUGUUACGUGAAAAAGAUGUGAAAGAUGGGUAAAAAGUUUGCAAGAACAAAAAAGCAUACCCUUUGAUAUAGAUACUCAGAUUAAGAGGUGUACAUAAAAUGAAAUAUGAAGGAAAUGAAUAUGACCAACAAGGGAGAACGAAAGAGGGUUUGAUUGGCCAAUCGAGGAAAGCAGUGACAUGAAAAGAAAAAAAUUGCUAAUGGUUGUAGAAGAAGAUAGAACUUUAGUUACUUGUAUGGUAUGGAGUUAGGAGUAAAAUGCAUGUUAGAAAAAUAAUUAGAUCUGGUUUGAUGUGUUAAGAUUUUUAAAACUAAUCUACUACAUUUUAGGAGAUUUGGGAUAUUAACAUGAUAAUUAUUAAUUAAUUAAGGGUACAUCAUAAUGGCAAAUCGUUUAAUAUGGCAUUAAAAGGAUGUUACUUAUAAAAUAAGUGGCACCUUAAUUGUAGGAAGAAUGUUUAAUUAAAUUAUUAAAAGAAGCAGAUGUUUAAUCUAAGAAAUUAAAAAAAGAGGCGCCUAUAUCAAAACUACCCUAAUUUAAACACUGAACUAAAUGAUCUUUACUAAGAUGUGGGUUGUUGAAGAGUUGGAUCAUCACUUUCCUUAACUAUACCAAACAACAUACUCCAAAUGGCUCUUGCAAUCGUUUUUUUACCUAUACCGCCCAGACUACAAAUUCCAAUUAUUUGAACAUCAGGUGAACCUCCAACAUCCAAGUAUUUAGUACUGAAUUAUUGCACUCGAAAAGCUAUUCCAACUGAGUGUUUGGCUUCUUUUAAGUCUGUAGUUUUCAGUAGUCUCCUAAUGUCUCCAACAAUUUUCUCGAUAAACAAUCCUUCAUGUCUCGCAGUUAAAAUUCAAAAUUAUACAAAAGUAAGAUUCAUCAUGCAACUGCAAGAUUUAUAUCAACUAAAUGCCUCAUUCAUCAUGAUUAGAUAUUUUGGUAGCGAAAACGUUUUGAAUAAAUUAGAUUUGAUCAAGAUGACUAGUUAAGUUCAAUUCAGCCGUGUUUCCGAAAUGCAUUGUAACUGUAGUAGUUAAGCUCAGUUAGAUUGCUCAUGAACUAUAAGAAGACGUUUGUUUGCCCUCACUAAACCGUAUUAUAGCUUUUAGUCAUACAAUUAGAAAUCCAUUAGAAUUAGUAAAUGGGUUUGACAUACGGAGGAUUCGUCCUUCACGCAUUACCAAAGCUCCAAAGUUUUUUCCUAUAAACGUAUAAAAUCAAAGUCUGAUAAUAAUCUCCUUAUUUUUGGUGAAUUAGUGAGUUUUAGAAGCUAAUACAAGACGUUGGAAUUAAAUUUAGAGGAAGAAUUAAAAUACCUGUCCGCUGUGGUUUUAAGAUUCCGGCCACACAAAUCUGCAAAAGCCUUAAGAUCCUUCUCCACUGCUCGACCUCAUCUGGAUCUUCAUCCCUUUCAUGCUAACAAAGUUAAAAAGAAUAAGGUAAAGUGAGACACCUAAUAAAAGUUUAGGUGGUAAAGUGAACAAAUCAUCAUAUAGAGUAAAGUAGAAUUUUGUGUACAUAAGUGUCAUAUAAAUGCCUUUAAUAUUUUGUACAUAUAGAAAAUAAAUAGGGUUAAUUACAUCGAUGUUCCCUGAAUUUGUCAUUUAUCUUCAUUUUCAUUCUUAAACAUUUUAUUUGUUUUAUGUGAUCUACAAACUGACUUUUUUUAUAUAUCCUUUUCGUCGACUUCAUCUAUUUUUCUGUUAAGUAGAGAUGAUAAAUUUAAAAUUCAUCCCACAACCUGAAAAAUGGGAAAAAGGAGGUGGGUGUACAAAAUUCUUGCUAUGCCCUCUAUAUUUAACAGAAAAAUAAAUUUUUUUGGGUCAAAAAAUAGAUUUUGUUAGAUUAGAUACCGACAGAGUUUGAACUCACACCGUCAUACAAGAGCUUAACUCCUUUCCACCACUAUAGUAAAAGGCCACUUGCAACAGAAACAUAAAUUGAGUUAACGGAUAUAAUUGAAUUACCACAUGAUAGAGUUUGAGAACCACACUAAGAAAAAAAUAAGAAAAACUAUUCUAGAACGAAAGUAAAAUUCAUGACAACAAUGUUGUAUAUCUGAAAAAUAGUUCAAGCAGAUUAAGAUGUUAGCACAGAGUCAUUUAUCUAGUUUAUUGAACAAACAACGAGGACAUCAAUGCCGUUUUUUCUGUUUCGAAAUUCAUAAACAACAAAAUUAAGAUUUCUUUCACAAAAAUUAUCAUAAAUUUUGACACAAUUGACGUUUGAAUUAUAAUCCAGCAGGCAAAUCGAAAAUAAUCAUAGGAGCUUAGAACACACCACAUCAACAUUUAGCAAGCAGUCUCAUAAGAGAUCCCAAUCAAGAUAAAACCAUUCAACAAUUUAUUACAUUUCAUUCAUUUAAGAGCAUGGUUCAAAGGAUUAUUUAAUUGACGUUAUCAUCUUUCUACAAAGAAAAAAUGAAAAAUAAAAUAGGGCGUUGACACCCGUGGCAAAACCCCGACAUGGAUUUAAGUACGUUUCAACCUGACCUUCUGUAAAAGCUAUAGGCCACAACCACUGUUGCCACUGCUCCAACCACGGCAGCAGCUGCGAGAACGUCACUUUGCUCCCAGUUCCCAAUCAAGCUUGACAGCUUCCGUAAGGCAUCCUUCCUGGCACACGACUUUGUGGUUUCUUUCGGCUUUUUAUCCUCACUUCCACCAUCCUCCUCCAAACUUACUUCUUUGCAGUAUGUAAAUCCAUCACUAUUAGCACCCUGGCAACAGCCUGAAAAGUUCUCAUUAUUCUCAGUUUGAUUGCCCUUUUCUUGGUGAAUCUGAUUGCCAUUUUCUUGUGGCUUAUCCUCGAUUUUCUUAUUUUCUUCUCCAUUUGGAAGUUCCAGGUCAUUAAUUUCUUCAACUUCAUCAGAAGAUGCUCCCAUUUGGCCCCUGUAAGGAAUGAAAUUGAAUUUCGUGUUCAACAAUUUAAAGAUUCAACUCUAAGUUUCGUCAAUAGCAAUUGAGUAAGAAUAGGUAUGAUCAAGCUUAAUAAACAAAUCACAACAACAAUACAAAUCAGAAACAUAUACAUGGUAAUACAAUUAUAUCUAGUUCUUUUAUGCUUUCUCCACAAAAGUUCCUCCAUGUUAAUGCAACGCUAUAUCAAUUAAUCUAUCAUACAAGACAAGACAUAAUCAGCAAUUGAAAAAUAUGACAACACAAGCCGUCCAUUGAAAUUUUCAUCCAAAGAUAGUAGGCAAAACCAAAAAUGUACAAACCUCCAAUGUCGUUCUAUAAUCUCUCCCUUCCCAAUAUGUUCAUCAAGCAAUUCCGGCACAUAACCAGGACUGACAAAUGGAUACCUGCAAUUAAUAAUACAUAAUAUUCAAACUCCUUCAUCGAUCCCAAUACGAUAAAUUUUAAAUUGUUAUGAUCCGGAUAUUACCAAUGGUAUGUCAUGCUUCCAUCUGGGUCGUAGGUCGUGAAUAUUCCAGCAUAGUUGUGGCCUUCAAGGUGAAAGCAAGCAGUAACAAAUACCUGAUUCGUCAAUCCUCGCAUCUCAAACUCCUCUUUCAACUUAUCAAUGCGAACACGUGCACUAUCACGAUUCCAUUCCUCUUGACUCAUAUGUGUGUAUACAAAUAUAAGGGCAAAUACAUGGGGGCUAGUCAAUGACUCUUGCACUCCCGAAGCCCAUGGUCUAUCAUUCACAAGGACAUCAUCAACAAAGCUAUCCACAUUUGACUCUUUCAAGCCCCUUUGAUCAACAAACAAAAACAACCCCAGAAUCAUAAAAAGGGAUUUACAUGAAACAAUAACCUAACACUCUUUAAUUCCUUGUAAGGCAAGGAAUUAGUCGUAAACUAAGUCAUUAAAUUCAAUUUCGAACUAAUUUCAAAAGCUAACACGUAUUUAAUUAUCUAUUUAGUUUAGUACAUUCAGCACAAUCUUGUAAUCAAAAGAGAAGUCGAAACAGAAAUUACUUUAUUCUAAACUAGGAAAAUAAAUUGCACUGCUCAUGUUGGUUAUUGAAUGGGCCCUCGAUUAUGAAUUAAUUACUGUUUGCCAUUGUGUGUGUUAGUGUGGGCCGUGCUUAACAGCUGGGUUGGGCUACUGCAUUUGGGCCCAGGGUGCAGCUUUCACAAGUUUUGGGCUGGGUUUCACCGAAAGAUCAAAUGACUCUUUUGCCCCCUUCACUUUUAAUCCAACGGCCACCAUUUGGGGCGUUUUUGUUCUGCAAUUCGGUGUGGUGCUCGUCAAGGAGAUCGCGCAGAGAGGCAGAGGGUGACAUCGAGUUUAGGGUUUGCACAGUGAGAGACAAGAGGGUUGAUGGGAAGGGUUGGGGGUGGACACAGGGUUGAUGGGAAGGGUAGGAGCUAGAAAGGGGGUUGGGGGUGAGGGUGGGUUCUGUCCACUGACGUUGGUUGCAGAGAGAGAGAAAGAUGGGGAAAAGUAUGGGGGUGGGGUUGAGGGGAACGGGUACAGAGAGAAAGAGUGAGGGAGAAAGAGUGAGUCUUUAUUGAGUUUCAGAACUUUCCUCUCUGAUUUUCUGAUUAUUUUCUCAAUUGGGCUUAUUUCUUACCAAUUUCCUUUGAGAUUUAUGCAUGUGUGUUUGUUAAUGCUCUGUUUCUUCGUUUUUACAGGAAAUGGAAUUGCUCUCUUCCUCUUCUUGGCAACCAUAUAUGCCCUCUCUCUCUCAAAUUCUUUCAUCAGGGGUCUAAGGUGAUGCCUUUUUGCCUAAAAUAUCAUUUUGUUAAAUGACUUAUGAUAUUUUGAUUCUCUGCACAUUCUGCGUAAUUCAAAAAGCAAAAUCUCUCUCUCUCUCUCUCUCUCUCUUUUCCUUUUUGUGGCUAAAGAUCAUGUCUUUUGUGUCAUAAAUUUUUUUUUGUUACAUGGGGUUCUGUAUAUCUUUUGGAUAAUCAAAAAGCUUGAAUGUUAACUAGGUUUCUUUAAAUUUCUUUGAAUUCUACCUUGUGAUUUUGGUUUAGAAAUGUGUAGAAUUACAUUUAUGAGGAUCAUAAGGAAGAGAAGCACAGAUCAGUUCUUAGGCAUUCCAUACGUAAUGACUAUGCUUAACUGCCUACUCCCACUUGGAAUGCUGCUUUGCUUCUCUCUCUCUCUCUCUCUCUCCCCCCCCCCCCCCCCUUUCUCUGCUGUGUAUUGCCUAAUUAGUUAUUUACAUUUGUUUAUUUAUCUCUGUAAAGCUUUCAUGCUUGGAUUUUAAAUGUACGAUUCAAUUAGAAACCUUUAUAAUGUUGAUGUUAUAGAACAUUCAACAGAUAUAUAUUCAACAUUAGGUAGCUCUGGCAAAAUCAUAUAGAUUAAGAUUUGGUAAUAUAUGGAGGUGAGAGUGAAUCUGCCUUGCUUGCCAUGAUAUAGGCUUGCAAUGAUGGCUUUCUCUUUGUAGUACUACAUUCUACUCUUACAUGUUAACAUCAGAAAGCAGACUAAGAUAGAUCCAAACCCAAUCUUAUUAAUUAAAGUUAACAGAAAGAAAAUGAUUUAUGCAUGCCUUUGUUUGUUUGUCACUUGAUUUUGGUUUAGGUUGACCAUAGCUAAAACAUUCAAGACUUGCCUAACACCUAAUUUGACGAAGACCGUAUCCUUUUUAGCCUUUAGUUGUGUGUUUGCUAGCUAGAUGGGUGGUGGGUGAGUCUUGGAUGUUAUCUUGGAUGUCUUGAUUAUUUUGGUGGGCGAGUCUUGGAUGUUUUGGUUAUGUCUUAUUUGACUCUUAUAUCUUCCCUUUUUCUGAAUUUUCUUUAUUUCUCAUCCUUUAAACUUUGUAUUUUUUUUAAAUGUAUAUAUUUUUUGGUGAUGCAGAUAGAUGAACAUGUUCAAGGGAAAAUCAUGAACCACAGAUCACUGCAUCUGAAUAUCGUUUGAUUCCAAGAGGUCAGUGAUCAUAAACUUUUUCAUUUUGUAUUUUAAGAAUGAAUUUGGCAAGUUGUGUUUGAAUUUUUUAUAAGUAUCUGCUGAGGGUGGGUGGAUGAAGACAGAACAUGCUAAAUUUGGCCUUUGGUGUGCUUAAACUGGUAUAGGGGAUGGUUAGAACUUUGAGCCCGGAAUGCAGUAGGACUAAGAGAAAAUGCCCUACCCACCGGGGCAAUCCACCACUUGCAGAAUAGUUGUCCAAAUAACUCUGCUAAAAAUAUGAUCUAUACUUCCUGCACUUUGUUUUACUGUGAAGUGGAAAUAGUCUUUAGAGUGGCUUAUUUGUGAUAAUUGAUAAAUAGGUUUGUGUUUAAGACUUGAGAGUAGUGCGGUGUCUUUCUUGCUGGUUCUGCUCACACCACCUCUGAUUUUAGUGUAGAGUCUCAAAUAUGGGAUCUCUGAAUGUCCCCUGAAAUGGAAUCCAUCUCGAUUUUCGUCUAGUUUCAGAUAGGGAAAGUUAGGUCUGAAGCAUUUUUACAUAAAUAGUCAGUCAUAAUAUAACUAAAACUUACAUACUUUUUCAAUUUAAUUGUUGUUUUGCAUCAGGCAAGGUUUUUCAUCCAGCAGUUGAUAUCCGGAGUUGGUUGCUGUCAUUUGAUUGUAUGUAAAUCCUAUAAUUCGGAUUAAAAUUUACCUGUAUUUGAUCAUUAGUGGGAAAAUCAACACAUCGCCGUCGGAAAAUUCAGUUCCUUCGCGUCCUUCAAUUACUGUCAGCAACGUCUAUCAAAAACCAAGAAAAAAGUGAGUAAUGGGGUUAGCUCAACACCAGAACUCAGUAGCUCCGGGAAAUAAGAAACGGUAAGAAAAAGCAAUCAGAAACCCCGACGAAUUGAGCUGGAAAGGGGACCUUAAAGGUGAUGUCGUUCUUGCGAGCUUUGAGAGCAGAUGCGAAGAUUUUAGGGAGUGGAUCGGACUCAUAGCCUUUGAUGCGCCAUGGCCAGGCCUCUAGGGUCUUGUAGCAGAGGAAAACGUGGCGAUAGUAUGACAGUGUAUCGUCAUCAGUGUCUUCAUCAGACUCAUAUGACACAGUAGUGUCUUCAUCAGACUCAUAUGACAUAGUCUCAUAGUUGUCCCAAUUAGUACGAUCAUCGGACAAAUCCCAUUUUAGAAUAUCCACUCCAGUUUUGUUCACCUUAAUAAUUGUAUUAUCUAGUCCAUAAAAUUGUGCUUGUACAAGAACCAUGUCGCCGCCUUUCAAAUUGAGCUUCUUGUUUGAAAGAUUUCCCAACCAAAGAUAAUAUUCAUGGGAAGCAGUUACGGUGGCCUCAAUUGGCCAGAUACGAAAAUUAGUUUGCUGGGUACGAUUAACAACAUCAAUGGUUAGAAACCCACUAGAGUCGGAGUUGUCCGAAGAAUAAACGAUGCCCAAAGCCAACCCUCCUAUAUAAUCAAUACAUGGCGGCACUUCAAAUUUGACUGUUUCAUCCUCUCUCGCGACAUAGGCUAACCGCUUCGGAAUAUCAUUUCUAGAGAGAAAAUUCCACCAAAUGCAUUUUUCUACAGCAUGGGGUGCAAAGUUAGUAAAAGCAACAAUACAAAAAGCAGAGAGAGAGAGAGAGAGAGAGAGAGAGAGAGAGAGAGAGAGAGUACCAUACCGUUUGGAGGUUCUCCUUAAAAGUAUCAGUGAGACUGGUACACCCUUCCAUAUAAAUUGAAUCCAUGUAGUCCAAUGAGUUCUCCAAGUUUGGAAUAUCUUUGAGUUUGCGGCAGUCUUUCAGUUGCAAGUGUUUCAUUUUCGACAUCUCUGAAAAGUCGGACACUAUUUCCAGUGCAGUGCAGUAAUUCGCUUCCAAUACACAUAAACUGUUGGGCAAAUCUGGGAUUGCCUGAAGGUUUGUGCAAUGAUUUAGACAUAAACUCCAAAGCUGAGAAAGACCACUGAGAAUGGGUAGCCUAUUAAAACCAUUCCCACCUAGAUCUAAAAUUGUUAAAGAAGAUAGACUCCCAAUUAUUUCGAGAAGGGCACCAUCUGUUAUAUUGCAGUCGCUGAGAUGUAAUUCCUCAAUCAUCUUCAGUUGUGCUAAAAAAUGGUAACCCCCACACAAACCCUUACAGUCUCUGAUGGUCAAGUACCGGAGAUGUGGGAGUUUUGAAAAGUUUGGUAAUUCAGUCAGGUUACGGCAGUGUACAAGAACGAGAAACUUCAACUUCUUAGGCAACUGUUACUCAAAAAGAGAAAACAAUAAUAAAAAUCCAAAUAAAUAAAAGAGAUAAUACAUGAUGAUGACUGAUGUUGAUAUUUACAAGGACAUUGAUAUUUAGAUUGUACCAAGUCCGAAUCCUCCCAAACUCGUACGAUCUUGCUGGACCAUAAUUCCAUAUAAACUAGGUUUCGUUGAUCAAAAUCUGCUGGUAUGGCUUCAAGAGGAAAUCCAAUCCAAUACAAUAAUCUUAACUCCUUGGAAAGAUGUUUGUAGCUUCCAGUCAGCUUUACAUUUCCCAGCCAGAGAAUUCUCAGUCGCCACAUCUUCUUAAAUGCUUCUGUACUGAAGCUUUGCUCGUCAUCAGAAUGUUCUGGCAAAAAUAAUUCUAGUCCUUCAACUGCUUCUGUUCCCUGUUAGAGAUAAAAAAAAAAAAACAGAAAAGGAUAAUAUUCACAUGAAGCAAAGCCAUGAAUCGGAUGAAUGAACUACUAACAAGGUAGGGCAUACAACAUAAUUAUGUAUUUUCUCUUUCAAAUUACCCAGUGGAUGAAAGCCUUUUCUUUUCUUCUUUUUCUUCGAAUAUACUAGGUAUGUCAUACAUUAUAUAGAUGCAGGAUAUGCGUAUAUACUUCUCUUUCUUCAUAUGUACUUAACAUCUUUUUUAUUGCAAAAGUACUUACAGAUUCGUUCCAUAGCACACUUUUUGCAUCUUCCAUAUGCCACAAUCGACUACGUUUUCCCAGUUCCACAGGAGAUUCUGCCCGCACAAUUUCUCUUCCCAUAUCUCGAAUCAAAUCAUGCAUCCUCAAUGCUCCCCCUUUAUCAAUAUAUAAGAGACAUCGAUCACAAAGUGUGGUAAUUUCUGCUUCUACAGAAAAAUGACUACAACCAUCCAAUAUUGUCGCGACCACACUUAUAGACACUCCAAUAAAGAAAUUAGAUAUGUCAAGGAACACACCCUUCACAUGAUCGUCACGUAACCCAUCGUAGCUUAAUUUAAGCGUUUGAUGAAUUUUUCCAUCUGGAAUAUUUCUUAAUUUAUUCAAUGUACUUUUCCAUAUGCUUUUACUCUUUUUCGUAGCCAACAAACGGCCAACAACUUCAAGAGCUAGGGGCAAUCCUCCACAAUAAUCAACAACAUCUCUUGCGAGUUCAAUAUAUUCUUCAUCGGGACAAUCAUUUCCAAAGGCAUGCCAACUAAGAAGCUUAAGAGCUUCGUCAUCAGUCAUUCCUUGUGCUUUAUACCUUUUAUCCACCUUUUGUAUAUUCAGCACUUGUUCAUCUCUUGUCGUUAUAAUAAUCCUACUCCCUGGACCAAACGAGUCAUGUGCUAUUGCCAAUUUAUCUAAUUGGUCCGCAUCAUCUAUGUCAUCAACCACGACAAGUACCUUCAUGCUUCCAAGUCUUUUCUCUAUCUCCUUGGUUCCUUCGGCAACAUUGCUUACCUUAAUGUCAGGCCGUUUCAAAAUAUCUCGAAGAAGUUGUUCUUGCAGACUAACCAUAUUUUUCUUGUUACUCCUCACCUCUUCAAGGUAACAUUGACUGCUGAAACUAUGACCAUAUUUGCUACAAAUGGCUUUGGCAAGCGUUGUUUUACCUAUACCGCCUGUACCCCAAAUUCCAAUUAUUUGAACAUCAGGUGAACCUCCAAUGUCUAAGUAUUCAGUGCUGAAUUCUUGCAUGCGAAGAGCUAUUCCAACUGAGUGCUUGGCUUUUAAGUCUAUGGGUUUCAAUAUUCCCUUGAUGUCCCCAGUAAUUUUCUCGAUAAACACUCCUUCACGCCUACAAGUAGAAAUUCCAAAUUACGAGAGCCAUACUAAAUGCCUUAUUCAUCAUGCCUUUAUAUUUACAUAUUGAAACAAAUUGGAAUAAAUUGUGAUUUACUGAGCUCAAUUCAACCACGUAUUUAAUCUUCGAUUAUAAUGUGAAUAACCAAUUGGACUACUACACAAUUGUAGCUUUCAGUUAUAUAAUUAAGAAUCCAUUACAAUUGGUAUUUUAAUUUGAUAAAGUGUGGAACAUUUGUCCUUCACACACCUAUAAAAAACAAUCACUUCCUUAAUUUUGACGGAAAUUCUUAUGCAAAUGCUCUACCUUUUAUAAAAUUCAUAUACCAAUUCUAAUAAAUUUUUAUGUAGUGACCAAAAUUACAGUUCUAUCAUAGUUCACGGACCAACGAUCCAAUUUUUCUUAUAACAUAUAAAAUCAGGAUUCAAUGCCUUAAUUAUAAUAUCUUAAUUUUGGUUGAUUAGUGAAAUAUGGCGAUAUGAAAUUUGAAGUAAACAAAAAAUUAUACCCGUCGGCCGUGGUUUUGAGGUUCCAACCGGCCAAAUAUGCAGAAGCCUUAAGAUCCUCUCUCCACUGCUUGACCACAUUUGGAUCUUCAUCCUUUUCAUGCUUCUGAAAUGCUUCCCCAAAACUAUCUUUCUGUUUCCUGACUUGAGAAGGGUCAACGUCGUAGAAUAUUGGACAGACUAUUUUCCCCUCUUGAUUUUUUAGGCACCUCAUGAUCUUCGACAGCUCCCUCAGGCACCAUCGGGACUCGGCGUACCUCUUUGAGAAGACGAUGACGGCGAUUCUCGACCCUUCGAUUUCUUGGUCAAGUUCACUUUGUAUGUUUUCCCCCCUUCUGAGCUGUGUGUCUAUAAAUGUGUUAAUUCCGGCAUUGCGUAAUGCAAUGAAGAGGUGGUCUGUGAAGGUGUUGCGGGUGUCUUCACCUCUAAAGCUCAGGAACACCUCGUACUUCCAGCGGUUUGAGCUCCGCGAGGAAGACGAAGAGGCGGCAGCGGCGGCUCCAUGAUCGGAGCUGCUGGCAUCCAUUGCAGCCUGUAGAAGUGCAGCUUGACUUUCAAAUAACCAAAAUCAAUCUUUCCCAAGCUUCCCCAGUGUAGGCGACCCUUUUAAAUUUUUUGCAUAGGGCAAUGAUGUCACUGCCGUGUCGAUAACGCGUGAGUGGUAUUCCUCCCACAAUUUAAUUUGUAUAAAUGUUACCAUCAAAUUUCAAAAAAAUAAAUUGUAUAACUGCUUUACGAUGCAAUUUCCUUUCUUUUGUAGUUUUAAGGGUGGUGCGCAGGUAGGUUCAGCUGCGGCUGCUGAUGGACGUCACGACAGCGUUAUAAGAAUCUUCGGUGCAAAACAGGUCCACAAACACCACAUCUAUUAUCUCGACACCAUGUGCACAUACAUUACAUGGGAGCCAGUCAACGCCUCUUGCACUCCGGAAGCCCAUGGUUUGUGAUUCACAAGGACCUCAUCAACAAAGCUGUCCACAUCCGACUCUUUCAAGCCCCUUUGAUUGAGAAACAAAAACAACCACAGAAUCACAAAGUUAAAAAUCCCCAAAUACUUAUCGCUAACACGCCCAUUUAGUGAUCACAAAUACUUAUCGAAAACUAGACAACAACCUUCACUAAGUUUUUGUGCUGCACUUUCGACAUCAUUGCCACUUCCCCCGCAAACCGCGCUUCUCUCUUGGCAAUCUGCUCUGGGGUUUCUCCUCUAUGAACAUUUUUUACAGCAACAUUUUGACUCUUAUAUCUAGAACAAACAAAACGCAACCAACAAACAGAUUAAGAACACAACAGAACAGAACAUCAUCGUUGUAACUCGACACGAAAAACACAUAUUCGGCAUCAUAAACACCAUAAUUGCAGAACACCAAAUCAAGUUUUGAUCUUUGAUUAGUUCUGCUAAAACCCAACUCAAAUUUGCAUUUAUAUUUAACAAGAUCUAAGGCAUCAUAUUAAAUUGCUAAACUUGAGAGACCAGAAAUUCAGAAUUUAAGACAAAACAAACACAGAGGUUGUACCUACUUUCCUUCAUACACUUUGGCAUGUGCGCCUUCCCCAAUCCUCGGACCAACAAAAGAUGUUUUGGAUCAAUCAGCCACUUGGCAUCCAAAUCGAAAUCCCCAACUGAAUAAACCCCAUUACCAGAUCCCAUAAUUUUCUCUCUCUAAAAUUCUAAAACAAGAACAACAUACACUGACUAAUUAACCAAAACAAAGGGUACCCUUUAUUUGUAGGACCACAUUUGAAGUAAAGAUUAAAGCUUUGGUCAGGAUAAAAAUGGAAAAAAGUAAUAAAAUCAGUAGACUUUGUAUGAUUGGAGAGGGAGAAAGAUGAAGACUUUCUAUAAUAAAAGGACUUGCUUGGUACUGUAGGUUUCAGAAAACAGACCCAUCCCCGGAAUCACGGUUGAGUAUCCUACAAAUAUAGGGUGUGCCUUUUGUGUAGGGGGCAAAGAAUAAAAUCCCCGAGGCACCCACCAACAACCCUACAAUAUAAAAAGGAGAUGGAUUGUUUGUCCUCCCAUUUCCAUACUCUCUCAAUUCCUUUCUGUUUGUGUGGUCAUGGUUAAACCACGUAAACAUUUUAUAUUCCUAUUACUUUUUGUUUUAUUAUUUUUAUAAAAAUUAAUAUAAAAUGUUGACGUGACUUAACCAUGACCAUACAUAAAGAGAAUGAAAAAAGUAUGAAAAUAGGAGGACAGACAAUCCACCUCCAUAUAAAAAUGGUCACUGAUGAGAGCUCUAUCAGUGGGAGUGGAUUAGAUUUAUUAUUGGGAAUUAGGGAGAGAGAGGAAUCAGUAGAAGAGCAAGCAGAUAGAGUUGAGCAAGGCAGAGGAGGAUGAAACUGAGAGGAUCCAGGUGGGGAUUUGGGAACUUGGUGGCGGCGACGGAGGCGGUGGGCGGGUGGUAAGUGAGUUCAGUUGAGAUUAAUCUAUUGGCCUUCUCCGCGAGUGGAAUAUUAUUGUCUUGUCUUCUAGAUCCAAAGAUAAACUAGUCUCUGUCAGAGAAUAGUGUGUUUCCUUUGUUUUUCUUCCUUUCUAAUUAAUUUUCCCUUAUUUAUACUAGCAACCGUAAAUAUUUAUAAUAAGAGAAAAUGUAAAUUGAUUUCUAGAUUUUUUUCUUUAUGAACUUCAAAUGAUUUUGCGUCGCUGAAUGAGACUGUUCAUAUAUUUGAUUACUAGUUCUGAAUAAAUAUUUCUUUAACUAAAAGUUUACAAGGCAACUGAUAUGAUUACUUAGUUAUAAGAUUUGGGAAAAAAAAUUAAAAGUAUUUUGUGUGCAAUUUACUAUAUUAUCCAUAACUUUUAAUUUAUUAAUUUAUUUAAGUUAAUUUGGUCUUUGCACUCUCUUUUGAUUGAUUAAGAGAGUUUCGUUGAUAGGUAAUUUAGAUUAUAAUAAAGUAAAAUAAUUACUCAAUAAAUAUUUUUUUUUAAUAAUAUGAUAUUAUGUACAUUAAGUGGUGGAGGGAGUGAGUUAAGCUUCACAAUGAGAUAGUCAUAAUAAUUUGGUUCAAAUUUACCUUGACGAUAAUUGAACUUAAGACUUCUCAUGUAUGAGAGAUUUUUCAAUUUACUAGAAACACGUUGUAAAAAUACAAUUGGUUGGAAACUUAAAAAAUAAAAUUUCAAACUAUUUUAUUAUGACACUUGGUGUAUCGAGUCAUGUUCAGUGUUCGCACCACACUGAAAAAUUUCUCCUCAUUUACUAGUCAAAAUGAAUAUUAUUAAAUCGUAAUAUAAGUGACUACUAAAUAACUGAUUUAUAUAUUUGAUUUUUAAAAGUUUAGGGGAAAGGAAAGCUAAUCCAUCAAGGCCAAGGCAUACCACAAGUAUCCUCGAGAACUUACACAAGGGGUCUUAGUCCUUUUUUUGUUUUUAUAGAUCUUGCACAAAAAAUGGUUGCUUACAAUGGAACUCAAACAUAGACCUUACAACUCAACCAAUCCUCAGUGGAAAAUACACAUGUAUUUGAGCAAUCUUUUAAUUAAUUUAAACUAAAUUAUCGAGUCAAAACUCCAUGCAAUAAACAUAUUGUUUUAAUUAAAUUAUUCAUAUACAAUAAUAAAAUGUCUAUUUAUAUCAUAGAUUCUAAGAUUUGAUAAAGAGAAUAUUUUCAAGAUGUGCAUAGACAUAAAACACAUACACACUACUCUAACUAAAUUAACCAAGAACAAUUCUGCAAGAAAAUGGAAGAUAUGUGACUUUUAUUUAUUUCCUAGAUUCUAUGAAGGAUAAGAAAAUGUUGUCAGAGAAAAAGAAAGGUAAAUGGGCGAUAAGAAGACGAAUACAACACAAUGAUACAAUUGGGGCUUCCAGAAAGUGCCCCUUUGGUAGCCACUAAGGCCAAAAACCCAUCACAAUAAUUGAAUUACCAAUGUCUUAUUAGAAAGUAAAACACAUUACUCUGGCGUUUCCGAAACUUGAAUGUGACAAAUAUGACAUAGACAAUAAGGAUGUGUGACUUAGAUAUCAGGUUGGAGGAAAAUGGACUGUAGUAUAGAGGUUAAGGCAAAUAGAUAUGUGAGAGGUGUUGCACAAGUUCGAUGUCAAAUUAUUAUGACAUAUUUUAUCGCGAUUCUUAUGAGAGAUUUUUCAGUGUGCCGAAAAUACAACUUGAUACAUCAAGUGUCAUCACACAAGUGAUUGGAUACUUGAAAAAAAAAAAAGUCAACCACUUGUAUGAUGAUACUUGAUGUACCGGGUUGUAUUCUGGCACACUGAAAAGUUGUCUGUCUCCUAGUUCAAAUCUACUGCUCUUUAUUUUAAACACAUCUUUGGAUUCAUUAAAAGACAAAAAGACAUGCUAAUAUUUUGGUCCCAGUAUGCAAGAACCAUACCAUAUACUUAGAAAUAUCAAGCAUCCCGCUGGAAAUCAACUGUAAGGCAAAUAUUAUCAACGAAACAAAAGAAGGAAUUGCACAAUUCAUUUGGUGAUUAGGCGAACUAACAACAAAUAAAAAAUAACGAGUCAAUAAUUUAAACACUGAACUAAAUGAUCCUUACAAAGAUGUGGGUUGUUGAAGAGUUGUAUCAUCACUUUCCUUAACUAUACCAAACAACAUACUCCAAAUGGCUCUUGCAAUCGUUAUUUUACCUAUACCGUCCAUACUUCAACUUCCAAUUAUUUGAACAUCAGGUGAACCUCCAACAUCCAAGUAUUUAGUACUGAAUUCUUGCACGCGAAAAGCUAUUCCAACUGAGUGCUUGGCUUUUUUAAGUCUGUAGUUUCAGUAGUCCCCUAAUGUCUCCAACAAUUUUCUCGAUAAAUAAUCAUUCAUGUCUCGCAGUUAAAAUUCAAAAUUAUACAAAAGUAAGAUUCAUCAUGCAACUGCAAGAUUUAUUUCAACUAAAUGCCUCAUUCGUCAUGAUUAGAUAUUUUGGUAGCGAAAACAUUUUGAAUAAAUUAGAUUUGAUCAAGAUGAUUAGUUAAGUUCAAUUCAACUGUGUUUCCGAAAUGCAUUGUAACCGUGUAGUUAAGCCCAGUUAAAUUGCUCCUGAACUAUAACAAGGUGUUUGUUUGCCCUCACUAAACCAUAUUAUAGCUUUUAGUCAUACAAUUAGAAAUCCAUUAGAAUUAGUAUAUGGGUUUGACAUACGAAGGAUUCGUCCUUCACGCAUUACCAAUGCUCCAAAGUUUUUUCCUAUAAACGUAUGAAAUCAAAGUCUGAUCAUAAUCUCCUUAUUUUUGGUGGAUUAAUGAGUCUUAGAAGCUAAUACAAGACGUUGGAAUUAAAUUUAGAGGAAGAAUUAAAACACCUGUCCGCUGUGGUUUUAAGAUUCCGGCCACCCAAAUCUGCAGAAGCCUUUAGAUCCUUUCUCCAUUGCUCGUACUCAUCUGGAUCUUCAUCCCUUUCAUGCUAACAAAGUUAAAAGAAUAAAGUAAAGUGAGAAACCUAAUAAAAGUUUAGGUGGUAAAGUGAACAAAUCAGCAUAUAGGGCAAGUAAAAUUUUGUCUACGUAAGUGUCAUAGAAAUGCCUUUGAUAUUUUGUACAUAUAGAAAACAAAUAGGGUUAAUUACAUCGAUGUUUCCUGAAUUUGUCAUUUAUCUUCAUUUUAUUUGUUUUAUAUGAUCUUCAAACUCGCUAUAGCAUGACUUUUUUUUAUAUCCUUUUUGUCGACUUCAUCUAUUUUUUUGUUAAGUAAAGAUGAUAAAUUUAAAAUUCAUCCCACAACCUAUAAAAUGAAAGAAAAAAAAAAGGAGGUGGAUGUACAAAUCCUUGCAAUGUCAUCUAUAUUUAACAGAAAAAUAAAUUGAGUUAACGGAUAUAAUUGAAGUACCACAUGAGAUUGAGUUUGAGAACCACGAUAAGAAUAAAAGAAAAACUAUUCUAGAAUGAAGGUAAAAUUUGUGACAACAAUGCAGUAUAUCUGAAAAAUAGUUUAAGCAGAUUAAGAUGUUAGCACACAGUCUUGUAUCUCGUUUAUUGAAUAAACGACGAGGACAACAAUGUUGUUUUCUCUCUUUCGAAAUUCAUAAACAACAAAAUUAAGAUUCUUUCACAAAAUUACCAUAAAUUUUGAUAGAAUUAGCAGCUGAAUUAUAAGUCCAACGGGCAAAUCGAAAACAAUCACAAGAACUUAGGACAUACCACGUCAACAUUUAGCAAGUAGUCACAUAACAAAUCCCAAUCAAGAUAAAACCAUUAAACAGUUUAUUCGAUUUCUCCUUUCAUAUGAGUACGGUCCGGAGGGUUAUUUAAUUGACGUUAUAACAUCUUUCUACCAAGAAAAUCCAUCAUGUGCAAAUUAGGUACACCAUUUCCAUAAGUAUACCACAAUAAAACCAAAAAAUAAAAAAGCACACAAUUAAUAAAAAAAUAUUAAAAAAACUGCCUAGGAUUGCCUAGGUGCCGCCUAGCUCUCCGCCUAGGCCCGCUUAGCUUCCAGACGAUUUUUCCAAACGCCUUGCCCAAAAUAAGGGCGGGGCUCCACCGCCCAGCGCCAUAUAGGCGUCGCCUAGGCCAAUUUUUAGAACAAUGGUUCUGCUCCAAACUUACUUCUUUGCAGCAUGUAGAUCCAUUACUAUUAGCACCCUGGUAACAACGCUUCUCCUCGAUUUUCUUUUUUUUUUCUCCAUUUGGAAGCUCUCGAUCAUUAAUUUCUUCAGCUUCAUCGGAAGAUGCUCUAGUUUGGCCCCUGUAAGGAAUGAAAUUGAAUUUCUUGUUCAACUAUUUAAGGAUUCAUCUCUAUGUUUCAUCAAUAGCAGUUGAGCAAGGACAUGGUCAAGCUUUAUAAACAAAACAACAUUAUAAAUCAGAAACAUAUACAGGAUAAUGCAAUUAUAUCCAAUUCUUUUGUGAUUUCUCCACAAAAGUUCCUCCAUGUUAAUGUAACUCUAUAUCAAUUAAUCUAUCAUACAAGACCAGACACAAUCAGCAAUUGAAAAAUAUGACAACACAAGCUUCCGUCCAGUGAAAUUUUCAUCUAAAGAUAGUAGGCAAAACCAAAAAGGGACAAACCUCCGAUGUCGUUCUAUAAUCUCUCCCUUCCCAAGCCGACAUUCUCGCUUCCGCUUCGUCCCCCUCUGAUUGCCAUUUUCUUGGGGCUUCUUGAUUUUCUUAUUUUCUCCUCCAUUUGGAAGCUUCUGGUCAUUAGAUUUUUCAGCUUCAUCAAAAGAUGCUCCGAUUUGGCCCCUAUAAGGAAUGAAAUUGAAUUUCGUGUUCAGCUAUUUAAAGAUUCAACUAUAAGUUUCUUCAAUAGCAAUUGAGUAAGAACAUGUAUGAUCAAGCUUAAUAAACAAUCUAACAACAAUUAAUCAAAAACUUAUACAGGGUAAUGCAGUUACAUCCAAUUCAGAAACAUAUACAGGGUAAUGCAAUUAUAUCCAAUUCUUAUGUGCUUUCUCCACUAAAGUUCCUCGAUGUUAAUGUAACUCUAUAUCAAUAAAUGUAUCAUACAAGACUAGACAUAACCAUCAAUUGAAAAAUAUGACAACACAAGCUUCUGUCCAGUGAAAUUUUCAUCCAAAGGCAGUAGGCAAAACCAAAAACGUACAAACCUCCAAAGUCGUUCUGUAAUCUUUCUCUUCCCAAUAUGCUUAUCAAGUGAUUUCGCCACGUCAAAAGGAGUGACGAAGGGAUACCUGCAAUUAAAAAUACAUAAUAUUCAAACUCCUUCAUCUAUCCCAAUACGAUAAAUUUUAAAUUUUUAUGAUCCGGAUAUUACCAAUGGCAUGUCAUGCUUCCAUCUGAAUCUCGGCUGUAGAUCAUGAGUUUUCCAGCAUACUUGUGGCCUCCAAUGUGAGAGCAAGCAGUAACAAAUACCUGAUCCGUCAAUCCUCGCAGCUCAGCCUCCUCUUUGAACUUAUCAAUGAGAACACGUGCACGAUAACGAUUCCAUUCAUUUUGACUCAUAUGUGCGCAUAUGAAUACAUGGGGGCCAGUCAACGGCUCUUGCACUCCAGAAGCCCAUGGUUUGUCAUUCACAAGGACAUCAUCAAUAAAGUUGUCCACAUUUGACUCUUUCAAGCCCCUUUGAUCAAUAAACAAAAACAACAUCAGAAUCACAAAAAAAUAUUUACAGGAAACAAUAACCUAACACUCUUUAACACUGAGCUAUUAAAUUCAAUUUCUAGAACUAAUUUUAGAAGCUAACACAUAUCUAAUUAUCUAUUUAGUUUGGUAAAUUCAGCGUAAUCAAAUGAGAAGUCGAAACAUAAAUUACUUCAGUCUAAGCUAGGAAAAUAAAUUGCACUGCUCAUGUUGGUUAUGGAAUGGGCCCUCGAUUAUGAAUUAAUUUCGGUUUUCCAUUCUGUGUUAGUGUGGGCGGUGCUUAACAGCUGGGUUGGGCUGCUGCAUUUGGGCCCAGGGUGCAGCUCUCACUUGUUUUGGGCUGGGUUUCACCGAAAGAUCAAAUGACUAUUUUGCCCCUUUAGUCCUAAUCCAACGGCCACCAUUUGGGGCGUUUGUGUUCUGCAAUUCGGUUGGGGGUGUUAGCUUGCUUUCGAUCUCGUCAAGGAGAUCGUGCAGAGAGGCAGAGGGUGUCAUCGAGUUUAGGGUUGAUGGGAAGGGUUGGGGGUGGACAGAGGGUUGAUGGGAAGGGUUGGGGGUGGAGAUAGAGGGUGGGUUCUGUCCGCUGACGUUGGUUGCAGAGAGAGAGAGAGAUGGGGAAAAGUAUGGGGGUGGGGUUGAGGGGAAGGGGUACAGAGAGAAAGAGUGAGGGAGUAAGGGACAUAGGAGCUAGAAAGGCGACUACAUGAUUCUCUUAAGGCUUUUCCUCAACUCGGUUCUCUGCUUUUCUCUUUCGUUUCAAGAUUUGGUUGAAAUUGAUAAAAAACAAUGCAUGCACUCAAGGAUUUGUUCGGAGUCUUUAUUGAGUUUCAGAACUUUCCUCUCUGGUUUUCUGAUUAUUUUCUCAAUUGGGAUUAUCUCUUACCAAUUUCCUUUGAGAAUUGUGCGUGUGGGUUUGUUAAUGCUCUGUUUCUUCGUUUUUACAGGAAAUGGAAUUGCUUUCUUCCUUUUCUUGGCAACCAUGUAUGCCCUCUCUCUCUCUCUCUCUCUCUCUCUCUCUCUCUCUUUCUCUCUUUUCUGUUGUGUAUUGCCUAAUUAGUUAUUUACAUUUGUUUAUUUAUCUAUGUAAAGCUUUCAUGCUCGGAUUUUAAAUGUAUGAUUCAAUUUGAAACCUUUAUAAUGUUGAUGUUAUAGAACAUUCAACAGAUUAGGUAGCUCUGGCAAAAUCAUAUGGACUAAGAUUUGGUAAUAUAUGGAGGUGAGAGUGAGUCUGCCUUGCUUGCCAUGAUAUAGGUUUGCAAUGAUGGCUUUCUCUCUGUAGUACUACAUUCUACUCUUACAUGUUAACGUCAGAAAGCAGACUAAGAUAGAUCCAAACCCAAUCUUAUUAAUUAAAGUUAACGGAAAGAAAAUGAUUUAUGCAUACCUUUGUUUAUUUGUCUCUUGAUUUUGGUUUAGGUUGACCAUAGCUAAAACAUCCAAGACU
Molecule: long non-coding RNA, 206662 nt
Filed under: Malus domestica (apple)
Lineage: Eukaryota; Viridiplantae; Streptophyta; Magnoliopsida; Rosales; Rosaceae
Description: long non-coding RNA (MDOM_LNC007846)
Source: RNAcentral